Molecule: long non-coding RNA, 286718 nt
Filed under: Vitis vinifera (wine grape)
Lineage: Eukaryota; Viridiplantae; Streptophyta; Magnoliopsida; Vitales; Vitaceae
Description: long non-coding RNA (VVIN_LNC002889)
Rfam family: tRNA (bases 269346-269407)
Source: RNAcentral
UGGCUCAGUCCAAACCAUUAUCAGUACUACCAUCUUUCCGGCGCUCUCUCCUCAACGCUCGACGUCCGGGCUCCUAUGAUCCUUCCCUUGACGACAUGUACGUCCCCAUGUCAACCUUACCUCCUCCCAAAGCUCCACAGUCUGGUGAUGAUCUUCUCAUAAACCGCCUUUACUUGUCACAGCCGAACAGCUCAGUCUACUCCAAUCACUAGCUACCAGCAAGAGUAGCUCCUGCAAGAGGACUAAACUAGAGUCUCUCAGUGCUUUUCUGUGGAAGAUGGUGGCCAAAAGUGCAGUCACGGAAAACGCAAACCAAAAAAUAUGCAGGAUGGGCACCGUGGUGGAUGGAAGAAAGAGACUGAGCAGUGGAGACGAGGUUAAAGCAGCAAUGAUGGCCUCUUACUUCGGAAAUGUACUGUCCAUACCCUUUGGUAAGAAGACAAUAAAUGAACUGAAAGAGAAACCAUUGAGCUGGGUGGCAGAUGCAAUUCAUGAGUACCUGGAAGGAGCAGUAACAAAGGAGCAUUUCCUGGGGCUGAUAGAUUGGGUGGAGGCUCACCGUCCGGAGCCAGCUUUAGCGAAGAUAUACAGCAGUGGCAGUCGCGAUGGACCGGCAUUUGUGGUGUCAUCAGGGCAGAGAUUCCCAGGGUCAAGGGUGGAUUUCGGGUGGGGUAUGCCGGCUCUGGGGUCAUACCAUUUUCCAUGGGGUGGGGAAGCUGGGUACGUGAUGCCAAUGCCGAGUCCUGUCAGAGAUGGAGACUGGGUGGUGUACAUGCACCUCUCCGUGGGGCAGAUAGAGUGGAUUGAGACUGAGGCUGCUCACAUCUUUAGACCCUUAAGUUCUGAAUAUCUCAACUUGAGCAACUCAGAUUAGCUUACAUUUAUCACUUCCUAUUUGUUCACUGUCCCCCACAAUGUUUGUUAUUGUCUCCAUCUCUAUUUGCUGAUUGUCAUCGGCUUGAUGUUUAAUAUCCGUUUACGAAGAAGCCCCGAUUUUUUGUGGCCUGUCUAUUCCAAUUUCCAACCUCGUUAAUUUUCCUCCUCUAUACAAAAUUCUCUAUGAACAUAAAUAAUACAUUAAUUGUGGGAUUAGCUUUGGCAAAUAGGAAGUAGUUGAAAUUCAUGGAGUUAAGUCCGACUGAUGAAAAAGACGUAACCCAAGUGGUAUUUUUAAUACAAAAAAAACCAUUUUAUAAAUAUCUUAAUUUUUUUUUAAAAAUAAAUUGUUAUUAAUAAAAAAUUUACUAAAUCAUAUAGAAUAUAACUAUUUCCAAGUAAUAAGUCUUUUGUACGUGCUUAAAAAAUGAGACAGAUAUGAACCUAAUAAAGUACGAUUUUUUUUUUUAAUAAAUUAAACAGAAUUUUUUAAACAAAGUGAAAAAUUAAAAAUCAAAAAAUCAAAAUGGGAGCAGUCAAUUGGGAAAUAUUGUCCUUUUUCAGACUGCAAAAUGAGUGUAGGCCUCUGCAGUUGCUGCAUUCUAGUUGAUGUGUGAUAAAAGGUUUGUGCCCACGAACCAUUCGGCCACCCCAGGAAGGGAUGAUACCCUUUGGUGCAGAUCCAGACAGCUAUUUACAAAGGGUAGGUCAAAAAACUUAUCAAACCCAUGUGCCAGGGCCAAUAAUCUCACUCUCUAGUCAGAUAUAGUGAGCACUGAGCAGUACAAAAAGUCGGUUUCAUGAGUCUUUUAACUCUUUAUGUCCCAUGUGCAUUCAUUUUUAUAUGCUUAGAGUUUUGUCGAAAUGCUUUGGAGGGUUUUGGCCUUUGAAAUAAUCUAAUUUCUCCUUCCCCAAUUAUUAUUGAUAUUCAAAUUUUCUGGUGGCAGAACUAAUGCUUUUAUAAAUAACAAAUGAGCACUCACUUGGUUCAAUAAAAGAAUUAUAUAUCAUCAUUAAAUAAUACACAUACACAUAAAAAAGCAAAGGUUAGGUAAAAACUUAUCAAACCCAUGUUCCAAUGCCAAUAUAUAAUCUCACAGGGAAUCAAUUUGGUGGGUCUUGAUGGUCCAUGUGCAUUCAUUUUCAUAUGAUUGGAGUUUUGUCUAAAUAUUUUUGGAGGGUCUUGGCCUUCAAAAUAUUCUAAUUUCUCCUUUACCGAUUGUUUUGUAUAUUAAGUUUUUCUGGUGGCAGAAUUAAUUCUUUUAUAAAUAACAAAUGAGCACAUGCAUCAGUUAAUUCAAUAGAAGAAUUAGCAUUAUAAAAUAAAACACAUACUUAUUCAUUGAGUAUUACAAAAUAACGAGGAUAGACAAUAAGAAAAAAAAAAAAAAAAACACAGAAUAAUAACAUAUAGAUUUAUAUGGAAAUCACAAUAGAGGAGAAAAAAUCUAUUAUGUAAAAAAUUGGUACAAAAUGGGGAGAAACGUGAGUGGCUACAACAAAAUCAUAAACAUCAUAGCCCUUCAAAAUUAUACAUCAUCGCAUAUAAAUAAAUAAAUAAAUAUAAAUGGGUUACACUAUUGGAUCAGCGCUACCACCACAAACCCAAAAAAAAUCUCAUAAUUUUGGCUUUAUCACAUAAUGUUGCACCAUGAACUUUUCGGGUUGGACCAAAUAGAAUUCGGGUUAUCAAACUCUAACAUUGAGAAUUUUUUAUAUGUUAUGAUUUGAGUAUAUAUCCUAUAAGUAUGGUUUGAAAUAUCGGUAAAUAUGAAUAUAUCGGUAUUUGAAUUUUAUGAAUAUAUAAAAAAUAUUGAUAGAUAUUUUGACAAAAAUAUCGAUCAUGUGAAAAUUAUUCAAAAUUCAUGAAAAUAUUUAAAAAAACUCUAAAAAAAUAAUAAAAUAAGUAAAAAUACACGUGUUAAAGUUAUUUUAUAAAUAUAAUUGAUAUAAAUAUGGUUAAAGAGAAAAAUAUUAGUAAGGAAUAAUAUAUUGAUCUUAAUAUAAUUUAUUAUAUAUCUUAUCAAAUUAAUUUUAAUUUAGAAAAUAUUAGAACUUCAUUAUUUUUUUAUAUUUUAGUAUUUUUUUUAAUAAAUUUAUAUUUUAAAUAUUUUAAAAUAAAGACAUUCAAAAUUAAAAUGAUAAAUAUAAAAAAUUUAAAAGUGAAAUAAUAGUAAUUUUUUAAAAUAGGAUUAAUGAAAUAAAUGAUGAUACAUUGAAUAUUAAACUAUAAUUUAUUUAAUUCAAAUGCAUUCAAUCAUAUAAUAAAUGAUGAAACAUAUAUGAUUUUUUUAAUAUUUAACUUUUUUAUAUUUAAUUAUCAUAUAAAAGAUAUAAAAAAAGACUUGUUAAGAAAAUUAUAAUAUUGGUUAACUUGGUUUUCAUAUUUUUAUUAAUCAAUUAAAGAAAAUAAUUAUAAUUAUUUUUUUUAAUAUUGAACUUUAGGAUAUUUAAAUUGAACAUAAAUUUACAAAUGUGAAGUUGCCCCAAUGGAAUCCAAGUUUUGGCCCCCGGCAGCAAAAAAUGUUGGUCAACAUCUCUAGGCUGCAACGGCUAAAAAUAUAGGAAGAAUUGUGUUUUGGGCCCAAAAAUUAACAUUUGGUCCAUAUAUUAUACAUAUUUAAACCCAAGACCCAAACAAAGUAUGAAAAUUAAGAUGAAGGAUAUUGUCUUUCAUUAAUCCCUAAAAUACCCUUAACCCUUACAUAGGCACAAGUGAGUGUGAAUUUCAAUUUUUUUUUUGUGUUUUUUUUCCCUUUUUCUAUUCCCUAUUAAGUAUUACUCAUUUCUAACUCUUUUUUUUUCUUUUUCUUCCAAUCUAUAUUUCUAUUUUAUGUCAAAUAAAAAGCAAUAAUAUUUUUUUGUUUUUCAUUUUUAAAGAUAUUGAAUCUUUUUGCUCUUAUUAUAAACAAUGAUAAAAAUUUUGGGAUUUUUCAUCCAAAUAUUUUUUUUAUCUUUUCGUAUUUAUCUUUUAGUUUAAUUUUCAUUUUUUAUUUUAAAUUUAUAUUACCCUUUCAUUUAUAUUUUUCUCUUAUUUUUAAUUAUUUUUUAUAUUUUCUAUAUUAACCAUAUUUUAAAAAAUUUAAAAAUUGACUCAUUUCAAUUUAUUAUAUAUAUAUAUAUAUAUAUAUAUAUCCUUUUAGCUUUUUAAUUUUUAAUGUUUUUAUUUUAAAAUUUUUAAAAAGAUAAAUUUAUUGAAAAAAAUAACUAAGAUAUGAAGUUCUAAUAUUAUAUUAAUAAUUUUUCUUGUCUAGAUAGACUAAUGCAAAUUAUUUUGACUCACAACAAGAAAAUUGUCAAUACAAUUUUUUAGUUAAACUUUAGAAAUUAAAUUUUAAAUAAAAUAUAUUAUAUACAAUUUUAUCUAAAAAUUAUUGAAAGUGGUAUUUAAUUUUUUUUUUUAUUGACUUUCAAACUUAUCUAAUUUUUUACUUGAAAGGUAAUAGAACAUGUUUACAAAAAAAAAAUAAAAUUAGUUUUUCAUUUUUUUUAAAUAAAUGAGUAUAAAUAUAUUAAAAGAAUUAAAGAUAAUCUUAGUAAAAAAUUUGAUAAAUAUGAUUAUAAUUUUAAAUAUAGAUUCAUUUGGAUAAAAUUUCAGAAAAAAAAAAAUAUAGUGGAAAGAAAGAACAUUGUUAAAACUACAAAAACAAAAUAUGCAAUUACAAAAUUUUGAUGAUGAAAUUUAAAAAUAAAAUUUCAAAACAAUUCAUGAGUGAGAGCAUUUGUGCAGGGAAAAAAUCUUUGAGUGGAAAAAAAUGAGAAAGUUUUUCAAAAUCACUUGAAAUCUUCAACAAAAAGUAGUCUUGUACACCCUUGUACAAUUAGUAAAUUUGUCUUGUACAGUUAGUGUAAUACCUUUGUACAAUAACUCAAAUUUCAUACAUCAUCUCAUGAAUACCUGACAAUAGGUCGGUUAACCAUGUUUGCAUUGAUUUGGUUUUAAAAAAGAAGAAAAAUUGUUAUAUAAUUUUGUUUUACAAUCAUCAUAAGUGAGGUACCUAUUCAAAUGACCAUAUACAAGUUAAAUAAAGUGCAUGAGAUGAAUGUAUGCUUAACUAAUGUGUGUAAGGAAUGUCAUUUAUCCUCAGUUAGGGGAAAUAAACAAAUAAGUUUUUCAGAAUCACUUAAAAUCCUUCACAAAUAAUAGUCUUGUACACCCUUGUAUAGUUAGUAUAUUUGUCAUGUACACUUAGUGUAAAUACCUUGUAUAGUGACUCAAAUUCUAUAUACCCCCUACUCAAUGUGUAACCAUAGGUAGGUUAACCAUGUUUUCAUUGGUUUGUUUCAAAAAAUAGUGGAAGAUGGAAAAACAAAAUUUUCUUUCAAACAUCAUUAGUGGGAUAAGUAUUCGAAUUAUCAUGUGCGAGUUAAAUAAAGCGCAUAAGAUGAGUGUGUAAUAGAUGAAUGUGUACCUUAAGAGUGUGCAAUCCUUAGAUGACAAGACCAAAAAAAAAAGUUGUCCCAAAUUGAUUAAAAUCUUUCACAAAUGAUAGCCUUGUAUACUCUUUGUAUAAUUAGAACAUUUGUCUUGUACAGUUAGAACAUUUGCCUUAUCCAAUUGAAUAUUUACCUUGUACAGUUAGUAUAACACCCUUAUACAAUGGUGCAAAUUUCAUCCAUAUGCAUAUAUUAUGUGUCACAUAUGAUGUGUAAACCUUGUUUCCAAUGGUUUGAUUUAAAAAAUGAUAUAAAACGUAAAAAAAAAAUUUUCUCUAAACGUCAUUAUUAAUGUAAGUAUUUGAAUUGUUAUAUGCGAGUUAAAUAAAGUACAUGAAAUAAAAGAAUUUGUGGUAGGAGAACAUAUAAUCCUUAGAAUGACAAGAAAAAAAAAAAGUUGUUCAAAAUGUACAGUUUUAUACACCCCUUGUACAAUUAGUGUAAUAACCUUGUAUAAUGGUAUAAAUUUCAUAUAUAUGUAUAAAUUAUAUCCACAUGAGUGUGUAAACUAUGUUCCCAAUAGUUUGACAUUUAAAAUAAUUAAAACAAAUAAAACAUUAUUUUAUUUUAUUUUCAAUGCAAAAUGUAAUUAAAAAUAAAACAAAGAAAUUACUUAAAAACUAUUAUUUAAGCCAAGUUUAUUUAUUUAUUUCCUUUUAUUUUUGGAAAUAAAGAAAAAAGAAUAAAAAAUAAUAGAUUAAAAUGUGCACAUUUUAUUUAUUACUUUGUUAAUUAUGGAUAUAUUAAAAUUUUCUAUUAGACAAAAAAUAAAUAAAGAAAAUAAAAUUAAAAAGAGUAAUAAAUAUAUAUAAUUUAGUUAUUUAAUUAUUUUUCAUGUAAAAGAUAGUCCCACAAAAAACACAUAAUUGAUCAAUGUCUUUGUUUAAUUGUAAACAUACUGAUUUGUGCCCAAUUGGUGUCUCAACUAAUUUGUGUCCAGCUGGUGCUCCUUGAUUGAGGGAGUAAUCAACAAAAUUUAUAACCUAUAACACCAUAUACUAGGGUAGCAAAGAAAAAGCUACUAUAGUAUAGUGGCUCUAGGAUCGUCCACUGGGAAAGAUUAACAAGCUCUCAAUGAUACCAAUUCCAAGUGAAUUGGUUUUGUUUCAUUUCAUGGUUAGCUUAAGAAGUAAAACACAAACUUUGAUUGGUAAAGGUUUAGACUUAAACUAACUAACAUAACAGAAGUUUGGAAUAAUUUAGGAAGAAAAGCAUUCCCUGGAGAGUUAGGUUCACUGGGGUGGUUCCUCAUGCAAAAGACAUAGCUCCGGUCAGAUGGUUCAUUUCCUCGUGUUAGAGAUUCAACAUAUAGUCAAUUCUUUAACCGGUGUUGUACAGAGACUCCUUCAAUUAGAUUUCACUUUAAUUCUCUCACUGAUGCAACUUGCAAUGGUUUAAGCCUCUCACUAAGCCUUAACCAUUCAAGGUGAUCUUUAACAUUGGAUUACCCGUCAAAAGCUCGCAAGAGAUAACUAAUGGAUGUCUCCUUGGAGUCCAAAAGCUUAUCAAGUGUUGGCUAUUAUAGAAAAUCCUACCUUGAAGUCACCUCCCAGAGGCUCGCAAGGGGUAAACUAGUGCACUUCCAUGGUUGGAAAUCACUUGCCUUACCAAGUGUUGGCCCAGGUGACUCUAAGGUGUUUUAAGUUAACUAAAAACAUAGAAAUCAUUAAAGGAUUUCACUUCCUCUUCAUUAAUAGCUAAAACCACAGAGCUUUGCAUUCUUGCACUUGGAACCUUCCCCGGCAACCUUAGCUCCAAGGAACUAGAGGUUUAGUUACUCAUUCUCUGGGGAAAACUCCUCAAAGAGUUCAUAACUUAGUAAGAAAAUGAAAAUACAAAGUGAGAAGGUAAGGUAGUAGAAAGAAAAUAAACUUUACUUGCUUACCCAAACUUUUUCAGAAGGAACUCCUCUCUGAGAACAGGCUCCCGAGAGGUCUAUAUAUGUACAUAAUAUAAAACUAAUUAUUACAUAGAUAUUUAGUCUUUUUACUAACUUAAAAGCUAAGGAAUCAUGUAAUUGGUGGUUUACAAGGAGUAUUUUGGGAUUUAGACAACAAAAAUCUAAUGGAAAAUAUCUCCCAAUGUCGAUAGCAAAUAUCGGGAGGCUUUAGGAACCAUUUCGCAGGAGAAAAAUGGUGUCUGCGAGAUUUCGCAGACACUUAAGAGGACUGCGAAAUAAUUUCGCAACACCAAGCUAUCUUCACAGGGCUGCGAAGAUGGCUUCCACCUUGAGGUUCCCAGCUUCCUUCUCGUGGCAUAAAUCGGGCAUCGUCAGAAGGAGAAACAUUACACUGUUCAAAAAGGCUGCGAAAUCACUUCGCAACAAAAGGGUGAUUUCGCAACACUUUGCAAAAUGCUUCCUUCAGCUCGGAGUGAUUGGCUUGUAAUGGUUGCAACUUCUUCGUUUCAACUCCGAAUUGCACACCGUUUGAAGCAUUGGAUUUUUGACUUCCUGAGCUUUGAAAUGGUAUAUAGAAUGCAUCAUUUGGACUUCAAAAAGUGCUCCAAAAGUGGCUGCUACGACUGUCAUCAAGAAUAUGCUUUAUGGCAGAUUCUCUUUGCUUUUUCUCCUUGCAAUCCGGAUUUACUCUUGGCAAAUGACUUCUAAGCUUUGCCCAAGAUUCCUCAUAGCUCUCCUCAGUCUUGACUUGCUUUGGUGAUCAAAAUACUAACAAAAACACCAAAACUUACACAAAGUGAUCAAAAUUGCUUUCAAGGGUCCUUAACAUGCCAAUUGAGUUAAAAGGCCUAAACUACAACUCAAAAGUGUUUAAAAGGAUUUAUUAUAGGAUCAAAUAGCACUUUUUGAGUAGUAAUCACUCCCCCCAACUGACAUAUUGCUAGUCCCUUAGCAAUAUAAGAGAGAAAAAUUGAAAAUAAAAAGCAAACUAAUCUAAAAUUUACAACAUCAUGCUGAUCAAAAUCAAUUCUCAAGUGGCAUGAUGAUCUAAUUCUCACAUGAAGCAUUAAAGAAAUACAAACCCAAAUCUCAACAAGAGUCAUAACAAACUAUGCUAAACACUGUCAAUCAAGGGAGUGCAUUAUGCAAACUGAAGUUUUAAAAUCAUUUCCACUUUCUAAGAACCAAACUUUAAUCUUCCACAAAAAUCUAUGUGUAUUGGUUCCUUAGCUUCCGAGAAUAAUAUGCUAAACUAAUCUCUCCCCCCAACCUAUCUCUUUUCAACACUUAGCAAACUGACCAAAAUCAAUAAGAAAAGAACACACCUUCUCUCUUUUUUCUUUUUUUUAGUAAGGUAGCUUUAUGGGGUACUCUUUCUGACUUGUCCAUGUAAUGGGGGUCCAUCGAUGACUCCCAACCAAUUAAGGUUUAGGGCACCAAGCUUUAAGGAUCUUUCAACCACUAACUCCUCGGAUUUUUCCCCGGACUUUUAAGAAUGAAUUUCUAAUACCCAAGCAUCUACCAUAUGCUAACUCUACCUAUUCACCCUUUUAACGAGCAUUGAGGUUGGUGACUCCCAACCAAUUAAGGCUUAGGGCACCAGGCUUUAAAGGCUUUCACCAUAUACCCCUCAGACCUUGCUCGGGUUUCAAGGCAAGCAAACAACUUUCUUUAUUUCAAAGGCUCAUUGGCCUUUUGCAGGGUGUUUCAAUUUUAUCAAAUGAGGUCAAAUGUACCAAGUCCCAAAAUUAUCCCAAGUCAAGAGGGAAAUAGCUUUUCAUCUUAUAAUCGGAAUCUAAUGUGCACAGUGUGUGAAUAGCUUAAAGUGGAAGAACUAAAUUCAAUUUCACUAGAAGCUUCAAUAAUUGAACCACUUUAGUGAGCAUAAUCCAUACUCUAAGUUAAGUGAAAAACAACAGUUCAAUUUCUCUUGGUUUAAUUUGAAAUUUUUUCCUCAAAAUUCAUGGAGAAUAGAGUAACAAGAGUAAAAAGUAAAAACUACAACUAAUUAACCAAUAUAAUUGCAAUACCAAAAAGAUUUAGCACUUCCUUCCUCAUUCCCCCCCAACCGAACUGAGCAUUGUCCUCAAUGUGAUAUGAGUGACUGUAUUUAAAGAGAUGAAGUGGUACCUCCUUGCUGAUAUCAAAUUCGAAUAUUGAUUGGGGAAAACCACAUGUUUAAAAAAGAAUAGAAUAUGUGAGAAAAGGAAAUAAGAAUAACUUAAUGCUAACUGUUAACAAGAAAUAUUCCACUUGUAUUACUUUCAAUUCAUUCGAGUACAAUGUAAAAGACAAGUAACACAAGGAAUCCCAAAUAUAGUACCAAAAUACUAGGAUUUCUUUUCAACUAAAAAAAAAACAAAUACAUAAAAAUAUUAGAUAUAUAUAAUAGUCUGAUGAGUGGGGUAGUGGUGCUAGGCAGAUGGGUCUGCCUUUUCAGUAGGUGCAUCAGCUGGGGCUUGGGGCUCUGGAGGAUGAGACUCUGAAGGAUGAGAGUGUGGCUCUACUGGUGUAUCAGUGGAGAGCUCUACAGCUUGUGGCAGAUCGAAAUGGACUUGGAGCUGCCUUAAGAUGGCAGCUUGUUGAGCCUGAGUGGCCAACAUCUGCUCUUGGCAUGCUCUGAUGGCUGCCAUCUCCUGAGCAAGACUGCUCUGAGAAGCUGUAAGAGGCUCCAAUGCACGGCACAACUCUCUAUAUUCAGAUAUAGGAAUGGCCAUCCUCGGCUCAGCUGAUGUGGAUGGCUGAGAUGAAGCUGAUGUAGCUGGUGGAGCUCUAGGAAUGGCAGGAGCAGCAACUGUUAUACCCUCAGGUAUAUGUCUUGGGGAUGCUCUCCUUGCAGCUGGCUGAGGCUGCUCAGGCUGAUCAACUUUGUAGGCCAUCAUAUUGUUCCAUUUAUCAAGAGUGAAUGGCUCACGGCAAAUUCGCUUUUUCUCCAACUGAGGCUUAGAAGGGUAUCCCAGAUGCUCCAAAAUUUGGCAUAGCAGCCUUGGAAAGAGGAGUGGAAUGCAAUCAGCUCUCUGAAGCUUCUUUUUGUGAACCUUCUCUUCAAAAUAGAGAAGGGCUGCCAUGAUCAGAUGAUGAGGCCCAAAGAAAAAUCCUUCUGACAUCUUGUAAAGAGCUUCCAGGAGGACUCCCCUUCUUUGGGUCCAAUGCUGCAAUGGAUAGAUAUUAUGACGCAAAAAGGCAUCAAUCAAAAACAUAACUGAAGGAAGCUCCCCCUUAAGCAGAUGUGAUCGAUUUACAGCUCCUCUGGAAAGGGUGCGCACCAUCUCCAGCUCAGUAGGAUUUGCCCAAGCUCUAAAAUUAUCGAAUUGGGUUGGCUCAAAGGGAAUUUGCAGGGCUUCAGCAAUAUGUCGUGCUCCCAAUAUGCCAUGUCUCCCAUCGAUAGUGAAAUGAAUCAAGGUUGGAUUCCUAACCUCUUUGGUUGUCAUGGAUUGAUAGAAAUCUGUGGCUAUCCGGGGAUAGAAAAAGUCUCUUGGAGUCAGCAAGUGCUCCAUGUGAUACCUCCUCAGCAGUUGGAAUGAUUGGGCAAGCUCCGACCUCACUCUGAAUGCCGGUAAGUUGAAGCAUAACUCGGAAUGGAAUGGCCGUGUUCUACAAUCCAAGUUUCCCUCAAUUGGGGGCUGAGGUAGCAUUAGCCUCCGGAUUACUUCUUCCAGAGCUGUUUCGGAUGGAAUUUGGGGUUCAGGAAGUGGCGUUGGAGGCUCCUGAGAUUUUUCUUGCAGCGCCGGAGAUGGUACCGGCGACGGAACUGGCAUGAGAAUCGGCGAGGGAACUGGAGACGACACUGGAGUUGGAACCGGUGAUGGAAUUGGUGAAGGCUCUGGAGAUUGCUCAGUCAAAUCGAUGGGUUCUGAGCUCUCCACCCUGGGCUUCUUUUGCAGCGGCCGACCUCCUGACCUGGUAAGGUAUCGUUUUGCCGGAGGCUUUGGCGGCGCUGACUUCACCGGGGGAGGAAUUGCUUUCGGCUGCGAAGGCUCUGGAGCAGAAUCUGGAACUGGCUCCUUUCGCAGACUCUUCUUGCGAUUCGAAGGAGAUGAAGAUUUAGCCCCUCGUGUUCUCGCCAUUUCGGGAUACCAAACUUUGGCCGACGUUGCUAAUCAGAGGAGAUGACCGGAGGCUUGGACAGCGUGGCUCACUGAAGAAGACGAACAACUUACGAGAAUGGCGCUCUGAUUUUUGAAACCCUUUUCGCAGUUCAAAUGACCGGUAUAAAUAGGAAAAACGGAAGCCUAAGGGUCAGUUUAAGUUUCGCAACAAAACGCCAAUUUCGCAGCAAAAUGCCAUUUUCGCAGCAACUUCGCAGUGCGUUUCGCAGCUGCGAAAUGAGAGUUCUUAUGCUGCGAAGUGGCACUCGUGUGCCAAAACCACUUUCGCAAUUGCGAAAUACCCUGCGGAAUGGGACUUUUGGUGCGAAAUCACGCUUUUCCACUUCGCAAUGCGUUUCGCAGCUGCCAAAUGGAUGCUACUGUACUGCGAAGUGGCACUCGUGUGCCAAAUUUGCUUUCGCAGCUGCGAAAUACCCUUGCAGAGACUUCUACAGUGUUGCGGAAUGGUUUGGCAACAAAAUGCUCAUUUCGCAGAAGCUUUCUUUAGCCUGUGAAAUUUCGCAGAGCUCUGUUUUUCCCCUGUUUUUGCUCUGUUUUGGCUCCGAUUUCGAUCCGAUUUUUUUUCUUUCAAUCUCCUUGAAAUUACUUCCACAUGGGAUCAUUUAAAACGAUUAAAACACACCUAAAAACAUGAUUUAAGAUCAAAAACUAAGAUCAAAAGUAUGGAAACAACUUGAAAAUUUACAAAAUUUACAAAAAUUUUGGAUUGUGGUAAACCACGUCCAACAAACCCUUUUUUGCUUAGGCUUUUUAAGGCUCAAGGAGGUUGAUCUCCUCCUUUUCUGGUUUGAAUGGCUCCAUGAAUGGCUUGAGACGAUACCCAUUGACUUUGAAGCUAUCAUUGCCAUUGGAAUUCAAUAAUUCCACCACUCCAUUGGAAUAUACUCGGUGAAUAAUAAACGGGCCUAUCCACCUUGACUUGAGCUUCCCAGGAAAGAUAUGGAGUCUUGUGUCAUACAGUAAAACUCUUUGCCCUUCCUGAAAUUCCUUGUUGGAGAUGAGUUGAUCAUGCCACUUCUUCAUCCUCUGUUUUGCAACUUUGGAAUUGAUAUAAGCAUUGUUUCUUAAUUCCUCCAUCUCAUUAAGGUCUAGAAAUCUCUUUUCUCCGGCCUUGAUCAAGUCCAUAUUCAGCUUCUUUAUUGCCCACCAAGCUUUGUAUUCAACUUCCACAGGGAGAUGGCAUGCUUUGCCAUAGACAAGACGAUAGGGAGACAUCCCAAGAAUAGUCUUAUAAGCUGUUCUAUAUGCCCACAAUGAAUCAUGAAGCCUAAUAGACCAAUCCUUUCUGUUGGAAUUCACCACUUUCAUCAAGAUGUUCUUUAUUUCCCUGUUAGCUAGCUCAACUUGCCUGGAAGUUUGAGGAUGAUAAGGUGUAGCCACCUUAUGCUUCACUCCAUACUUGGAUAACAGAGCUUCAAAAGGUUUGUUGCAAAAAUGAGCACCUCCAUCACUGAUUAUGGCUUUGGGCACCCCAAAUCUUGAGAAUAUAUUCUCUUUAAGAAACUUGAGAACCACCCUAUGAUCAUUUUGUUUACAGGGGAUUGCCUCAACCCACUUAGAAACAUAAUCCACCCCCACCAAGAUGUAAGAAUUACCAAAAGACAUUGGGAAAGGUCCCAUGAAGUCAAUGCCCCAAACAUCAAAUAACUCAACUAUUAGAAUGGGGUUCAUAGGCAUUUGAUUUCUUUUUGUUAGCUUUCCAAGCCUUUGGCAUCUGUCACAACUCCUACACAUGAUGUGGGCAUCCUUAAAAAGAGAUGGCCAAGUAAACCCUGAUUGCAAUACCUUCAUGGCUGUUUUCUGAGAGGCAAAGUGGCCUCCACAUGCAUGCUCAUGACAAUGAGAUAGAAUCCCUUACUGCUCAUCUUCAGGGACACACUUCCUAAUAAUCUGAUCUGAACAAUACUUAAAGAGAAAGGGCUCUUCCCAAUAAUAAGAAUGAAUUUUGGCAAAGAAGUGCUUCCUGUCCUAUGCAUUCCACUCACUUGGAAUUUCUCCAGUUACUAAAUAAUUGGCAAUAUGAGCAUACCAAGGAGUUUUCACUAGGAACAUGAGUGAUUCUUCAGGAAAAUCAUCAUUGAUAGGCAAGAGAUGGGAAUUAUGUGCUAUAACUAAUCUUGACAAGUGGUCAGCUACCACAUUCUCCACUCCUUUCUUAUCUUUGAUUUGGAGAUCGAACUCUUGUAACAAAAGAAUCCAUCUAAUCAACCUUGCUUUUGCAUCUUGCUUUGUCAAUAAAUACUUCAAGGCUGAAUGGUUAGUAAAGACAAUAAUGAAAGACCCCACUAAAUAAGCUCGAAAUUUGUCCAAAGCAAAUACCACAUCUAACAAUUAUUUCUCUGUAGUUGUGUAGUUCCUUUGAGCUUCAUUUAGUGUUUUACUUGCAUAGUAAAUCACAUAGGGCUUCCCAUCUUCUCUUUGGCCAAGCACAGCUCCUAUAGCAAAGUCACUGGCAUCACACAUCAGUUCAAAAGGUAAUUGCCAGUUAGGGGCUCUCACUAUUAGAGUUGUUGUUAAAAAUUUCUUCAGUUGAUCAAAGCUAUGCUGACACCUUUCAUCCCAUAUGAACUUAGCAUCCUUAGCUAACAACUCACAAAGAGGUUUUGAAAGACUUGAAAAACCUUUUAUAAACCGCCUAUAGAAACCUGCAUGGCCAAGGAACUGCCUUACUCCUUUUACAGUUGUUGGAGAUGGUAAUUUGACAAUAAGCUCCACCUUUGCUUUAUCAACUUCAAUGCCUUUUUCAGAGAUGAUAUGGCCAAGGACAAUUCCUUGACGUACCAUAAAAUGGCAUUUCUCCCAGUUGAGCACCAGAUCUUUUUCAAUGCAUCUAUGAAGAACUGCUUCCAAAUUAACCAAGCAUUCCUCAAAUGUACCUCCAUAUACGGUGAUGUCAUCCAUGAAAACCUCCAUAAUUCGCUCCACCAUAUCACUGAAAAUACUCAACAUACAUCUUUGAAAUGUAGCAGGUGCAUUGCAUAAACCAAAAGGCAUUCUCCUGUAAGCAUAUGUUCCAAAUGGACAUGUAAAAGUGGUCUUUUCCUGAUCUGCCAAAUCAAUUUCAAUUUGAAAAUACCCUGAAUACCCAUCCAAGAAACAAUAAAAUGGAUGUCCAAAGACUCUCUCCAGCACUUGGUCAAUAAAUGGCAAUGGAAAAUGAUCUUUCCUGGUUACAGCAUUCAGCUUUCUAUAAUCAAUACACACCCUCCAACCUGAAGUAAGGCGUGUAGUAAUUUCAUCCCCUUUUUCAUUUUGAACCACUGUGAUCCCUGACUUCUUUGGUACCACUUGAGUAGGACUCACCCAAGGGCUAUCAGAUAUAGGGUAAAUGAUUCCUGCUUGAAGUAGCUUCAGCACUUCAGCUCGCACCACCUCUUGUAGAUGAGGAUUCAACCUUCUUUGAAAUUGACGAAUUGACUUUGCUUCCUCCUCCAUAUAUAUAUGAUGAGUACAAACUAAAGGACUAAUGCCUUUCAAGUCAGAUAUUUGCCAUCCUAUUGCCUUCUUACACCUCUUGAGAACUUCCAUUAAACAAUUCUCUUGAUGACUGGUCAGAGAUGAAGAUAUCACAACAGGACAUUGAUUAUUUUCUUCAAGAUAUAUAUAUUUCAGCUCCUCAGGUAAAGGCUUCAGAUUGAGUUUUGGAAUUUCUUUUUCAACAGCUGCCUCUUCUUUAUUGAACAAAGGUAGAAUUUCUUCUAUCUUUCUCCAACUUUGUAGAGUAGCAAGCCCAAUAGGAGAUUCAGACAAACCUUCCUCAAAAUUCACAAGACUUUUAUUCAACUUGUCUUGCAUAUUUUGAUUACAGUGUUCCUCCACCAAAGUAUCAAUAAUGCACAGCUCUUCUGGACCCUCUUCUUCUUUCGGAGUGAUUUGCUUUUUAGACAUAUAGAAAAUAUUGAGAUCCAGUGUCAUGUUACCAAAAGUGAGUUGCAUAAGCCCAUUCUUGCAGUUGAUGAUUGCAUUUGAAGUAGCAAGAAAUGACAUUCCAAGGAUGAUAGGAACUAAAUUAGCUUCCUUUACGGUAGGAUCUGUAUCAAGAACAAUAAAAUCUACUGGAUAGUAGAAAUUAUCCACUUGAACCAAUACAUCCUCAAUUACCCCUCUUGGAAUUUUCACUGAUCUAUCUGCUAGAGAUAGAGUGAUUGUUGUUGGCUUCAACUCUCCAAGUCCCAAUUGCUUGUAGACGGAAUAUGGAAGCAAAUUCACACUUGCUCCCAAAUCUAGCAAGGCUUUCUCCACUACCUUUCCUCCAAUCAUGACUGAAAUGGUAGGACUUCCAGGGUCUUUGUACUUCAAAGGGGACUUAUAUUGUAAGAUUGCACUUACUUGCUCAGUCAAGAAGGCUUUCUUGUUUACAGUCAACCUUCUCUUGAUAGUACACAAGUCCUUUAGGAAUUUUGCAUACGUUGGAACUUGUUUGAUCAUAUCCAACAGUGGAAUAUUGACUUUUACUUGUCUCAAUACUUCAAGGAUUUCAACUGCAUUUCUCACCCCCUUUUCCCCAUGUAAUGCUUGAGGAAAAGGUGGAGAGGUUGAUUUCUUCAGCAUUUCUUCCUUCAUAAGUUCCUUCUUUGGAAUUGCAUUCAUUGUUGAAUCAGAGUCCUUCUUUUCUUCACUGAUCUCACUGUCUUUAUCUUCCAUUUCCUUCCCUUUCUUUAUCUCUUCUUCUUUCUCAACAUGUGGCUUGGGUGUUGGCUGCUCAAUUUUUUUACCACUCCUUAGAGUGAUCAAGGCUUUGACAUCUUUCAUCUGUGAUGAUUCUCCCUCUUGGCUUUCCACUUCAUGGACACCUUUGGGAUUUUGGUGAGGUUGAGAAGGAAAUCUUCCCUUUUCUUGCAGUGUAUUCAAAUUUGUAAGCCUUGAAAUUGAAUAUUGGAUGUUAUCAAACUUUUGGUUCAUAUCAUUUUGCAUUCCAUCCAUCCUUUUAUUCAACAUACUCUCCAUUCUAUCCAUUCUUUGAUCGACUCGAGCAUUGGUGGCUUCUUGCUUUCCAACAAAAUCUCCCACUACCUUAGUGAGAUUGGCUACUGCUUGUUCAAUACUUGAAGAUUGUUGAGAUGGUGGAUCCGGUUGUUGGUAUUGAGUUGCUCUGGCCUUCCAUGAGAAAUUUGGAUGAUUCCUCCAACUUGAGUUGUAGGUAUUUCCAUAAGGCGCAUUGUUAUUGGGCCUGAAUUGUCCAACAACAUUUGCUUGAUCUCUAUACAUUUCCCUUUCAGCUGAAAUUGUAGGGCAUUUCUCCACCAAAUGUUCAUAUGAUUGACAAUUGGGACACAGCUUCACUUGCACUGGUGCUUCAGCAACAGCUUGCACUUCAUGUAUUCUUUUCAGCUCCAGCUCCUCCAAUCUUCUUGUCAUAGCUGCCAACUUUGCUUUCAUAUCAUCAUCUUCUUUUAAGGUAUACAUCCCAGCCUUUGCAUUGUAAGCAUUCAACUGAGACUUCAUCUUUCCCACUUCUCCUUUAGUUGGUUCAUCCCAUCCCCUUGAAACAUCAGCUACAUAGUUCAAGAAAUCCAUAGCUUCCUCUGGAUUUUUGCUCAUGAAAUCUCCUCCACACAUUGUCUCGAGGAGUUGCUUCAUUGAGGAGGACAUACCAUCAUAAAAAUAGCUCACCAAUAGCCAUGUAUCAAAGCCAUGGUGAGGGCAAGCAUUUAUAGCUUCCAUGUAUCUUUCCCAACACUCAUAGAAUUUCUCAUUCUCUUUAGCUGAGAAGUUUGAAAUUUGCCUUUUCAAGCCAUUUGUUCUAUGAGUAGGAAAAAAUUUCUUGAGGAAUUCAGCUUGUAAGUCAGUCCAAGAGCGGAUCCUUCUUGGCCUUAAAGAAUUAAGCCAAAUUUUGGCUUUAUCCUUUAAAGUAAAAGGAAAAAACUUAAGCCUCAUCAAAUCAAUUGAAGCUCCUCCCUCUUGAAAUGUAUUACAAACAUCUUCAAAUUCCUUGAUGUGUGCAUACGGAUUCUCACUUUCCAUCCCAUGGAAAGUUGGUAGAAGUGGAACAAGAUACGGUCUGAUCACUAGCUGCUCUGUAGGGGGCACUAUACAUGAUGGUGCACUCAUACAAGGUGGAUGCAUGCGGUCCCUCAUUGAUCUGAAUUCAUUAAGAUUAUCUUGACGACCUUGGUGACUAUGCUGAUCUUCAGGUGUAGCUUCCAUGAUAUUCAAGAUCACUUCGAAUUCUUUUCUCUAAGGUGUAUCACACUUAACAAGCCUUCCUCUACUGUCUCGUAUCCACUUUGGCAUACACAACUAGUAUCUAUCUGCAACAAAAAAUGAAAACAGAGGACAACAAGAGAAACAGGGCUACAACAACAAAAUUAAACUAGGCUAAAUUUUAAAAGAUAAACUUAGAUUAUGAAUAAAUAAAGAAAGAAUGAAAAUUAGUAAAGUGAAAGAAACUUUACCAACUUGUGAUGAAAAUCCCAAGUGCUCAAAAAAUGGUAUCACUGUAAACUUGACUCAUUCCCCGGCAACGGCGCCAUUUGAUUCGUGCCCAAUUGGUGUCUCAGCUGAUUUGUGUCCAGCUAGUGCUCCUUGAUUGAGGGAGUAAUCAACAAAAUUUAUAACCUAUAACACCAUAUACUAGGGUAGCAAAGAAAAAGCUACUAUAGUAUAGUGGCUCUAGGAUCGUCCACUGGGAAAGAUUAACAAGCUCUCAAUGAUACCAAUUCCAAGUGAAUUGGUUUUGUUUCAUUUCAUGGUUAGCUUAAGAAGUAAAACACAAACUUUGAUUGGUAAAGGUUUAGACUUAAACUAACUAACAUAACAGAAGUUUGGAAUAAUUUAGGAAGAAAAACAUUACCUGGAGAGUUAGGUUCACUGGGGUGGUUCCUCAUGCAAAAGACAUAGCUCCGAUCAGAUGGUUCAUUUCCUCGUGUUAGAGAUUCAACAUAUAGUCAAUUCUCUAACCGGUGUUGUACAGAGACUCCUUCAAUUAGAUUUCACUUUAAUUCUCUCACUGAUGCAACUUGCAAUGGUUUAAGCCUCUCACUAAGCCUUAACCAUUCAAGGUGAUCUUUAACCUUGGAUUACCCGUUAAAAGCUCGCAAGAGAUAACUAAUGGAUGUCUCCUUAGAGUCCAAAAGCUUAUCAAGUGUUGGCUAUUCUAGAAAAUCCUACCUUGAAGUCACCUCCUAGAGGCUCGCAAGGGGUAAACUAGUGCACUUCCAUGGUUGGAAAUCACUUGCCUUACCAAGUGUUGGCCCAGGUGACUCUAAGGUGUUUUAAGUUAACUAAAAACAUAGAAAUCAUUAAAGGAUUUCACUUCCUCUUCAUUAAUAGCUAAAACCACAGAGCUUUGCAUUCUUGCACUUGGAACCUUCCCCGGCAACCUUAGCUCCAAGGAACUAGAGGUUUAGUUACUCAUUCUCUGAGGAAAACUCCUCAGAGAGUUCAUAACUUAGUAAGAAAAUGAAAAUACAAAGUGAGAAGGUAAGGUAGUAGAAAGAAAAUAAACUUUACUUGCUUACCCAAACUUUUUCAGAAGGAACUCCUCUCUGAGAACAGGCUCCCGAGAGGUCUAUAUAUGUACAUAAUAUAAAACUAAUUAUUACAUAGAUAUUUAGUCUUUUUACUAACUUAAAAGCUAAGGAAUCAUGUAAUUGGUGGUUUACAAGGAGUAUUUUGGGAUUUAGACAACAAAAAUCUAAUGGAAAAUAUCUCCCAAUAUCGGUAGCAAAUAUCGGGAGGCUUCAGGAACCAUUUCGCAGGAGAAAAAUGGUGUCUGCGAGAUUUCGCAGACACUCAAGAGGGUUGCGAAAUAAUUUCGCAACACCAAGCUAUCUUCACAAGGCUGCGAAGAUGGCUUCCACCUUGAGGUUCCCAGCUUCCUUCUCACGGCAUAAAUCGGGCAUCGUCAGAAGGAGAAACAUUACACUGUUCAAAAAGGCUGCGAAAUCACUUCGCAACAAAAGGGUGAUUUCGCAACACUUUGCAAAAUGCUUCCUUUAGCUCGGAGUGAUUGGCUUGUAAUGGCUGCAACUUCUUCGUUUCAACUCUGAAUUGCACACCGUUUGAAGCAUUGGAUUGUUGACUUCCUGAGCUUUGAAAUGGUAUAUAGAAUGCAUCAUUUGGACUUCAGAAAGUGUUCCAAAAGUGGCUGCUACGACUGUCAUCAAGAAUAUGCUGUAUGGCAGAUUCUCUUUGCUUUUUCUCCUUGCAAUCCGGAUUUACUCUUGGCAAAUGACUUCUAAGCUUUGCCCAAGAUUCCUCAUAGCUCUCCUCAGUCUUGACUUGCUUUGGUGAUCAAAAUACUAACAAAAACACCAAAACUUACACAAAGUGAUCAAAAUUGCUUUCAAGGGUCCUUAACAUGCCAAUUGAGUUAAAAGGCCUAAACUACUACUCAAAAGUGUUUAAAAGGAUUUAUUAUAGGCUAUCAAAUAGCACUUUUUGAGUAGUAAUCACAUACUAUAUUUUAUUUUAUUUUAUUAUUAAAAUAACUAAUGGAAAUAAAUAAAAAUGGAUAAUCAAUGAAUGAAAUUUAAUUCUUUUUAUUAUUUUCAUAUAAAAAAUAGUAUUAAACAAGGUUUUCAAUUUUUAUUUUUAAAAAUAGUUUUCAUUUAAUAAUUAAAUGUUUUUUCAAAAAGAAAAUAUAAAAAAUAUAAAUCAUAUUACAAGUUUUUUAGAAAGUAAUUUUUAAAAUAGUUUUUGAACAGAAUUUUUUUUUAUUUAUAAUUUAAAAUAGAAAAUAAUGCCAAUUCUCAAUAAUUUAUAAAAAAAUUAAAAACAAUAAAUAUUCCAAAUUGUUAAAAUAAAAUUAUUAUGGUUGCAUGAAUAGUGGUGCAAUAAAGACAAAAAAAAAAAACUUAUGUGAAAGGUCAUUGGGUAUUUUAAUCCAUUACUAUUUUAUAUCCUUAAAAGGUAAUAUAUAGAAAUUUAAAGGAUAUAUUGGUUUUUUAACAUCUUAUAUCCUUUCCAUCAAUUAUGAAAGUUAUAUAGACCAAAUGUUAAUUUUUGGACCUAAUUGGACUCAAAACACAAUUCUUCAAAAAAUGUAAGCGUUGACAAGAUGGCUUCAGCUUGACCCGCAUUGACCAUGCACCGAAAAAUCGGGAAAAAUGCCGAUAAAUAAUAUUCCACAAAAAUCCCAUCUCCGAUAGGCGAAAUAAGUAUAUUAUUUCUUGGGGUAAGGAAAAUUUUUAAUUUAAUUUAUGACAAAUAAAAUAUUUUUUAACUAUCGGAGCUGGAACCAAUAGUGACUUAUCGGCUAUCUCCAUGUUUGAGUGUAUGAUUAAAGCCCAUCUGUUCAGACCGGAGAGCCGACAUAUGGAAAAGAUGGGAUGAUUCUCAAUCUGCCAGCAUAAAAAUUGGUGCGUAAGCCAACCUAAUGACUAACGGGGUUGCUACCACCUAAGCCCCAUUGGCUUGGUUUACUUGUUCCAAAUCAUCAUCAGUGGACUUGAAGGGACCAGUACCACUAACACAGAAGAAUAGAUAACCUUAACUCUGCGCAACUUCUACUGCGGGAAAGUAAUGUGUUUAACAAAAGAUGGCAGUGUAACCAGAAAUUAAAUAUCAAAUCAUUUCUCUGCAAUGAAGACAACACAGUGACACAUAGACACAGUCACUGUCGCUACCAUAAUCACACUUGUUGUGGGGUUACUUUCUUUUGUCAAUAGGGACGAAAGAUAUACUAGCCACUCGCAUAAAUAAAUAUCUAUAGAAGGAUGGGAAAAACUGAAUGAACUAGCUCUUAGGUUGCCUUAGCAAUGGCUUGGCAACCUCAUUCUCAUUCCUAAUGCUUUUCAAUGCAUCAGAAGGGAUUAGUUGAGUGAGAUGAACAAGUGGAUGAUAAAAAAUUAAGAAAUAACUGAGAGAAUUCAUCCAGGAAUAACUUUAUAUGCAUACAUACCUUGUUGAUUGAGUUAAAAUACUAUUUUGAGUAUCAGAAAAAAGAAGGAUUGCAAGAGGAACUUUCUCAAAAUUUUAAUCUAAAUGGGGGCAAAUAUAAGAAGGUUAUAUCAAUGUUUUCAGAAUCGGACCGAUCAUUGAAUCGGAAAAGCUUUUAGUUAAUGGUUCACUUGUCGGACUGAUGGUCGAACCGCAGUUGAACCAAUGACGUCAUAAAUAUAUGUUAUAUUAUUUUAUAUAUUUUUAAAAUUUGAAAAAUUAAUAAAUUCUAUCUAAAUUUUAAUAGCAUCUACUUUGUUUGUUGAGUUUUUUUACAAAAUUUUUUACUUGUAGAAUUCAUCAAUCAUCAUAUAUGAUAUCUAUAACAUAAUAUAAGAUGUUAUAACUAUUUUAUAUAAAAGAAAUAUAUAUAAUAUAUCAAAUUGUUUAAUGAAACAUAAAAAAUAAUAAUAAAUUUUUUUUAAUUUAAUUCAUUAAAGAAAUGAAAGAUAUGUUAGGAUAGAAAGAAAAAUUUAAUAUUUAAUCUCAAUAAAAUUUAAAUUUGUUUAAAUAACUAAUAUAAGUGAGUGAUGAAUAUUUUUGUUUAAUAAUUAUUUAUAAUCUAAUAAUUAAGUGUUUUAAAAAAUAUGUUUGUAAAAAAAGAAAUAAUGAAUAAUAAAUAUUAAAUAGAUUUUAUUUAUUUUCUCACAACAUAAUCAAAUAUAAUUUAAAAUACUUCAAAUUUGUUAUUUAAAAAAAAAAACUGAUUUUUGGGAGAGUUGCAAACAGAGCCUAAUUGUCCUCCGUCUAGUUCUAAAUCCAAAAUCCGAAAAACGCUCCAUUGAUGAUCUCCUACCAAAAUCAAACUUAUACAUAUCAUAAAUAAACCAGACUCCAUGGUUGGGAUUGAUAAACAAUAUUGGUGAAUUAUGGGUGGCGAAAACCAAGUUUUUGAGUAGGUGCUGGUUAUGUUCCCAGAUGAGAUGUCAGAUCGCUGGCAGAUGGUCACCAAUCAUGUGAACGAAAGACAGUUGAAUCGUUGUAAGGUCUUCAAUCUUGAGAACGGAAGGGAGCUGUGCCAAUUGAAUUUGCAGGUUUUGUGGUCGUUGAUAAUGUCACGGUCUACGGUUAGGCUUCAUUGGCCUCCAACGAUGUUUGAGACCAUAACUCCGGGCCGCAGGGUUCAGAGGAAAAAACAGACUCCUAGGAAUCGCCGUCGGGUUCAGAUGAAGAAGCAAAAGUUGGAGAUCGUCACAGGGGAGUUGAAUGCACAAUUUGAGAGGUUUAUUGUUUUACAAGGGGUACCCAGCCACAAGGGAGGGAGGGGGGCGGGGAGGUUUCCAACGCUGGCGAGAGCUGUCUAGGUGUCGAGGGCUGCGACAUGUCAGUGGUGGGCGGAGCGGCAGACCGACAUUUGCUGUGGGGGGAUGAGGGAGGGUUUGUGAUAGGAUUUCAUGGUUAAGAACUAUAAAUGGGGGGUUGAAAAGACCUGUUUAUAUAUAUAUCUCUCUUUGGAUAAUCUCAGGACCAGAUGAUGAACACUUGUAAAUUCUUGUACUAAGAAAUAUACAGAGCUUUUGCUCUGCCUUUCCUUCUCAUUUUUGUUUUCACUUUUCUUGCUAGCCAAACAACCUUUGAGGAUGAUUUCUCAGGGGAUGAGUGGCUAGGUUUUACGUUUCUUGGAGUGAUGGAAGUUAGGUGAAGGACUUGAAUGCAAAGGUGGGAGUUGUCCUUACUUUAAACGAAAGUAGUUGUUCACCAUUAAUGGUUUUUAUUUCAAGGUUUAGCUUUAAAUCCCUUAAAAUCACCUUGAAUGGCCAAUACUUGGUAAACUUUUCGGAUUCUAUGGAUGCUUAUUGCUAGAUCUAUGGAUGUCUAUUAGUUAUCAUUUACGAGCCAUUGGAAAGUGGUUCAAGGUGAGGGUCUUUACUGUUUGAAGCCAUUAAUGGGAAGCAAUUACCAUUUUUCAUGAAUCCUUUGGAUCAAAUCUUAAUUGCUAAAUACAAAACCGGUUUGGGAGAUAACCAUCCUUUAUGUUAUUGUCCCCAACGUGAGGAGAAGAUCCAGAAUCUCCCCCUUUGCCUAAGGAACCCGAUCCUAGUGACCUAAAGCUCCAAGAGACCUUUUCUUUGUAGUUAACUUCACUUAUUGUUUUUGCUUAACUUAAAAUCAAUCUUUGCAACUACAAUUCCAUUUUCUUUAAAAACUAACUUUCAUAAGAAAAAACACCAUUUUAUUUCUUUCACUAAGUCAACUGUACGAUGAAAACCCAUUCUUGUGGAUGAUCCUAGAGCCACUAUACUAUGUUAGCUAUGCUACCCUAGUGUGAGGUGAUUUAGGUUUUAUAAAUUUUUUUGAUAACACCCAUUUGAGCCAGAAUCAAAUGGCAUGACUACAAUGGGGACGAAUCAAAUGGCGUUGUUGCCGAGGAUCAAACCUAGGUCACCCGCGUGAGAGAAGGGUAUACUCACCACUAUCAUUGGUUGAUUACAAGUAGAAAAUAGUAAAUUACACAAAAUAUCUGGAGAUAAAAAUCUAAUGGAGUCGGUGCAUAGGAAGAUUUCGCAUACCAUGCAAAAUUUCGCAUAGUGUGUGAAAUUCUUUGGCUGUUUUUUGUGGCUUCGCAUGGUGUGCGAAAUUUCUUCCUCUAGUUUUCUUCCUUGCAUUUCUCUAAUUGGUUUGACAAAAGACUAUGAAGUGCUCCAAAGCUUGGAUUCUUCAUGUAUUUGAGCUUCAACUUGCAUUGCCAUUGAUUUCACAAAAUUCUCCAUUUUCUUGGCUUGUUUCAAUGAUAAAAAAGCUACCAAAAACACCAAAACUUGCCAAAAACUAAUUAGUAACCCUCAAUAGGUUCCCUAAUGUGCCAAUUGAGUUAAAAGGUAUUAACUACUACUCAAAAGUGUUUAAAACAAUUAGUUUCAAGCUAUAAAAUAGUACUUUUUAAGUAGUAAUCAGUUUGGAGGUUAUAGCUUUGAUUUUCUUAUAUACACUCCAAAACGACGUCAUUUUGAUGCUAUUUUCUUUAAAAAUUAAUUUAAUUGAACCGGCUGGUUUAGAGGGAACCGAUCGGUUCAUACGACUCAUCGGUUGGACUGUCUGUUCAAGUGGUCCGACCCCAGUUUAAUGCAAUUCCAGUCCAAUUAACCGAACCGGACUGGAACCGUGACCGACUGAUGGUCAGACCAAUUGGUCGGGUCUGAUUUUUAAAACCAUGGGUUAUACAUCAAGAGCAUGGUAAUGGUUUGUAACCUAUAAAUCAUCAGAAAAAUAUAUACAAUUAAGUAAACUCAAAAAAUUAAUAAAAUAAAUAUGUCUCACAUUUAACAUUAUUUAAAUAGUUAUAAAAGUAUUCGCUCAAAGUUAUUUAUGAUAAUGAUAAUAAAAGAAAAUUAUUUUAUUUCAAAUAUAAUAACAUUUUUACUAACAAAUACAAUAAUCAAUUCCAUGUUGAAUGACGAGGGGGUUCAAAAUCAUCAUCAUCACUCCUACGACGAGUAUACAAAUUAGGAUGGUAAUUCUUGUAGUGAGGAUAUGGUUGAAAGAGUUGUUCAUAACUCGAAUAUGUUGGUUGAGAUGAUUGGCUUGAUGAUCCGUAAUUAGGAAAAUAUGGUUUCAAAGGCUAUUCGGGAUCAACACCAUAUUGAUAGUAUCCAAUACCUCAAUAGGCAAUGCUAUUGCUACUAGAAGAUUGAUCAUAUCCAUAGGAAUCACUAGCUCGUGUUCCAAUAUUUGAAUAUCCCUCUAGAUGCAUCAUUGGAAAUCGAUCAAAAUCAUUUCUACUAAAAGUACUGAAAGAGCUAUCACGGUCUCUAAAGUUGUGAUAUGAUCUAUCAUCUACUCCUCUUAAAUACGACCUUGUCCUAUACCCAAAUUCUAUAAGUGCUCAUCAAUACGGUGAUAAUUUGAUCUAUGACAACAUGCCCACUAGAAUAAUCAUCAUUGUUGGGAAAUGUAGUUAGUCUUUCCAAAUGCUUUCGUUGUUCCCAUAUCCUUGGUCAAUAUGCAUGAUUUGUAUCUUGUGUGGUAUAGUAAUUUUCAUCUCUUUGUGCCCAUGACAUGCCAUGAUCUAAUUGACUAACAUAACCGCCACUAGUGCUACCAUCUCCUCCAAUACCCUCACUAGUGCCACCAACUCCUCUACUGUCCCUACUAGUGCCACCACCCUGCUUACUACUCCCAUUAUCACCAUCAUCACUACUAGAACUUGAAAAAUUGUUCUAAGAGUCUUACCUUUAUGAUGGGAAUCAAUAUCUCUUUCUUGUGUAGCAUUACUUAUACGCCUACAAACUCUGCGAUUUAGGGUACUAUCAUCUUCAUGAAUUGUUCCUCUACCUUCUUCAUUAGGGGUAAGACCUUUAUCCAACCAAUCCAAAUUAUCAGAUGAAAAAAUAGGCUAUUUUCCUUCUCGUAUUCACUCAUCUAAUAUAUCAUCAUCAUUAAAGAUAUGAUUCAGAUAAAUUGGAUUGUAUAAAUCUUCAUUGUUUCGCUCUUGCAUCAAAUUCUUAACUCAAAGUCUCAUAUUGUAGUGCACAUAAACUAACUUAUGCAACUUUUUCAUUGCCGAACGGUUGCACAGCUUUGUGUGAAUCAAUGACCAUGUGAUCUAAUUUAUUUAACAACCUAAUGAAGAACAAGUUUGGCUUAAAAUUGUAACAGUAAUCUUUUGUAGAUGUGGACUUUCGUCGUCAUAGUUGUUCCACCAUUCGGCUAUAAUAAAGAAAAUGCAUACUUAUUAAUCACUAUGAUAUAUUUAACAAAAAAUGAUGAUAAUUUCUUAUUUGUAAUAGACAUAAAUGUAUUGAGUACUUGGAAGAGAAUGAUUUAUUGCUUUCUUUGUAAGUGCACUUCCAAAUUCUCCUUGGCAGUCAACAAAUAAUUUCACCUACAUCAUUAACAUUUUUUUUUUGUUAAUGCACAUUACAUAUACAAAAUGUAUUAUAUAAAGGUCACAAAUUAUUAUUAUACCUCGUUAAUAGCUUUUGCUUGUCUAUCCCAAUCUAGCUAUAAUCUUUUGAUAACCUCCUUUAAUCCAAUUUUAAUUUAUGGAUGGUUGGAGAAAUACUUUGAAUAUUGGAAGAUUGGAUUUAAAAAAUAUGCUACCAUAAGUUAAAUAAUGAUCAGUUUAUAAUAAUUUGUACUUUAAAAAAAUAAUAAAAAAUAUAUAAAGAUUUUUUUAUAUUACCUGUAGCAUGCAAAUGUCUGUGCAAUUGACCUUCCCAUCUUCUAUCAAUGACUUCCCAAUACUUUUCCCAUUGCUUGACCGAUGCCUUUAUAGCCAAUUUAGUUCUAUCCAUUGUUUCACAAAUGAUUGAUAGUAUGGGCUUUUUAUCUUGAUCAACCAAUUUCAAUACUUUGACGAAAGGUUCCAUGAUGGUUUGAACUUCCCCCGUCUUCUUCCAAAAUUGAUCAGUUAAGAUAAGAUUGGAUACCUUAUCUCUUAGACUUUUUUUGCUCCUAUCUUUAUUUAAUUCACUCCACUCAUUUGUUGUGCACAUUCUCUUCAAAUCAACCUCAUAAUGUAUAAGACUCUUAAGUGAAAUGAAUUCAGUGGCAAAACAAGUUAUUCCUAACCUUAACAAAUCUCUAUCCUUGGUGAACACUUUCAUCAAAUUCACUACUUUCAAGCUAUUAUAAAUAAAUCCUAUGAUCAUCUUUACUUGAUCUAAUGUCUCCUUAAUCUACUUCAUGCUUGCAAUAUUUUCAAGCAUUAAAUCAAUACAGUGGGUUGCACAAGGAGACCAAAACAAAUGUUUUGACUUCUCUAUCAACAACAUACUAGCUGCUUUAAAACUUGCCUCAUUAUCAGUGACUACUUAAACAACAUUUUCCUCCCCAACCUCCUCUACAACUUUAUCCAUAAGGGAGAUGUAGUUUGUUGUCUUAGGUAUGUUGGUAGUGUCAACUGAAGAAUGGUAUAUCAUACUUCUAUCACAAUAAAUCAUGAAAUUGAUGAUAAGCUUUCUAGUCCUAGAACUCCAACCAUCACAUGUGAUUGUGCACCCAUAUAUAGGUCAUUUAGCCUUCAAUGUUGUUAUAUACACCUCAAGCUCUUAUACCUCCUCUUCCAAAUAUGUAUUUCCAAUUUGGUAUCCCGUGAGACCCUUGAUGCCUGGACCUGCUUCUGCUAUGGUACCAAUCAUUGAUUGAUAGUAAGGUUCACUAUCAGCUACAUUAAAGAGUAUUGUAUUAAAGAGAAAGAAUUUAGAAAUAGUUUUACCCACUUUUUUCACGCCUUUGGUAGAAAACAAGCUUUCUAUUGAUUUCUGCUUUGAUGGGAAGGGAUCAAUUCCUUUUGGAGGUAUGCUAGCUCCUUCUCUUACACUGAAGCUACGUUUUGGUCCGCACUUAAUCCUAGUAUUUGUAUUUGUUACAUCCAUGCCUUCCUAAUCAUUUUCAAAAGAUCACCUUUUUUAUAUAAUAUAGAAAUAUUUGAUUAAAAAGGAUUAAAUAAUUUGUAAAUUGUGAAUUUAACCCUUCUCAUGUUUUUUCUUAAAAAAGUAACUCAAUUUUAACAUAAAUGUCAUUUAUUAUUUAAAGUAUUUACAUAUAGGUUUUUAAGGAGAUGAUUAUUUUUACAAGAAAUUAAUGAGAGCAUUUGUCCAAAUGAGGCCAAAAAAUGGUGGAAGGUCAAAUUUCAAAAAUUGGGUAUUCAAAAACUCUUUUAAUCAAAUAACCUUAUAAUAUAUUACCAAAGACUAACAAAACAGUUUUUUCCCGUUAAUUUCAAUCCAUUAAUUGACCUUUUUUUAUAAAAGAAAAAAAGAAUAAGAAAAAGAAAACACUUCUAAUGAAAUCGUUGCUAACAAAAGUGCUAUAAAUAAAAAAGUUUUAUGGUAUUUGUUUGACAACAAAUUUUAUGAGAAUAAUUUUUUCGUAGUAAAAUAUAUUUGACCAAAAAUUUUAUUUUAUUGUAAGAGGGCGAGCUUCCACCAUAAAUUUUAUUUUGGCAAAAAGUUAUUUUUUGAUAUGUCGCCAUAAAUUGUAUUUUGUGGUGAAAAGUAACUUGUUGUCACAAAUUUUAUUUUGUAGAGAAAUUAUUUAUUUUAUUAUGAAAUUAAAUUCCAUGGUUAAAAAUAAUUGUUUAUGAACUUACAACAAUAAAUUUGCACCAAAUAAUUUUUUGUGGAAAAAAAUCUUUUACUAUAUAUAGAACAUUUUUUUAAUCACAAAUUAAUUUAUGGCAAAAUCCCAUAUUUCACUUUCAAUGAUCUAGUUUAGGAAUUCCAUGGAUAUCACUUUAAUCGUUUAGCACUUUCUAACUAAGGAAGUUGAAGCCAUUUAGAAAUUGGUUGUUUUAGUAACAAAUUUUAGGUAUUUAAAAUUAUGUUGUUAAAAAGUAUUCUAAAAACUAAUUAAAAAUAUGAUAAGAUAAAAAUAAAAAAAAAUAAAAAAUUGUUUUUUGUUUGAUAAAAACCAUUUAAAAAAAAAACUAUGAACAGAAAUAAUUAUGUAGUAGUUAGAUUUUAUUUUACCCUAUUAGGGGCUACUCCCGAAAUCCACUUUUUGUUUUAUUUUAUAACGUGUGGUAGAAUAUGGAAGAGAUUCAAAUUUAGUAGGUGUUUAUUUUCUAAUCAUUUAAAUUUAUUAAACAAUUUUUUUAUUUAUUUAAUAAAAAAAGUUAUUAAUUAGUAUCAAACAUGAGUCAUUCCUACACUAGUAGUACAUGAGAGUCUCCUUGUAGUGGAAGAGUUAUUAAGUUCAUAUCCUAUUAAGGCAAUUUGAGAGAAACAUGAAGCCAAUUACCAAUGGGAAGUAGGUUCCUUCACUCUACAGACAUGUUCAUAUGCAAAUGUAAGAAUGAGAGACUAUGCCAAUAGCUAAAAUUGAAGGUUCUUGAGAGGGAUUUGGUUGAAAGAUUUGAGCACUGAAACACUCAUGAUCUGAUUUGAAUGAGAAAACAAUCAAAUGGUAAAUACAUAAAAAGUCAAUUUGACAUGAUAAAGCCACUCAAACCUCAAUCUUGGUGGUGAUGUUUAUCGUGGUGUGCAUGCGUGUUAAUGUUUAGUGAUAUUAAUUCAUGUAACUUUAUAUUUUCCAUGAAUUAAUAUUGGAUUGUUUAAAAUUGAAAAAAAAAUGGAAAAUUUUAAAAGUUAAUAACAGAAAAACUAAAAGAACAAUUGAGAAAUAAUAGAUUUAUAUAACUGUUUUCUAAACGCACAUGCGUGUUAAGGUUUUGGGAAUGAAAGCACACCUCGGUGCAGAGUGCAUGGAAUUGCCAAUAUUUUUGGCAUCAACGCAGACUUCUUGAUUUUCCCAAAGUUGGGGCUUGAAACUCCUAAUAUUUUGGGAUCAACGGCCCAUAACCAAGUUUUCCUAAAAAAUAUUGAUAGAUAUUUUGACAAAAAUAUUGAUAGAUAUUUUGACAAAAAUAUCGGUCAUGUGAUAAUUAUUCAAAAUUCAUGAAAAUAUUUGAAAAAAAAAAUUUUGAGGAUAGUACACUGGUUUAAAAACAAGUGGCCAAAACCAACUAUAUUAGAAUUUAGACCUUUUUUUCUUUUUAAAUGAUUUUAUUUCAAGGAUUAUAUAAUGGGCCGAAACUCCCGGCUCAUUCAAAAGUCUUUCUGUAGCACAAAUAUCUUUUAGGAAGAAGGUUAGAUUUUGGGAGAAUUGUGUUUUGGGCCCAGCUGGGCCAAAAAAUUAACAAAUGGUCCAUCUAAUUGACCUAAUUAAUGAUAAGGAUAUCAAAUGUUAAUAGACGAAAAUGCCCUUUACAUUUCCAAUUCAAAUUGUUGUAAAUUAAUGGGUUUCACAGCUGGUAAACGUGAAAUGCCAUGUCACCAGAGUGAUAAAGCCACUCAAACCUCAAUCUUGGUGGUGAUGUUUAUCGUGGUGUGCAUGCGUGUUAAUGUUUAGUGAUAUUAAUUCAUGUAACUUUAUAUUUUACAUGAAUUAAUAUUGGAUUGUUUAAAAUUGAAAAAAAAAAUGGAAAAUUUUAAAAGUUAAUAACAGAAAAACUAAAAGAACAAUUGAGAAAUAAUAGAUUCAUAUAACUGUUUUCUAAACGCACAUUAGAAUUUAGACCUUUUUUUUCUUUUUAAAUGAUUUUAUUUCAAGGAUUAUAUAAUAGGCCGAAACUCCCGGCUCAUUCAAAAGUCUUUCUGUAGCACAAAUAUCUUUUAGGAAGAAGGUUAGAUUUUCACGUUUGUCAGUGUUCCCCCACCAACCAUACAGGAUGUGACAAUCCUCCAUGUAAUAGUCAUGGGCCCAAGCCCCAUGUCUGUCUAAUAAUUGCAUUAGAAUGUGAAUCUCCAACAUCAGAUCCCUGGAAUCACCGGCAAAACCCAUAGUGGAUGUGGCUCUACCUCUCCAACAAAAGAUUUGAAUAGAUUUGAACCCUAAAAAAUAUGUAUAAAAUACCACUUCAUGAAUAAUAUUUUUUCAAAAAGUAUCGAAAAAGUACACUUUAAUAUUAGACUCAAAUCUUAAUAUAGCAGUUGUCACAAUGACCUUGUUUGGGCUAAAACUAAUGAAGAAGGCAAUAUUUGUGUAAUAUUGGUUUUGUGUUGAAUAUGAAGUAACAUCAUAUUGGUUUUGUGUUAAAAUGUCCAAUCACUUGAUUUUCAAUAAUGUUGAAAUGUAAACUUUAGUAUCUUUUAACAUUUUUCAUAAGCCAAAUCAAAAACUAUAUAUAUGGUUGAUGGUAUAAUUUUUUAUUUUUUAUUUUUUUGGAGAACUAUGCAAUUACACCAACUUAAAAAAAAAAAUUCAGAAAUUAGAAGUUUAAAUUUUACUUUUUAAUUUAAGUGUACUAUCCAUUCAUGUAUUCAAGUAUAAGCCAUAUUUAGGAAUUCCAUGGAUAUCACUUUAAUCGUUUAGCACUUUCUAACUAAGGAAGUUGAAGCUAUGUAUGGGAAUGAUAAUUGACAAAGAGUAAUAUGUACUAUAAAAGCCCACACAAGUGCAAGCUUUCUUCCAUUGCAUCAUUCACCACAUUUUUUUCCUCGAAUUUUGUAUUGUCACAAAUGAAUGACUCAAUUCCAAGCCUCUCCAACGGUCCGGGCCGGGCCGCCCGGCCUGGAGGAGUCAGUCCCGUGGCCCAGCCCGGGCCGGGCCACUGAGCCCGUUGACUGGUCAACGGGCUGGGUCGGGCCGGGCCUUGGUAUAUCUAAGCCAAUGGGCCCUCAAGCUGGGCGGGCUUGGCGGGCUGGGCUGGCGGGUUGGGCUGCGGGGUGGGGAAAAAAUUUAAAUAAUUUUCAGUUUUGAAGAGAAGGGGAUUUGAACCCCUUCCCUUAUGGAACCACAAGGGAGCUAGCCACCAACUGAGCUGGGCCUUUUUUUGUGUAACUAUUUUGCAUUAGUUAUAUAUAUAUAUUAGAAAUGUUGUAUGAUUUUUUUAAAAAAUAAAAGUGAGUUGGCGGGCCUACAAGCGGGCCAGCCUGUCGGGCCGCGGGCUUUUUGGAGAGGCUUAGAGUCAAUUCAUUGAAGGAGCUAGCAUCUUUUGGUCCUUCAACCUUUAUAUGUAAUGGUGGUUGCAUGGUAAAGUUGAUAAUUCUAUUUGAUAGGUUUCUGAAUCUAGACGCUUUGUUUAACGUACAAAUUUGGAAUUUGAUUUGACCAACUUCAUGUAAUUUUUGUAAAAAAAUAAUUAAAAAUUCAUGAUGAUUUAAUGCAGAGGGUGGAAGUCAGCAUGGGAAUAGUGUACAUUUUGAAACUUUACUUUUGACUUUUCAAGUUUAUUAAUUUUGUAUGUUAAAAAUAAUAUCUGAGGAGUGAGGACAAUGAUUUUAGAUUAAAAUCAAAAUUUGACAAAAUGUCAGUGGGGACUUGGGACAAAUAGUGCCCUGUGCUAUAAAAUCCAUGUUUCUUGCUGCUAUUUUUCACUCAGACGCACGCUUACAAGUCUGCUUCUCUUCCAUCCCUCACUCUGGCAUACAAAGACACUUAGAAUUAGUUAGCAUUCAUGGGUGGUGGAGAUUUCACAAUAAUAGUGAGCAGGAAGGAAGUAGUGGCAGCUGUACUGCCUGUGCAGAAGUACUGGCUACCGCUAUCUAACCUGGACUUGUUUUUGCCUCCAGUAGAUGUGGGUGUGUUUUUCUGUUACAAGAAGCCACAUGAUUUAACAUUUGGGUCCAUGAUUGGCGUUCUAAAGGAGGCCUUGGCCCAAGCACUGGUGUCCUAUUAUCCAUUUGGAGGAGAAGUUUUGAGUAACUCAGCAGGUGAGCCCGAGCUCCUUUGCAACAACCGUGGGGUUGAUUUCAUGGAAGCUUAUGCGGAUGUACAACUACAAAACCUCAACUUGUAUAACCCUGAUGAAAGCAUUGAAAGCAAGCUUGUCCCUAAGAAGAAACAUGGCGUUCUGUCAGUCCAGGUAACUCUCUCUCUUUCUCUAUGAUAUGCUAAUCCUAAUUAGUUGUAAUCAUGACAUGCUUAUUGUUAUGUAAAUGAACUAAUGACAGGUGACUGAGCUCAAAUGUGGCGGAGUUGUGGUGGCCUGUACAUUCGAUCAUAGGAUAGCAGACGCAUAUUCUGCCAAUAUGUUUCUAGUUUCAUGGGCUGAAAUGGCUCAGUCCAAACCAUUAUCAAUACUAUCAUCUUUCCGGCGUUCUCUCCACAACGCUCGAAGUCCGGGCUCCUAUGAUCCUUUCCUUGACGACAUGUACGUCCCCAUGUCAGCCUUACGUCCUCCCAAAGCUCCACAGUCUGGUGAUGAUCUUCUCAUAAACCGCCUUUACUAUGUCACAGCCGAACAACUCAGUCUACUCCAAUCACUAGCUACCAGCAAGAGUAGCCCCUGCAAGAGGACUAAACUAGAGUCUCUCAGUGCUUUUCUAUGGAAGAUGGUGGCCAAAAGUGCAAUCACGGAAGACGCAAACCAAAAAAUAUGCAGGAUGGGCACCGUGGUGGAUGGAAGAAAGAGACUGAGCAAUGGAGAUGAGGUUAAAGCAGCAAUAAUGGCCUCUUACUUCGGAAAUGUGUUGUCCACCCCCUUUGGUAAGAAGACAAUAAAUGAACUGAAAGAGAAACCAUUGAGCUAGGUGGCAGAUGCAAUUCAUCAGUACCUGGAAGGAGCAGUAACAAAGGAGCAUUUCCUGGAGCUGAUAGAUCGGGUGGAGGCUCACCGUCCGGAGCCAGCUUUAGCAAAGAUAUACAGUAGUGGCAGUCGCGAUGGACUGGCAUUUGUGGUGUCAUCAGGGCAGAGAUUCCCAACGUCAAGGGUGAAUUUCGGGUGGGGUAUGCCGGCUCUAGGGUCAUACCAUUUUCCACGGGGUGGGGAAGCUGGGUACGUGAUGCCAAUGCCGAGUCCUGUCAGAGAUGGAGACUGGGUGGUGUACAUACACCUCUUCGUGGGGCAGAUAGAGUGGAUUGAGACUGAGGCUACUCACAUCUUUAGACCCUUAAGUUCUGAAUAUCUCAACUUGAGCAACUCAGAUUAGCUUACAUUUAUCACUUCCUAUUUGUUCACUGUCCCUCACAAUGUUUGUUAUUGUCUCCAUCUCUAUUUACUGAUUGUCAUCGGCUUAAUGUUAAAUAUCCGUUUAAGAAGAAGCCCGCCUGAUUUAGAAGCCCCGAUUUUUUGUGGCUUGUCUAUUCCAAUUUCCAACCUCGUUAAUUUUCCUCCUCUAUUCAAAAUUCUCUAUGAACAUAAAUAAUACAUUAAUUGUGGGAUUAGUUUUGGCAAAUAGGAAGUAGUUGAAAUUUAUGGAGUUAGGUUCGACUAAUGAAAAAGACGUAACCCAAGUGGUAUUUUUAAUUCAAAAAAACAUUUUAUAAAUAUUUUAAUUUUUUUUUAAAAAAUAAAUUGUUAUUAAUAAAAAAUUUACUAAAUCAUAAAGAAUAUAACUAUUUCCAAGUAAUAAGUCUUUUGUACGUGCUUAAAAAAUGAGAUAGAUAUGAACCUAAUGAAGUACGAUUUUUUUAAACAAAGUGAAAAAUUUAAAAUCAAAAAAUCAAAAUGGGAGCAGUCAAUUGGGAAAAUUUGUCCUUUUCUAGACUGCAAAAUGAGUGUAGGCUUCUACAGUUGCUGCAUUCUAGUUGAUGUGUGAUGAAAGGUUUGUGCCCACAAUGGUGCAGAUCCAAACAGCUAUUUACAAAGGGUAGUGUUGAGGCCUUGCGUCUCGAUGAUCCACGUAGCUGCCAAAUGGACGCACACUUUCAACCAAGAUAGAUUUCUGGUUCAGUCGUCCCUGCAAAAGAUGUCCGGACACACCCUCCGAUGGUUUUGUCAGCCAUGUCUAGAGAGAUUAAGCAGUUGACCUUUUACUAGGUAUAGCAAGCUUACCUUUUUCCUUGUGUGAAGGUUCCUUUAUAUAGUGUCAGAAGCUCGUCCUCCCUCUUUAAUGAUGGGAGGACUUUUUGGCUCGUCAUGAUGACUCCAAGGUGGUGGCAGGGCCAUCAUCACCCUGUGGGCGGCUGUCAGAGAUCGUGGGAGGUGACUUGCCAUCAUUCCUGUCCUUUCGCUCUGCAGGCGGAGGAUCGUGGGAGGUGACCUGCCACCACUCCUAUCCUUUCGCUCUGCAGGCGGCAGAACGUGGGUUGUGGCAGGCUGUCGGAAUGAUGUAGCAAGACUUGCUCACCUCAGUCAAUGAUCCGGAUAGGAUAUGUUACCAUCCGGGCGUGACAUUCGCGAGUGAUGUGUGCUUCUCCCUGAGGGAGUCCGGAUAGGGGAACGCGCCACAUGUCCUCUUGGAGAGUCCGGAUGGAGUUUGAUCCGGAUAGCAAUGCGUGCCACAUGUCCCACUUUGGAGAGUCCGGAUGGAGUUGCUUCGGAUAGCGAAGCGCGCCACGUGUCAUCAGGGGGAGGGGUCCCUACAAUGCCCCCCUUUUAACCUAUCGAUUUAUCCCGGGCAGAAUGGGCGGGUUAAAAAUGAUUGUUUUUGAAACUGCGGUUACCUUUUGCACUCAUUGGGCCACGUGGUGCACGGGGGCGAAAAGGAAAAUAGGGUAUUUAUGACGAGCCGCCGUCUCUGGGAUUUCCUAGGCAGCAUGUCUUUUCAGCAACGGCGCGGCUGGACGUUUGGGAUACCAAGGGGCUGUCUCACUAUAAAUAACAAACUGAGCCCUUCACUCUUGCAUUUUUUUCUUCUGCAUUUUUUACUGGUAGUGCUUUCUCUUCAGCCUUCUGCAUACCUUCGUUUGUGAGCGAGGUUCUAGGGUUUCUAUUACCAACAUUCGUGCCGUGACGGUGACUACAUCGCGGACUUUAUCUCCAUUUUCCCAGUUUACGCUCGGUACGUUCUCUAUCCCUGCCUUCUUCUUACUGUGUUUGUUUUUGCGGUUGCUUUUGGCUUGUUGGGCAAGUUUCUUGCGACUGGGAGUCAGUAUUGGUUUCUAGGGCUUUUUCGGGGGGUUUUGAUCGUGUUUUGGGUGCGUUAGGGUUUCUAUUGCCCCCUUGCACCUUUUGUGGGCUGCCGAUCCUUCUUUGGGGUAGAGUCAAGGGUUAGGAUGGAGAUGCUGGUUAUGUUAGGUUUUCUGAGCGUCUUCACUGCUAAGGUUAUUUUUUUAUUGUUGGCAUUCUAUCAUGCAGGUUUCGUUUUAGUCCCACUCUAAAAAAUGUCGGCGAACAAGGGUGCUGCUUCGUCUAGCGAGGCUGAGCAGAGCGGCAAAGAUGCGUCCGGAGAGGUCCACGCGGAAAAAUCCGUGGACAAGUUGAACGUGAGGGAGUUCUAUGAACACUUCUGCAUCCCAAACGGCAUGUCCAUUCAGCUUAUGGACGGGGAGGCCGUGUCCACGGAGAAAUCUGCGAACAACGCUAUCUUCUUCAACAAGGAGCAAUUCAAUGCUGGGCUCCGGUUCCCCCUCCCAUUGUUGUUCAAAGAAUUUCUCCACGUCACCUGGAUCCCAACAUGGUCCGGGUGCUGAUGGGGUGUAGCAUUCUGAGCAUGCUGUUCAACCUGGACCUCUCACUACUGGAGGUUCUUUUUAUCUACUCGAUUAAUAAGAGGAAGAAUGAUAUCUAUAGCUUUGUCGCCAGCCUUCCAUCCCUUCAGUUGGUGACCAGCCUUCCUGACUCGACCAAGGGGGUCGCCAGAGGACACGUGAUGGUCAAGGGCGUAUGGGCGGGUUUGACGGAGCAUCCGGACAGGCAGUUUGCUCCAAACCAGUCAUUGAAGGCCCCAGGUAUGAAUAAGUUGCUUCCUGUCCUCCCGUGGUUGCGAGUUAGGUCAACAUUAUUAGGUGGCUGACAUGCUUUGUUCUCUUGGGUGCAGACAAGGAUAGAAGGGGGAAGUUGGUAGAUUGGGUGGAAAAAGCUUCGUUCGACCGGUUGAACAGGGUAUUUGAGAUUGCGGCGGACGAGAGGAGCUGUGAAACGCUUCUCUCCGCGCAGAAUCUCUGCUUGGUUACCCAAGAGCCCCAGCCAUUCGUACUCAACAUACUUCCAAGGCGGCUUCCCAAAAAUGUGGUGGCUGGGGAGCAUUUCAUUCUCAAAGAUCUCCCAUUCUACACGGCGGUGCGAAAGGCAGAUGCCCAAGCACGCAAAGCACUUCUCAACGAACGGGAGGAGAAAAGACAAGAGGGGACUUUGCGGAAGGCCCCUAGUGAUAAACGCUCCGCGCCCUCUCCUCCUGUUGGCGCUCCAGCGGGAAAGAAGAAGAAAGUUCCCACUAAGGGAAAAACAAUAAAACCUCCAACUCCCACAAAGGAAGUAGUAAUAAAAUCGCCAACUCCCACAAAGGGAAUAAUAAUAAGACCUACAGCUUCUUCCGGCUUGCCCUCUGUUUCAAGCGGUUCCGGACAUAUCGCGUGUCUAAAAGGAUCGGGGCCUUCAAUGCCAGCGGCUGAACAGAUGGCUCUUCUGGCUGAGGAAGCAACCUCAGUGUAUCAGCCGGGCUUUUCCCCUCCGGACGCGGAUGUAGACGGGGCCUCUUGUGCUGAAACGUUGCCUCCUAUGGCGCCUCUAAUGGAAGAAACGGGGGCUGAGAGGCAGGGUUUGCCCCCUUGCGAGUCAAGCUCCCUUGCCCUUGUACCGGUGAAGGGGCCAGCUACGAGGAGGUCUCGUCCAGCCCGCGAUUUAAAGUCUGGCAUCAGUGGGCGGCUUCAGGGUCGUCUUCUGGAAACCAUCGAAGUCAGCUGCUCAUCCGCCCAGGAAGAUCAUCCAAAGGAGUGUGAGCCGGAGAUGGCGGAAGAGAACCCAACCGACCCGAUGCUGGUCCCGGAUGAGAGUUCGCCCGAAGAAACUCAGCUGACCGUGAAUGAUGGGGGCCCAGAUCCAAGGGAGGAGUCACACCAUAACGCCUCAUCAGAAGGGAGUCCCGUUGAUGAUGCGACUUGCACCUCCGCUAGCCCUUCCAACUAUGCGGAGUUGGAAGAAAUGUUGAAAUGGAUUCCACCCGGCUCAAAAUGUUGCUCUACCUUCAGCAAAAAUGUUUGAGGCGACGGAAAUGGUAUAGUUUACUCCUCUUUAUUUUCUUGUCAUACUAGUCUGCUUGUCACAUGGUUUGUAAUUGAACUUCUUGUUGUGGGUUUUUCUGCAGCUGGUGAGCGGUAUUCGCGGCAUGGUUCAGCAACGCGAUCUUUUUUCAGACCUGCUGUGGAUUUUCGACCACAUGAAGGCCUUCGUCUCCCAGCACAUGAGUGGUGAAGAAGAAUUGCGCUCGAGAUUGGAGCAGGCCAAAGCCAGCUUAUCCGCUGCCCAGAGAGCCUCUGAAGAAAGUGCCGAAGCGUUGAAGAAGUCGUAGGACGAAAGCGAGGCUCUCCGGAUAAAGCUAGCAGAGGAAAAGAGACGGGAGGAAGCUACGGAAGCUCGUCUGCACGAGGCGGAGGACGAGGCGGCCCAGCUGAGGGGGGAGGUCAGACAACUCCGGACAGAGGUGUCAAUUGAGAAAAAAUAGAAAGAGGAAUCGCAGUUGCGUUUAUCAGCACAAAAAGAAGAGCUGGAGGCUGAGUUUGCUGCGCAAAGGGAGGAACUCGAGGCGGAAUACCAGAAACAGGUAGAUGAGAUGUAUCUCUUUGGCUACCGUUGCUGCAUGAAGAAGCAUGGUAUCAAGCGAGACGUCCCUUCGAUUCCUCCUAGCGAGGAAGAAAAGUUGCGCGGCAAGCCUUCCCAAUAAGAGCUUUUCUUUUUGUAACCUUUAGUGCUAUUUCUCUUUGUAUUUGUAGUCCAGAGGACCUUUUUGUAUACAUUUUUCACAAGUAUUAAUAAAACAUACUUAUUCACAUUGUGCUUCUAUCUUUCUUUCAUUGGUAAUACUGCUUUAAAUUGGAUACAUUCCAUGGUCGGAGCAAUGGGGUUCUGUCUAGCUUCUAUAGAUGAUAAGCUCCACUUUCACUUGUCUUGGACACUAUAUAGGGGCCUUCCCAAUUGGCUUGAAACUUUCCUACUCUUGUCUCAGCAGUGUUUUUGAAGACCUUUCUAAGAACCAACAUUCCACUUUUGAAACUCCUGGGCCUUGCCUUGCGAUUGUAGUGAGUUGCUGCCUUUUGUUGAUAGUCGGCCAUCCGAAUGGAUGCAGUCUCUCUUACUUCAUCUGCCCAGACUUCUUCCAAAUUCUGCAUUUGCAUCAUCCUGGAAUCCUGCCUCAGUCCGGAUAGUGGGUAGCCCUAAUUCUAUAGGAAGGAAUGCGUCUAUACCAUAUGCGAGGGCGAAGGGAGUGUUUCUUGUUGGUCGUCCGGGUAUGGUUCGAUAAGCCCACAGGACGCCGGGUAGCUCCUCCACCCAUUUCCCUUUGGCUUGCUCGAGCCUCUUUUUUAAGGCAGUUAUUAGGGUCUUGUUUGUAGUCUCUGCUUGUCCAUUGCUUUGAGGAUAACGCGGUGUGGAGUAUGAAUUCCAGAUGUUUAGUUUCGAAUAGAAAUUCCAGAAAGCUAUGCUAUCAAACUGUGGACCAUUGUCAGCUAUAAUGGUUUAGGGGAUUCCAAAGCGGCAGAUGAUGUUCUUCCAUACGAACUUGGUGACAUCUUUCUCUUUGAUGCUAGCAUAUGCUUUAGCUUCCACCCAUUUACUGAAGUAAUUUGUGGCGACGAGCAGGAAUUUUUUCUGGGCGGCUGUGACUGGUAGGGGACCUACUAUGUCCAUGCCCCACUGCGCGAAGGGCCAGGGGCCUGAAAUUGGUUUCAACGUCUCUGACAGCAUAUGUGGUAUGGGGGCAUGCCUUUGACACUUGUCACAUUUUUUGACAUAAGCUGCCGCAUCCUUUUUCAUCGUGGGCCAGUAAUACCCUUGCGAAUGGACCCUGUGCCCCAGAGAUCGACCUCCGGAAUGGUUCCCACAUACUUCCUCAUGCAACUCAGCUAAUACAUACAGGGCCUCUGAGUGGUUUAGGCACUUGAGAUAGGGACCUGUAAAGGACUGUUUGUACAAGUGCCCCCCGAUCAGGGUGAAAUGGGCGGCUUGCAUCCGGAUCUUGUGUGCCUGCUUGGGCUCUUCGGGCAAAAUUCUUGUCUGGAGGUACCUUAUAAUGUCUUCCGUCCACUCUUGGUCGUCUGCUUGGUUUGCCUCAAUAGUAUUGCAAGUGGAGGUUUCCGCGACGGAAAGGUUGGCUUGCACAUGUAUAGACAAUAAUAUGGCUUCUUUGAUGGAGAGAGAAGCAGUUAUGCCUGCUAGGGCGUCAGCACGUCCAUUUUCAGUCCGUUUAAUUUUUUCGAUCGUCCAUUUGGUGAACCGUUGUAAGGUGUUCCUUACUUUAGCCAGGUAUCGCGCCAUGCGCUCAUCCUUAGCUUUGUAUUCCUUCUGGACGUGCUUUACCACAAGUUGAGAAUCACUAUAGACUCGGAGCCUGGAAACGAAUAGAGCCAGGGCGAGGUCCAAUCCGGCUAGGAUGGUCUCAUACUCUGCUUCAUUGUUAAAGGGGGGGAACCCCAGUCGGAUGGCUUGUUCCAGAUGUUCUCCUGUUAGGGAUUACAGCAGAAGCCCUACUCCGGAUCCUUAUGACCGGGAGGCUCCAUCAACCCACAAAGUCCACCACUCUUUUUCACUUGGUUCCUUGCGCUAGAUAGGCCUUCGGGAGUAUUCCAGCACGAAGUCAGCCAUCACUUGGCCUUUCAUGGAUAACCUGGGUUGGAACUCGAUUCCAAAUUCGCUCAACUCUAUGGCCCAUUGAAGCAUUCUUCCGGUUAAGUCCGGCUUGUGCAGGAUGUUGCGAAGGGGCUGGUCAGUUAGCACGACCACCGGGUGAGCUUGGAAGUAAGGGCGGAGUUUCUGGGCGACACUUCGAAGAGCCAAGGCCGUUAGCUCCAUCUUUGAAUACCUUGUUUCUACGUCCGCCAACACUCUGCUGACGUAGUAAAUAGGUUUCUGCUCCUUGGGCGAGGGGCAGCGGAAUAGAACAGCGCUGAUUGCCCACUCUGAUACAGCCAGGUACAUAUACAAUUUUUCUCUAGGGAGGGUAGAAUGGGCGGUUGCAUGAGGCAAUGUUUAAUUUUUUCGAAAGCGCUUUGACAGCUGUCCGUCCAUCCGCUCGUUCCAGCUUUUCGUAUUGCCAAAAAGAAGGGUCGCAGCUUAUCAGUGAAACGGGCUAUAAAGCAUCCUAGCGCGACGAGCUUGUCUGUGAGGCGCUGUAAUUCUUUUUUGCUCCUAGGGGGUGGCGUUUCCAUGACUGCCUUAACUUGAUCCGGGCUAACCUCUAUCCCCCUUUGGCUUACCAUAAAUCCCAGGAAUUUGCCAGCACUUACGCCAAAGGCGCAUUUAGAAGGAUUCAGCUUCAUGCCAUAGUUCCUUAAGAGGUGGAAGACUUCUUGCAAGUGGAAGGUAUGUUCCUCUCGGGUUUUGCUUUUCACCACGAUAUCGUCAAUAUAUACCUCCACUGUGCGUCCGACCAGAGGUUUGAAGAUCUUCGUCAUCAGUCUCUGAUAAGUGGCGCCAGCGUUUUUAAGUCUGAACGACAUGACUUUGUAGCAAUAAAGACCGUGUGGCGUUAUGAAGGCUGUCUUCUCUUCGUCGGCUGGGGACAUGGGGAUUUGGUGGUAUUUGGAGAAGGCGUCUAAGAAGGAGAGCAUCCCUUGCCCAGCAGUAGAGUCCAUAAUUUGGUCUAUCCGUGGCAGAGGGAAAUUGUCUUUUGGGCAUGCAUUAUUGAGGUUGGUGUAAUCGACGCAUACAUUUGCCUUCCUUUUUGGGUACCACUACUACAUUUGCCAACCAGUCCGGAUACUCCACUUCUCUAAUGAAUCCGGCUGCCAGCAAUUUGUCAAUCUCAUCCCUGAUAAAUUUUUGCCUGUCCGGGUGAAAGCGUCUAACUCUCUGCCAGACGAGUCUUGAUGUUGGCAAGACGUUAAGUCUAUGAGAGACGAUGGAAGGGUGAAUUCCCUUCAUAUCAGUAUGCGUCCAUGCGAAGACGUCAUGGCUUUGUCAGAGGGCGUCUUGGAUGUUCCGAGUCUCUUCAGGCGCCAAGAGGGAACUGAUAUAUGUAAGGUGAGUACCUUCUUCUGAAAUUUGGAUCGUCUGCAAGGGAUCUGCUGCCGGGGGAUCUUUGUCCAUCAGGCUUAGUAAUUGUUAUUGGUCAAGUACAUGGGUGGACUCAAGGAGGGGUUUAUCCUCUUGACUAGUUCCUAUCUCUCGUGCUAUCUGGUAGCACUGGCGAGUGGCUAGCUAGCUGCCAUAUAGAUCGAUUUGACCAUCCUUAGUAAGAAAGCUUACCACUUGAUGAUAUGUAGAGGGAAUGACUUUCAUGUAGUGCGGUCAUGUGCGCCCCAAGAUGACAUUGAAGGGUGAUAAAUCUUGUACCACCGAAAAUUGUACGUUGAGAGUGACUGGGCCAGCUUGGACCGGCAGCACAAUAUCUCCCAAGGAGGUAGUUGACGCUCUGUUGAAUCCGGACAAAAUUCACCCAGGGUUUUCGAGGCCUGUUAGAUUGCGCCCUAUGUGGCUAAUGACCGAUGCUUGUACAAGAUCGGCCGAGCUGCCCAGAUCAACUAGGAUGUGUCUUACGUCGAAGUCUCCUAUCCCUAGGGACAGGAUGAGGGCGUCGCGGUGCGGCUGCAAUAUCCGUGUGGGGUCUACUGGUGGGAAAAUGAUUGUCCCAUCUAUGGGGCUAGGGCCCCCCCCAGUUAUCCCAGGCCAUAUGGAGUUGAUGCGCUCACGCACCGAUGUAGCCUGCAACAGCCUCUGUUUCUUUCGUUUGGAGUCGUACUCCUCGUCCAUUGGUCAUCCGUUGAUAUAGUUUAUAAUGGAUUUGGGGGCGAUUGGAACCCUAGGGACUCCAGAGUUGGGAUUUCAGGAAGCGUCCCUACCUCUGACAUCCGAGCGAAGGUAUUGCUUCAAAUGUCCCGCCCUUAUGAGCCUCUCGACCAAAUAAUGGAGGCUUCUGCACAUCUUCGUUGUGUGACCAUGCUCCUUAUGAUAGGCGCAUUUUUUACUAUGAUCCCUUUUGGAUGGGUCCGCUGUGAGGGGUCUGGAUCACCUGAAGUCGGACAUGUCUUGGAUCAUAGGGAGAAGUUUCUCAUAGGAUAUGGAAAGGGGUGUGAGGGGCGGCUGUUCUGGGCGGCGUUGUUCUUCCUGCCUUCGACCAGACGGCCUUAGCCGGUCCGGAAUUUUGGCACUUCUCUCCGCACCACUCCUGGAUGCCUGUCCGACAACCAAGACUUGCUGAGUGGCUGCUCGCACGUCAUCUUCAAGCAUUGAGUAUUUGCUUGCGCGUCGGAACAAGUCGUCCAUCGUCAUAGGAGGCUUUUUAGCCAGCGAUUCGAAGAAUGGGGUGCCUGGACGAUGCUUCGCUUGAAGAUCUGUAGGACAACAUCUAUGCUGUAAGCUUCUACUUGUAAGACGGCCUAACCAAACUGCUUCACGAAUUCUCUCAACGACUCGUUCUCCUGCAUUUUUAUGUUUUGCAGAGUGCUGAUGUUCUGUUUUUGCCAAGCGGAGCAUAAGUAUUGUCCCAUGAAAGCCUCCGACAGGUCCCUCAAAUUAUCAACAGAAUUGAGAGGUAGGCGGUGAAACCAUGAGAGGGCCUGCCCUUGUAGGCUGGCGGGGAAUACUUUGCAUAGCAGCUCGUCAUUUCCUCUAUCUAGAGUCAUGAGUUGUCGAUAAUGCAUGAUAUGGUCGAAGGGGUCGCUAGACCCAUCGUACGUAGAGAAUUUAGGUACGAGAAAUCCCCUUGGGGGAUCGUAAUGAAUAAUAUGAGAGCAAAAAGGUAUGGAGAGCAUGUCGUCCAGCCUUUUGCUGAUGGAGCCACUGGGUGGCUCGUUUGGGAGGUUUCUCCCAGCUUGUCGUACCGCUUGGUGCGGGGGAACGUUUUGCACCAUAGGGGUGACCAUGGGGUCAGGGCGUGCUCUGUGCCAGUCAGGGGCAUCACAGAGUGGCCUCCCAGGCUCCUGUGGGCCUAGUCUCGCGUGCAUGGUGCCAGACAACUGGGAUCUUUUGUCACGUCGUCUCUUUGAUGAGAGAUGAGUAGAGUUCGAGCUUUCCUCUUGGGGAGUUUGGUGUAGGGGCAUGUGUUGCUCUUGUGGCUUAACGUUGCUUGUUUUUGGGAUGGCUCCUGUUGUCCCAGGGUAUAUUGACUCUAGGUCAGGCCUUGAGUUUGCUACCUGGCCUCUCGAGCGCUGACCACGAGGAGGCCUCGCCGAUGAAGCCUAGAUGCGCAACACAACGUUUUCUUCUCUCAAUCUCGCUGUCUCCUGGAGGAGAGCCUGCAUUUGUCGCUCGCUUGCCAACUGUCUUCUCUCGAUGGCUCGACGCCAUUCGAUAUUAUCUUCCUCUUCCCUAGCAGACAAGCGGCUUCUGGAAGGUGCAGACAUCUUUACCGGCGACUGAAUCAGCGAUUUUCCCACAGACGGCGCCAAUGUUGAGGCCUUGCGUCCCGAUGAUCCACGUAGCUACCAAAUGGACGUACGCUUUCAACCAAGAUAGAUUUCUAGUUCAGUCAUCCCUGCAAAAGAUGUCCGAACAAGGUGUCCGGACACACCCUCCGAUGGUUUUGUCAGCCAUGUCUAGAGAGAUUAAGCAGUUGGCCUUUUACUAGGUAUAACAAACUUACCUUCUUCCUUGUGUGAAGGUUCCUUUAUAUAGUGUCAGAAGCUCGUCCUCCCUCUUUAAUGAUGGGAGGACUUUUUGGCUCAUCAUGAUGACUCCAAGGUGGUGGCAGGGCCAUCAUCACCCUGUGGGCGGCUGUCAGAGAUCGUGGGAGGUGACUUGCCAUCAUUCCUGUCCUUUCGCUCGGCAGGCGGAGGAUCGUGGGAGGUGACCUGCCACCACUCCUGUCCUUUUACUCUGCAGGCGGCGGAACGUGGGUUAUGGCAGACUGUCGGAAUGAUGUAGCAAGACUUGCUCACCUCAGUCAAUGAUCAGGAUAGGAUAUGUUACCGUCCAGUGUGACAUUUGCGAGUGAUGUGUGCUUCUCCCUGAGGGAGUCCGGAUAGGGGAACGCGCCACAUGUCCUCUUGGAGAGUCUAGAUGGAGUUUGAUCCGGAUAGCAAUGCAUGCCACAUGUCCCACUUUGGGGAGUCAGGAUGGAGUUGCUCCGGAUAGCGAAGCGCGCCAUGUGUCAUCAAGGGGAGGGGUCCCUACAGGUAGGUUAGAAAACUUAUCAAACCCAUGUGCCUGCAGGGCCAAUAAUCUCACUCUCUUGUGAAAUAUAGUGAGCACUGAGCAGUACAAAAAGUCAAUUUCAUGAGUCUUUUAACUCUUUAUGCCCCAUGUGUAUUCAUUUUUAUAUGUUUAGAGUUUUGUCGAAAUGCUUUGGAGGGUUUUGGCCUUUGAAAUAAUCUAAUUUCUCCUUCCCUAAUUAUUAUUGAUAUUCAAAUUUUCUGGUGGCAAAACUAAUGCUUUUAUAAAUAACAAAUGAGCACUCACUCGGUUCAAUAAAAGAAUUAUAUAUCAUCAUUAAAUAAUACACAUGAUAGGAUAAAUAUGGACAGACAUCAUAUUAUAACCAUUGUUCAGGAUUUAGUUAUCUAUUUAUAUACGAUUUCUAUUUGAUCUAGAGUAUGGACCAUCUAAUGUGUAGAGUCCAAUGCCAUCACGAGCCUUAGAUGAUGGGCCUAAAACUCGUGAGGCCCAAUAGCCAAUGGGUAUGGUCCCUAAGGUAAGAGGGUAUAAAAUAAGGUGAGGCUUUUGUUUGUUCCAUUAUGUUAUCACACCUUUUGAAAUAAAGAGGAACCUGUUCUCUCCCGCUCCCAUCGUCAGAGAGAAUUCAGAAAGAGGUGGUGCCCUCCAAAGUCUUAGAAGAUCCAUAUAUCUUCAACAAAACAAAAGGAAAAUGGACUCAGGUAUGUUCCAAAAUCAAAAGCAAAAGGCAUGUUUGAAUGAUAGAUAUAAAUUUAUCCUACUUGUGUUUGGUGCUAACGGAGAAUAUAGAAACUUUAACAAUUGGUUUCAGAGCCUAUAUACCCAUUUUCACCAUAACCCGCAUUCUGUUUCUUCCUUUUCUCAUUGGGAAUCAAACUAAUUAUAUAUAUAUAUAUAUUUGUAAAACGAAUGGGUAUUAAUACCUGCAAUCAGAUUUGGGAAUUAAUGGAGGAAGGCCAUUCGACGCCGGUGAGAGGUGCCGUUUCAGGCGCGCUUCAGGCUCCAUUUUAGGUGUCGUUUCAGGCGCGCUUUAGGUGCCAUUUCAGGCGCAUUCCAAGUGCCAUUUUUCAAGAGCUCCAGAAGCGCCAUUUCAGGCAAUCCAGACGGCGUGCAGACGCUGUUCCUCAGGCGUUUCAGAAGCCAGUGAGAAGCGCUAAUUUGGGCGCUGUUGCAGGCGUUUUAGAUGCCAUCUAGGCGCCGUUUUUGGAGCCAUAGGUGGGGCUGCUUCCUAGUGACGCCGUUACAGCAUCAUUCCGGUGGUGGCGCCGUCGUUUGGCGAUGGGAAAUCACUAUUCCGAUGAUGGCGGCGGCGUUUUGCCGCCGGUUACCAUUGAUGAUGCCACUGCAGGAGAUGGUUGCUUUGGGAUGCAGUGAACAAAAUAAAUAAAACAAUUUGGUAUCUAGAUACUUGAUUGUGCCAAAUAGAUUGUUAUAUGCAUACUAGAUACUUGAUUGGCUGAGACACUAUUGGUAAUAUCAUGACCACCUUGUACAGUUGUACUUAGUUACCAAAGAUGUUGGAUUUUGGUUAUUUUAUGAUUUGUUUUUUAUGAUUAUACUUGUUUUAAAAUAAAUAAAUAAAUAAAAUAAAAUAAAAAAAUGAAGGAAAUGGUUUUGUCAUAUAGCCUAAACCAUUAGACCAAAGCUUUUAUAUAUGUUUUAUGCUUCAAUUGUUAUAUAUACAUGAGAUUAUGCAUAAAUAAAUAAAUAAAUAAAUAAUUUUGAUUGAAUUAUUUCUUGUUGUAUUUAUGUUUAAUGUUUUAAAAUAAAUGAAUUAUAUAUAUUUGUUGCCAAAGUAACAUAUGGUAUAUAAUUUAUUUAUUUUAUAAUAUGUAAACAUGUUAUUUUUAUUAUUAUUUAAAAUAAUCAGCCCAAAGGAAGAUUAUUUUAAUAUGAUAAUAAAUAAAGUAAUCAUAAAUAUGUGACAUGUAAAGUUUAUCUUGUAUUCGAUAUGUUAGUCCAAAGAUAGGCAUAUUGUUUUCGGUUUUAUUGUCAAUAUUUAUGAAUUAAUUUUGUAUAAGGAUGCCAAUUACAACUUGAUAUUUUCAUCCAAAGACUGAAUAUUGAUGUUUGUGCUAGGUAUCUUGUUAUAUGUCCACAUGCAUAUAUAUAUAUAUAUGUUAAAUUUUUAUUUAUUCAUGUAUGUGUGAUGAUUAUAUGACUGAUUGUGAGCUUUAUUAUUAUAAAUUCAGCCUCUUCUAUAUCUGCAAAUGUCAAUAACAUUCCUAUGUUUAAUGGCACAAACUUCAAGAAAUGGAAAGAGCAUAUUAUAAUCGUGCUCGGGUGCAUGGAUUUAGACUAUGCAUUAAGAGAUGAUCGCCCUCUAAAUCUUACUAAUGCCAACAUUGUUGAGCAAAGGUCUACUAUGGAAAAAUGGGAGCGAUCCAAUCGCAUGAGUCUAAUAAUAAUGAAGCACUCAAUUCCAAAAGCUAUAAGGGGUGCAAUACCUAAGGAAACCAGAGCCAAGGCAUUCUCGGACUAGAUAGCAAACCGAUUCGCUGCAAACGAAACGGUUGAGACAAACACUAUUCUUAGUAAGCUUGUCUCCAUGCGGUACAAAGGGAAAGAGAAUAUAAGGGAGUACAUUAUGGAAAUGUCUAAUCUUGUGACUAGACUCAAGGUACUAAAGUUAGAGUUGUCAGAAGACAUACUCGUGCACUUGGUCUUGAUCUCUCUGCCUACACAAUUCAGUCCAUUCAAAAUUAGUUACAAUACACAAAAGGAAAAAUGGGUUUUGAAUGGGCUUAUUAAUACCCGAGUGGUCAUACCAUAUUUCCGGAUAUAAUUGUUAAUAUUUAAAGAAAUGUCUCUAACUUUUUAACUCACAACACAAUCAAGCAAAUUUUGUUGAUUUUCUUAACUUCAUAAUUAUGUAUGUUAUAAUUUUUCUUUUUUAACUUGAUGAGAGCAUUUGCAACCACACAUCACCAUAAGCAUCUCACUUAAUCCAACCUUCUCUAAUUAUAAAUUUAUAAUUAUACACCCGCAUACUCUUCAUUAUCAAGAAACACUCGAUCAAACACAAUAAGAAUGCGUUUGGUAAUGAUUUUAAAAAGUAUUUGUAGUUUUUCUCAUAUUUGAAAGAUAAAAAUUUUUAAGUAUUAAAAAUGUUAAAAAUAUUUUUUAAAAUCAUUAUCAAACAUACUCUAAGAAUGCGUUUAAAAGUGAUUCUAUAAAGCGUUUAUAACAUUUCUAAUAUUUAAAUGAUAAAAAUUUUCAAGUAUUUAAAAUAUUAAAAAUGCUUUCUAAAAUCACUAUUAAACGGACUCUAAUAAAUUUCCUUACACUUUCACCAUUCCCAUAAUCUCAACCCUCUCUAGUUACAUUGAAAUUACACCCUCAAACCUCCGUAUAUUCUCUCAAUUAUCUUCUCAACCAAACAUUUACUAUGAUUGAUCCUUGACAAAUUUCAAAAGAAAUGUGCAACGACAUAAUUGAGUCUCGCAUCGCUAAAUGAAGGCUUAGUGGUUCAGCUUAUACAUACUUAAACACUCUCCCUUCAUUAUCUGGUUUUCAAGGGUGAGUUCCACCCAUUACGUACAUAAUAAUUGGUAUUAGAGGAGACACCUAGUGAGAAGACCCUCAUCACGAAAAGGGCUACUACCUAAUUGUGUGUGGAAUUCGCAAAGUCGCCUAGCCACCCAUAUAAAAGCAUUGUUGAUGUUGGUUUCGAAAAGCACGGUGAAUUGUAACAACCUAGUUCAAUUCCGCAUUGCUAAGUUACAACUUGGUGAUUAAGCUUUUAAGCACUUGGACACCCACCCCUUAAUAGCCAAUUUUCAAAACUGAAUUCCAUACUAUUCAUGCAUAACAAAAUGCAAGGAAAAGAAACUAAAAAGAAAAAAAAAAGAUUUAUAAUAAAUAAAUUAUUUUUAUAUAAUAUUUUAAACUCAUUUCACUUUUUUUUUUCCUUUUUAUGUAAAGAUUAAAUAAUUUAAUCCAAUUGGAAUGUUUGUUACUUUGUACAUAAACAAAGUAUUCAAAAUUGUGCAAACUUUUUAUAUUUCCACACAUCCAUUCCAAUAAAAUUAUUUCAAUAAAUAGCAUGAUCAUGGAUAGGGAACUAUACUAGCGACCCACCUAAUUUAUUAUAGAAAUUUUCGAGAUCAAUGAUCGGAUCAUGCAAACUAGAAAUAUCUUUUAUUGGAUAAAAGAACAGAUUGUUCAAUCCAUUUCCAUACUGCUUAUGAUGUAUAUAAUAAUUCGGACAUAACUUUCUAACUAAUUUUAAUUAUAUUUGAUUUUCUAUUGUAUUUUCUAGAAUGAUACUAAACAUGAGAAAAUCAUUUUUAUUAAAUUUUUUUUUUCUUUCCUUAAUAUUUUUGGGAAUCAAACUUAGCCUUAAUCUUCCGAUCUCAACAACACCAGACCAGCAAAACAAAAAUAAUUCCUAUCAAGUGACAAUUCAGAGCUAAAAUAAAUGUAAGAUAUAUCAUGAAUCCCUAUUAUCCCUUAGGAUUGAUCUUUUGCUUGUUUCAUUUCCUCUCUAAAUUCUUAUUAACUUGCUCAAUGAUUACUACUCAAAAAGUGCUAUUUCAUAGCUUGUAAUUAACCCUUUUAAACACUUUUGAGUAGUAGUUAUUGCCUUUUAACCCAAUUAACAUGUUAAGGACCCUUGCAAUCAUUUCUAAUCAAAUUGUGUAAGUUUUGGUGUUUUUGUUAGUAAUUUGAUCACCAAAACAAUCCAAGAUUGAGGAGAGUUAUUUGGAAUCCAUGGAAAAGCAAUGAACAGCUCAAAUUCAUGAAGAACCAAGCUUUGGAGCUCCAUAGCCCUUUGCCAAAGUCGUUCAAAGUAUGCAAGGAGAGAAACACGGAGAGAGGAAAAACAGAGUGAAGAAAACAAGGGACAGCAGCUGCAGUCUUCUUGUGCACUUUUGGAGCACUUUCCGAAGUCAAUUUUAUACAUGAUAUAUACCAUUUCAAAGCUCAGGAAGUCAAGAAUCCAACGCUUCAAACCGUGUACGAUUUGGAGCUGAAAUGAGGAAGUUACAGCCUUUGGAAGAUGACUGCUCCAAGCUGAAGGAAGGAUUCAGCAAAGUGUUGCGAAAUCACCCUUUUGUUGCGGAAUGAUUUCGCAGCCUUUUUGCACAGUGCUUUGGAUUUCCCUUGAAGUUUCACGCCGUGAUGGAAGCCAAACACCACAAGAUGAAAGCCAACUUCGCAGCCCUGCGAGAAUAACUUGUUGUUGCGAAUUGAUUUCGCAGCCCUUCUUGAGUGCCUGCGAAAUCUCGCAGACACCAUUUUCUCUUGCGAAAUGGUUCCUGAAGCCUCCCGAUAUUUGCGACCGACACUUUUGGAUAUUUUUCUUCAGAUAUUUUUGUAUAAAUUUCCAUUUUCUCCUUGUAUUCAGCCACUCAUGUAAUUCCUUAGCUAGGAAGUAUCCAAGGAAGGGUAAAUUACCUUCCUAUAUAAACUCUCUGUAAACACUAAAAAGAGGACUCUCAGAGAGAAAUGUAAUCCAUCGAUCAAUAUAUAGAUAUAUCAUAUAUAGAAUCAGAGAACAGAGCACUUGCUCUGUUUUUCAUAUAUAUUCUUGUUUUCUCGUUAGUUUUCUUUUUAGUCAACCAAACUCUGAGGAUUUUUCCUCAGAGGAUGAGAGGCUAGGCUCUUUGUCUCUUGGAGUAAGGAAAGCCGGGUAAGUUUCCGUAUGCAUAAAUUGGAAGUUUUGUUGUUUUAGUUUUUAAUGAAGAGAAAGUGUGACCCGUUAAUGGUUUUUAUCUUUUUAGUUAACUUAAAACGCCUUUAAAUCACCUGGGCCAACACUUGGUAAGGCAAGUGAUCUCCGUCCAUGGAGAUGCACUAGUUUACCCCUUGCGAGCCUUUGGGAGGUGACUUGAAGGUAAGAUUUUCUAGAAUAGCCAACACAUGGUAAGCUUUUGGACUCCAAGGAGACAUCCAUUAGUUAUCUCUUGCGAGCUUUUGACGGGUAAUCCAAGGUUAAAGAUCACCUUGAAUGGCAAGUGCUAGGUGAGAGGUAUGAGCCAUUGCAAGGUGCAUCAAUGAGAGGGAUUUAGUGUCUAAACCCAUUAAUGGGAAGCAUCUGUACAACACCGGUUGGAAAAGGAACUAUAUGUUAAUUCUCUAAUGCGAGGAAAAGAAACAAGUGACCGGAACUCCCUUUUUGUAUGAGGAAUCUGAGCCUAGUGAUCUGAACUCCAAGAAACACUUUUCUUUGUAAGUAAAAUCAGUUACUAUUUGUGGUUAGUUUAAAACCAAACCUUUUUCAUUCAAACAUGUUUAUGUUUUCUUUUAAAGCUAACCUUGAAAUGAAAAUGCACCAAUUCAACUUUGAAUUAAUAUCAUUUGUGAAGUGAAAACCCAUCCCAGUGAACGAUCCUAGAGCCACUAUGCUAUAGUAGCUUUGUCUUUGCUACCCUAGUAUAUGGUGUAAUAGGUUAUAAAUUUUGUUGAUUACUCCCUCAAUCAAGGAGCACCAGCUGGACACGAAUCAGCUGAGACACCAAUUGGGCACGAAUCACUCAAAUUCAAAGACUAGGAUAAAUAAUUGGUGUAUGCAUCAUGGUGACCUCCAAAAGACUACAAUGCAAUUCAACAAUGAAUUAAGAACACCACAAAAAAGGAACCAGAAGAUAUCCUUUCCUUAUGGUUCAAAACAAUCAUAAUUAAUCACUCUUUUCGCUCUUUUCAUUAUACCUUCAACAUCGUUCUCUCAAUUAAUAGUUGGUAAAACACAAUAAUAGAUUCAAACAAAUAAAUGCCAAAAAACUAUGAGGAAGAUAGAGUAGUAAAGGGUUAGAAAGCCCAUGAGAAUUGAAUGGUUGGUUGGUAGACUUUCAAAUAGAUCGGUAUAAUAACAAGGAGGAUUGUGUUCUAUAGUCUAUGGAUAUUAGCUAACAAAAUAAACUUGGUUCAAAUGCCAUUGAUAACAUUUCCGUGGGGCAAAAUGUAACAAAAUCAAAUAAUAUUCUUGUUUUAGACGAUAUCAGUCAAUCAUAUGCUUAGAUAGUCAAAAUCCUUGCAGCAAAAUGCCCUCCAUACCUAAGGAAAACUGGGUCUGAGGAGUUGCUGACAGGAUGGAAGCACAUGCUGCUUCUGAACUCUAUUGUGACUACUGUUAACAAAUUUUCCAGUGCUUUCUCUUGUGCCCUUUCUUGCAGCAAUGUCAGCUUUUGUUGCUGAUAAGAAUGAAGUGGAAAGGAGGCCCAGCUAGAUUUCCAGAUCCUAAGGGGCUGAAAAUGUUCUAGUUGCUGCAAUCUCUGCUGCCGCUUCUGCACACUUGCAUUUUUUCAACUCUGGGAGAGUUAGUUCAUGAAUGAAAAUAAGACCUGAAGAUGAGUUUUACAUCAAUUAUAUAUGCAUAUAAGGAGAAUUGCAAGUUUCAUUUCAAAUAAUACCAGUAUUAUCAUGCUCUAAAUACAAAAAUGGUGAAUUUUUUCAAGAAACAUUUCUUGGAUCAACACUGAACACAACCUGAAUGAAAAUGUAUACUAUGUUGGAAAGAAAGCAAAAGAAUUUUCCAUUCUUAUGCCUUCACAGUGGAAAUGGUACAACCUUACGAGUACAAGGGGUACUCAAUAGACUAAAGAGAACUUGUUACUAGAAAAUUAAUAUAUAACUCAUGACAUUGAAUGAUUUGAACCAAUGAUAGGUGUUGAAAGAGGAUAUAUUUCAUUGAUUAAAAAAAAAGACGUGUUACAACUAGUAUAUAUAAAGAAAAUAGUGAAUCUCAGAAAUCUCAUAGAAACUAAUUUAAGAAACAUAAUCAGUAUCAAGACUAAUCUACCCUUCUAUAGUAGAGAUGCUAAAUACUAAUUUCAACAAUAGGAAACCCCAUAAAUUUCCAGAACCCCCCUUUACUAAAAUCAUGAGUGACUCAUUAGGCAAUGGCACAUGCAGAAUGGCCUUCUGGUUUGAAAUGCCAUCCUAUGAGACAACAAAUGAGCAUGCCCUUAUGCUAAAUUUGAGCUUUCAAAGAGUGUUUACACAUUCUUAUUAUGAGACAAAUAGAACAUUUAAAAUGCUGUUUAGUCUUUAUUUAACGACAGCCCAUGCAUGGCUAGGUAGCUACAAAAUUCAAUAACUGUGUUCUUAAUUUGAAAUAAGUAUCACAUAAUGCAGCUCAUAAUUCAAUACACCAUGCAAAAUCCCUGAAAACCCCAAAAUCCAUGCAUAACAUGUAAAGUGUGAUACAUGUACUUCAAGGAGAACCAAAAUGCAGAGAGGUGAAACAUGGCACUUGCAGUCAGUGGUGGAGCUAGGAAUGUGCUCUAGGAGGGGCACAAAUAGAACAAUUAUUUCAAGGGGGACGAUAAAUGGAGAGAGUGGUAUUUAGUGUAAUGGAAAGCAUACUUUUCCCAUAAGCAUGAGGUCAAGGGGUCAAAGCCCCUGCUAUGGUUUUUUUUUCUUUUUUUGGCCUCCUGGACUUAGCUAGCUCCGCCAGUGCUUGCAGCCAUCUCUUCCUCUCUGAGAUGCAUCAAAAUUUGAACCAACUUCUGUCCUUCUGGUUCAACUUCGUUCUCAUUAAAUUUUAGCAAGAUAGGAUUUCAUUUUGAUUUCAAACAUGAAAGGAAUCAUCUGUGAUACCUGGCUAGUUCCUCAUUUUCCAGCAAUCAGAAUGCAAAUGCUCUCUUAUAAAUGAAUGAAAGAAGUAUUCCAGGAUGGAUAGCCAAGCUCAAAAAAAUAGAUACAAUGAACAGAAAUAAAGUGGCUGUUCAAGUUUUGUAGUUAUUUGGUCAAGUCAUCAGUACUAAAUGACAUUAAACUAGUUCUAGCUUACCAAAUUCUACUUGGACCUUAACAAACUCUGAUGACAUAAUUCAACUCAAAUCAUGAUGAGUUGUGAAAUCAAAUUGGUAAUACCCCUCAAACAUUGUCAAAAAUUGCAAAUAAAAGCCUCAUAAAAGCAAAGUAAAAGAAUAAAGGAGAUAAAUAAAACAUAUGACAGAACAAAAACAUCAAAUACUUGGUGAACAUCACAUACCAGCAGCAUGUAGGAGCAAAACUAGGGACUUCAAAAUGAACGUGAAGCUUUUAUCUGUGCAUGAACAAAUGAUGUAUCACAAAAUCUUUAGCAGUCUAUCAAUUGAAGAAAUUUACAAUAAGAGAAGAUAAGCAGGAGUUAAGAAAUAAAAAAACUCACAUUCUAGAUCAUAAUUUCAACAGGAAUAACAUAGUCAGCUUUAUCUGCAGUCCAACGGGCAUUGUAGUCCUUACAAAACACCAUGAUAUUGACAUGUUUGGAGAGCAGCACUGGCUCAACAACUGAAGGGAGAGUCCUCUUAUAAUUCCUCAACAAUCAAGCAGACAGAAAUUUGAAUGGAUGCGUUACCACCUAGUUUGGUGGGGCCAUAUGAUGACUGUGAGAGACCUUGGAAUUCAAAAAAGUAAUGAGGAUAUUUUCCCAUGAAGAAAUUGGAGAGAAAUGUUAGGUAUUAAAGGCAAGUUCGGGUGAUGAUGCUGAGGGGAACUUCACGUUCUUCGGAAGGAGAUAAUGAUAAGAGAGAUAGUUGGACAGUCGAUUUUGGAUUCAAAAUGAACUGGGACACAAAGUUUGACCUUAAAUAAUAAAGGAUAGUUGGAAUUCUAGUUUCAAUAAAUGUUGGAAAGUCAAUCUUCCUAAAUCUUCCAUAUUAAGAAUAGAUGAUCUGUAUAUGUUAGUUUUCCUAUUGUAAUUCCUGACUUAUAGUUGGAUAGUCUAGAAUAUGGUAAGCUGAUUCCUGACUUGUAGAAAAAGAUCUCAAACCUCCUUGUAUAAAUACACACUUCAACAUCAAUAAUAUUAAUUCAGCCAAUUCUUCUUCUUUUCAUGGUAUCAGAGCAGGACUAAAAUCCUGAUUCAUUGUUGCACUCUAAUCUCUCGUGUAGCAUCUCUUUUCUUCAAUCAUCAUGGCAAAAUCAGAGAUUCCUAUGGAUUUCUUAAAGGCAGAUCUCUCCAAUCCCUAUUUCACUCACCAUUCAGAUCACCCAGGUUUGGUUUUGAUUUCCAAAUCUUUGAAUGGAGACAAUUAUUCGGCUUGGAAAAGGGCUAUGAUUCUAGCUUUAAAUUCCAAGAACAAUUUGGGUUUUGUUAAUGGCUCGAUCAAGGCUCCUUCAGAAGAAAUUGAUCCUGAAGGUUAUGCGACUUGGUCACGGUGUAACGACAUGGUUCACUCCUGGAUCGUCAAUACUUUCAAUCCAGAAAUUGUGGAUAAUGUAAUCUAUUAUUCUACUGCUCAUGAAGUUUGGGAAGAUCUCUGUGAGCGAUUCUCUCAGAGCAAUGCGCCUCGCAUAUUUGAAAUUCAGCGAGAUAUUGCUUGUCUUCGACAAAAGCAACUCUCUGUCUCUGCCUAUUACACAAAAUUGUAAGGCCUGUGGGAUGAACUGGCUUCCUACAACGCUGUAGCACAUGGGGCACAACAAGAUCAACAAAAAUUGAUGCAAUUUAUGAUGGGUUUGAAUGAAUCUUAUAGUGCUAUUCGCGGGCAAAUCCUCCUGAUGAAUCCUCUCCCUUCUGUCCGCCAAGCAUACUCCUCUGUCUCUCAAGAAGAAAAGCAACGCCUCCUCACUUCGACGAACGCAGCAGCAGAAUCUACCGCAAGUGCUGCUAUGGCCGUGCGCAGCAACGACAAGUCUUCGGCAACUUGGAAGGACGGAAUAGAUCGAUCAAACACAGGAAGGAUGGAACCGACUGAUCACCCCUCUAGUUCUCAAAAUUUCUGGGUGAAUUGGUCUUCUCAAGGACAAGAUGGCAGACCAUUUUUUGAUCAAGAUCGGCGCCGCAUGGGUUCUGGAAGAGGACGCCCCCAGUGCUCGUAUUGUGGAGAUAUGGGUCAUUGGGUCCAAAAGUGUUUUCAACUACAUGGAUACCCACCAGACCAUCCUAAAGCAAGAAUGAACUUAGGCUCAAACUCAAAUUGGAAUAAAAGAUUUUCUGCGGCUAACCAAGUUUCUGAGGCAGAUGAAGGGAAACCUGCAGUUGCAUUGUCAGAAGCCCAACUCAAGCAACUUUUUUCACUUCUUAAUAACCAAGAUGAAAACUCUAGUUCCAAAGUGAAUGCGGUAACAAAGCCAAGUUUGUCCAAAGUCGCUUCCCGCAAUUGGAUUAUUGAUAGUGGGGCGACGGAUCAUAUUACUUCAUCCUCUAAGUUAUUGCAUAGAGAUAAAAAUUGCUCGUUACCGCCCGUAUUGUUGCCUAGUGGAGAAAAAGCGAAUAUUGUUACGAAAGAGACUUUGCCUCUAAAUUCCGUCUAUUAUCUGCAUGAUGUCUUAUCUAUGCCUACAUUCAAAUUUGAUUUAAUAUCAGUUAGUCGUUUGACAUGAGGUCUAAAUUGUUCAGUGACGUUUUUCCCUUAUUGGUGUAUUUUGCAGGAUUUGGCUACGAGGAGGACGAUUGGUUUGGGUAAACAACGUGACGGACUAUACUAUUUGGUAGCACUAGCGACGGAGAAAUCUUUAACCAACCAUUCCUCAUCCACAAACCAACCAACCUGCAAUCUCGCCAUCUCUUCCACCGAUCUCUGGCACAGUCGCUUAGGCUAUGUAUCACCUUCUCGUUUGAGUUUCAUUGCCAAGAAUUUUUUGAAUUUUUCUGUUCAGUCCAAUAAUGCUUGCCCUAUAUGUCCUUUGGCUAAGCAAAGUCGUUUACCUUUUGGUACUAGUGCUAUUUCUUCUAAAAAACCUUUUGAGAUUAUUCAUUGUGACAUUUGGGGUCGUUAUCGACACCCUUUUCUGUUUGGUGCCCAUUACUUUCUCACUAUUGUCGAUGAUUAUACACGUUUCACUUGGAUAUUUUUAAUGCGACAUAAAGAUGAAGCACAAUCACUUUUAAAACGUUUGUUCAGCUAUGUGUUCACACAAUUUGAAUCUCGCAUUAAAACUUUUCGAAGUGACAAUGGUAUAGAAUUUACCUCACUUCGUUCCUUUUUUCAAGAUAAUGGUGUCAUCUUUCAGCAUUCUUGUGUUUACACGCCUCAACAAAAUGAGGUUGUGGAACGCAAACAUCGUCAUAUUUUACAAGUAGCCCGAGCUUUGAAAUUCCAUGCUCAAGUUCCCACUCAAUUUUGGGGGGAGUGUGCUCUCACUGCCGUACACAUCAUCAAUCGGUUACCUUCACCAGUAUUGUCUUUCAAAACUCCUUUUGAAUUGCUUUACUCAAAACCACCUUCUUACUCCCAUCUCCGUGUUUUCGGAUGUUUAGCCUAUGCCACCAAUGUUCACACCUCUCACAAAUUUGAUUACCGUUCCAUGCCAUCCAUCUUCAUCGGUUAUCUUGUUGGUCAGAAAGCAUACAAAUUAUUUGAUUUAUCAACCAAAAAGGUCUUUACUAGCCGAGAUGUCAAAUUUCAUGAAGAUAUUUUUCCUUAUGUCUCUCUCAAGCCCAACUUUACUCUCCCUUCGUUGACCCAUAAUUCUGGUCCAAUCCCCUUGGUGGCCCACGACAUCUCUUCCUCCCUUGACUCUACUUCUCACGCACUUUCCCCUAUUCUUUCCAACCACACAAGCACACCGUCUCCCACCAUAGAAAAUGACGACUUUUCCUCUCCUUCUCGACCUUCCGAACUCAUUAUCGAACCUUCUUCUCAGAUUGAUCCAAACCCUUCACCACCGCCUUCUACAACUCUAGUAUCGCCUUCUCCGGUGCCACCGUUUGCAUCCAUCCCAUCCACUCCUCUAGCCAAGACACCCAUCUUUUCACCAGAAACACACUCACCCAAACCAACCACUCCGCUCCGUCGCUCCAGCCGCCAUAUCGUCCCACCAAUCAAGCUCCACGAUUAUGUUUGCUCCCACAUUUCCUCCAAUCAAUCGUCUUCCUUGAUUCCAGGUCCAACUAAAGGUACACAAUAUCCACUGGCCAAUUAUGUUUCUUAUCAUAGAUAUAAGCCUACAUAUAGAUCUUUUGUUGCUCAACAUAGUGCUGUCACAGAACCUAGGUCUUAUUCGGAAGCAGCCGCUCAUCUUGAGUGGCAGGAGGCAAUGCGUUCUAAAUUGCAGGCUCUCCAAGCUAAUGACACUUAGUCUCUCACUCCACUUUCGACCGGCAAGACAUCGAUUAGCUGUCGAUGGGUGUAUAAAAUUAAACACCGUUCAGAUGGGUCUAUUGAGCGUUACAAAGCACGAUUGGCAGCGAAAGGCUUUACUCAAUUAGAAGGUGUCGAUUAUCAGGAUACCUUUUCCCCCACCGCCAAGAUCAUAUCUUCCGCUGCUUGCUUGCAUUGGCCGCAGCCCGUGGCUGGUCUCUUCAUCAAAUGGAUGUUAACAACGCUUUUCUUCAUGGCGACUUACAUGAGGAAAUAUAUAUGUCUCCGCCGCUAGGGCUUCGGCGACAGGAGGAGGAAAACUUGGUAUGUCGUCUUCAUAAAUCACUCUACGGUCUAAAACAAGCUUCUUGCCAGUGGUUUGCCAAGUUCUCAGAAGCUAUUCAAUCCACCGGUUAUGCACAAUCUCGAGCCGAUUAUUCUUUGUUCACCAGAAAACAAGGCAAGUCCUUUACUGCCCUCUUGAUAUAUGUUGAUGAUAUUCUGAUUACUGGAAAUGAUCCUGUGAGCAUUGCUACAACAAAAAAAUUUCUGCAUAGUCAUUUUCAUCUCAAAGAUCUGGGUGAUUUAAAAUACUUUCUUGGCAUUGAGGUUUCUACUUCUAAAAAUGGGAUUUUUAUUUCCCAACGUAAGUAUGCAUUAGAGAUUAUUGAGGAUGCAGGAUUGUUGGGCACUGCCCCUAUUGAUACACCUAUGGAGCGAGGAUUGAAAUUGUCUGAUAAGAGCGAUUUGCUCUAAGAGCGAUUUGCUCAAGGAUCAAGGUCGUUAUAGGAGAUUGGUUGGAAGGUUAAUAUAUCUAACUGUGUCGAGGCCAGAUAUCACUUAUGCAGUUCAUGUGUUAAGCCGGUUUAUGCAUCAACCGAGAAAGGCUCAUAUGGAAGCAGCGUUCAGAGUUGUACGUUAUCUCAAGAAUGCACAUGGUUAGGGUCUGUUCUUCUCUUCGAAUAAUGAUUUCAGAUUGAGAGCCUACUGUGAUUCUGAUUGGGCAGGUUGUUCACUUACUAGAAGGUCCACUACAGGCUACUGUGUAUUCCUUGGACCUUCACUGAUUUCUUGGAGAUCAAAGUGACAGAAAAUAGUGUCACUCUCUUCAGCUGAAGCAAAGUAUCGUGCAAUGACAGGAGCUUGUUGUGAGUUGACAUGGCUUCGGUACCUUUUGAAAGAUUUGGGUGUUUUACAUCAAGAACCUGCCUUGCUGUAUUGUGACAACAAGGCAGCGUUGCAUAUUGCAGCCAACCCUGUUUUCCAUGAGCGUACUAGACACAUUGAGAUGGAUUGUCACUAUAUUAGGGACAAGAUCCAAGAUGGUUCCAUUAUUACAAGACAUGUGAGCUCAGCGCACCAACUUGCAGACAUUCUGACUAAACCAUUGGGAAAGGAGAUUUUUGCUCCUAUGAUUCGCAAGUUGGGAGUGCAGGAUAUCCACUCUCCAACUUGAGGGGGAGUGUUGGAAAGUCAAUCUUCCUAAAUCUUCCAUAUUAAGAAUAGAUGAUCUGUAUAUGUUAGUUUUCCUAUUGUAAUUCCUGACUUAUAGCUGGAUAGUCUAGAAUAUGGUAAGUUGAUUCUUGACUUGUAGAAAAAGAUCUCAAACCUCCUUGUAUAAAUACACACUUCAACAUCAAUAAUAUUAAUUCAGCCAAUUCUUCUUCUUUUCAAUAAAACUCAGUAGUUCCAUAAUGCAACUCAUACUUUUUCACAAAUAGUAUAAAUUUGCAUGCUCCUAUACAAGGUUAUUGAGCCAAAAAAAGAAAAAGAAAAGAAAAACAGAAAAGAAGGGAUGUGAGCAUAAAAAACAUCAUUGUCUUGAAACUCAAACAGUAAAUCCAUUUUAUAUAUUAGUUAAAAGAACACUACAAGGAGAAGAACUAAGAGAAUCACAAAGCAUAGAUUUGCAAUUCAAUAAACAAGUAAUUAACUAGAGAAAAAAAGAUUGAAGAAAAAAUUACCUGGAAGUCUACAUUGAUAUAUCAGAAAGAUGCGGUGCACACACAAUUGCUCCCUCUUCAAAGGAACCUUCUUUAUAAGCAUGGAGAAGAAAACUGAGGAAACAUAACUUUCGUUCAUAAUUCAUUUGGUUAACCCCAUUAAGAUUCCGGCUAAGCUUAGCUUCAUCUAUCAUGAGUUCAGAAAAACUUUUCUUAUCAGGUAACUUAGGAAAUAGAAGCAAAUGGUCACCAUGGAUUUCAUUCAAGUAGUAACUCAGCAUAUGAGAUGUCCUUGAUACAAAUCCUUCAAAUGAGAUAUUAUGAUUAUUCAGUGAUAUAUCACAACUGCCAUUUUUGAGUUUGUAAAUGAAUCACCAUUUGCCACAUCUCUGCUAUAUUUUUCCUCACAAGGACGAGUAUUUCCCAGACUAGAGGAUACUUUAUCAAAACCCAACCGGACACUAACCCAUGGAGGUGGAAUAGGAACUCUUAAAGCUCGCAUGGAAGGAGGAUGAAGUUUUUCCUUUUCAUUAGAUGUUGCUUCAGUUGCCAUAAAAGAUGAGUAUGCAUCAGUAUCAGGGAAAUCUAAAGGAAAAUACGGCAAUUCGACCUGCAGAAGAAUGAAAGUUUAGAAGGAAAAUCUUGAGAACAGAAUUCCAUAAGAAAAUUAUGAUAACCUUGGACUCAAAGUACAAAAUUGAGGUGCACAUACUUCACAUGCAAUCCAGUGCUUCUCUCUCAAGCCUAUGACAUGAGUGCCACUAUUGAGAAGAGGAAUCUAAAAGGCCUUGACCCAACUUAAUGGAAGUAUAAUGGACCAUUUGAAAGAUAAUUAAUUAAACAUUGUUAUUAGAGGCUUUAAAAAAAAUUCUAGGAAUUUUAUUCCAUGUGUCAAGAAAGUGCAUCGCUCGAAAUUGUAUACAAAACAGAAUAUAGACACAAAAUUAAGGAAACAAAGUCAAUCUCAUAUACUUGUUGUGGGUUAAAGCAAACUAGAAAAGGGGAAGAAUUGUUCUCAACAAAAAAUUGCAUGACAGAGACCUUAUGGUUCUUCUGAAGCCUGUACUAAAAUUCAUGUUCUUCUGACCUUAUGGUUUGAUCACAAACAAGAUGCACAACAAAUACAAUGAAUUGGGUUUAUGAUUGGUGUUGAGAGAGAGAGAAAGAAGAAAAACCUUAAUUCUCAUUCAUGUAAAAUCUACUUACAAUUGAGAAAUAUAUAUAUAUACAAGGCUAGGAGUCCUAACUACCAUACAUGUGACCUAUAUUAACAAGGAAAGAUUAUACACUGUAAAUACAUUAUAUUCAACACUCCCCCUCAAGCUGUAGCAUAUACGUCAUAUGCACCAAGCUUGUUACAAAUAUAUUUAAUCCUAGGACCUCUGAGAGAUUUAGUGAAGAUGUCUGCUAGUUGAUCAUUUGAAUUAACAAAACUUGUAGCAACACAUCCUGAUGCGAUCUUCUUUCUAAUGAAAUGACAGUCAACUUCAAUAUGCUUGGUCCUUUCUUGAAAGACUGGAUUGGAUGCAAUAUGUAAUGCAGCUUGGUUAUCACAGAUGAGUUUCAUCUGUUCAUCCUUUCCAAAUCUCAACUCUCGAAGAAGAUGUCUCAACCAUAUGAGUUCACAUGUUGCCAAAGCCACAGCUCGAUACUCGGCUUCAGCGCUAGAUCUGGCCACUACAUCUUGUUUCUUACUCUUCCAAGAUAUUAGAUUACCUCCAAUAAAAACACAGUACCCUGAAGUGGAACGUCUAUCUGUGGGUGAGCCAGCCCAAUUUGCAUUUGUGUAACCAACAACCUGAGUAUGACCUCUGUUCUCGUACAACACACCUUGGCCUGGUGUACUUUUGAUAUAUCGAAGAAUGCGAAUUACGGCAUCCCAAUGGCUAUCACAUGGUGAUUGUAGGAAUUGACUAACAACACUCACAGGAAAAGAAAUGUCUAGACGAGUAAUGGUGAGAUAGUUCAAUUUACCUACGAGCCGUCGAUAUCUCCCGGGGUCUCCUAAAGGCUCCCCCUGUCCUGGUUCAAGUUUGACAUUCGGAUCCAUAGGUGUGUCUACUGGUUUCUUCCAGGAUGUCUAAAGCAUACUUCCUUUGGGAAAGGACCACACCAGAGCUAGAUUGAGCUAUCUCAAUUCCCAAGAAAUACUUGAGUUUCCCCAAGUCUUUGGUUUGAAAGUGGGUAAAAAGAUGUUGCUUUAGUUUCUUAAUACCAUCCUGAUCACUGCCUGUAAUGACGAUGUCGUCCACAUAAACAACCCGAUAAAUACACUGCCCCAAGGAGUUAUGAUGAUAGAAAAUUGAAUGGUCUGCUGUACUGCGAAGCAUGCCAAACUAUUGAACAACAGAACUAAAAUGGCCAAACCAUGCUUGAGGAGAUUUUUUCAAGCUAUAUAGAGAACGACGUAACCUGCACACUAAACCAGACUCCCCCUGAGCAACAAAACCAGGAGGUUGCUCCAUAUAAACUUCCUCGACAAGAUGACCAUGAAGGAAGGCAUUAUCCAACUGAUAAAGAGGCCAAGAACACAGCAUCCAUGGAGAGAAGUAGACGGGCAGAAGCAAACUUGGCAACAAGGGAGAAUGUGUCACCAUAAUCAGAACCAUAAACCUGAGUAUAGCCUUUAGCAACUAAGUGGGCCUUAAGGUGAUCAACCUGACCGUCAGGACCAGCCUUAACUGCGUAGACCCAAUGACAGCCAACGGUAGAUUUACCAGAGGGUAAAACAACAAGAUCCCAAGUGCCAUUAGAGUGUAGAGCAGCCAUUUCAUCCACCAUUGCCUGUCGCCAACCUGGAUGAGAAAGAGCUUCAUGGGUGCUCUUUGGAAGAGAAACAGAGGAUAUAGCAGAAACAAAAGUAGAAUAGGGUGAAGAUAAUCGAUGAUAACUCAAAAAAUUGUAAAUAGGAUGAGGAUUACGAGUAGAGCGAGUACCUUUCCGAACAGCAAUGGGUAAGUCAUUAGAAGAAGGUAGAGCCUGGGCAGGUGAAGCCGAAGGGAUAGGAAGUGAGUUAGCAGGUGCCUCAGCAAAAGGGAGAGGAGCAACGACACGAGGGCAACGAUGAUAAACUUGAAGUGGUCGAGGAGGCAUAGCAUCAGGUGGGGAGACAAUGGGAAUGGGCAAAACUUCAGAAACAGGAAGAGACUCAGAAGUGGUGGAAAAGAAUGGUGAGUCCUCAAAGAAGGUGACAUCAGCGGAGAUAAAGUAUCGAUGAGUCUCAAGGGAAUAACAACGAUAACCCUUCUGAAGUUUGGAAUAUCCCAAGAAGAGGCACUUCAUGGCUUUGGCGGAAAGCUUGUCCUGUCUAGGAGUGAGAAUAUGAACAAAGCAAGUACAACCAAAGACACGAGGAGGAAGGAAAUAAAGUGGUUGGCCAGUCACAAAUUUAUCAGAAAAGGUAAUAGAGCAAUUAAGAGUACGAGUGAUUUUGCUAAUGGAAAUAAGAUUAAAAGGACAUUCAGGAGUAUAAAGGACAGAAGUGAGAGGUAGAGAAGGCAGAGGAAGGGUCAAACCAAUACCUUUAGCUACAGUUUGAGAACCAUUAGCUAAGGUAACAGUAGGUAAAGCAGAGGUAGUAGUAAUAGAGGAGAAAAGAUCCUUAUUACCAGAUAGGUGAUUAGAAGCUCCAGAAUCUAGAAUCCAAGGUCCAAGAGAAGAUGUGUGGGUAAGGUAGGCAGAAGCAUUACCAGGCUAGGCAAUAGAGGCAACAGAAGCCUGAGAUGCCUGAGAUGCGGAGGAGCUCGGAGGCUGAGGCAGCUAAGAAUCAGAGGACUGGGCCACAUGGGCAGUGCGAGGAGGCCAUCCAUGUAACUGAUAGCAACGAUCGCGAGUGUGGCCAAGUUUAUUGCAAUAGGUGCAAUGAGGACGUUGGCCUCUACCUCGGUUACCACUGCAUCCGCCUCGAGAGGUAGUGUGAGAAAUUAACACAGAAGAAUUUGAAAUGCUAUCAGAUGGCAAAGUCUGAGUGGACGAUAUACGAAGGAGGCGAGCAAACACAUCAUCCAAGGACGGAACUGAUGAACUACCAAGAAUUUGAUCGCGGACAGGCUCAAGAUCCGAACGGAGGCCAAUAAGAGUAAGGACCAUGAAGAACUUAUCAAGCUAUGUUUGUUGAGCCCCAACAUUAGGAGUAAGAGGCAUCACAGUCAAGAACUCCUCCUUAAGAGAGGCAAUCUGGCCAAUAUAAGUAGAUAGAUCCAAGUCCUGUUGGCUGAUAUGGACAAUAGCAGAAGCCACCUUAUAAAGACGCUGGAUAUCAUUCGUGUAUAAUCCUUUGGCAUGAGUCCAAAAUUUAAAAUAAGUUUUGUAGGCCCGAAGAUGAAGAAGAAUCUUAGGAUCAACCGAUUGCCAUAAUACACUACAUAACUGUGCCUCUAUCUUCCUCCACUGUACGCGAUCAACCUCAGGGAUAUCUGCCUCCUGUUUAAUCAAGUGAUCCUCAUAUCCUUGACCCAUAAACCAAAGUUCAACAGAGGCAGACCAGGAAAGAUAAUUGUCACUGCCAACCAAUUUCUCCGAAGUAAUCAUAGGAGAUCCAGAUAUAACAGAGGAAAAAAUGGAAGUUUUAGUAGCCAUAUCUACUUAUUUGGAGAAUGAAGUAUAUUUGGAUCGAAGAGAGCCCUAAUACGGCUGUAGAUCGCAGCGUGGCACCAAUGGAAAGGGAGACGGCUUCAGAUCGCGGCGUGACACCACCGGAAAGGUAGAAGAACACUUCCUUAGGCACGUGCAGGGAUUAGGAUGGAGAAAAAGUAGCCGAAGCUCACCGGAAAAACUGUUUGGAGGGUUGGCGGAGGCAAAAAACCUCAAAAAAGGUACGUGCAGAUCUCAGAUAGCAGAACCAGGGAUGAAGAAAGGCUAGUCGGCGUCAAGCGAGGCUGGAGGAGGAGGCGCGUGGCCGGGAAAGUCCUCACGCACCCUCACGCGCCUGCGCGUGAGAUUCAGUCGCUGGAUGGAAAAUUGUGCGUGGCCGGCGCGUGGAUGAUCUUUUGGUUUCGGUGCCUUCACAAAAGUUGGAGAUCUCCUCCAAGCGAUCCUUCUGGUAUGGUCGGUGUCGGAAAAAGACGUCGCCGGAAAGUUCUCCAGAAAAGUUUGUCGGCGGUGAGUGUUUUCUAACGACGAUCCGACUGAUCGGAAAGUAUUGGGAGAUGGGGAUGGUGACCGAAAUGAAACACGGUCACUGGAAAGUUUCCCGGAGUUGAUGACACGGGAAACUAGAAAGAAUUAGGUUUUCUCCCUUGGCUCUGAUACCAUGUUGAGAGAGAAAGAAAGAAGAAAAACCUUAAUUCUCAUUCAUGUAAAAUCUACUUACAAUUGAGAAAUAUAUAUAUACAAGGCUAGGAGUCCUAACUACCAUACAUGUGACCUAUAUUAACAAGGAAAUAUUAUACACUAUAAAUACAUUAUAUUCAACAAUUGGUAAUGAGUUCCACCAUGAGGUACGGAACACUUGAUGGCAUUCAUUGGUUUUUAACUAUAGUAAGAUAAUAUCAUUAUAAACAACUGCCAGGAUCAAUAGGCUUCCUUCAUGCCAGACAAGAUAGCUCAAAAUUUUGGCCAAAAUUCCCAGUAAAUGGUGUUAUUAUUUUCCAUGAAAUAUGCAUGGGUUUAUGAUUGGUAAUGAGUUCCACCAUGAGGUACGGAACACUUGAUGGCAUUCAUUGGUUUUUAACUAUAGUAAGAUAAUAUCAUUAUAAACAACUACCUGUAGGGAAUUAAACCGAAUUCCCAACCCGUGAGAAACAAAAAAUUAGAGAAAACACACACCAAAGAAAAAACAAUCACACGCACAAGACAGUAUUUACGUGGUUCGGCAAUUUGCCUACAUCCAUGGAGUUGCAGGGAUAUCACUAUUAUUAAGGAAGAAUACAGAGUGCAACAUAGCGGCUACAAUAUUCUCUCUAUAUAUAUAACAUGGCAACCCCACCAUACUAAAAAAACCCUAAUUACAAAAGGUGGUUCCACAAUGGGCUAAACCGGCCCAACAGGUCUCAAUAAAUCUCCCAUUAAAAAGUCAUGCAAUAUUAUUCGGGUCGGGUCAUCAAACCGGAUCAAACAAAACUAGGCUCCACAAAGCCCAACAAAUCUCCCACUUGGAGACUAGUCCAAUCACCAACAUCAAACCGCUAUCCUCUAAGAAACAAUCCCUCAUCCCUACAACUCAUCCUCCUGUCCUCAAGCUAGAAGAUCAAUUGAAGCUGCGCACAGCUUCAACUUCUUAAUAGUGACACCCUUAGUUAACAUGUCUGCAGGGUUCUUAGAUCCACAAACCUUCUCAAGUAUUACCAGUUUAUCCUCAACAAGAUAACAGAUAAAAUGGUAUUUUGUUUGUAUAUGUUUUGACUUUGAAUGAAAAGCCGAAUUUUUUGCAAGAAAAAUUGCACUCUGAUUGUCACUGUGUAGAAUGCACAUCUCCUGCUUCUUACCCAAUUCAUCUAAGAAACCAUGUAGCCAAAUAAUCUCCUUUCCAGCUUCAGUUGCUACAACAUACUCAACAUCUAUAGUAGACAAAGUAACAAUCUUCUGUAGAUUUGAAGUCCAUGAUAUAGCUGUACCACCUAGAGUAAAAACAAACCCAGUAGUACUCUUUCUACUAUCAAUAUCACCAGCAAAAUCAGCAUCUACAUAACCCUGCAGUUUCAAACUUGCACCUGUGAAGCAAAGACAUGUAUCUAAUGAACCCUUCAGAUAUCUUAAAAUCCACUUGACUGCCUCCUAAUGCUGCUUUCCAGGCCUACUCAUGAAUCUGCUCACAACUCCCACUGCAUGUGCAAUGUCUGGCCUUGUACCCACCAUAGCAUACAUCAAGCUGCUAAUAGCUGAGGCAUAGGGCACCUUGCUCAUAUGAUCCCUUUCUUCUUCUGUCUUUGGUGACUGUUCUUUGCUUAGUUUGAAAUGACUACCCAAGGGUGUGCUCAUUGGUUUAGUUUCAUUCAUGUUGAACCUACUGAGAACUUUCUUCACAUACUCUGACUAUGAAAGCUUCAAUAUACCAUUAGCCUUGUCUCUAAUGAUUCUCAUACCAAGGAUUUGCUUUGCAGCUCCCAAAUCCUUCAUUGCAAACUAUUUGGACAAUUGCUUCUUCAGAUUAUUAAUCUUCUCAAUGUCAGACCCUGCAAUAAGCAUAUCAUCCACAUACAACAGUAAUAUGAUGUAAGAAUUGUCAAAGGACUUAACAUAGCAACAGUGAUCAGCUUCACAUCUCUUGAAUCCAAUUCUAUGCAUAAAAUUGUCAAACUUCUUGUACCACUGUCUAGGAGCUUGUUUAAGGCCAUACAAGCUCUUUCUUAGUUUGCAGACUAGAUUCUCUUGUCUCUGAACAAUGAACCCUUCUGGCCGAAUCAUGUAAAGGUCUUCCUCCAAGUCACCAUGAAGGAAUGCUGUCUUCACAUGUAAGUGCUCAAGAUGUAAGUUUUCUGCAGUCACCAUUCCAAGUACAAGUCUAAUUGUUGACAUCUUCACAACUGGAGAAAAUAUCUCUGUGUAAUCAAUGCCUUCCUUCUACUGGAACCCUUUAACAACUAAUCUGGCCUUGUAACGUUUGCUACCAUCAUGCUCAUUCUUUAAUCUGUAUACCCACUUGUUGUGCAAAGCCUUCUUUCCUACUGGCAAUUCAGUCAGUUCCCAUGUCUGAUUCCCCAAUAGGGAAUCCAUCUCAUCCUUCAUGGCUAACUCCCACUUGCUUGAAUUCUCAUCUUGCAAGGCUUCAUCAUAACACUCUGGCUCACCACCAUCAGUCAACAGGAGAUAAUUUAAAAUAGGUGAAUAACGCUGUGGAGGUCUAAUUUUCCUGGAAGAUCUGCAAACUUUAGCUACAGGUGUACUCAAAUCUACCUGUGAAUUUACAUUCUCCUUAUCUUCUCACCCCCUUUUUGAACAGAACUUUCAGUCAAUUCAUCUAAGUUGACAAACUCAGAUUUCUUUUGAUCUAUCUCUAUAACAUCUGACACUACAGUUGAGCUGUCCUUGUACAUAACCUAUUCAUUAAAUAUCACAUUUCUACUUCUGUUGAUUUUCCUGUUUUGUUCAUCCCAAAACCUAUAGCCAAAAUUUUCAUCACCAUAGCCAAUGAAAAAACAUAUUUUUGACUUUGCAUCAAGUUUACUACGAGCAUCAAAAUCAAUAUGAACAUAAGAAACACAACCAAAAACUUUUAAAUGUGAAAACUUCACCUCUUUACCGCUCCAAAUCUCCUCAGGAAGUCUGAACUCCAUGGGAACUGAUGGUCCUCAGUUUAUCAGGUAAGCUGCAGUGCUAACAGCAUCAGCCCAAAAAGUUUUUGGUAGUCCAGCAUGCAACCUCAUACUUCUAGCAUGCUCCUUGAGAGUUCUAUUCAUGCACUCAGCCACACCAUUCUACUCUGGUGUCCUAGGAAUAGUCUUCUCCAUCCUAAUUCCCUGUGCAGCACAAUACUCACUGAACACUCCAUCUAUGUACUCUCUUCCAUUAUCUAACCUCAAACAUUUUACUUUCAAACCUGUUUCUGUCUCAACCAUGGCCUUCCACUUCUUAAAAGUUUCAAAUACAUCAGAUUUAUUUUUCAAAAAAUAAACCUAAAUCUUUCUGCUUGAGUCAUCAAUAAAAGUGAUGUAGUACCUUGAACCUCCAAGGGAUGCAACCGGAGAAGGCCCCCACAAAUCAGUGUGUACUAGUUCUAAUUUUUCAGCCUUCGGUGUCCUGCCAGUUUUCAAGAAGCUCACCUUUUUUUGCUUUCAUAAGAUGCAACUUUCACACAUGUCAAAAUCAAUGGACUUCAAUUCUGGUAGUUUUCCUUUUGACAACAACAUUUUCAUCCCUUUCUCACUCAUGUGACCAAGUCUAUGGUGCCAUAGGCUUGUAUCAGUACUUGCAUCAGUAACUACAAUUGUGUCUCUUGGACAUGAGGUCAUAUAUAGGGUACCAGUCUUCUUUCCACGAGCCAAUACCCUAGCUCCCUUUGUAACCUUCCAAGUACCACCAACAAAUAGUAUUGCAUGUCCUUCAUCAUCAAGUUGUCCAACAAAAAUCAGAUUCCUCCUCAGGUCAGGAAUAUGUCGAACCUUCUCCAGUAACCAAACAGACCCAUUGGGCAACAUUAUCCAGAUGUCUCCCAGACCCACAACAUCCAAGGCUGAACCAUCAGCCAAAUACACCUUACCAAAAUCACCUACAACAUAAUUUUGUAUGAGUUCUCGGUGUGGAGUGGUAUGAAACAAAGCUCCUGAAUCCAAAACCCAAUCAUCAAGUGGAAUGUCUACUGCAAGCAGUAAUGCAUCCUAUAGCUCUUCUAUUACAGUAUUAGCAUAAUCAUCUUCAUUCUUCUUCUUAGGGCUUUUGCAUUGCCUUUUAAAGUGACCUGUUUUCCCAUAAUUCCAGCAUUGUACUUGUUGGCUUGAAUAAGAUUUGUUUCUGUUCUGAUUAGAAUUUCUGGAAUUUGAUCUACCCCGAUUUGAAUUUCUGUCAUUACCUUUGCCUCCUGUCUCAAGGUUUAGAGCAGAACCAGAUCCUGAGGUUUCACUUGCAUCUCUUCGGCGAAUCUCCUCAGCUAGAAUUAAAUCUCGUAUAUCAUUGUACUUGAGCUUUUCCUUUCCCGUAGAAUUGCUUACUACCAUCCUCAUUGCCUCCCAACUGUUUGGCAAAGAAGCCAAGAUGAUCAGAGCACGAAUCUCAUCAUCAAAAUCAAUUUCUACAGACGACAAUUAAUUUGUGAUUGUAUUAAAUUCAUUCAGAUGUUGUGCUACUGAUGCAUUCUCUGUCAUCUUCAAAUUGAACAAUUUCUUCAUCCGAUGCACCUUAUUGUUUGCGGACGGCUUUUCAUGCAUACCGGACAAAGUCUUCAUCAAAUCUGUUGUGGUCUUCUCCUUUACAACAUUAUGUGCAACAGACCUGGACAGAGUUAACCUAAUAACUCCUAGAACCUGUCUAUCAAGAAGCGUCCAUUCCUCAACCUUCAUACUCUCAGGUUUUGUCCCCAAAAGAGGCAGAUGCAAUUUCCUCCCAUAGAGAUAAUCUUCAAUUUGCAUCCUCCAAUACGCAAAGUCUGUGCCAUCAAACUUUUCUAUUUCAGACGCCUUUCCUGCUUCCUCUGCCAUUGCUCCCACUCAAACCUAACCCUAGGCUCUGAUACCAGUUGUAGGGAAUUAAACUGAAUUCCCAACCCGUGAGAAACAAAAAUUAGAGAAAACACACGCCAAAGAAAAAACAAUCACACGCACAAGACAAUAUUUACGUGGUUCGGCAAUUUGCCUACAUCCACGGAGUUGCAGGGAUAUCACUAUUAUCAGGGAAGAAUACAGAGUGCAACAUAGCGGCUACAAUAUUCUCUAUAUAUAUAUAACACAGCAACCCCACCAUACUAAAAAAAAACCCUAAUUACAAAAGGUGGUUCCACAAUGGGCUAAAUGGGCCCAACAGGCCUCAAUAAAUCUCCCAUUAAAAAGCCAUGCAAUAUUAUUCGGGUCAGGUCGUCAAACCGGAUCAAACAAAACUAGGCCCCACAAAGCCCAACAUUGCCAAGAUCAAUAGGCUUCCUUCAUGCCAGACAAGAUAGCUCAAAAUUUUGGCCAAAAUUCCUAGUAAAUGGUGUUAUUAUUUUCCAUGAAAUAUGCAUGGGUUUAUGAUUGGUAAUGAGUUCCACCAUGAGGUACGGAACACUUGAUGGCAUUCAUUGGUUUUUAACUAUAGUAAGAUAAUAUCAUUAUAAACAAUUGCUAGGAUCAAUAGGCUUCCUUCAUGCCAAACAAGAUAGCUCAAAAUUUUUGCCAAAAUUCCUAAUAAAUGGUGUUAUUAUUUUCCAUGAAAUAUGCUUUUUUAAGAUGUGAAGGUUAUUUGAAACUUAAAAAAUAUAUAAAUAAAAUUAAAUAAAAACAACAUCAUUGCAAUAAAAGAAUAGCCAUUUUUUUUGUUUAUUAGUAAAUGAGAUUUGUAUUAAAAAGCGCCAAAAAGGGCACACCAAAGUACAUACAAUGUAUACAAUGGCAGCCAAGAAGUGCCAAAAAAAGAAAGAGAAAACAAAAAGCUACUCCCUCCCUCAAAUCGACACCAACCAAUCAAUGAAAUCUACUAUGGACAUUAAUCUUUCACCUAUAAACAGUUUGAUUCAAGUUAACAAAUUAUACAAAAACAAGUAUUUUAGCCUUUGGAUUGAGAGUUCCACAUUCUCAAAAGAUCUUCUACUUCUCUCUUUCCAAAUAGUUUAGAAGAGGCAUAAAGGUGUCACCCUCCAAACUUUUUUCCCCUUUCUUCCAACAAAGGAACCAUGUCAGCCUAGCAGAGCUUCUCUAACUGUGGACUACAUCACCCAAUAAACUCUAAAGAGAGAUAAUAAUAGCUCCCAUAACACCCUUGCCUUGUCACAAUGCAAAAGGAUGUGGUUAAUUGACUCCUCAUGAGACAAACAUAGGAAAUAACAAUUGGCCAAAGACCACCCCCUCGUUUGAAGCUGGUCAAGAGUCAAAGUUUUUUCCCAAGUUGCCUCCCAUGAAAAAAAGCUCACCUUAGGAGAAACCCACGCAUUCCACACAACACUAGAACGGAAUUGCACUACCCUUCCUAUCUCUAGGCUAGCAUAAAGUGGUUAAUAGAGAAAGUUCCACUCUUCGUUUCAACCCAACACACUUUAUCCUCUUUACCCUCUUCUACCACUUUAUCUUGAAGUCUUCCAAAAAGUGUUCCACAAAAACAAUCUCCCAAUCAUUUAGAGGCCUCGAGAAGUUACGAUUAUAGCCAUCCCUCUCAUUAGAAUGCUACCACAGCUCUGCCACCCAAGCAUCUUUAGAGUUAGAAAUGGCAAAUAAAGAGGGAAAAGAAACAUUUAACAACUCAUCCCCGCACCAUUUAUCUUUCCAAAACUUUAUCCUUUUUCCCAUUGCCCACAAAAAAGGACAAUUUACAAUUGACUAAAUCCCACAACUUCCUUAUGUUCUUCCAUAACCCAACACCAUAGCCACCCCUCGCUACCUUAGAGCACCAACCUCCUUCCAAAUCCCCAUAUUUACCACAAAUGCUUUAUCUCCAAAAGGCCUCCCUUUCUGAAGCAAAGCACCAAUUCCACUUACAAAGGAGGCCUUAUUAAGCGAGUGAAGGCACCUAGCACCUAGGGCCCCCCUCCUUCUGUCAGAGCAAACGGUAUCCCAUUUCACCAGAUAAGGCUUACUAUCUAAGCUCCCACCUCCCCAAAGAAAGUCCCUUUGAAUUUUUUCCAACCUUAACCGCACAAUCCCUGACAUCCGGAAAAGAGACAAAAAGUAGAUUGACAAACUAGAAAACGUACUUCUAAUCAAUGUUAGUCUCCCCCCUUUAGAAAUAUAUUGUCUUUUCCAUAACGCCAAUCUUUUGCGGAAUCUUUCUUUCACCCCAUCCCAAGCCACCAAUGAAUUAUAAGGGGUGCCUAGUGGGAGCUCCAAAUAAGUGGUCGGGAGCAUUCCCACUUUACAACCUAAUACAAGGGCCAACUCUUCUGGGUUUUCUACUCUCCCCAUCGAAAGAAUAGCCAUAAUGCACUUAGAUGAAUUCUUCUAUACUUGUUAGAGAUCACACUGCCUGGUACACAAGAAGACCAAUUGCAAAAGAGAAGAUCUAGCAUUUGGAGAAAAACAUCAUAGCCAUGAAAUCUUAAGUGACCUUGUACACAAGGAAAAUGAGGACCAAGUAUUAGAAGCAUGAAAUUCAACAAUUAAUUUGAUCCUUGUUAAUUACAAGUGGAGAAAAAGAUAAGAAAUAAAUAAAGAACUACUUACCCAAUCAUGCCCUUUUGAUUAUUAUUUUUUAAAAGCAGAAUUGGGCAUGAUCCAUGCUGCACAUCACUAGAAGUAUUCAAUAUGCCAGACUGUGACUCACUGAGACAGAAGAAUCCCAGAUGCCGGUGAUGCUUUUCCAUGCAAAGCACAUUCUCUUCCAUUGGAGGACUGAGCCCAUUACUAGCAUCCCACAAAUCCAUGUCCUGAUUUCCUACUAAAGAAGUGGUUUCCAUAGCUUCAUUCUUUGAUGCAUCGCCAAGUACUUUGUUAGAAGCCACUUCUGGAACAACUGUAGUCUUUUUCUCAGGCAAAUUGCAUGGAUCAUUAACUGUAAGAGAUAGAAUUGCACAAGAAGGAAUCUGCUCUUCAUGCUCAAGGCUAGAGCACUUAGUCAGUUGCGAGGAUUUCAAAAUUUUACUAACAACCAAACAACACAUUUAGAUAUGUUCAUUGCUUUGUUUAAAAUGAACAGGUUCUACUUUUGGUUUUGGAGGACUUACCAAGUAAUAGGAUGCAGUAUCUUUUGAAGAAGUCCAAAUGCCUUUGAUCCUAUUACUUCCAAUUUAGCAAGUUGGCCCUCAAGUGAAAAACAAUUAAUCAAGAUGCCAGUUUCAUCCAUCUAAAAGAUAAAAAGAGAUGGAGACAAAGUAAAUAACACGGGGCAAGCAUAUGAUCUCUAUCCUGCUAGGUCUUAUCUUUGUUGACAUAAUGCUUUACAAAUUUAAAUUUUAUUCCAAGGAAACAUGUAAACCCAGCGUUAUAUAAGACAAGGAUAUAUAUUUAUGAGCAUUACAUAUGCACACUAAACAGUACAAGGGGAUACUAUUGAUAAGUAUUCACUUUUUCGAACUAUCACAUAGGAACAGUUUGUUCACAAGCUACUCUUCAUAACAAAUAAGCACAUUAGAGUCUUCAAAAGGGGAAAAAAUAGAUCAAAGAUAAAUAAUCUCUAUGGUUUACCAGUUCUUGACAAGCAAAUUUCAAAGCAUCAUAUCCUUCAUUGAAAGCUGAGGCAUGCAUCCACACCCAUAGCUGGCGGAAGGAAGAACAACACUCAUUUGUCUGUGUGCUGUUAACAGAAUCAACAUUAUGGUGUUCUACUCCAAUACCUAUAUCCUUUUUUUGUAAGGGUCUCCACAUAUAGGUUACAGGGGCAAUUGAUUUAGAACCAGGUUCUCCAACAUGAUGAAGCUGCAAAACAAAACAAGGAGAGUCUAUCCAUAUGUUUGUUUCAUCAUUCUUGAAGUGGAGAAGGUGCAAUGGAAUAACUUACCAUAGCACUUCCAUAGACAACACCAGAAAACAAAACGGAGAAUAUCCUCAGAGUGAGCUGAUGGAGAAGGCACCAAUACCAUGCUUAGAAUUGAAAAUAAUGAAUCCUGGAAGCAUAUAACAUGAUAAACUAAAUUUCCUUAUGCAAAUGAAACAGAAAAACCAAAAGCAUUGAGAUACCACUUCCAGGUCUAUUAGCACCUAAAAUAAAAAUUCUUCUGAAGUAAUGAAUUAAGAGAAAAAUCCACAAUUGAAAUGGUUUGCAAUUACAAAGAAAUGAAAUGCAUACCUCCGGACCCUCCAAUUGCAGGGCAAUGUGGUAACAAGCAUCAUGUACAAGAGCUCCAUGUCUGAACUACUUCAAGAGAGCCCUUGAACCCCUUCCUCUACAUCAUUUUAGAGAAAAAUUGCCCAAAUUAAUUCUUUCUCAUAUACUCAAAUAACAAAUAGAAGUUGAAAUAAAAAUACGGAAAGGGUAACCCAAAUUGGUUCUUUAUCUAAGAGACUUCUCCAUGAAAAAGAGCUCCCAAUGGAUGUUUGGAAAGUAAUUCCACUGCAAACCCAAAUCUAAACGUAUUAAUGCUCCAUUUCAAACUUGAAGUUUGAGGUAAAGUACCCUUUGAACCUCAGAAACAAAAAGGAGAAAAUCAUGAAAAAUGAAAAAAAAGUUUAAACUAAAUAAAAAUUUUCAUGUUUAUUAUUAAUGUAUCAAAUUUUACAUAGUUUUCGAAGUUGGAAUUUCUUCCUAAAUUUUUUUCCCUUUUCAGUACCAAAUGGCCUAAGAAGAAUCUCCAAUAAAAAAACCUAGAAUGAAUUACCUGCCUUGCAAGCCCAGAGGUAGGUAGAAACCCCAAAGCUUCGUCAUUGUGAAGCGCUUUGCAUGCCAAACAUGGGUUCUUAGCCUCUUGGUACCGUCCCCAGAAGUAGAGUAACCAUGUUCAGGGUUUCUUCUCAGUUCAACUCGCCGACGAAUACGACGAGGAACUGUCUUCUCAUCUUUCUCCAAAGCCCCAACAUUGCCUUUAUCAACCACCCCUAUUCUCUCCCUCUUUCUAAAUCUCUUGUUUGCAUCUCUGUUAUCAUACCCCGUGGUCCUUCUUCUCUUGUUUCUCUGAGACCGGAAAUUGUUGUUCACUCGAUUUGCUACAAUUGAGUGAAGAGCCUCAAGUUCAGAAGCUCAGGAUUCUGCAAAUUUCUCAACAUUAAGACUUCGAGGAGGUGGGGCUAUCGAUGAUCGUUUGAAACCAUCAGUAACCAUUACUGGGAAUAACACCCAAACUGAAGAUCAGGAAUGGCGACGGCGGUAUGGCCGGAACGGUGAUUGCCGCCGGUGUUAUUGGAUGGAGAUGCGUUUGUGUUGAUGGGGCUGAGUGAAGGUGGCGGCGAUUAGGAUGACAGCUGAGCAGCACCGUCUAGUGUUCUACAACCCUGGGUUUUUGGCGGCAGGCCUGUCGAGCAGGAAACCAUUCUUUGUUCUAUUCUAACUAAACUCCGGAAUAAGGAGAGAAUUGUUACAGAGAUUAAACUCUCCUGCACCCACUUAGUAAAAUACUACUUUUUUUUUUUUUAAAUAUUACAAAGUUAAAUAAAAAAAAAUUAGAAUAUCAAAGAUCAAAUAAAAAAAAUUUAGAAUAUCAUGUUUGCACUUGAACAUGAUAAAUGAAUUUUCAACCUUUUAAUAUUUUCUUAUUUCAAUUAAUUAAUUAAUAAUAAAUUUAUAUUCAUGUAAUUUAAAUAAUUUUUCUAUAACUCGUUUAAAUCACUAACUCGUUUAAAUUAAAUUAUAAACUAAAACUAAAUUAAUCCGGAAUUAAAAAAAUAAACUUUAUCUCAUAGAUUUCUUAAACUAAGGAAUUAAAAUCACUAACUCAUUUAGACUAAAAGAUAGAUUAAAACUAGACUAAUUGAGAAUUAAAAUACGAACUUUAUCUAACAUGUUUAAUUAAACUAAACAUAGAAGAUAGAUUAAAAUUGAACUAAAUUGAAAUUAAAAAUAAGAACUUUUCUAAUAUAACAAUUAAACUAACGAAUUAAAACAACAAACACUAAACAUAAACGGUAGAUUAAAAGUGAACUAAAUCAAAAUUAAAAACAAAAACUUUUCUAAUAAAAAUAAUUAAACUAACGAAUUAAUAUUACAAACACAUCUAAACAUAAAAGAUAUAUUAAAAUUGAACUAAAUCAAAAUUAAAAAUAAGGACUUUCAUAAUAGAAACAAUUAAAUUAAAGAAAACUACAAACACAUCUAAACAUAAAAGAUAAAUUAAAACUAAAUCGAAUUGGAAUUAAAAAAAAGGGAACUUUAUCUAAUGGGAUAAAUUAAACUAAAAAAUUAAAACUACAAACACAUCCAAACUAAAAAAGAAAAAAUAAAUUAAAACUAAAUCGAAAUUAAAACAAGAAAUUUAUUAUAUAGGAUUAAUUAAAUCAAAGAACUAAAAUCAUUAAAACACUUAAAACUAAAAUGAUGGAUCAAAACGAAAUCAAAAAUAAAUUUGAAAACAUACACUUACCUAUAAACCGUUGUUUGUGGAGAUUUUGUGGGCUGCUCCCCCCUUUUUAUGGUUAUGUGUCGGCUCCUCAAAGUUCUUCGUGCGUCCUAUCAAAAGAAUUGCUCUCAUGUCCUCUCUGCCUCUUUAAAAAAUCCCCGUGCCUGUUAUUUAUCUAGCAGCCCAUUUCCAUGGAAUCUUUUAUUUCCUUUCUUAAUGCACGUGGAUAUAGGAAAGUGCAUGCCUGUGGCUCACAUUGGGGACUUCCCUAAUAUGCAGCCCGCGUCUCAUUUGGUAAGUGAUCAGAUCCUCAACGGUCCCAAAGUGGUAAGUUCCUUCGGAUCCCAUGUUGCUAUUCUGCAUCUCUUUGUGUUUUGGCAUCAUCCCUCUUAAUUAAUUCACCAUCCGGCUUCUCAAAUUCCUCGAGUCCUUUCUUUGUUCUUGUGGAAACAUUAGGAUCUCUAGUACUUGGCCAUCUCAAAUCCAUUCUUGCUAUAGUGAUAGUCCUUAAUAGUUUGUUCAAUUUCUUUCUGUGUUCAUGAUAAAAGGCCCCUACUGGACCACAGGUUCGUUCAGAGGCUGCCCUCCAAUGAGCACAAAUCUCAGCGGUUUGGAUGACUUGUUCCACGUGCUCAGGCCGUCACCAGGGCCUAAAACCAAGACAUGGUGAGCGGUCACUAGAGAUGAGUUCACUACCCCGAAUACUCCUUCCCCUUCAACUUUGUACACAAAGGAGUUCCAUGAUUCUGAAAUGCUUUAAUGCAUUUGGGCCCUUGGUUUUAGAGUAAAAUCAAGGUACAUUGUUGGAGUUCUGGUGUAAAUAGGGGACCAGAGUCCCAUUGAUUCUCUUGCUAUGACCCGGACUUCAACGCCAUCUUUCUCUGCUCUUUUGAUGUUGUAAGAAAACAGAGUAGAACAGAGUGUUUUGGAAAUCUAGAAAUCUGGUGUAUAUUCCAUUUUACAACUUACAGGGAAGAAGAUGCAUAUAUACAAAGUAUUGGUUAGCCUAUUCUAGGAAUGUAUGAGCAAACAUAUCAGUUACAAUCAAUCAAAAUAAUCUUCUAUAUACAAUCAAAUAUCAUCCUCAAAUUACGGGAUCCUUGAUUCCUUUCCCAUAAUACUCCCCCUUAAGUUGGAGUGUGUAUGUCAAGAACGCCAAACUUGUUGAGAAGGGAAUGAAAAAUUGAUGAAUUGAGUGGCUUAGUGAACAAAUCAGCAAGCUGGCAAGAUGAUGGAACAUGAGCAGUUACUAUGGCACCUAAUUGAAUUCGUUCUCGAACAACAUGACAAUCGAUUUCUAUAUGCUUGGUACUGUGGACCCGCAUUUUUCACGUGCGCCCCCACUCGAUCGGCGAGACUCGCUUUUUAUUUGUGAAAAAUUAAUUUUUGGAAAAAAGUUGGAGCCGCCACUUAUUUUAUUUUUAUUUUAAAGGGAAAAUAAAACAAGAAAGAAAAACCCUAAAAUGUGACUCCAUAAUUUUUGGAAAAAGCAUGUCUUUGAAAAACCCGAGUCUAAGUCCGGGGAUCAGGUUACUUAUUGGGAAGGUACCUUUAAAAGGUAGCACCCCUUUAAGCCCUAUAAAGGUCUCUAUUGACUAAGUUGACGGAAAUAUGGCAAUUAAUCGAUUGAUCAUAGAUACCUAAGUAGACUAGGUGAUUUUAAAGUGUGGCAUGUCAAACACAAUCAAAUUGCAACAAAUGAGAGUUAAGGCGCGUACCUGAAUCGCUUCUCAAGCGCUAUCAUAAAACAUCGAUGGUUAAUUUAAACAAUAUAUCAUCCAGCAUGUAUUUUAUUAGAAAUAAUCAAACAAUGAAACAUGUAUAUCAGAACACUCAAGCAUUAUUAGACAUAAGCAUUAUUUCACUAUUCACAGAAUUCAGAAAGUAGGUGAUAGAGGACAUACCUGGAUAGCAUAGAUAAUUUGUAACGUGCUUCCUCAAGUUAUAAGGGGUUAGAUAACAAAUAAUAAAAUAUAGAAAUCCUAGCAUGCUCGUUAUCUAAUUAGCAUAGCAAAAGUGAUUAAAGUAUACAGAAUCAUCAAUUAUCACAUACAUCUUGUAUAUAAUUCCUAAAAAAAUAGAUAGACAUGAUUCCAACAAGUGUCAAAUAUGGCAACAAAAAUAAAUUUUGAAAAGAUUUUCUUAUGUAGGGGAUUCACCAAUUCCCCAAUCGAUAUACACGAAUUUAGCUUAGAAUUAUCCCAUUUAUUUGGGACCACAAGCUUUGAUUUGUGUUUUAUUCAAAACUGUAAUUUUAUUUGAAAGAUGUGAACCAAUCAAAACAUGGUUGCACAUUAUUUUAAAAAAUGAGAUUUUGAUUCUAAGAACUCUAAAUGAAUUUUUGAAAUGGAUUGUUAAGGGGAUCUUUUGACUCUAAGAAACUCUAAAUGAAUUUUUGAAAUGGAUUUUUAAGGAAAAUGAGAUUUUGAGAAUAGUGUUGUAUUUUAAAAAGAAAUUAAUUUGAAAGCAAUAAAGUGUAUGAAUCAAAAUACCAAGCAAAACAAAAGAGAACAAAAUCACAAAGUAGAAUUUUUGACAACCAAGAAAAUUGAAGGUGAGAAUGGAGGCUAAUCUUCAUGAGUUUCCAAAAGCCUCAGAAAAAGAAAUCAAAUUAAGUGAAGGAUCACUAAAACAACAAGCAAAGCAUUCUAGAUUAGACGAACUAACAAGGUAUCGAUUCAUGAACUAACCGCUAGGAUUUUAAAAGCAUAUAAAUUUAGAUAAGGGUGAUCAGGAUCUAACAUUAAUGAUUUUGAAACAAAAACUAAAAAUGGAUCAAUUCAGGUAAGGAACUAAAAUUAUAGAAGUACCUAAACUAAUUAAAACGAGUUUGACUAAAUUAAACCAACAACAUGAACUUUCAAGCAUAGAAUUAAUUUUAUUGAUGAACCAAAAUUUAUAAAAGUGUCUAAACUAAAUAGAUGAAUUAAAUUAAAUCAAAGUACGCUAAAAACAUGAACUUUUAAAUAAAGAAUCAAUUUUAUCAAUAAAUAAAUAAAACUAUAAAAACACAUAAACUAAUUAAAAGGAACCAAAUUAACAAAUAGAUUAAUACUAAAUUAUAUUAGGACUAAAAAAAUCCACUUCAUCUAAUAAAAUUGAUUAAGCUAUCAAAUUGGAAUUAAAAAGAAUACAUUUUUAAAAUAAAACAAAUUAAUAAUUUAGUGACUCGAAACUGAAAUAAUCGAAAUUAGAAAUAAGAUGCAAUCUUUCUAAAGGUUUAAUCAAACAAUUGAAUUAAAAUUAUGAAUAUAAUAAAUUAAUAAACCAAAUCGAAACCUCAACCCCAUCUAAGAAAAUUAAUUAAUUAAGCGAAUAGAUCAAAAUCAACAACGAAACUAAACUAAGGAGUAAAUUAAGACAAAACCAAUUAAAUUAAAAUCACAAAUACGUCUAAACUAUCAUAUGGAUUAAAACACAUUAGCAUGGACUUAUGAAUUACGAACCCAUAGAAAAAGACAUCUAAUAAAAGAAUGAAAACUCUUUCAAAAACGAACCUGUGUUAUGGGAGAAAAAUUCGUCUUUGAUGGGUUGAAGUGGCUGCUCUAUUAAAAUUUGAAAGCCUCUGUUACUUCCCUUUGUCCAGAAAAUCCUCUUCCCUUUACGUGUUCUCUCUCUGCCCCCAAAAAAAUAAUCCUCUCUUCCCCUUUCAAUUUAUAUGGCAGCACUUUCCUUUAUGAAAUACUUUAUUUCUUUUUCCGAAACGCGCAUGGAUAUGGGAAGUAUGGCUCACUUGGAGAUUCUUCUAAGGGUGCGGCGUGGCGACAUCCCUCUCAAAACGUGGACUGUGCGCCUCCUCCAAAGGCAGCUGCGCGUGAAUGCCACCAUCUCAACUGUGCGGUUGCUCUUAAAAAAAAGGAUUGUGCGCGAGUGGUGAUUCUCCACUAUGGAAAAUGGAUUGCAAGACUCACAACCGCACUGCAUCAAGCACUAAAAUGCGCCAUGAACGACUAGUGCUCCUACCUGAUAUGCAUCCCGAGGACUGUUUGGAUUGGAUGACCAUGGCUGGAUGGGUAUCAUUGAAGCUUAAAGUUGCAGGAACCUUUCUUCAACAAAUAGAUCAACAAACGAUAGAGUCUUCGGGGAAGAACGGGAUGCCGCAAUUAGAUGAACUUGAUGAGAAGAUCUUUGCGAAAUCGGAGAGGGAAUAAGAUGAUGAAUGAAUGUCGGUGGUGGGGACAGCAGUCGAAGAGAUGUCUGCGUGUUCGUUGAUGGAGGCAGCGUAGGAGCAGUGCUCGCCGGAAGAGGAGCGUUGCUCAUCUGUUCCGGUGGAACUUGACUUUUUCUUCACAAAGACCCUUUUCUUGAACCUCUGAAUGUGGUAACGUCGGAAUCAGAAGUCACAGUAAUGGAGAUCGUGUUGGCGGAGCCAUCCUCGAAGGAGGGAUCAAUUCGAAAGCAGAUUCGACGCGUUGGAUUUUAUGUUGAAGAGAUCAUAUUUGUUUGGCCUCGAGCUGAAAUUCCCUUCAUAACGGUUGGUGGUGGCGUUGGCGAUGGCAUCCUCGUGGCGAUGAGAAAGCUUUUGGAACAGGCGGCCAUCUCCACUUGGGUCUUUCCACCGAAAAAAAAGAAUUUCCUCCUACAAUCAAAAGAGAGCCCCUCCCUUUCCUUCAUCUCUCACGUAUAUGUAUAUAUAUCCGCCUUUCCCUAAAACCUAAAUCUCCCUAAAAAAGUUGAAAUCUCCUAUUUUCUCUCUUCUUUUCUCCUUAUCCUUUUUUAAAUCUUCCAAUUCAAAAGCAAUCUUCCCAAUUUCAAAUUCCUCUCCAAAACCUUCCAAGGAGAGUCCCGCCUUCCUUAAACUCCAAUAGUAAGUUUCCUUGCAAAAACAUGAAAUUUUUGAAGUUAAAUAAUUGAAUGAAUAGAUAAGCAAGUAAAUAAAUUAGGAAACGGUAAAAAUAAAUUAAUAAACAAACAAAAAUAAAUAAUAAAUAAAUAAAUAAGUUAAGGAAAAUAAUAUAAAGAGGAAAAUAACCAAUAAAAAGUGAAUGAGAAUCAUAAAACUAAAACUAAAAAAAUAAAAUAAAAUAAAAUAAAAAUAAACCAAUAAAUAAAAGUCGAGCCCAAAAGCCAUGUAGCCAUGCAAGUCAUACAAGUCACACUAAAAAUGUCCAAAUGGGGCAAGUGUAUCUAAAAGCUAUCCUAAAAAAAAAAAAAAAAAGCCUAAGUCUAAGUUAGGGCUGCCAGGGGUCACAAUAAGGGAUCAAAUAAUCCCUUAACCAAAGUCUCCGAGGUGACUCAGAAAAGAGUAAGUCAUACGAGUAGUAAUGGGCCACCAAGGAACUAUCGUGGAGCACUGGAAGUGAAUUUAAAUACAUGUGCUAAAAGGGCAAAAUUGAGGGUCUACAGGUACGUUCAUGGUAAACUGGAUUAGCAGCAAUAUGGAGUGCUGCUUUACUAUCACAGAAUAGAUUGGCAGGUUGCGAGUGUUCUAUCUUCAAGUCAUCCAACAAAUACUUGAGUCAUGUAAGUUCACAUGUAAUGGAAGCCAUUGCUCGAUAUUCUGAUUCAAUUGAUGACCUUGACACUGUUGUCUGUUUCUUGGUUUUCCAUGAAAUGAGAGCUCCUCUAAGAAAAUACAAUAUCCAGUCAUAGAUCGUCUUGUGAUCGAACAUCAAGCCCAAUUUGCAUCACAAAAUCCUCUUAGUAGCAAAUUUCCCUUUACAGGAAAAUAUAAUCCUUGUCCAGGUGCACCUUUAAGAUAUCGUAGAAGAUGAUGAAUAGCAUGCAAAUGAGGCUUUCUUGGUUCUUGCAUAAACUGGCUUAAAAUGUGAACUGAAUAACUUAUCUCUGGCUUUGUAAUGGUAAGAUAAAUGAGUUGUCCGACCAAUCUUUUGUAGGUGGAUGGAUUCUUCAAUAAAUCUUCUACUGUGGGUAGGAGUUUAUUAUUUUCUUCCAUAGGUGUCAACAAUGGUUUGGCCCCAAGCAAUCCUGCUUCAUCUAAAAUAUCAAGAGUGUAUUUUCAUUGGGAUAUUGAAAUACCAUCAGUAGAACGAGCAACUUCAAUACCAAGGAAAUAUCGUAAUUGACCGAGGUCCUUGAUGCGAAAUUUGGUGUGGAGAGACUCCUUAAGAGCUGCAAUUACAUUCUCAUCAUUGCCGGUGAUGAUCAUGUCAUCUACAUAGAUGAGCACAGCUGUGAAAGAAUUGCUAGAGAUCUUUGUGAAAAGUGAAUAAUCAGCCCUUGAUUGAUGGAAACCAUCUUGUUGAAUGGUGGCAGAAAAUUUCUGAAACCAGCUACGGGAGGCUUGUUUAAGUCCAUAUAAUGACUUGUUGAGUUGACAUACCAUUGGUGUCUCCCCCUGUCGACGAAAACUGGGCGGCAAUUGCAUAUAAACUUCUUCAAGCAAAUCACCAUGGAGAAAGGCAUUUUGAACAUUCAUUUGGUGAAGUGAUCAAUGUCGGACAGCAGCUAUAGCAAGUAAACAUCGAACUAUAGUUAACUUAGCCAUAGGAGAAAAGGUCUCCUUAUAGUCAAUCCCUUCGCGUUGAGUGAAGCCUUUUGCCACCAACCGAGUUUUGUAUCGCUCAACUGUGCCAUCAGAGUUAUAUUUGAUCUUAUACACCCAUUUGCACCCAAUUGGACGAUGAUCGGAAGGGAGAGGUGUGAGUGUCCAAGUGUGAUUUUGUUCAAGAGCAUGGAGUUCUGCAGCCAUAGCUUCCUGCCAUUUUGGAUCCAAUACUGCCUGUUCAUAAGUUGUAGGUUCCAUAAGAGUGGUGAUGGCACAAAAAAAAUUCCGAUAUUUUGGUGAGAGUUGUGCAUAGGAAAUAUACCGAGUCAAAGGGUGAUGCGUACUUGACAAGGAAGAAGAUUGGCUGGAAGCAACCUUGGCGGGGUGGUAGAGAUGAAAAUUCUAAAGUUGGACAUUUGGUUGCUUGAUGCGGUCAGAACGACGAGUAGCAGGAGGUGGAGGUGACACAAUGGUGUCAAGAUCAAGUGUACGUUCAUUAGAGGUAGACUCAAGAGAUGAAAGCAAGGGUGGUGGCUGAUCAUCAGCUUGUGGUUUGGUUGUCUCUAUGGUUAUGGGUUCAUAUGAGGUUUGUGGUAAAGGAAGAACGACCACAUCAUGUUGUUCUUCUUGUGGAUUAGUGUGGAACGGAAAUAUAUGUUCAUGAAAGACAACAUCUCGGGAAGAAAAGAAUUUAUUAGUUUCAAGAUCAUAAACCCGAUAACCCUUUUGACCAAGAGGAUAACCAACAAAUAUGCAACGACGAGCUCUUUGAUCAAAUUUAUGUGUGGGUAAGAGAUUGGUGGCAUAACAAAGACAUCCAAAAGUUCGUAGAUGAUGAUAUGAAGGUAGCUUGUUAUAGAGAAGUUGGUAUGGAGAUUUGUGAGAAAGAAGGGGUGUAGGUAAGCGAUUGAUUAAAUAGCAAGCCGUUUGAAUACUUCCCCCCAAAAUUUUAACGGCAAGUUUGCUUGAAAACGAAGAGUUCUUCCCACAUUUAAAAGAUGACGAUGUUUCCUCUCAACCACCCCAUUUUGUUGGGGGGUGUAAGCACAUGAAUGAUGGUAAUUGAUCCCCUUAGUAUCCAAAUACUGUUUCAUAGAGGAAAUUUCAGUCCCAUUAUCGGUUCGAAGGGUUUUAAUGCAACGAUUAAAUUGGGUUUCCACCUAAGAAAUGAAUGAUUGCAAUAUCCCUUGUGUUUCAGAUUUAAAACUCAUGAGAUGCAUCCAAGUAUAUCGAGUAUGAUCAUCAACAAUUGUUAGGAAAUAACGAGCCCCAGAGUGAAAAUUUAUUCAAUGUGGUCCCCAAAUAUCACAAUGUAUCAAAUCAAAAGGUGCGUGAGAAGAAAUGAAACUAGAUGGAAAGGACAAACGAGUUUGUUUGGCUAAAGGGCAAAUAUCACAAACAUGCUUGGAAUCAAAAUAAAUUUCAGAAUUAACUUUAGCAAGAACUUGAAGAGGACCGGAUGAUGGGUGCCUAAGACGUUGAUGCCAAAGAUCAGAAUGUUUGUGAAUGGCGUAAGCCAAGGCUGGAUUUUGGUGCGAGGUAGUAGAGGCCAUUAUGUUGCUUGCCCAGGCCAAUCAUCUUCCUCUUAGUAGCGUCUUGCACAACACAAAAAUCGGAAAAGAACAUCACUAUACAUUGUAAUGCCCGCAUUAGUUUACUAAUUGAUAGUAAAUUAACUUGAAAUUGUGGAACUUUGAGUACGUUAUCAAGUUUAAUGUGGGCGGUAACAUGCAAUGAACCAAUUGACUCAAUAUGUGCUUGACCACCAUCUGGCAAACUAAUGGUAGUGGUUUUGGGCAAAAUUUUCAGAUCUAAUAAUUCAACUGAGGAAGUCACAUGAUUCGUGGCUCCACUAUCAAUAAUCCAACACAUUUUUUAGUAUGGGCAAUUCAGAAUAAUUUUGGAUGAUGGCAUAUUUAUACCUGUGGCAUUUGCAAAAUGUUGUGAAUUACCACCAUUGUUUUUCCGAAUCAUAGCCAUUAAUUGGUUAUAUUCCUCAGUUGUGAGCCUUGGUCCAUCAUUUGUUGGAAGAAGUUUUGCUUCUGUCUCUACAGCCUUAUUUGUUUCCACUUUCACAUUGUUUGCAUUUGAGUGACGUUGAUUGGGAGGCUUCACGUUCUUCCCAUGGAGCUUGUGGCCAAUCGGAAAGCCAUGUAGGUAGUAACACUUCUCAAUGCUGUGAUAAUCACGGUCACAAUAAGAUCAGUGCAGUGGCGUCUUUUGCUUUUGAACCUGGUGUGCUGAAGUCGCCUUAUUGUCCCGAUCUGCAAGCAUGGCAUAAUGGUUCUUGUUCCCAUUAUUGAGAGAAACUUCAACUUGUUUUUCUUGUUGAAGGACAAGUGAGUAAACUCGGCGUGUAUCGGGUAGAGGUUGCAUCAAUAAGAUUUGUUCACGAAUGGCAGCAUAACUAUCAUUCAAUCCCAUGAGAAAUUGCAUAACUCUCUCUUUUUCAUCCAUUUCCUUAAGUUUCUCUAAUCCUCCACAAGAGCAGGAUAACACUUCAUGAUAGGAUGAAAGUUCAUCCCAAAAAGCUUUAAGCUUUGUGUAAUAAACUGAAAUUGAUUGCUGCCCCUGCCUAUGUUCCACAAUGUCUCGCUUGAUCUGAUAAAUUCUUGAAUCAUUUCCUUGCGAAAAACAUUCUCGCAGAUCUGCCCAGAUUUCUAAUGUUGUUUCGGCAUAAAUCACACUACUGGCUAUGUCUGGAUGAAUGGAAUUCAAUAGCCAUGAGAUCACCAUAUCAUUGCAACGUUGCCAAGAAGGAAAACUAUCAUCAGUCGAAGAGGGUGGCUUAAUGGAACCUGUGACGAAUCCAAUUUUUUCUUUAGCACUCAAACUGAUCCUCAUAGCCCGACUCCAUGUGCUGUAGUUAUCUCCUUCAAGUACUUUGGAGACAAGUACCAUACCCGGGUGGUCCGAGUGAUGUAGAGAGAAGGGAUCUAAAGCUUCUGUGGUGGCCUUAGAUGAUGUCAAUCCCAUUUUGUUGAUGUCCAUGGCAGCAGCUGUAACGAGGAAAUAAGUUGUAGAAGCGCUUGGAAGAAUUCAGAGUCACUAGGUUUGGUGCUCUGAUACCAUGUAAGAAAACAGAGUAGAACAGAGUGUUUUGGAAAUCUGGAAAUCUGGUGUAUAUUCCAUUUUACAACUUACAGGGAAGAAGAUGCAUAUAUGCAAAGUAUUGGUUAGUCUAUUCUAGGAAUCUAUGAGCAAACAUAUCAGUUAUAAUCAAUCAAAAUAAUCUUCUAUAUACAAUCAAAUAUCAUCCUCAAAUUACGGGAUCCUUGAUUCCUUUCCCAUAAUAGAUGUCCUCACUCGGCUAUUCUUGGUAAUUUGGUUCAAUCAUUUUGUCUUUGGAUGCUAGAUUGAUCCAAAGUUGCAAUCCCUUUUGGGUUCCUUCACCUGCGGGCAUUUCAGAGUGGAUUAUGCCUCUGCCUGCAAUCAUCCACUACACAUCCUUGUUCGGAUUGUGCCCUUAUGCCCUGCAAAAUCUUGAUGAGUGAAAGCUCCUGUAGACCCUCAAUUUUGUCCCUUUAGCACAUGUCUUUAAAUUCGUUUUCAGUGCUCCACAAUAGUUCCUUGGUGGCCCAUUGCUACUCAUACUACUUACCUUUUUUUUUAGCCACCUCGGAGAUUUUGGUCGAGGGAUUAUCUAACCCCUUAUUAUGACCCUUGGCAGCCCUAUUUUAGACUUAGGCUUUUCAUUCAUUUUUAGGAUAGCUUUUAGGGUAGCUCAUUUAGGCACCCUAGGCCCACUUAGGCACCCUAGGCCCACUUAGGCACUUAGGCCCAUUUAGGCACCCUAGAUCCACUUAGGCACUUAGGCCCAUUAGGUCCACCUUGGCCCACUUAGUCUCAUCAUAGGUCCGUUUAGACACACUUGGCCCAUUUGGACAUUUUUAGCGUGACUUGUAUGACUUGCAUGGUUACAUGGCUUUUGGGCUCGGCUUUUGUUUAUUGGUUUAUUUUUAUUUUAUUUUAUUUUAUUUUUUUAUUUUAUUUUAUUUUUUUAUUUUAUUUUAUUUUAUUCUAUUUUUUUAGUUUUAGUUUUAUAAUUAUCAUUCACUUUUUAUUGGUUAUCUUCCUCUUUAUAUUAUUUUCCUUAACUUAUUUAUUAUUUAUUUUUAUUUAUUUAUUUAUUUAUUUAUUUUUACCGUUUCCUAAUUUAUUUACUUGCUUAUCUGUUCAUUCAAUUAUUUAACUUAAAAAAAUUUCAUGUUUUUGCAAGGAAACUUACCAUUGGAGUUUAAGGAAGGUGGGACUCUCCUUGGAAGGUUUUGGGAGGGGAAUUUGAAAUUGGGAAGAUUGCUUUUGAAUUGGAAUAUUUAAAAAAGGAUAAGGAGAAAAGAAGAGAGAAAAUAGGAGAUUUUGCCUUUUUUAGGGAGAUUUAGGUUUUAGGGAAAGAGUAAUAUAUAUAGGUGAGAAAAGGAAAAAGAUAGGGUAGCACGCAUAGGAGGAUUUCAGAGGGAAGAAGGAAGGAGUGACCGGGGCAAAAGAGGAUUUUUAUAUGAGAAAUCGUCUUCAGAGGUGAGAGGGAAGAUAGCCGGAAGCCAAGCCAUUGCGGCCAUUGCGGCCAAGACUGCCCAGAAUUUAAAAUCCAUUGGGUCUGGAGGAGAGGCACAGAGGAGAGAGGACUUUCAGCAUGCAUUAAGAACGAAGUGGAAUUAGAAAAGAUAAGCAAUCUCUGCUUCUUCAGAAAAGUUCUAAGGUAAGUUUACUGAUGUUUUGUUUUGGCUCAUACUCCCAAUCUAUGUUCCUCAUUUUUAUUUAUUUAGUUAUUUAUUCUUUUGUGACCUAGGACGCUGUUUGCUUGUUGGGUUGGAGAUGGCAUAAACUCCAUGUGAAUCUUGCUGAUUUCUCAUAUAUUAUUACGGAUAUUGUUUCAUUCCCUGCUUUUUUUUUUCUUUUAUCAUUUGAACUCAAUGAGACUCUGUUUUAUGGUAUAUAUUAUUUCAAGAUUUUGGUUGCCCAGAUUCUCUUUACUCCUCCCACCAACCUAAUCUCGUGGAUCGAAAUAUGAAACACGACUUUCUCUAGAUCAUUCUAUUUUCAUCCUCUAUGCUUUCUUUUCUUGGUUGCCUUCUUUUGUUCUUGUGUGUAUUUUCAAGAGAGAGACUGGCAGCAUCCAUGGGGGAAAGAGGGAGAUACGUGACUAUUUGUUAAUUCACUGGAAAUUCACCCGCGUUCGGGAAGGCGCGUAAAGACUGACCUUGUUGAAUCUUGAAGGAGCAGUAGUCGCAACAUUCUGAAGAUGGAGGACCGCAUCAUCCUUAGCGUGAAAAAGGCUGUUUGAAGGGAUAAAAAAAAAAUAGAGUUUUGAGAGUGUAAGAGAGGUGCAAGGUGCAGCCGCACCCUUUAGGAAUUCUUCUGGAACAGCCACAUCUUUGAGGAACUUUCAGCAUCACCCACACCUUUGAGAGAACUUUUGGAACAGCCACAUCUUUGAGGAAGAACGACCAGCCGCACCAUACUUGGGACGCUUUCAGCACGCAUAAGAGAGUCUGACGCCUUUGAAGAAGCAAGAACAACCAGCUGCACCAUUCUUGGGACGCUUUCAGCAUACAUCAGAAGAGAGGGUGACACCAAACGGGAAGAGGAUCAGCAGCCGCACUAAGGGGAAUCCGGGUGAGAGGAGCGAGAUUAUUUUCUGGAAUGUGAGAGGGUGCAGCCGCACCAUUGAGAGGAGGAUUUCCGGAACAGCCGCACCAUUGAGAGGACGAUUUCUGAAUCAGCCGCACCGAGGUUGAGAGGACUUCCGGAGCAGCUGCACUAUAGGAAGAAAGGAAACAUUCAGUCAUGCUCCUAGGCUUCAAAGACCACCAAGAAGAAGUCUUCAGCUACAGUGCAUGGGCAGCCACCACACCAUGGAUCCUUGGUAAUGAUUCUUUUAAAAUAAAAUAAAAAAAAAAAUAGAAAUCCUACUAGUGGAAAGUGACCUACACGUUUCGGAAAAGGUGAAUUUAUCCUUCCUAUUUCAAUUUUGAUUCAUGAAAUAUUCAGUUCAAUACAUAAUUGUUUUAGAGAUUUAUCUAUUUAGUUUAAUUAUUUCCUGAUGAAAAUUUAUUAGUUUUAAAAUUAUUCCCAUUCAAUCUUUGUAUUUUAAAUUUUUAUUGUAAAUUCAUGUUUAGCUUAGAUGUUAAUCUUUAAUUUAUUUUUAAAAUUUUCCAUAUCUAAAUAAAUUAAUUAUUAUUGAUUCAUUAUUCUAGCUUGAAGAUUAUGAUUUUUGUUUAAUGUAGUUACAAUUUAUUAUUCUUAGUUUGACAAAUUAGAUUUUUUUUUUUAAAUAUUGGUUUAGGCAAUUUUUGUUGAUAAUGGAAAGGUUAGGAUUUUUUUUAAGAGUUUGGGCAAUUCAUUAUGAUGGUUUAAAAUUUAGAAAUUUGAUUAACAUUAUUAAAUAUUGGUUUAAGCAAUUCUUGUUGAUAAUGGAAAGGUUAGGAUUUUUAAGAGUUUGGGCAAUUCAUGAUGAUGGUUUAAAAUUUAGAAUUUUGAUUAGCAUUAUUACUAUUAUUAUUUUUUUCUCAAUUAGGAAAUUCAUAAUUUCUUUUAGUUUGGUUUUAAUUUAUCUUUUAGUUUAGAUGUUAUUAAAAUUCAGUUUAUUAGUUCAAUUGAUUCCAUGUCACAUCUUUCCAUAUCUAAAGGUUGUUAAAUUUAAUUCAUGAUUCAUUCUUUUAGUUUAUUAAUUUUAGAAUUUAAGUUGGUUAAUUUAUUUCAUUCCACGUUGAUAUAUUCAUGUUUUAAAAUAAAUAAAGAAAAAAAAUUAUUAUUUUAGUUUUGAUUGAUCCUGCUUUAGUUGAUAUUCUUUAGAGUUUUAAUUAAUUCGAUUGGUUUCAUAUUGUUUAGUUUAUGUUAAGAUUUUUUUAAUUCCAUUUUUCUAUUAAUUCUAUGCUUGAAAGUACAUAUCUUUAGUUUGCUUUGAUUUAGUUUGGCUCAUUUUAAUUAGUUUAAGCAUUUUUAUAAUUGUAGUUCAUUAGUAAAAUUAAUUCUAUGUUUGAAAGUUCACAUUUUUAGUUUAAUUUAGUCAAACUCGUUUUAAUUAGUUUAGGUACUUCUAUAAUUUUAGUUCCUUACCUGAAUUGAUCCAUUUUUAGUUUUUGUUUCAAAAUCAUUAAUGUUAGAUCCUGAUCACCCUUAUCUAAAUUUAUAUGCUUUUAAAAUCCUAGCGGUUAGUUCAUGAAUCGAUACCUUGUUAGCUUGUCUAAUCUAGAAUGCUUUGCUUGUUGCUUUAGUGAUCCUUCAUUUAAUUUGAUUUCUUUUUCUGAGGCUUUUGGAAACUCAUGAAGAUUAGCCUCCAUUCUCACCUUCAAUUUUCUUGAUUGUCAAAAAUUCUACUUUGUGAUUUUGUUCUCUUUUGUUUUGCUUGAUAUUUUGAUUCAUACACUUUAUUGCUUUCAAAUUAAUUUCUUUUUAUUUUUAAAAUAUAACACUAUUCUCAAAAUCUCAUUUUCCUUAAAAAUUCAAUUCAAAAAUUCAUUUAGAGUUUCUUAGAGUCAAAAGAUCCCCUUAACAAUCCAUUUCAAAAAUUCAUUUAGAGUUCUUAGAAUCAAAAUCUCAUUUUUUAAAAUAAUGUGCAACCAUGUUUUGAUCGGUUCACAUCUUUCAAAUAAAAUUACAGUUUUGAAUAAAACACGAAUCAAAGCUUGUGGUCCCAAAUAAAUGGGAUAAUUCUAAGCUAAAUUCGUGUAUAUUAAUUUGGGGAAUUGGUGAAACCCCUACAUAAGAAAAUCUUUUCAAAAUUUAUUUUUGUUGCCACAUUUGACACUUGUUGAAAUCAUGUUUAUCUAUUUUUUUAGGAAUUAUAUACAAGAUGUAUGUGAUAAUUGAUGAUUCUGUAUACUUUGAUCACUUUUGCUAUGCUAAUUAGAUAACGAGCAUGCUAGGAUUUCUAUAUUUUAUUAUUUGUUAUCUAACCCCUUACAACUUGAGGAAGCACGUUACAAAUUAUCUAUGCUAUCCAGGUAUGUCCUCUAUCACCCACUUUCUGAAUCCUAUGAAUAUGCUUGUCAUUGUGAAAUAAUGCUUAUGUCUAAUAAUGCUUGAGUGUUCUGAUAUACAUGUUUCAUUGUUUGAUUAUUUCUAAUAAAAUACAUGCUGGAUGAUAUAUUGUUUAAAUUAACCAUCAAUGUUUUAUGAUAGCGCUUGAGAAGCGGUCCGAGUACGCAUCCUGACCUUCCUUUAUUAUGAUUUGAUCUUGUUUGGCAUGCUAUUUUUUGGAACCACCUAGCCUACUUAGGUAUCCAUAAUUAAACCGAUUAAUUGCCACAUUCCCCUUAACUUAGUUAGUAGAGACCUUUAGAGGGCUCAGAGGGGUGCUACCUUUUAAAGGUACCUUCCCAAUAGGUAACCUGAUCCCCGGACUUAGACUCGGGUUUUUCAAAGACAUGCUUUUUCCAAAAAUUAUGGAGUCACAUUUUAGGAUUUUUCUUUCUUGUUUUAUUUUCCCUUUAAAAUAAAAAUAAAAUAAAUGGCGGCUCCAACCUUUUUCCAAAAAUUAAUUUUUCACAAAUAAAAAAAAAAAACGAGUCUCGCUGAUUGAGUGGGGACACACAUGAAAAAUGCGAGUCCACAGCUCCCUGCAGCAUGUAUGUAACAGUCUCAAAGCCUCAGUAUGGAUGAUUUGGAAAAUUAGUAGGCGGUGCAACUGUGAACUCAUCCAACUUGAGAAAAGGAUCCUGGUUUUUCAAUUCACUCCUUCCAAUGCUCCGCCUAACAACAGCACCCUCACCCUCACAUUGAGGCUUGGCCAAGACCUUCUUGACCACCAACCUUGGCUGAUCAAAACCAGAGGAAUGAUCUGAUCCAGACAUGAUUUUUCUCAUGAAACAAGAAACUCUGCUUGGUUGGUAUUGAUUCAAUAACAGUAACCCAUAGUUACAGCUCUCAUACAAGUGUAUUCCUUGUGUUUCUUUUUUGUAGAUGGCUUUCUCAGAUCCCCCUUGCUGCAUGUAUGUCUUUGCCUUGCUCAUAAUCUUCCCAAAGAAAUCCUAUGCAAUUUUUCUCCUCAUGCAAGAACAGAAUAACAUAAAGUUAAUAAAGGUAAAAGAAAAGAGAAGAAACUAAUGAAAAAUUUUGAGAUUGGUAAUAAAACGAAAUACGAUUUUAAAAGAAAAGAAAGAGAAAAGAAAGAGAAACCAGGUUAUAUAAUUCCACCAUUCAAUCAAGGGUUAUUUUCACAUUUUGGAGUCUAAACAAUUCGAGCAAUUUCCUAUUAGAUGAGUGAAUAAAUAAAAUAAAAAUAAAAAUAAAAAUAAAAAUAGUAAUAAUAAUAAUAAUGACAAUGAUAAUGAUAAACAAAUAAAGAGUAAAAAAAUGAAAAUGAAUAAACAAAAUAAAUAUAAUUAUCGAAUGCAUGCAAUAAUAAUAAUAAUACUAAUAAAAGUUAUAUAUAUAUAUAUAUAUAUAUAUAUAUAUAUAUAUAUAUAUAUAAGUUAAGCCCGAUGAAGUGUUUAAACGGGCCUAAGUGGGUGCCUAAUGAGCCAAGUGUCAUAAAGUGAUCGGGAUAUUGUCUACGUGACCUAAACAUGCCUUAGAACUAUCCUAAAAAGGAAUGAAAAGCUUAAGUCUAAAUCAAAACUGCCAAGAGUCACAAUAUGGGGUUAGGCAAUCCCUCAACCAAAGUCUCCGAUGUGGCUCAAGAAAGGUAAGUGGUGUGAGUAGCUAUGGGCCACCAAGGAACUGCUGUAAAGUAUCGAAUAAGUAUCUAAUAGGACAUGUGCUAGGAGGACAAAAUUGAGGGUCUACACUUUCCUUGCCUAUUCUAGUCUCAUGAGGCAACUAAGACCCAUUCAUCCCUCUUGAUGGUCCUAUAAAUUUGAAGAAUCCAACUUGGAUCUCUCUAGAAAUGUAUGGAGCCUGUAGAGUCUAUCUGGAAGGGCAACAAGUGUUCAGUCUUGAGGUGCUUGAUUUGACAGAGGAAGGUCUCAUGAAGAUGUUUGUUGUUGGGGUCUCCCAAUUUACCCCGCUCUCAUUAGCUAUCUUAUACCCAACCCCAAUAUUCACAUUCUAGGCUCACUUGCAUGAUUUUGGUUUGCAUGGCCACCUCUCUAGGCCCAUUUUCAUAGCCCAUACCUGAAUGCAUGUCUCCAAAACCGAUUUUUGAAAAAUCCAAUUUUCACAUGAUUUAAUUCACAACUCUUCAUACAUCUCUAGAGUUUUCAGGAUCACCCAAAAGUCCCAAUUUAAUAAAAUUUGUUGCCAUCUUUCUUUCUGGCAAGCAAUUUUCACAUCUCCUUUGAUUUUUAAAAAUGUUUUAAAAUAAAUGUGAAUUAAAUUUCGUAAUUCCAAGUGAUGGGAUUUAUGGAAUUGAUUGAUGCAAAAAUAAAAUGGGCUUUGGUGGGGGCCCAACAUCAAUGAAUGUUUACUUUGAAAAUGAAAUUGAGUGAAGUGCGAUAUCUGAUGAUUUAUUAUCUUGUUUAGCGAUGCAUGUGACAUAUUUUAUGCUCAUUAUUGUGCACUAAUCCCAUUUCUUGAUAGCGUAUUAUGGUUCGCUACUAAGGUAUGCAAUCACUCUCAAUUUGAUCUUUUUCCAUGCAUGUUUUGGCUUUUAGUGUGUGAUCAUGUUGAUAUCCAUUGAUUUCCUCACCAAUUGCCAUGAUUGCUUCAUCUUAUUAGUAGAGACCUGUUUUUAAGGACUUAGAGGGGUGCUACUAUCUUUACCGUACCUUCCUGAUAAGUAAUCUAACCCCCGAACCCCGAUUUGGUUUUUUAUGGACCAUCUUUUCCGAAUAAGGAGUCACACUUAGGGUUUUCUUUUUUAUUUUUUUUUUGCCAUUUAAAAAUAAAACAAAAAUAAGUGGCGACUCUAAGUCAUUUUAAAAAAAAUAAAAUAUUUUUCAAAUAAAAAACGAGCUCGCCAUCGAAUGGAAGUGCAUGAGCCGAAAUACGAGGUCCAUAGUAUGUAUUCUAUAUAUAUUAUUUUUAUCAUUAUAAAAUUAUUUACAAAAACAUUAAAUCAAAUAAAUUUAAAUUGACUCACUAAUUACCUUUCCAAACAUUAUAUAUCUCCAUCUAUUAUUUUUAUAUAUCAACAAUCACUUGCCUACGUACACCUUCACACAUGGUUUUAAAAACCGGACCGGACCGGCCGAUCACGGUUUCGGUCCGAUCCGAUCAAGUAGCCCGGAAAAAGGUUGAACCAAAAUUGGACCGGUUGAACCAGUGGUUUGACCAACGAAUUGGACGAACCAAUCGGUUCAAUCCCUCCUCCUCCCUUCAGCAACCUUUUUGGGAGCUGGCCACUGUCAUCGGCACGGAGCUACCACUAUCGUCGGCACAAAGCUCCCCUAUCGGCAUGAAGUUGCCACUGAAAUGCCCCCCACCCCAUCCUCUUGCAAUGUUGUGAAGCCCUCCACUGGCGGCCGUCCUUCCAAAAACCUCUCUAGGAGUUGGCCACUGUCGGCGACACGGAGUUACCAUUGUUGUUGGCAUGGAGCUCCCUCGUCGGCAUAGAGGUGCCACUAAAACGCCCCUACCCCACCCUCUUGCAGUGCUGUGAAGCCCUCCCCCAGCAGCACCCGCUGUAAACCCCACCCCCCCCGGUUGACACUGACUAUAAAUCCCUCUCUCCCUCACCCCGCGUGUUAAAAGUUAAAACCCCCCCUCCUCCUACUACAGCCUGCAACACCCACCCCCACCCCCACCCCUAGCCCCCCAUCCCCUAUGCUCAAUGUGUUGGGAUUUAUUUCAAAAAAUAAUUUAUAUAUAUAUAAAUUACAUAAUUUUUUUUCAUUUUUAAUAUGUCUUUAUUCUUAAAUAGUUAAAUACAAUUUCUUUUAUCAUUUUCAAUAUAUUUUCAUAUUUAAAUAUUAUAUAUAUUUUGUUUAAUAACAUCAUAAAUAUUAUUAAUUUUGAAUUAUAUAUUUUAAAUUAUAUAUUUAUGACAUCACCGGUUCGACUAGUGAACCAUAAAUCGAUAAAUUUUUCGAUUCAAUAUCCGAUCCAAUUUUGAAACAUUGUCUUCACAUGCAUCUUAUGUGUUUUCUACUAGUGUGUAUAUGUACAAAAUGGGUCGCCCAUUUUGUGGGCUUGGCCAUUUUGAAUUUUUUUUUUGCCCUUUUUCUGUGUGAGCUGACGUCAUCACCCCCCUCCUUUUUUUUUCCUCCCCCUUUACAAGGACUCCCUCUCCCCCAACCCCCACAUCUUUUCUUUUUCAUUUUGCUCGCCCCCCAUCCCAGCUGCUCCCUCUCUCCCCGACUCUUUUUGGACCUCGAUUUCAGUAUAUAAUUAUUUUAUUUUUCAUUAAUUAUUUUUUUAAUUAAAAAUUUUCAUUUUUUUUAAUAAGGAAACUUGAAAUACAGUCAUAUUCCUAUUAAUUUAAUAUUUUUUUCAUUUACUUAACGUGACAUUACAUUUAAUUCGUUAUAAUCUAAAUUAGUUCUCAUUUUAAAAACUUCAAACAGUUGAAGUAACAAUAUUAUUUGACCUUAUUACAAUAAAAUGUAAUCUUCAAAAAAUAUAAGGUUUUUUUUAAAAAAAAAAAACUUAGAACAACUCAAUUCCCAAUUUUCCAAUCAAAAUCCCAAUGGAUUUGACAGCUAAAAUUCAUUCCAAAUUCAAUUUCCAGAAUUUUCCUUGUUUUCCUUUAAUCUAAUCUCCACUUUGUAAUUAAUUAAACUCCAACUUAAUACCAUUCCCAACCUUAUUCAAUAAUUAAUCAACUGUGUAAAAUUAAUCGCCCCUAUCAUGCCUCAUUUCUCCUAUUUUGAACUUUCCUCGUCUUCUCUUGGUCUUUUAAUAGUUCCGGUCACCAUGUUGAGCAUACUGCUGCAGUUGACCAAUAUUAAAAAUUGGUAAGAACAGUAGGUAGAUCCAAUUUCCUGGUAGUGGUAGUCACCAAUCUUCCAAUAUUAGUCUCCUUCCUUCUUUUCCUAUACUUGAUCUUUCAAUACCCACAAAGAAUCUCUGAACAUUAUUUUUCUCCCUUUUGCAUCAGAAUUGUUGUGAAACAAUAUCGGUAACGUGUGUUCCAUCUCAAUCUCCAUAGACAAUAUGAUCUCUGGCUGCUGGGCGGCUACAGGUGGUCAAGCAACUUAUGUUUGUGAAUUCGAAGAAAAGUUUGAUGCUGUGAAGCUGGCAUUAGAAGAUUUAAAAGAUUUCAGAAAUGACAUGAAGAGAAAGAUUGACACGUUUGAGGAACAACGAUUGGAACAACUUGACCAAGUGCGGAGGUGGUUUUCGAGGGUGGAAGAUGUGGAAACUGAAGCCAGUCAACUGAUAAAAGAUGGUACUACUGAAAUUCAGAAGCUUUGUCUGGGAGGUUAUUGCUUCAGAAAUUGCAUAUCUAGUUACAGAUUGGGGAAGAAACUAGCCAAGAAGGUUGAAGACUUAAACAAUCUAAGAAGCACAAGGCUUUUUGACAUGGUAGCAGACAGAUUACCUCCAGCUUCAGUGGAUGAAAGACCCAGUGAGCCAACCGUGGGCAUGAUGUCCAUCUUCAAUAAGGUUUGGAGUUGCCUUGGAGAAGAGCAAGUGGGAAUCAUUGGUUUAUAUGGGUUGGGUGGCGUUGGGAAGACAACCCUUUUGACCCAAAUCAACAAUGAGUUCCUCAAAACAACUCAUGAUUUUGCUGUUGUGAUCUGGGCUGUGGUGUCACGAGAUCCAGACUUUCCCAAUGUUCAAGAUGAAAUUGGGAAAAAGGUUGGGUUUUGUGAUGGUAUAUGGAGAAAUAAAAGCAAGGAUGAAAAAGCCAUAGACGUCUUUAGAGCCUUGCGCAAAAAGAGGUUUGUGUUGUUGUUAGAUGACAUAUGGGAGCCGGUAAAUCUAUCAGUCUUGGGAGUUCCAGUUCCAAAUGAAGAAAAUAAGUCCAAGCUAGUAUUCACAACCCGAUCCGAGGAUGUAUGCCGACAAAUGGAAGCUGAAAAGAAUAUCAAAGUGGAGUGCUUGGCAUGGCAGGAAUCCUGGGAUUUGUUUCAGAAGAAGGUUGGACAAGACACUCUUGACUCCCAUGCAGAAAUCCCCAUGCUAGCUGAAAUAGUUGCCAAAGAAUGUUGCGGAUUGCCACUGGCACUGGUUAUCAUAGGCCGGGCCAUGGCUUGCAAGAAGACAACCGAGGAAUGGAAUUAUGCAAUUAAAGUGUUACAAGGAGCGGCUUCAAUUUUUCCAGGUAUGGGGGACAGGGUGUUUCCUAUUCUAAAAUUCAGUUUCGAUAGUUUACCAAGCGAUGCAAUUAAAUCUUGCUUCUUAUAUUGUUCCUUAUUCCCUGAAGACUUCAACAUUCAAAAGAAAAUUUGAUAGCUUAUUGGAUUGGCGAGGGAUUUCUACAUGAAUUUGAUGACAUAGAUGAAGCUAGGAACCAGGGACACAACAUUAUUGGUAUUCUUCUUAAUGCAUGUUUAUUGGAGAAGAGCUCCCGAGAUAUUAUAAGAAUGCAUGACGUGGUUCGUGACAUGGCAUUGUGGAUAGCUUGUGAGCAUGGGAAGGUGAAAGAUGAGUUUUUUUGUGAGAACGCGUGUUGGGUUAAUAGAAGCACCUGAGUUUACCAGAUGGGUGAGUGCCAAAAGGAUAUCAUUGAUGGAAAACCGAAUUGAGAAGUUGACCAGAGCUCCUCCAUGCCCGAAUCUCUUGACUUUGUUUCUGGAUCGUAAUAAUUUGAGAAGGAUAACCAAUGGUUUUUUCCAAUUUAUGCCUGAUCUAAGAGUUUUAAGCUUGUCAAGAAACAGAAGGUUGACUGAGAUACCAUUGGAAAUUUGCAAUUUGGUUUCAUUACAGUAUCUUGAUUUAUCACAUACAAACAUAAGGCUUCUACCAAUUGAGCUUAAGAACCUGCAGAAUUUGAAGUGCUUGAACUUGAAUUUUACGCAAAUACUUAAUGUAAUCCCAAGACAUCUAAUAUCAAGUUUUUCCUUGUUGCGAGUGCUGAGAAUGUACAGCUGCGAUUUUUCUGAUGAAUUGACCAAUUGUAGUGUUCUCUCUGGUGGUAAUGAAGACUUGUUAGAGGAGUUGGAGAGUCUAAAGCAGUUGCAUGAUUUAAGUAUCACACUAGAAAGUGCAACUGCUCUCUUACGAAUCUGUGACUCCAAGUUACAAAGCUGCACUCGAGAUGUAUACCUCAAGAUUUUGUAUGGAGUGACAUCUCUCAAGAUAUCAUCUCCAGAGAAUAUGAAGCGCCUUGAAAAGCUUUGCAUCAGUAAUUGCAGUACUUUGGAAAGUUUGGAGAUUGAUUAUGUUGGAGAAGAAAAGAAGUUAUUAGCAUCUUACAAUCUCCACAACUCAAUGGUGAGAAGCCACAAAUGUUUUAACAGCCUUAAGCAUGUUCGAAUAGAUUCCUGCCCGAUUUUGAAGGACCUAACAUGGCUUAUUUUUGCUCCAAACCUUAUUCAUCUUGGGGUUGUGUUCUGCCCCAAAAUGGAAAAAGUACUAAUGCCUUUAGGGGAAGGGGAAAAUGGGAGCCCAUUUGCAAAACUUGAAUUGCUAAUUUUAAUUGAUCUGCCAGAGCUGAAGAGCAUCUACUGGAAAGCUUUGAGGGUCUCUCACCUGAAGGAAAUCCGUGUACGUUCAUGCCCACAGUUGAAGAAGCUGCCACUCAAUUCAAAUAGUACCGCUGGAUGUGGCACUGUGAUUUAUGGAGAAAAAUAUUGGGCAAAUGAGUUAGAAUGGGAGGAUGAAGGAUCACGACAUGCUUUUCUUCCUUGUUUCAUAUCUUGGUGAUAGGUGGGAGUAAUGUAAUGGAAUAGGCUUGGAUUUGAUCAUCACAGAUGAGGCUAGCUAUCAUUUCAUCCCCUUCAGCAAGGUAACAUUUACUUCUCAUGGUUUCGAGACUUUUUCGAGAACAAUGAUAUGAAAUUUAGUACUAAGUUUUUCUAUUUUUUUUUCCCUAUUAUUUUUGUAGCACUUAAGAAGUCUUGCCAAUGCAUCCAUGUAUACAGGGAGAUAAAUUAAGCCGGUGACUUUAUACCUGCCUACUUCCAUCCUUCUAAUAACAGAGACAUAUACACUAAAGGAGAAUUUCCCCGCUUGUACCAUCGUUUAUGUCUGAGAUGGAUAAUAAAAACAUCAAAUUUACUAAAAGAAAAAAAUCGGAUGCAUGUUGUCCAUAACGAACGAGAUUACAAAUAAACAAAAUUACAUGAAUAUUAUGUGCCCACAUACAGAUUUCAGAUUCAUUCUUAUUCUUUUUUCUUUUUCUAUUCUUAUUUUUAUUUAUUUAUUUAUUUGUGCUUUUCUUCUGGUGUUUUUUCAGGGUCCUAAGACAAACAGAUUGAUAACAUUGUCCCUUCCCCCCAUCCCCCCUUUGGCAAGAGUGACGAUGUCAGAUAGAUUUUCUCAAUCUGCAACCCUAAAGUUCUAGAUGAUUCACCAAGCUUUCUCACCAAGCGUGGUGCCACUGGACCCUGACCUAUUACCCAGCAAGCUUGGACGUGAAGUGUAAACUAUGUUAAGGCAGGGGAACAGGGUGAAAUAAGCAGGCAAAAAGGAGUCAAGCCCAGGCUGUUCAUUACUUGGACUGCUCAUUUUCCAAAUCUUGGCAGUUGCAUUAGGUGUUUUUAUCCUACCCCUCAAAGAAAAAGAUAGAUUUCUCUGUCAUUAGGUGCAAUUGAACUUGGUCUAAACUCUUUUUUUUUUUCCCCUUAAUCCUCUUAUCGAGCUCCAUAACCCAUAACCCAAGUGGCCAAACCCCUCAAGACUGUUGCAGCAUCUGUAUCAUAAAUGAAGUGGAGGUAUUAUAGGUUUCUAAGCUUGGGAUCCAAAAAUAGCAAAAGGUAGCCUCGAUCGGUUGAGCUAGGGGUCGAUCGGUUCACUAGCAGUUGGAGCAUUAAAUGCUUUGGUAGGUUACCUUUGCCUCGAUCGGAGGUUGAUCGAACCUCAACCGGGAAGGGGUGAACCUCAACCGAGAAGAGGAAGCUACUGGAAGAGAGAUAGUGUUUUUUACACUCCUCGACCAGACCUCAAUCGGACAAGGGUAACAGGUCAACCAAUUCCUUAUCCAGUUGAGCCGGUUGGCCAGAGCCUCGACCGGUUCAGUCUUUUGGCCCCAAAAACCUAUCUUUUUCAAUUCCUUUCUUUUCUAACACUUAGGCAAGACCUUUAGGUGAAUUAAUAUGCCAAUUUUAAAAUGUUUUGCCUAAGGUACAUUUGAUAAAACUUGGGUUUUAAUGAAAUCGAAAUUUUAAAGAAUAAACAGAGUUUUCAAAGAUGUAUGAAACAGUAUGAAAAACCUAAGUGCACCCAUGCAUUCAUUUUACAUUUGUUUCCUAUGAUCAAAAGUCUUCAAAAAGUCUCGAUCUUGUAUCAAUUUGGUCCUUCAAUGAAUUUCUGAAUUUAUACAUGAGAUUCUUUACCAUUCAAAUCAAUUAGUCACUUAACCAUGGUUUGUUAUAAUCAAAACCCGAUUAGGAGAACCCUUGGGCUAACAACCUCUAUCGAUGGUGGUGAUGAUGCAACAAGUGGUACUAUAGGUGGGGUGGAUGACACCUCCAUAGGUAUAAUAGGAGUCUCCUCAACAAGUGGCAAGCUAAUGUCAGUCGAUGGUGCAUCUUUAAGAACAGAUGUAUGCCUAGUCCCUCUUAUAUGAGCUCCUCCCUCUUUAGUUCGUACAUCUCCUAAUCGAGUAAUGGAUGAUAUCAACUGAUGAUAAGGUGGUGGACUAAUGUCAAUCGAUGGUCACACUCGGGCAACAACUAAUGUAUGCCUAAUCUCCCUCGUACGAGGCCCUCAUCGUGUAGGUCAUACAUCUCCUGAUCGAGGUUGGAGCUACGUAGUAGCAUCAACACUAAAUGGAGCAUCUAAGCGAUCCAUCUCAUGUAUGACCUCUAAUACGUACAUAGUCAGCGAAUGCAAAAAUCAUCUAAACAUGCAAUUUCAUAUAUCUGGUGUAUGCUGGUAGUCUAUAAGUCAAAUAAGAGUUAAAUUAAAUUCUUAUAAAAAUAAAAUAAAGUUUAAUAAAAAGAUAAAACAUGAAAAUUAUUAGUAGCUCAUGGAAGGACCCAGUCUGAGUAAGAAUCCCAUUUUGCCCCAUGAAAUUGAAUUUGCCACCGCUGGUAGCAUUUCCUAGUGAAGAAUCCCAUUUUACCCUCAUUGAAUCUGCCAUUCUCAAUCCUCGCAGGUACUAAUAUAAUCAUGUUAUUUUUUUAUUUUUUUUGCAACACCUGUUUGAUUCCUAAGAAAAUCCAUCCCCAUUUGAUUUCCAGGAAGAUUCAUCCUCAUUUGAUUUCCAAGAAAAUCCAUGCAAAACCCCUAAUGAAAACCAAAAAAAAAAAAAAAAAAACCUUUUUCUGGAUCUAUUCUAGGGGUCUCUUUGCUUUUGUGCCAUUGAAUUUAAAUUUCAUGAACCUUAAAUCCACGAUUUUUGAGCCAGGCUGAAAAACACAACCUUUCCUUGCAAAUCAUGAUCAGGUUACCAAAUACCAUCUUAUGUUUUUUUUAUAAAAAAAAAUGGACAAAUUUUGUAUCCUGUGCACGGGCUAGACCGGUAAGAAAUAUUAGGAAAUUUCCCAAAAAUUACCGAAAUUUCCUUUGAUCAAUAAUUGGUGAUGAAUAUUGUGUCGAAGUCGGUCGAUAAAAAAAUGAAAACAAAAUUUUCAACUUUCCCACACUUUCUUGGCAACCAAAUACAAUCACAACAAGUCGAACCACAAAAAAAAAAUGAAAACUUUCUCCAUAAUUUUUAGUCUACUCGGUUUCAUUGUAAAAAAAAAUGAAAACUUUAUUUUUUUUCAACUUUCCCACACUUUCUCGGUGACCAAACACAACCAGACCACCAAAUAUAACCACAAACUUACAGAAAACACCGAGGGCAAUGGUCUCUCAGAUCUGUACUUCACUUCCUUCCUAUUGGUGUUGAGGCAAGGAUUUCCACUCCAUGAUCAGCGUGAGGGAAAAUUGAUUUUCGGGUAUAGGACAAAAUGAGUUUUGAGGCAGAGAAGAAAACGGGUUGGGGGGAAAUGGGUUUCCAUUUCUUUUUAAAUAUAAAAUGCUAUUUUUUUCCACUCUCAUCCUACAUGUUAAAAAGUGUCGUGGAAUUGGAAUUAUUUUCCAAUCUACAACAUUUUACAAAUUACUUUCCCCAAUAGCCAUACAUUUAUCAAAAUCCCAACUCCACCACCUCUUUUUCUUUUUGGCAAAACAACCCACAUUUCCCUUAGCCUAGUGUCUACUCCUAUGAUGGAGUUUUCUUAGCAAAAUAGCCUAAGAAAUUCUGCAAUGAGCCCUAUGGCCCAACCUAACAUCCAAUUAAUUUGUAAGGGAUGGAAAGAGGUUUAUAAAUCUAUUUAUGCUUCCUCUCACUCCCGAUGUGCGAUCAACGUGAAGAAAUUUAAGGAAAACCUCAACUUUUUUUAUUGCAAGAAGGAGAGCUUGAACCAUAGACCUCAAGAUUCCCAAUACAAUAUUAUCCACUUUGCUACAACCAUCCUUUCACUGAAAUUUAACAAGGAAAAACUAUAUAGGUUAUUUUAAAAAAUAAUUAUAAAUAUAAAUACAAAUAUAUAUAUAAAAUUACACAAUACAAUUUUUUUUUUUUCAUUUUCAAUAUGUUUAAUAUUUAAAUAUGAUUUUUACCAUUUUCUUUUCAUAUUUAAAUAUUGUAUAUAUUUUGUUUAAUAAAUUAAAAAUGUUAAUACAUUUAUAUAAAAAUGAAUAAAUAAUAUUACAAAUAUUAUUAAUUUUUAAUUAUAUGUAUUUAAAAUUAUUUUUAAUUUAAAUAAAAUAUAAAUUAUAUAUUUAUGACGUCAUUAGUUCGACCACCGGUCUGACCAGUGAACCCUGUAUCAAUAACUUUUCUAGUUUAAUAUCCAGUCGGGUAUUGAAAACACUAACAUUAACAUGUUUCAAGAAAAAAAAAACUUAAAGAGAAAUUCUAUACUGAAGUUUGAUGAUAAGAUCAUUUUGUUCAUCUUUUAUCAUCAUUGACAAGUAUAAAUAUCCUUUGAAAAAUUAUGUUGAUAUCUUUAAUAAGUAUAAAUGUCCUUAGGAAAAUUAUGUUGGUAUUAGCUUGUACAUCGAGGAUGUUUCAAUAUUGUCAAUUAAAGAAACCUCAAGGUCAGGCUUUUUGCUAUUACUAUCCAAAUAGCAUAUAAGUUUAAGUCACAAAAAAAAAAAAAAAAAAACUAAAAGGGAAAGGAAAAAAAAGAAAAACAAAAAAACAAAAACCAAUCACAUUGGGUAGCAAUAUCAAUAAAUAAAGGCCUUUGACAACUAGUCGCUAUACUUAUUUCCAUGCAACCAUGAAAUAUAUGUUUGUUUUUCUUUGAGCAACAAAAUAAUGGAAGUUGUCAACAUAACAUAGGUUUGAUUAGUAGUCAACUUUCCUUUAAAUUUUUUAUUCUUCUUCCUAUCAUCCUUGGAAUCUCUCACAUACUAAUAGAAAAUGCAUGCUCAGACCCAAUCUCAACUAACAACAUCAUUGGACACUAUCGUUGCUACACUAUCAUCCAAGAAAAUUAUAUAAGCUUGAAGAAAACCAAUAAGAUUUGAGAAGUACUAUUGCAUGUGCUUGCUAAGUCAUAUAUGUGGAAGUCAAGUUAUAUGCAAAAAGACCAAGUCUUGCUUGUUUUGUUUGAAUGGUUCUUUUGUUUUGAAGAUGUUAUUUUUGUUAUUAAAGGUGAGAAUGUGUAAGUCAUUGCCUUUAUUUCUUUGCUAGAUUGUUCCUUAUUUGUGAGGAACUUAAUAUUAGAAUUAUGGAUAUUUAAGUGUUUAUCUCAAUGGAAUAAGACGUGAACUUUAUAUCUUAUCAAUUUUUUAGUUGUAUUAGUAGGGGUUGACCCCUCAAGUGUUAACAAAUUUCUUUAUAUCUUUUAAUUUUCUUAUCUUUUUCUUAACCCACUUAUGAGCAUAUCAAUUAUACAAAAGAAUAAGCAAGUAGAGGAAUCAUUUAAAAAGGAAGAUGGUUCUAGUUGGAUCUUAGAGGGUCUAGGGUUUAGGCUUUUGUUAGUAACAUUUCUACCAGAAUCUUUUAUAAAACACAAUUAAUGUUUAAAUAUAAAAAUAAAAGAAUUAUUUUUUAUAGUAUCUUUUGUCAUGUGUUAUUACACAUUAUGAUAACACAAUUAAUGUUUGAAUACGAAUUAAAAGAAUUAAAAUUGGUUAGAAUUUUUGGGCUUAAUAUUGGGCCUCCAUUAUGAAUUGGUUUUCCUAAUUUGCCUAAGCCUUGUUGUCUAGGAUAAGGUUGAAAAAAUACAAAAUAAAAUAUUUGGAUCAAGAUGAACAUUCAAACAUCCUUAGACAUUUAAAUGUUGGGACUUUCAAAUUAGUUUCCUUCUUUUUUUCUAACUAAAAAAUCUCAAUUUUGAAAUGUUUUAAAAUUAAGAAACUCUCUAUAAUUGUUUGUUAAGGUUUUUCUAACGUAAAGUAGUUUGUUUUAUUGAAAUUUUGUGAACUCCCAAAAACUCUAGAGAAUAUAAUCAUUCUUAAAGUUUGUAACUCCAUCUUUUGAACCUUAUAAGAUAUUUCUUGAAAGAACCUCUUGUCUAUAAUAAAGGUUAAAGACUCAUACAACAAAACUUCAAUAAGGGCCUUAAGAGAUCUACUAAAGAGCACAGGGAAUAUUGCAUCAAGAAUUUGGAAGGCAUGUAAGUACUAUUGGUAUAAGACCCUAUAGAAUAGGUAAUCAAGUAAAAAUAUUAUAUAUAUAUAUAUAUAUAUAUAUAUAUAUAUAUAUAUAUGUAUUGUUUUCUCAUAUUUAGUAGGUUAUUUAACGGUUGAGAGACCAUACUCGCAAUUUUUUACAUUUAGGCCACAGGUUGGUUUUUCCAUAUUAUAUCCUGUGUUUAUUAUGUGAUUGGGAAUCCAUGGGAUUCAUUAAAUUUUUAAGGUAUUCAACAAUUAAUUUUUUUAAUUAAUUUAGAGAUAUCCUAAAAUUAUACAAAAAUUCACACAACUAUCUUAAUAUGUCUAUUUUAAAUAAAUAAAAAUAAUAACAGAGCAAUAUCACAUUUAUAACAUAUUUAAAAAUAAACAAACAUCUAUCAACUCUAGAAGAAUACUUGUGUAGUGGGUGUAAAAAAAACCAAAAAUCAUAUCUCUCAUUUCAUAAAUCAUUUCUUAAUAUUUAAUGCUUCAAAAAUUACAUAUAGGAAGUAUGGAUUAAGAAAAAAAUGUUCAAAGAAAUUAAAGAAAUCGUUUAAUAAUUUAAUUUUUCAAAACAAAACUAAAUGUCAAAAACAGAGUGAAAAUUGAACCUUCUCAAAUAUUGAUUUAUAUCUUCUAAUUAGAAAAUUAUUUUUGACUCAAACAAAAUUCUAAAAUCAAAUUCAAGAAGUUUACAACACCGUGGAAUAAUUAGAAAAAAUUUAAAGAGUUUAUAAAUAGUCAUAUUCCCAUUUACCAAUUCAAAAGUACAAUCAGUUGUCAAAAAUGUCAAUAAAGAUCCAUGUUUUAGAAAAUUUUGUAUGUAAGGAUCUAUUAAACCCCAUUUUAAUUUCCAUGAAUUCAUCCAUAAAGACUCCAUUGAUUGGAGCUAUGAAUUUUAAUUCAUAUGUAUUCAAAACCAAAAUUCAUUUUAAAAUCUUUUCAAAGUUGCAUACAAAACAAAAUAGGCAGCAUUAUCAUUUUGGAAAAUUGAAGUUUCAUACUUAAAGGGACUAAGAUGAAUUUUAAAUAUAAGUUUAAGGAUUGAUUUUGUUAUGAAAGAAAUAUAAAAAUAAUUUUCUAAAAAUAUUAAUUCAUACAAAUUUUUAAACUUGGAUCACAAAAAAAUGUAAGAGUGCAUGUGUGAAUCACUUAGAAAAAAAAAAAGAAAAAAAGGAUAAAUCAAGUUUUCAUGAAUCAAAAUCAAAAGAAUUUAUUCAAAGUCAGUUAUCAUGUAAUUAUCCAAUAGCUUAUUUAGAUGAAAAAUAAAAUAAAAUAAAUCGAAGAAAAAAAUUAAUUCAAUCCCAAUCAUAAUUUAUCACGCAAUCAACAUUCAAUUAUACAACUUCCUAGGUGUCAAUUCUAACAACACUCAUGGUCCACACCCAACCUAAACUAAUACAUACCUAAGAAUCAUCAAAAUGACAAGAAGUGAAUAGAAGAAAAUAUUGAUAAUAAAAAUUAGAGUUAGGGAAUUGAAUAUUUCACUUCAAACUAAAACAUCAACACUAAUCAUAUUUAAAAAUAAAAAAUAAAAUAAAUAAAUAAAAGUCAUUAUAUUACAUUUCAACAAGGCACCAAUCAAUGUCUUAUCCUCCAUUUUAAAGAUCAAUAAAAUCAUUUCUACAAGUAGUUGGAUGUAUCAAUGUCUCAAUAAAAAAAAAAUAAAAAAAAUAAAAAAAAAAUCGAGCAUGACAUCAUUUCACUCAUGGCUAAUUAUGAACAUUUAUUUUAUUUAAAAUUUAAUCACUAGAUUAUGCAUUUGUGAACAACAUAUAUUCUCUAAUCUAGAUUUCAAGCAUGUGGACCAAUAUCUUUUAAUCCUAUAGAACCAAAAUCUAAUGUUUUAUAUUAACAUGGAAAUUUCAAGUGAGUCAUUAAUCAAAUGCAUGUAAUAAUUAGAUUAUCUUAAUAUAAUAAAACAAAGGAAUCCAAAUUUUGAAUUCUCUAAAAUACUAAGGUCAAUUUAUGACAUUUAAAAUUGAAAGGGAAGAAUGCAAUCUCAUUUAUAUUAAAUCAAUCAAAUAUGUCAUUAAAAUAAAAUUAAGACAAAAUAAUGAUUUUAAAUUCUGGAAGAAUAUUUUAAUAUUAUAGUUUAUAAGAAUUUGAAGAAAAUUAUUAAAGUAAAGAUUUAGAUCAACUAAGUUCAUUCAAAGUCAUGGAAUAAGAAAUGUUGAUACAUUGAAUUAAAUCAGAUGUAUGAAAAUUUUAAAUAAAUCACUAAUCAAAUACUGGAAAUGAUAAUAUUGAUAUUACCUUGGCAAUUUCUAAAUGAAAAAUCUAUAUCUAAAAAAUUACUUAGAUUCAUAAUAAUUGACACAUAAAAUGAUCUUUAAUCUCAUGAUUGCCUAUUAUGAAUUCACUAAACAAAUAUCUAAAAAAAUGACAUUAAUUCAUAUUUUAAUAAAUCUAAUCCAAUAUUCAUAGAAAAAUAGAGGAAAAGGCUAAAUCUAAUAUUUCAAAAUCGAUCACAACCUCUAAUCAUGCAACAACUUAUUUAGUGUUAAUUAAAUAAAAAUUCUCAUGAAACAUCAAUUUUUUAUCAUAAUCCAAAUAUUUUAAACAUUUACAGAGGAGAAGUCUUAGAACUGAAAUUUCUCGAGCUAUUACAAACAAACUAUAACAAAAACGAUACAGAAACUAUGUAAAAUGUAGAGAUCACGAAAAUCUAUUCCAAUAAUUUUGAAAUAAUCAAAUCAACUAGAAAACAAGAUUUAAUCAUCAAUUCCAAAAUAACUUGAUUCAAACCAAAUGAAAUAUAAAAUCAAAUGAUUAUAAUUUGGAUAUUCACAAAUAUACAAAAUAAUUAAAGAAGUAGAACCUAAAGGACGAGAUGCACCAAAUCAAACAACCAAAAAAUAUAUUUACUCUCUGACUCCCGUCAGAAACCCUUCCCGAUAAUCUUCCUCAGCACUCUUUCUCUCCUUCUUCUCAAACUCUCUAACUCACUAUCAACAAAGAUCAAAAAUCAUAACCAAGAAAAAAUCUCUCUUCCUUAUCUCUUUAACUCUCUCUUAACUUAGAUCCAGAGUUCUCUUACCGAAAAAUCUCUCUCCCUCUCUAACCUUCUGUCAACAAAGAUCCCCCGAAUGGCCAAAGAUCGUUCACUCCCCAACAGAAGACGUUUCCCGAAUUUUAUAUCAUCUCCCGGAGACUCUAAAACCCUCUCUCUUCUCACGUGACCUAACCCUCUCUCCCUAAUACAAACAUCCUGAACUUCAAAAUCGUUCCUUCUUUUCCCAACCAAAUAGACCUUGGUUGAAAACUAAUUUUCCCACCCCUUUUAUGUCUAAAAAUUUAGAAUACCAACUCAAAAAAUACAAAGGAUAAAACUCAAAAAUAAUGAUAAUAAUACAAAAUCAAAUAAGUAAAAAAAAGAAAAGGUACCGUGAGCACAACAUGCAUGGCCUGCAAGAUCAACGAGAACAUCGUAAUAGUGUGUGAAGAUCAGCAACAGGCCUGGACGCCACGACCAGAGAAUGGCAAAGAAAUCAUCGAAAACCAAGAAGUUCAGCUCCGACCACCAAAAUGGUCCAGCAGAUAAUGACCCAGAUAAACUUGGUUUGGCGUCGCCCGACCUGAUCCUUUGUUCGUAACAGCAUAAGUGAAGAUCGCGAAGCUGCUUAUAGCAGCAUUGAUGAAAAACGUAGCCCAAAGAGAAAACCAUACGAGGAAGAUCCUCAGGUGACAAGUCCUGGCGAAGCCGACGAGAGAAAUGGCCACGAUGUCUGUUCCGAUGAUGAUCAAUGGCCACGGUAGAAACCCCAUACAGCCGGUGUUGUCUGUGAAGAGGUUUACGGGAAAGGGGUUUGCAGGGAUGGGUUCAGCUGCAACAAGGGCUUUAAGAUGGGAUUGAGAAACUUGGUGGUCUGAUGAAACUGUACGGAGAUAAAUAAAAAAAUGGCUUCGGUGUGUAUUUUUCCAAAGGCCGAUUGUGAGAGUCGUAUAUUAGGUUAUGGCAACUUAGGAUGAGCUGUUUUCUUGCUUAAGUUAUGCGUUAGCAGAGGGCUAUUAGGGACAGCUGAGGAGAUGGUUUGCAGAUUGUAAGGUAUGGUUUGUGGAGAUAGAUGAGCUAGCAGGUAGGUUGGUGCGACUUUGGGCAUGGAACUGUUGGGUGAUGGCCUGGGAGAUUGGAUGGCUAAUAAGGGAUAAGUUGAGAUGCCUUGGACAGCUAGAAAAGUGAGUAUGGCUUGUGACAGCUAGAAAAGUGAGUGUGGCUAGCACAAUUGAUGGAUGUGUCUUGUGGUGGUCGUGGGCACCCAAAAUUGGGUUGUGGCGACAACAUUGAUGGGGCUGUAGCGGAUGACUGGGGCAUGAAUUAGGAAAAAGGCUUCACUAUUAAUUAUAGAAUAAUUUUAACUUAUAUUUUAAAAUCUGAAUUAGAUAGUAGUAACAAAAUUCAAUUUUAAUAUUACUAUUUAUUUUUAUUAUUAUUAUUAUUAUUAUUAUGUAUUUGGUCAUGAAUUAUUAAAAAAAUAAAUAAGUAAAUGAGUAGUUUUUUCAUGCUUAUUGUUUAAGGAGAUAAUUUAUUUUAUUACAUUUUAAAAUAAUAUUUUAAUAUUUUUAUUUUAGUUUAUAAUUAAUAUAAAUUCAAUCAAUCAAGAAACUUUAAGUUACAAACUUAAAGGUUUAAGUGAUCAUAUCAAAAUUUCAUAAUUUAUCUUUCAAGAAACUUUCGAAGAAGAAUCAGAGACUACAAAUUGAUAAUUUACAGUAAUUUACCGGAGUAUAACUCAUGGGUCUCCACAAGAAUGUAGUUCCCAUUUUAUGAACAUAGAAUGCUUCAAAAGAUGCAAAAAGCAUUUUCCUCGUAAUCGCGAUGUGCAUGUGGGAAAACUAUGUUGGCUUAUCUGUGAUGACAUCAUCACUAUCCUUGUUUCACAACAUUGAUGGGGACAAAACUGAUUAGAUCUUGUGUUAAGGAAGAGAAUCUUGAUGUUCCACCAGGGUUUGAGUCACUAACAUCUUAAUUGUUUCUCUCCAACAUAUGGAACAGUGUGGAAUACAUUUUAUAACUAUGGGUUGUUUCAGUUUAUCCCGGCCCAUUCUAUAUGUUAAUUACUGUGCAAGUUUUUUAAUAUCUGGAUAUUACUUUGAAAGAUGGAAAAGUUUCAAAAUUGUAAGAAAAGUAUGAUCGAUAUUUAUGUGUUUAAGAAAAUAAUUACCUAUCAUUUUUUAAUACAUUCUACUGAACUCUAUGCCUAAAGUAAAGAUAGUCAAUCUUAUUUACCUGUUAUUUAAUAAUGAAAAUAUCGGUAAUAAUGGAUAUAUUGAUAUCUCGAUUUUAUGAAUAUAACAUAUAUAUCGAAAAUAUAUAUACUGAUAUUUUGAUACAAAAUAUAAAUAUCAGUGAUUUAAAAAUUAAUAAAAAUUCUAAAAAUAUUUAAAAAAUUCUAAAAAAAAUUAUAUAAGAAGUAAAAAUAGAUAUUUUAAAGUUAUUUUUUAAUAUAUAUAUAUAAAUUUUCAUAUUUGAUAAAAAUAUUAUUAUGAUAAUAUGUCUAAUUUUAAAAUAUAUUUAAUAUUAAAAUUAUGAUUCAUUCUAAUUUAAAUAUAUUCAAUGAUAUCAAAUAAAUAAUAAAAUAUUUAUAAUUUUUUUAAUAUUUAUAUUUAUUAUAUUGGUUGAAACACCAAAAGAUCGAAAAAUUGGUAAAAUAUCCAAAAAUAUCGGUUGAUGGAUAUUGGAUAUACCAUGGAUAUAUUGGAAUAUUAACGAGUGGAACUAGAGAAAUUCAAUAUCCAGCACCUCUUCUAGAGCUAUGGAUGAGAAGUAUCCAACUCCCCCAUGAUUAGCCCUCUGGUGAGAGUUAAUUAAUCACUGUUUUUUGAGAUUAUCUGUUUUGCAUAGGAUAUAGAUAAAGCAAUACAUUCUGUGCUGUGUAGGAAGGAACUCCCCACCGUAGCCACCAGAACCCUCACCAUCAGACAGAGUUCAUCAUCAAGGUCCAGCAGGAUUUGUAAGCUACUCUGCUAAACCUUUUAGUUUAACGUCUUAAAGGAAAAAACAUAUUAGUCUGUCUCAUAAAUUGUUUGAAUAUGAAGCCUUUUGAAGAUUGUCUCAGUGGAGUUGGUUCCCCAUCACUGGGAGUUUCCAUAGAGAAGCAAAGAGGCACGAAUCAUGACAACAAUGAAUCACAAUUUGAAAUCCUCACCGCCUCACUAAGAACUAAGCUUAUAAAUGAGCAAGGACAACUGAGGCUAUCCUUACACCUAGGAAUUCUGGUAUGCUAAAGAGAAAAGAACAUUGUGAAAUACAUUUUAUAACUAGAAAUAUUUGUGCUUUUAUUUAUUUUUUCAUCUAGCAAUUAAAUGUUUUACUUUUAAUUAAGAAGAGAUCCAAUAUUCUCUUAAUUAAUCUUUUCUUGUUCAUACAUGUAGGCUAAAUCUAUCAAUGGAAAUUUGAGGGAUGCAACUUCAGAUGCAAUCAGAGAGUGCCAUUAUUUUUAUCUUUUCAAGAAGGGCUUGAAACAAAUGAUUAUUACCAGCAAAAUUCCCAGUACAAAGAGAUCUAUGGAAUGCUUCUUGUUCCGAGUCAAGGCUCUUCUCCACACUACCUCAAGUGAAUGCACUUUCUGGAUGGGUAUGUAAUGGUUUCUUCCAUUAAAUUCUUUGAAUAUUCGUAACUUAACAAGUCCUGGAUAACACCUUGAGUUCUCAUUGUGAUCUUAUUUGUCAUUCAACUAUUAGUACUUGGCCUGUUGAUUACUAGAACUCCCUGGCUAUUCCAAAUCAGUCUGAAAUGACUGCAAUUGCUCUUUUAUCUACCCUUAAUGAGAUGCAUUGGUUCCUUCACUCUGUUUUACUUUUAUUUUCUUUUUGCUGGGUUUAUGUCCCAAAAAGCUUGCAUGGUUGGCAUUUGAACUCCAUUAGAAGCAUCACAUAACAAUCAUAAGGAAUGUUUCAUUACCAAAAGCUCUUGUCAUCCAGAACUAUCCUCACAUGCAUACAUCUUUUAUUUUAGCAGGCAAUCUGAAACACAAAGAUUUGAUGGGUCAAGUGGUGAGCUCCCAAGCAUAAAGAGCCUACCGUCGAGGAGCAAUGUGCAAGUGAUGCUAAUGAAGAGGAUAGAGAAUUAGAAUGAAGAGUGCUUCAUCUAUCACAAAGCUUCAAACACAUUCAUUGCAGGAAAAAUACACAUGCAAUCAAUUGUCUACCUACCUGUUCUUGACCAAAAAGCUCUUAUUUCUUUCGUAGUGCAUUAAAUCAUUACUUACAUAUCCUUUAGUGCACCUUUUUGAGUCAUCCUAGCUUUUUUUUUUUGCAUUUGAGCUAUCUUUAAGUUAGGUUGAGGGAUUCAUUCUUGUAAAAACUAAGUGUUAAAGCCUUCAAGAGGUUUGAAUCUUGAAGAGAUUGUGUAAGAGCCCAUUGGAGCUAGAAUCCAAGUGUAAGAAGAUUGGAAGUUUGGUUGAAGCUUCAAGUUAGUGGAACCCUCACUCGGUUAGGAGAUUGAGGAGAGUGGAAGUAGGCAAGGAAGUGCUGAACUACUAUAAAACUCGAGUUUGAAUUCUCUAACUCAAUUUAUUUAUUUAUUUUUAUAUUGUGCUUGAACUUAUUGUGUUUGAAAAGAUUUUAAAAAACCCAAUUCACCCCCCCCCUCCCUCUUUGGGUGUUUUUCUUAAUUAAGCAUAACCUUUAUUUUCUCAAAGGCUACAUUGGUUGAUGAGGAGUUAGUUCAUAUAGAAAAUGAUGAUCAGCAAGGACAAAAGAAUGAUCGUGGUCGAGGACGUGGUCGUGGAACUCAUGGAGGGUUACAUGUUAGCCCCAUAGAGCCAAUAGUGGAGCAUGCAUAUCAUGGACAUCCACAACGGAAGAGGAAGGCUCCUUUGUGCGGUACACAUUGAGGAUGUUACUACAUAUGACUUGUAUUUUGGAUACUGUUAGUAUUUUACAUAUCAUUAUUUUGGACAAAUACUCAAGAUGUAUAUUUAUACUUGAUAUAUUUUGGAUUAACUAACUUUUUAUUAACAUAAGUUCUAUGGUAUUCUAUCUAUUUAGUAUUGUUACUAUUUUGGAAAUGUGCUAACUUAAUUGACAUUUGGUUUACUUGUUUUUAUUGGAUUUGGAUUGAAUGUCAAAAUAUUAAUUAUAAUGUAUACAGGUGAUAAACUUUAAACAUUUGGUUGUAUAGCAGGUAAUACUAAUUAAGAGAUAGAAUUUUUUUUCUUUUGUGGAAGAUGUCUCUUGAAAAGGGUUCAACAUAAAUUCGAAAUUUUCCACUGUGUAUGGUAAUUGUGGAAAGUCACUCGAAGAGACACUUUCAAUAUAAACCCAAUUUUUUAAAAAUUAUGGAAAGUGUCUCCUCAAGAUCCGCCUUUAGUAUAAUUCCAUUUUUUGGUAAUUAUGGAAGGUGUCUCUUCAAAAUUUGAAAUUUUCCACCGUGUAUGGAAAUUGUGGAAAGUGUCUUUUGAAGAGACACUUUCAGUAUAAACCUAAUUUUUCAAAAAAUUAUGGAAUGUGUCUCUUUAAGAGACACCUUUAAUAUAAUUCCCUUUUUUGGGAAUUGUGGACUAUGUCUCUUCAAAAUUUGAAAUUUUCCAUUGUGUAUGGAAAUUGUGGAAAGGUGUCUCUUGAAUAGACACUUUCAGUAUAAACCCAAGUUUAUUUUUUUUUAAAUUAUGAAAGGUGUUUGAGUAUAAUUCCAUUUUUUUGGGAAUUGUGGAAGGUGUCUCUUCAAGAGACACCUUCAGCAUAAAUUCGAAUUUUUCUAUUAUUUCAAGAGACACCUUCCACAAUUCCUAAAAAACUGAAUUAUAUUAAAGGUGUUUCUUGAAGAGACACUUUCCAUAAUUUUAAAAAAAAUUGGGUUUAUACUGAAAGUGUCUCUUCACGACACUUUCCACAAUUUCCAUACAAAUAGUGGAAAUUUUCAAAUUUAUACUAAAGGUGUCUCUUCAAGAGACAUCUUUAGUUUUAAAAACAUUUGCACAAUUUUUAAUACAUAUUAAAUUUUAUGGAAUUGUGGAAAGUGUCUUUUCAAGAGACACUUUUAGUAUAAAUCUAGUUUUCAGGAAUUGUAAAAGUUGUCUUUUGAAGAAACACUUUUAGUAUAUAUUGGAAUUUAUGGAAUUGUGGAAAGUGUCUCUUCAAGUGACACAUUUUGUAUAAAUUAAAAUUUGUUGGAAUUGUAAAAGUGUCUUUUCAAGAGACACCUUUAAUAUAAAUCAAAUUUUUUGGAAUUGUAGAAGGUGUCUCUUGAGAGGUGUCUCUUCAAGAGACACCUUUAGCUUAAAUUCAAUUCUUUUAAAUAUGUAUCAUGAUUUUGAACAAUUAUGGAAGGUGUUUCUUCAAAAGACCCCUUCCAUAUGGCAAAAACUGUCGUAGAUCUAUCAAUAUUUUCCCAACUACCAUUUUUUAAUAAUUAUUUUUUAAAAUUGCUACAAAAGUUAAAAAAAAGCCCGAUGGAGUUAACCCAUGUAGUUCUUAAAGAACUGUCUAGGCCAGAAUGCCCUCUGAGCGGCGAUCGGAUAAGAUGUUAUUAAUUAAAUAAUUCCUUAAACAUGUUAGUGUUCCUAAUUAAAUAAUAAACUUUUCUUAUGGAUUUAUUUUUCCUUGGUUUUUGUAAUAUUUUGCAUUAUUAAGGUUUUGUUUGGAUACUCUUCUCUAUUUUUUUUUUCAAAAAUAGAAAGUAGCAUAAUUUCUAUAUAAAAAUUAGAGAAUUUUGUGCAAAAAGUACAUUCUUUGUGUCCAUUUGAAUAUAUUUCGUGUUUUCUAUUUUUAAAAAUAAAAAAUAGUAUUAUCUUUUAUAUAAAAUAUAAAGACUUUAAAGACUUGCAUUAAGAUUGUAAUGGUCUUUUAAAAUUGAUUUAAAAAAUUAAGAUAUUAAAAUUUCUCUAUUACCUCAAAUUUAAAAAUUUUUAAAAAUAAUUUUUAAAGGGAUAAGGUAAGUUUUAUAUGAGAGUUUACGCAUUUUUAUGUAGAAGUUUCUAUUUUGAAAACAAAAACUAGAAAGUGUAUCCAAAGGUCUAGGUUGUAUGUUUAAAAAUUUAAAAUGUGAGAAAUUAAAACUUUUUAAUAUCUCAGUUUUUUCAAAUACUUUUUAAAAAUUAUUAGCUUUUUCAAUCUUAUUUUAUUAGAAUUAAAAAUAAUUUUAAAUACAUAUAAUUAAAAUUUAAUAAUAUUUGUAAUAUUAUUUAUUCAUUUUUAUGUAAGUUUAUUAACAUUUUUAAUUUAUUAAACAAAAUAUAUGCAAUAUUUAAAUAUGAAAAGAAAAUGGUAAAAAUCGUAUUUAAAUAUUAAACAUAUUGAAAAUGAAAAAAAUUGUUUUAUGUAAUUAUAUAUAUAUAUAUUUAUUUAUUUAUUUAUUUAUUUUUAAAUAUAUUUAUAUUAUUUUUUAAAAUAACCUAUAUGGUUUUUCCUUGUUAAAUUUCAAAUUUCAAUGUAAUCAUUGUUGUAGCAGAGUGGAUAAUAUUGUAUUGGGAACCUUGAGGUCUAUGGUUCAAGCUCUUCUACUUGCAACAUAAAAAAUUCAGUUUUUUAAAUUUAUUCACGUUGAUCCCACAUUGGAAGUGAGAGGAAGCAUAAAUAGAUUUAUAAACCUCUUCCCAUCCCUUGCAGGUUUAUUGGCUGUUGGGUCGGGCCACAGGGCUCAUUGCAUAAUUUCUUGGGCCAUUUUGCCAAGAGGACUCCAUCAUAGGAGUAGAGACUAGGCCAAGGGAAAUGUGGGCUGUUUUGCCAAAAAGAAAAAGAGGUGGUGGAGUUCACCCGGCUCCACAUCACUAGUCCAACCGUCGGUUUAAUGGCCAUAGAGCUCAUUGCAUAAGAAAAAGAGGUGGUUGUUUUGCCAUAGGGCUCAUUGCAUAAGUUUUAUAUGAGAGUUUUUGCAUUUUUAUGUAGAAGUUUCAAUUUUGAAAACAAAAACUAGAAAGUGCAUCCAAAGGUUUAGGUUGUAUGUUUAAAAAUUUAAAAUUUGAGAAAUUAAAAUUUUUUAAUAUCUCAGUUCUUUCAAAUAGUUUGUAAAAAUUAUUAUACAUUUAUUUUUCCCUCUAAUUUCAAACUUGAGAUAGCAAAAGUGGAGUGAAAUGGAAAGCCAAAAAACCAAAAGCAUAACUGAGACUUAAAUUGAGUGUAAUAUUUUUUUUUUUGUUAUCAACUUGAUAAUUUUGCAAAGCAUAGAUUUAAUUGAUACCAAAGCAUAGGAUCAUAUUUUAUUUUCUCAUCGUAAUUGGAUUUGGAACUUCAAGUAAACAUGUCAAAAAAAUAAAAAUAAAUUUCUAGAGAGAAGUAUAAGGCAAAACUAGAGAUUACCCUUGUACCAAGAUUAAGCAUGGCAAAAACUUGAAACUAUAAUCUCAAUCAAUUCCAUAAAUAUUAAUCAGCCAAAAAAAAAAAAAAAAGUCCUGAAAAAAUGGAAUUUAAAUCCACAACGAACACCCAGACAUUUGCAAUUAUAUUUGGUUGAUUUUAAUUGGAAUCAUACCUAAGCCCCUUGUUCUUAUAUUGCUUUGAAACUGGGAAGGAAAGUUGUUAGAGUAGCUUCAUCCUCCCAUUCUAACUCAUUCCACCACUCUUGCUUUCCUACCAUCACAACUCUACCUUGAUUGGCACUGUUGGAGUUGAGUGGCAGCUUCUUCAGCUUUGGACAUCCGAUUACUUCAAUUCUGUCAAGGUAAAGAAAGGGCAAGGGAUUCCGGUACACAUUCUUCAGUUGGGGUAAACCAUUUAACUCCAGUUGUAUGAGUUUUGUGAAUGGGCUCAGAUUUCCUCCAUCCUCUGCACCUUUACCUAUCACUUCUUCCAUUUCAUCACAUUGUCCUAUUUUAAGAUAUAGGAGGUUUGGGGCAAAAAUAAGCCAUGUCAAAUUCUUCAACAUCUGGCAUCUAUUGAUGGCCACUUCGCGAAGGCCAUGGAAGCAUUUGACCUUCGGGUUGAGACUGCUAUAGCCCAUUGUUUCCUUUCCUUUCCCUGCCCAAUCAAACUUAAUCUCUCUCAAACUAUCCAAAUCUUUCAUUGUAAGCGCAUAGAGAUGCUUCAUAUUUUCGAGAGAUGAUAGGUUGAGUGAGCUUGAACCCUUGAACAUCUCGAGGCAGAUUCCUACAGUGCAACUCGGUAACUUUCUGGAACUUAAAAAUCUCUUAAGCACAGAGGCACUUGCUAUGGUGACAGUUAAAUGCGUCAAGUAUUUCAAACUCUCCAAUUCCUCUACCAAGGACUCCUUACCAUAUGAUUCAACGCCUCCUUCAGCUACUUGAUCAUAAAGUCCACAAUUGUACAUGCCAACCGCUUGCAACAUUAAAAGACUUGAUAUUAGUCCUCGUGGAAUUGAAGAGACUUUAGAUGUACACAAUAUCAAAAUCUUCAAUUGUACGAGAUUCUUCAUCUCAAUUGGCAACUUCUUUAUCUCUGUACCAGAUAAAUCAAGAUAUUGCAAUGAAACCAAAUUAGAAAUAUCUGAUGGUAACUCAACUAUUUUGGUGUUUGAUAAGCUCAACACUCUUAGAUUGGGCAUAAAUUGGAAAAAACCAUUGCUUAUCAUCUGCAAAUCACUAUUCAAAUCUAGACGAAGUGUCGAGAGAUUGGGACAUGUGGGUGAUCCUGUUAACUUCUCAAUUUGGUUGUCCAUCAGUGAAAUCCUUUCCGUCGCCUUCCAUUUGACAAAGUCAGGUGCUUGGGUCAAACCGGCACUUGUUUGUACCAAAAACUUGCCCUUCAUCUCCCCCAUUUCACUGGUUAUCCACAAGGCCAUAUCACGUACAACAUCAUGAAAUUUUACAAAUCUAGUAUUUGAAGAUUCCUCAAGUAGACAUGCAUGAACGAGAGUACUGAUAAUAUUGAAUCCCUGAUUUUUGGCUCCAUCCGUGUCAUCAAAUUCAUCUAAAAAUCCCUCACAAAUCCAUUGAUAUAUCAAAAGUUCCUUAAUUAUGAAAAAAUCUUCUGGGAAUAAAGAACAAUAUAAGAAGCAAGAUUGAACUAUUUUGGAGGGCAAACUAUCAUAGCUGUAUUUCAAAAGUGGGUACACUCGGAGCCCCAUACCUGGAAAAUUUGAAGCACACGUUUGUAGUACUCUAAUUGCAUGCUUCCAAUCUUGGGGUGUCACUUUAGAAGCCAUGGCUCGCCCUACGGUAAUUAUCGCCAGUGGCAAACCGCAACACUCUUUUGCAACCAUUUCAGCCAGCUCAGAUAUUUCUGGAUCAGAAUUAAGGGCAUCCUUUCCCACAUAUUUUUUAAACAAAUCCCACGAAUCCUUCCAUGCCAAAGAUUUCACUUGGAUCUUCUUGUGAGCUCCCAUUUGCCCGCACAAGUCCUGAGAUCGAGUGGUGAAUAUCAGCUUGGACUUAUUUUGUUGGUCAGGAGGUGGAUUUCCCACUUCUAACAGAUCCAUUUGCUCCCACAUGUCAUCCAACAACAUCGCAAACCUCUUUUUGCUCAAGGCUCUCCAGAUGUUGUUGGCUUUCUCAUGGCGGCUUUUGCUUUUCCAUUUAUCAUCACAGAAUCCCACCUUCUCCCAAAUCUCGUUUUGAACCCGCUCUAGAUUUGGAGUUUUUGAAACCACUACCCAAAUUACGACAUCAAAAUUGUGGGAUGUUCUAAGGAAAUGAUUGUUGAUUUGUGCCAAGAGGGUGGUCUUCCCAACGCCCCCCAACCCAUAUAAGCCGAUCAUCCCUACAUGUUCUUCUUCGAGACUCCUCCAAACUUUGUCAAAUGUUGAUUCCAAGCCCACAGUGGGACGGCCGGGUAUUUCCUCCACAGGAGCUGGAGGUACAAUAUCAGCCACCACCUCAAAAUUACGUCCUUCGCUCAUUAGAGUAGCCGUAUCUUGUAGCUUCCUGGCCACUUUUUUUCCCAAUGUGUAGCUGGAGAUGCAAUGCUUGGGAUGGCAACAACCACGUAAUCGUUUCUCCUCAAUGGUCUCCGCACCAUCUCCAAUCAGUUGACCGACUUCAGUUUCCAUGGCUUCCACCCUGGAAAGCCAGCCUUGUACUUGAUCCAGACGCUUCAUCUGUUGUCUCUCAGCCACAUCCACCUUCCUAUUCACAUCGUUCUUCAGCUCCCUUAAUUUUUGAAGCUCUGUUCUCAAAGUAACCCGAUUUUCUGCAAGCUUAAAUAUGUAAUUUGCUCGAGCAACAGUGCAAUCACAACAACCAGCGAUGUCGUUGGUAGAGAUUGAGACUGAGAACACAUUUCCCAUUGAUGUAUGAAAAACUCCAAGGAGAAGGUAAGAAAGAGGAAUGACAAAUUCGAAGCAGAAAAGGAAUGCCUUUUAUUUGCAGAUAUUGGGAAAGUGAUGAGGAGAAACAAAGGAAAAAGGUGAUGGGCACCAAGUCGAGGGUGAUGGGGCACACAUGGGCCCCUUGGCAAAGCUAAGUUCUCUGCGGUUUUCUUUCCUUUUUUUUUUUUAAUUUUUUAAUUUUUUGAAAAAAAAAUUAUUAAAGUGAAUCAGUCAAUGGUAUAUCACUGUGAGUUUUGAAAUUUUAAAAUUAAAAUAUAAGAACUAAAAUAAGACAAAGUUGUUGAGAAGUUGAGUGUUCGAUGCGGACUAGAGGUACUCUUGCAAAGGCUUCAAUAAUAAUUUAAGAAGGUGGCUUGUGACCAUGAUCUCCUUGGCCCACGGCCCCACGCCUAGAGGAAAACGCCAUCCCAAGUUCCCAACGGCCGCGUGCACACACAUGAAUUCAUACAUGCAUAUGGGGAUUAGGGUGGGAGUGAGCAGCCUGGUUUGCAGCGGAAUUCAAACUCAUCACGAGUCUUUUGACAGUGACCAUAAUGAUUUCUUUGAAAGCUGCUAUCUCCAUAAUCACCUAAAACCCUGAAAAAAAAAUUUGAUAACAUGGUGAAAUUGAAAAUUACUUGACAAAUCAUUUGAUUAUUAAUAGAAUAUAUUGGGUGUCUUUGUUGUUCUAAGCUCGUUGAUGUGGUAUUAUAAUGCUUACUAAUGUGGUAUAAUAAUUUAUCAAUAUUUUGGAUCUUAUUGAGAAUUAAUUAAUUAAAAAUAAAUAAAAUGAUAAUUAAGUGUAGACCCCAAAAUUUGUCCUAAUUUUUAUUUUUAUAUUAAUUUUGAACCCAAUUUUAUCUUCGGACUUUCAAUCCCGAUUACAUGUGAUAUUUUUUGCAUUCUUAUUUUUUAUUAUUUUGUAAAUUGUUUUAUUUUUAUUUCUAUUUGUUAUUAUUAUUAUUAUUAUUAUUAUUAUUAUUAUAUAAUAUUAUAUUAUAUAUUUUUUAUUAUUUCCUCUCUCCUCUCUCUUCUCUUCCUCCACCUACCCUCACCUACCCCUCAUGCUCUCCCACGUCCAAAAGCUUCCACUCUCCGCUCUCCAUGAUGGCUCUUUUUCCUUUUUUAUUUAUUUAUUUUUUUCUCUCCCUCCAAUAGCUUUUUUGGCCAGCUCCCCCCAAAUUUCCCCCCCAAUUUGAUUUUCCUCCCACUUUUCCCUUCUAAGAGAAAAGUAUAAAUGAAAGGGUAAUAUAAAUUUAAAAUAAAAAAUAAAAAUUAAACUAAAAAAUAAAUACAAAAAAAUAAAAAUAUUUGGAUGAAAAAUCCCAAAAUUUUUAUCUGUACUUAUAAUAAGAAUAAAAAGAUUCAAUAUCUUUAAAAAUGAAAAAAAGAAAAAGAAAAACAUUAUUGUUUUUUAUUUGACAUAAAAUAGAAAUAUAGAUUGGAAGAAAAAGAAAAAAACAAGUUUGAAAUGAGUAAUACUUAAUAGGGAAUAGAAAAGAGAAAAAAAAAAACAAAAAAUUGAAAUUCACACUCACUAUGUGCCUAUGUAAAGGUUAAGGGUAUUUUAGGGAUUAAUGAAAGAUAAUAUCCUUCUUCUCAAUUUUCAGACUUUCUUUGAGUGUUGGGCUUAAUUAUGCAAGAUAUAUGGACCAGAUCUUAAUUUUGUAGCCCAAUUGGGCCCAAAACAUAAUUCACCCAAAAGGAAAGGCGACUUUGUAAAAAACAAUGCAUGCAAGUUGGAUUCUAGAAAUUUAAACGUAAGACUUGGUUAUAAACUAUUGCAAGUCAUCCUCCAAAAACAAAUAUGAUGAUUUCUAUUGGUUGUUGUGAAUUGAUUUUAUUUUCAUUGAGGGUGGCCUUGGUCAUGUUUGAUCCGUUCUUCUCCAAAACUCCUUGAUUGACAUAAAACCUUAGGAAUCGAUUCUUUAAUCUCUUCAAUUAAUUUAAUAAAAAAAUAGAUAAAACUUCAUAACCAGUCAAUGUAUGUUGCUAAGUUUUUAUAUCAUUGGUGUUCUUUCAUGUUGAAUUCUUUGGUUGACCAUACCUUAGAGUGUAUUAUUUUAAGGGGAUAGGAUUCAACACCAUGCUAUAUAUAUAAGUAUCAAGUGGCUGUCGAUCGUCAUAUUUUCUGUUGAUUCUAAGACCAACAAUUAAUUAGAUAAGGAUUAACGGUUAAUGUAGAAAAUAUAAAAAAUAAUUAAAAAAAAAAAGAGAAAAGCAUAAAUGAAAGGGUAAUAUAAAUUUAAAAUAAAAAAUGAAAAUUAAACUAAAAAAUAAAUACAAAAAGAUAAAAAAUACUUGGAUGAAAAAUCCCAAAAUUGUUAUCCUUACUUAUAAUAAGAGUAAAAAGAUUCAGUAUCUUUAAAAAUGAAAAAAAGAAAAAGAAAAACAUUAUUGCUUUUUAUUUUACAUAAAAUAAAAAUAUAGAUUGGAAGAAAAAGAAAAAAAAAAGUUAGAAAUGAGUAAUACUUAAUAGGGAAUAGAAAAGAGAAAAAAAAAACACAAAAAAUUUGAAAUUCACACUCACUAUGUGCCUAUGUAAAGGUUAAGGUUAUUUUAGGGAUUAAUGAAGGAUAAUAUCCUUCUUCUCAAUUUUCAGACUUUCUUUGGGUGUUGGGUUUAAUUAUGUAAGAUAUAUGGACCAAAUCUUAAUUUUUUAGCCCAGCUGGGCCCAAAACAUAAUUCUCCCAAAACGAAAGGCGACUUCGUAAAAAACAAUGCAUGCAAGUUGGAUUCUAGAAAUUUAAACAUAAGACUUGGUUAUAAACUAUUGCAAGUCAUCCUCCAAAAAAAAAAUGUUGAUUUCUAUUGGUUGCUGUGAAUUGAUUUUAUUUUCAUUGAGGGUGGCCUUUGUCAUGUUUGAUCGGUUCUUCUCCAAAACUCCUUGAUUAACAUAAAACCUUAGCAGUCAACUCUUUAAUCUCUUCAAUUACUUUAAUAAAAAAAAAUAGAAAAAACUUCAUAACCAUUCAAUGUAUGUUGCUAAGUUUUUAUAUCAUUGGUGUUCUUUCAUGUUCAAUUCUUUGGUUGACCAUACCUUAGAGUGCAUUUUUUUUAAGGGGAUAGGAUUCAACACCAUGCUAUAUAUAUAAGGAUCAAGUGGCUGCCGAUCGUCAUAUUUUCUGUUGAUUCCAAGACCAACAAUUAAUUAGAUAAGGAUUAAUGGUUAAUGUAGAAAAUAUAAAAAAUAAUUAAAAAUAAGAGAAAAGUAUAAAUGAAAGGGUAAUGUAAAUUUAAAAUAAAAAAUGAAAAUUAAACUAAAUAAUAAAUACAAAAAGAUAAAAAAUAUUUAGAUGAAAAUCCAAAAAUUUUUAUCCUUACUUAUAAUAAGAGUAAAAAGAUUCAGUAUCUUUAAAAAUGAAAAAAAGAAAAAUAAAAACAUUAUUCCUUUUUAUUUGACAUAAAAUAAAAAUAUAGAUUGGAAGAAAAAGAAAAAAAAAAGUUAGAAAUGAGUAAUACUUAAUAGGGAAUAGAAAAGAGAAAAAAAAAACACAAAAAAAUUCACACUCACUAUGUGCGUAUGUAAAGGUUAAGGGUAUUUUAGGGAUUAAUGAAGGAUAAUAUCAUUCUUCUCAAUUUUAAGACUUUCUUUGGGUGUUGGGUUUAAUUAUGAAAGAUAUAUGGACCAAAUCUUAAUUUUUUAGCCGAGCUGGGCCCAAAACAUAAUUCUCCCAAAAGGAAAGGCGACUUUGUAAAAAACAAUGCAUGCAAGUUGGAUUCUAGAAAUUUAAACGUAAGACUUGGUUAUAAACUAUUGCAAGUCAUCCUCCAAAAACAAAUAUGCUGAUUUCUAUUGGUUGUCGUGAAUUGAUUUUAUUUUCAUUGAGGGUGGCCUUCGUCAUGUUUGAUCGGUUCUUCUCCAAAACUACUUGACUGACAUAAAACCUUAGCAGUUGAUUCUUUAAUCUCUUCAAUUAAUUUAAUAAAAAAAAAAGAUAAAACUUCAUAACCAUUCAAUGUAUGUUGCUAAGUUUUUAUAUCAUUGGUGUUCUUUCAUGUUGAAUUCUUUGGUUGACCAUACCUUAGAGUGUAUUAUUUUAAGGGGAUAGGAUUCAACACCAUGCUAUAUAUAUAAGGAUCAAGUGGCUGUCGAUCGUCAUAUUUUCUGUUGAUUCCAAGACCAACAAUUAAUUAGAUAAGGAUUAACGGUUAAUGUAGAAAAUAUAAAAAAUAAUUAAAAAUAAGAGAAAAGUAUAAAUGAAAGGGUCAUAUAAAUUUAAAAUAAAAAAUGAAAAUUAAACUAAAAAGUAAAUACAAAAAGAUAAAAAAUAUUUGGAUGAAAAAUCCCAAAAUUUUUAUCCCUACUUAUAAUAAAAGUAAAAAGAUUCGGUAUCUUUAAAAAUGAAAAAAAGAAAAAGAAAAACAUUAUUGCUUUUUAUUUGACAUAAAAUAAAAAUAUAGAUUGGAAGAAAAAGAAAAAAAGAAGUAGAAAUGAGUAAUACUUAAUAGGGAAUAGAAAAGAGAAAAAAGAAACACAAAAAAUUUGAAAUUCACACUCACUAUGUGCCUAUGUAAAGGUUAAGGGUAUUUUAGGGAUUAAUGAAGGAUAAUAUCCUUCUUCUCAAUUUUCAGACUUUCUUUGGGUGUUGGGUUUAAUUAUGUAAGAUAUAUGGACCAAAUUUUAAUUUUUUAGCCUAACUGGGCCCAAAACAUAAUUCUCCCAAAAGGAAAGGCGACUUCGUAAAACACAAUGCAUGCAAGUUGGAUUCUAGAAAUUUAAACAUAAGACUUGGUUAUAAACUAUUGCAAGUCAUCCUCCAAAAACAAAUAUGCUGAUUUCUAUUGGUUGUUGUGAAUAAGGAUCAAGUGGCUACCGGUUAUGAUAUUUUCUGUUGAUUCCAAGACAAACAAUUAAUUAGAUAAGGAUUAAUGGUUAAUGUAGAAAAUAUAAAAAAUAAUUAAAAAUAAGAAAAAAGUAUAAAUGAAAGGGUAAUAUAAAUUUCAAAUAAAAAAUGAAAAUUAAAAUAAUGAAUGAAUAUGAAAAGAUAUAAAAUAUUUGGAUGAAAAAUCCCAAAAUUUUUAUCCUUACUUAUAAUAAGAGUAAAAAGAUUCAGUAUCUUUAAAAAUGAAAAAAAGAAAAAGAAAAACAUUAUUGCUUUUUAUUUCACAUAAAAUAAAAAUAUAGAUUGGAAGAAAAAGAAAAAAAAAAGUUAGAAAUGAGUAAUACUUAAUAGGGAAUAGAAAAGAGAAAAAAAAACACAAAAAAUUGAAAUUCACACUCUCUAUGUGCCUAUGUAAAGGUUAAGGGUAUUUUAGGGAAUAAUAAAGGAUAAUAUCCUUCUUUUCAAUUUUCAGACUUUCUUUGGGUGUUGGGCUUAAUUAUGUAAGAUAUAUGGACUAGAUCUUAAUUUUUUAGCCGAGCUGGGCCUAAAACAUAAUUCUCCCAAAAGGAAAGUCAAUUUCGUAAAAAACAAUGCAUGCAAGUUGGAUUCUAGAAAUUUAAACGUAAGACUUGGUUAUAAACUAUUGCAAGUCAUCCUCCAAAAACAAAUAUGUUGAUUUCUAUUGGUUGUUGUGAAUUGAUUCUAUUUUCAUUGAGGGUGGCCUUCGUCAUGUUUGAUAGGUUCUUCUCCAAAACUCCUUGAUUCUCAUAAAACCUUAGCAGUCGAUUCUUGAAUGUCUUCAAUUAAUUUACGCAAAAAAUAGAUAAAACUUCAUCACCAUUCAAUGUAUGUUGCUAAGUUUUUAUAUCAUUGGUGUUCUUUCAUGUUGAAAUCUGUGAUUGACCAUACCUUAGAGUGCAUUAUUUCAAGGGGAUUGGAUUCAACACAAUACUAUCUAUAUAAGGAUCAAGUGGCCGCCGGCCGUCAUAUUUUCUGUUGAUUCCAAGACCAACAAUUAAUUAGAUAAGGAUUAAAGGGUUGGUCAUCCAAAGAACAAAUCGCACAGAUGUAAAUGUCAAGUAGGAUUCAGGAUUUCUGCCUAGUGCCUAUGAAUCAAGACUGAAUCAUUGUGUUGUUGGAAAGUAAACUUUGAGUUUAUAAAGUUUUUUAAAAAUUAGAUUUUGAUUUGAUUUUUAAAAAUUAAUUAGAAUAUUUUCAAGCAUUUUAAACUUGAGCGAAAAAUUUAGCAUUUGUUUCAAUACAUUUUCUGUUUUUUAUUUUUUAAAAUCCGAAAAUAACAUUAACUUCCGCAUAAGAUACAAAUACUCUUAAAGACUCGUAUGAAAAAUGUAAUAAUUUUAUAAAUUGUUUAAAAUAAUUGAUAUAUAUAAAAAAAAAAUUAUACUUUUUGUAAAAGAUGCUCUUUUUUUAUUAAAGUUUUUGGUUUUAAAAAAUAGAAAAUAGGCAGUGUGAAAUGAACAAUUAAGCUCUAUUUGGUAAUUGUUUAAAAAAAAUAAUUUUUUAGUUUUUAGAACAAAAAAAUAAAGAAACUCUUUAGGUAACCAUGAAACAAAAAAACGGUUGUGUUAUUAAAAUAAAAAGUAUGAUGUUUUUUGAAAAUAUCCUUUUGUUAUUUUGACUUGAUUUCUGUGUGUUAUUUUUAAAAAAUAAUUAUACAAAAAUGAAGAAUGAUAAAAAGUAAAACAUUACGUAUAAAAAUUAUUUUAAAAAUAUUUUUAAAAAUAUAGAAAACAAGUUAAAAAUAUUUUAGAAUUUCAAACACAUUUUUGUUUUAUAAAAUAUUAUAGAAUGAUUAAAUAUCAUGUAACUAUCAUAAAAAACUAUUAGUAGUUUUUUCUUUCUUUGGAUAAGCAAGUCAUAUAUAAAGGAAUUAUGUAGCAGCCGAAUAAGACUAUGGGAAGUGUUAAAAUAUAAAAUAGGAAGUGUGAAAUGAACCAUGAAGCUCUAUUUGGUAAUUUUUUUUUAAAAAUAGUUUUCUUUUUUUGAGAACAAAAAAAUAAAGAAACACUUUAGGUAACCAUGAAACGAAAAACGGUUUUGUGUUAUUAAAACAAAAGAUAUGAUGUUUUCUGAAAAUAUAUUUUAGUUAUUUUCAUUUGAUUUUUAUUUGUUAUUUUAAAAAAUAAUUAUACAAAUAUGAAGAAUGCCAAAAAGUAAAACACUACGUAUAAAAAUUAUUUUAAAAAGAUUUUUAAAAGUAUUUUAGAAUUUCAAACACAUUUUUAUUUUAUAAAAUAUUAUAGAAUGGUUAAAUAUCAUGUAACUAUUAUAAAAAACUACUAGUGGUUUUUUCUUUGUUUGUAUAAGCAUGUCAUAUAUAAAGGAAUUAUAUAGAAGCCUAAUAAGACUAUGGGAAGUGUGAAAAUAGAAAAUAGGAAGUGUGAAAUGAACAAUUAAGCUCUAUUUGGUAAUUGUUUUAAAAAAUAGUUUUCUAUUUUUCGAAACAAAAAAAUAAAGAAAUAUUUUAGGUAAUCAUGAAACAAAAAAUGAUUGUGUUAUUAAAACAAAAAAUAUGAUUUUUUCUAAAAAUAUCUUUUAGUUAUUUUCACUUGAUUUCAAUGUGCUAUUUUUAAAAAAUAAUUAUAUAAGUAUGAAGAAUGAUAAAAAGUAAAACACUACCUAUAAAAAUUAUUUUAAAAAUAUAGAAAACAAGUUAAAAAAAUUUUAUUUUAUAAAAUAUUAUAGAACGGUUCCGGAUGUCAAUCGAAUUUUUAUUUUAUAAAAUAUCAUGUAACUAUUAUAAAAAACUAUUUGUAGUUUUUUCUUUGUUUGAAUAAGCAUGUCAUAUAUAAAGGAAUUAUGUAGCAGCCCAAUAAGACUAUGGGAAGCGUGGCACCAUGCAUUCCUCUUAGUUUGCUAGAUACGCUAAUUGUUUACGUGUGAAUUGUGAUUGGCCCUCUCCAGACUCCAUAUUUCUUUCUCUUCCCUCUGAAUUGUUGAUGUGCGAUUAGCCCACUCCAGAGCAUCUCCAUUUUUCCUUUUCUUCUCUCUCCCACUCAAUCGCAGGCACUCACAACCUGGUGAUUAACAACUAGAAACCAUGAGUAGUAGUGGAGGAGAAUUCAUGGUAACAGUGAGGAGGAAAGAAGUAGUGGCAGCUAUGCUACCAAUGCAGAAGCACUGGCUACCACUCUCUAACCUGGACUUGCUUUUACCCCCCAUUAAUGUUGGGGUGUUUUUCUGUUAUAAGAAGCCACGUGGAAGUGCCAGCGGAGGUGAUGACUUCACAUUUGGGUCCAUGGUUAGGGUUCUGAAAGAGGCCAUGGCCCAAGCCCUGGUGCCCUAUUAUGCCUUUGCUGGAGAAGUCUUGUCUAACUCAUUGGGGGAAGCUGAGCUUCUUUGCAACAACCGUGGGGUGGAUUUCUUGGAGGCUUAUGCGGAUGUAAAACUACAAGACCUCAACUUGUAUAACCCUGACGAAAGCAUUGAAGGCAAGCUUGCCCCUACGAGGAAGCAUGGCGUCCUCUCAGUCCAGGUCUUCCUCUUUCUGUGCGCUUAAUUUCAUAUGCUAAUCCUAAUUAGUUGUAAUCCUAACAGGCUAGUUGUGAUAAAAAUGAACUAAUAACAGGUAACUGAGCUCAAAUGUGGCGGAAUUGUGGUGGCCUGUACAUUUGAUCACCGGAUAGCAGACGCAUAUUCUACCAAUAUGUUCCUAGUUUCAUGGGCUGAGAUGGCUCAGUCCAAGCCCUUAUCUGUAAUACCAUCUUUCCGGCGUUCUCUCCUCAACCCUCGACAUCCAGGCUCCUAUGCUCCGUCCCUUGACCACAUGUACGUUCCCAUCUCAGCCUUACCUCCGCCCAAAGUUCCACAACCUGGUGCUGAUCCUCUCAUAAGCCGUCUGUACUAUGUCACUGCCGAGAAGCUCAGUCUACUCCAAACACUAGCCACCAGCAAGAGUAGCUCCUACAAGAGGACCAAACUAGAGUCUCUUAGUGCCUUUUUGUGGAAGAUGGUGGCCAAAAGUGCUCACAUGGAAAAUGCAAACCAAAAAAUAUGCAAGAUGAGUGUCGUGGUGGAUGGAAGAAAGAGGUUAAGCAGUGGAGAUGAGGAUAGGACAACAGCGAUGGCCUCAUACUUUGGAAAUGUGCUGUCCUUCCCCUUUGGUGAGAAGACAGUAAAUGACCUCAAAGAAAAACCACUGAGUUGGGUGGGAGAUGAAGUUCAUGAUUUCCUGGAAGCGGCUAUGACAAAGGAACAUUUCUUGGGGCUGAUAGACUGGGUGGAGGCUCAUCGCCCAGAGCCGGCUGCACUGAAUAUGUGCUGCAGUGGCAAUAGCGACGGGCCAGGAUUUAUGGUGUCAUCAGGGCAGAGGUUCCCGGUGACAAAGGUGGAUUUCGGGUGGGGUAAGCCGGCCCUAGGGUCAUAUCAUUUUCCAUGGGGUGCGGAAGUUGGGUACGUGAUGCCAAUGCCAAGCCCCACUGUAGAUGAUGACUGGGUGGUGUACAUGCACCUCUUGAAAGCCCAGAUUGAGUUGAUUGAGACUGAGGCUGCUCAUAUCUUUAGACCCUUAACAGCCGACCAUCUCAAUUUAUUUGAUUAGCUAGCUUUCGUCCACCAUCUCAUAUUCAGAAAUUUAGAAGUAACUCCCUCGCAUGUUGUUUCAAAUGUUAGAAUUCCUUUUCCUUUUCUUUAUAUCAGAAAUUAAUUACUUUGUAGUAAAAAGAAGUGAAAAACGAAAAUUUUGGAAUGACUUGUACAAGCAUAAAUGCCUCCUAGCUCUAUCUUAAUUACUAUCAUAAGACUAGUAUAAGGAUUAGUAAGGACUUCAAAAUUAAAUCCUAGCUAGGGUUCACUUUUGUAACUUGAAAAAUGAUCAUGUAUACGAAAAUCUUUUCUAUGUUUAGAUCUAGUUUAGAAGGGGGAAUAAAAAAAAAAAAAAAAAAAAAAAGAGAGGCUGGGGGUGGAAAUUAAAGAUGUUGGAUGUGUAACUACAAUAAAUUGAAAAAUAAUAUUUAAUUAUUUUUAGAUUGUCAUUUGGCCAUUAAAAAAUAAUUAAUAUUAUAAUAUGAUUUAUAUAUUUAAAUUACAAAAUAAAAUAUUUUUUUUUGAUAAGAAAUAAUAAAAACCUUUUUUCCUUACAAGUUUUUUUUAUUAGUACUACUUUUUAUAAAUAUUUAUUUUAAAUUUAUUGUAAAAUAACAAAUAAUAAUAAGAAAAAAAUGAUUGGCUUUCAUUUGCUUUGUUCAAGUAUCAAUAGAGAUGAAUAUCAAGAUGUUUCCACUUUCUAGAGCCUCACACACUCGUUACAUUUUGACCCACUUCUCAUAUUCUCUCUCCUUUGUAUUAUCUCCACUUCAAAUACAAUAGAAAGGGGAUUUCUAAUUUCUCCUCUCUCUCUCUAGAAACUAAUAUGCUUUUCAUUGUUUCUCUCUCUUCCUAGGAAUUUUUGUGGAUCCAUGGAAGAGCAAAGCUCAGUCUCUGCAGCUUCAACUCCGAGAUUGCUUCCGAAUUGCUAUGAGUUUCAUCUUCUAAAAUAAUUAUUUAUUUGGUCUAAUGAUUUGAAUUAUAUGAUUUAGUAGUUCGUGAAGAACAUUAAAGACUUGGACUAGAGUUUCUCAUUCGGUAGUGACAAACCUAAGGCUCCUCAUCAUCGCCACCAAAGUUGUGUUCCUUUGAAGUUGAAAACGACCUGGUAAAAAUUCGAGGGAUUUUGCGUUGGGAUAAAAAGGAAUUGUAAAGUAUUCACCUACACAAGUUAAAAGAUUUCCUACAAUGUUAACAACCUCUCAACAGCCGCAACCUAACAAGAAAAGGCAAUUAUAUUAUCUAAAAACAUCCAACCAAAAUUACACCAAAUAUAGCACGGAAAAACCCUCCUAACCGAGGUAAAAAACCAUGGGAAAAAUUUCCUUCACUUUAAUAAAAAUAUGAAUGCAAAUAAAUCCUCACUACUUUCUUCACCUUGAUAAAUAAUGGAAACAUAUAUCAAUGUCUAAGGAGGGAAUCUAUCAUCCUAGAAAACAAAAAAUAGAAGGAGAUUAGGUAGAGAUCAUACCACAAGAACUCCCCUAAAAGGUUGAUGAAAGAACAUAUACCCUUCACCCUUGAACCCUAGAACAAUGCCAAAAAAACAACCUUAUUUUCCUCUUCCUCUUUCUCUACCAUUUUUCACCAACAUACUAAAGCCUUAACGUUAUUUACAUUUGGGCUUAAAGAAUUCCCAUAAAAAAAAAAGCCCAAUACAUGGUGAAGACUUUGUAAACUUUACUAGCCUCACUGGUAGAAGCGACACCCCCUCGUGUUGACAUACUAAAGUGGUAGGCCGAGUAAGACCUGCACGACACAACGACCAGAUGUUAGAAAGUAGUCACCUGACCCCUGCUGCUUGUAAGCAACACUUCAGCUAAGCAAGGGCUAGCCUACACUGGCUCAAAGCCCAUAUUCGGACAGAGCCCUAGCUCAACCUGUAAGGCAGACCCCAUCCAAGGGUCUCCCCUAUUAACCAUACCCCACAAAGGUCUUGACCCAUCUAGAAACCAAACUACAAAAUUCUUGGUCUUAUUAAGACCUCACCAAACCUAUCACCGGCAACGGCUGCCCUACCCACAAAACAACCAAAAGCGUUCUACAUUCUAUACACCACAGCUAAGCAACAAGUCCAAACUCUAAACAGUGAAAAUACAUAAUCGGUAUGGGGAAUGAAGGCUUACCAAAGUUCAGAAGGAACACUGCUAAUUGAAGCUUAGCCCUCCUAAGCCCAAAAAUGGGGAAACUAGUAGGGUCACCAGAAAGAUGAACAGCCACCGAAGUUGCAGUGGUGUAGAAUGCAAGAGUCGUCAAAGAAAAUGAAUAGUAGAGCAGCGCAACGAUGGUAGCUGUAGAUUGCAGAAUGUAGAGAGAUAAUGACGAGAGAAAAAAAAAAGCCUUGGAGACAAGAAACAUCCAAAUGAAUCCUAAAAGGUCUGGGAUCCCAUAUUUAUAAGGGACCAAAACCCUAGAGAUCCUAAAAGCCAGCCGUCAUGGGACACAUCCUAAAGCGACACGCCGCCUGACAGAAUGCCUUGAUGGAAGUAGCCCUCCUGUAAGUGUCUAACACAUGUCUCACCAGCAUUAGGGGACUCUAGGGGAUUUCAGCUCAUCCACCCCUACCCAGACAUAUACGCACAUGCUGAAGGGAACAUUAUGGGGACCUUAUCCCAUUUGUACACCCACAAGCACUUCCAUGUGUUUAUCCACGUGGCAUCACCCUAAUCGGGCCACGUGUCAGAUCUUCAUCACUACCCGGACAACCUCCAAGGUAUUCGAAGACAUCUUGCCUGGACCAUUUGCCCUGCUGAAAUGGCCCACAUCCCCUUGAUAGCCUCAAAUCCUCUUUGAUAAGCGAGGCCCUCGUUAGCUGACACCUGAUCAAACUCAUGGGAUAUUUUCUAUCCCCACAUCCAAUUUAGUAGACAAGCAUGUCAAAACUCAGGUCAACAGCAAGGUUGAAAGAAUGGCAAGCUAUGACGCGCCAUCUGACACAACCCCUAACUAUCCUGCAGGUAUGAUGAUUGCCCUGCCACUACUGCACAAUCAUCACUACCCGGCCAACUCAGCACUACGAAGCCCCACUCAUCUUUGAACACUAUAAAAACCCUACGAUAAUAUAACAAAAGGGGAUAGUGAGUUCUCAAAUCCACUCUCUAUCUUUCUCUCUCUCUCUAAAGGUUUCCAUUCUUCCUAAUGUCUGACUUGGGCUUUGGAGGGUGUGUCCGGACAACCCAUCCGGACACCUUUGUGUAGGGAAGCAUAAAUCCAAGAUUUCGGUACCAGAGCGGGAGCUUUCUCCACCACGUCUAAGGAAUGAAUCUAUCCUCAGUUGACCAGGUAUCAACACUACCUAGCUCAAUGGUUUCUCUUUCAGUUCAUUUAUUGUCUUCUUACCAAAUGGGAUGGACAACACAUUUUCGAAGUAAGAGGCUAUCAUUGUUUCUUUAACCUUGUCUUCAUUGCUCAAUCACUUUCUUUCAUCCACCACGGUGCCCAUCUUGCAUAUAUUUUGGUUUUCGUCUUCCAUGACUGCAAUUUUGGCCACCAUCUUCCACAGAAAAGCAUUGAGAGACUCUAGUUUGGUCCUCUUGCAGGAGCUACCCUUGCUGGUGGCUAGUGAUUGGAGUAUACUGAGAGUUGUUCGGUUGUGACAUAGUAAAAGCGGUUUAUGAGAAGAUCAUCACCAGGCUGUGGAGCUUUGGGAGGAGGUAAGGCUGACAUGGGGAUGUACAUGUCAUCAAGGGAUAGAUCAUAGGAUCCCGGACAUCGAGGGUUGAGGAGAGAGCGCCGGAAAGAUGGUAGUACGGAUAAUGGCUUGGACUGUGCCAUUUCAGCCCAUGAAACUAGAAACAUAUUGGCAGAAUAUGUGUCUACUUUCCUAUGAUCGAAUGUACAUGCCACCAAAACUCCGCCACAUUUGAGUUGAGUCACUUGUCAUUAGUUCAUUUACAUAACAAUAAGCAUGUCACGAUUACAACUAAUUAGGAUUAGCAUAUCACAGAGAAAGAGAGAGAGUUACCUGGACUGACAGAACGUCAUGUUUCUUCUUAGGGACAAGCUUGCUUUCAAUGCUUUCAUCAGGUUUAUAUAAGUUGAGGUUUUGUAGUUGUCCAUCCGCAUAAGCUUCCAUGAAAUCAACCCCACGGUUGUUGCAAAUGAGCUCGAGAUCACCCGCUGAGUUACUCAAAACUUCCCCUGCAAAUGGAUAAUAGGACACCAGUGCUUGGGCCAAGGCCUCACUCAGAACGCCAAUCAUGGACCCAAAUGAUAAAUCAUGGGGCUUUCUGUAAUAGAAAAACACGCCCACAUCUACUGGAGGCAAAAGCAAGUCCAGGUCAGACGGUGGCAGCCAGUACUCCUGCACAGGCAGUACAACUACCACUACUUCCUUCCUGCUCACUGUUACUGUGAAAUCUCCACCACCCAUGAAUCCUAAUUAAUUCUAAGUGUCUUUGUAUGCCAGAGUGAGUAAUGGAAGAGAAGCAAACUUGUAAGCGUGCGUCUGAGUAAAAAAAUAGCAGCAAGAAACAUGGAUUUUAUAGCACAGGACAGUACUUGUCUCAAGUCCCCACUGACAUUUCAUCAAAUUUUGAUGAGAAAAUUUGAAUGAUGGAUAUGAGAAUGACUACAAAGACCAAGAGUGGUACGAAGGAAUGAAAAUAUUUGUCUUAAUUUUGUUGUAGAUGAGAAAUAAUGAAUUGAUACAGGUUGUAUAUAUUGUUACAUAAACCCCAAGGGGGACUCCUUGAAAUGGAAAAAUAAAUAAAUAGAAGGCUGUAGAAAAUAUCUGAGAUACAUUAAUUUUCAAGCCAAACCCUAGGUUUCCUCCAAGAUCACCAAAUGAGAUGAGUUCAAUGAUCCUUGGAAAAGAAGCUAAUAAAUUUGUGGCUUCUCUUUGGUCAUGAGAGGUUAGAUGUCUUCUAAUUGUGGUACAUAUUUUGGUUGGAUAGCUCAUCAAUUCAGUGACAAUAAACUGAAUGAAAGUGAAAUUUCAAAGCCAUGUCAUUUUUCAGUUGUCUUAAUUUCCUGAAAAUGAUUGAUGGGUUAUUUUAGAAGUUGGGAAUUUCCUUGGAAAUAUCUAUAGAAAAUUAUUUGAUCAAUCAAAUGGUACAUAAUUGAUAACUUCAACACCAUUGCAUACUCCAUGACGGGUUUUACUUCCUAUUUGAGUUUGAAAGAGAAGAGUUCAAAAACAAAAUCUUUGGAAAGCUACACAGCAUAAUAUAUAUAUACACAUAUACAUAUACUAGGCCCGAAGGUAUAUAUAUUUAAUUGAUGACUAGAAAUCUCUGGAAAGAACGAGUUCAAAGACAAUCUCUGGAAAACACCCCUGCAUGACAUGAGAAAGAGACACUUCACUAUUUUACUUAUUUAUGAAAUUUCAAAUUAAUUCUAUCCUUCAAAAAGGAUACAGACCUAAAUACAACCUAAAACCGUGAUCACUUUUCCUCUCAAAUUAAGACUGCCAUCUGGUGGCCUUUUAAUUGCAGUGAUCCUACCAAAGAACGCAUGCAUAGGCCCUGUGAGACUGAUAAUUACAAAGGUGGUGUGGUGGUGUACAACUCUAGUCCAUGCAUGGGAUUAGGUCACUCUUUCUUUCUUCACGACAAUGGAAUUGAUUUUAUGGAACUUACCAAGGUUUGGUAAUUGAGAUUUUCGUAUUAAUGGAUGACAAUGACUUAUAGCCUAGAUAUUUCUAUGCAUCUCUCUUGUAUAAGAAAGACAUUUAUGUCUUUCUUGAAAAUGUUUGAUUGUUUAUUUUUGCAAGUAAUUUGGAAAAUCGUUGUUUUAGCUCGUCACAUCUUUGAAAUGAUGUGCAACCAAUAGUUAGGAGCUUCACAAAAGAAAAUUCUUGGCAUAUAUUAAGUCCUUAACUAAAACAACAAACACUAUAAUGUUCUCUAAAUACAUCUUAAUUAAUUUGGAGGGUUUUGGCCUUUCAAAUAUUUUUAAAUUUCUCCUCCAUCAACAAUUUAUCCACAUUAAAUUUACAUUGAAACAGGACUGGCUUGGUGGGAAACAUGUUUUGACACAUGGACGCCCAAUAAAUUGUUGGGUUUGUUGAAAGAAUUAGCAUUUUUCAUGGUUUAACUGUUUGAAUGAUUGGGCACCAUUCCAUAUGUUGUUGUGAUUCGAUUAUUCCUAUGUUAGUACUAUCUUAUUUCUCAAUGGUGGGAAUGUGGUAAACUAGCUAGUUAUUCUCUUAUGAAAAACCAUGACAAAGAAUGAUAAUAGGGAUUUAAAAAUAAGAUAAUGAAAACAUAAAAUAUCUAAGGUAUAUAAUGAUUUACGUGAAUUAGCCUAAAACUUAUUUUCAUAGGUGAAAGUAAAGAAGAAAUUCCAUUAUUAUUAAAAGAUAUUACAACUCUAGAGUUCCUUUAAUCCCAAAGUCUCAAUUAUAUCCAAAAAAGAGACUUUCUCUUGGCCAAAAUUUCUUUCUAUAUAUAUUCCUAAUUUCAUAGCAAUAUUUCAUAUAGAAAACUAAUUAUAUAACUAUCAAAAGUAUUUAUUCCUAAAAGAAUAUAUAACUAUAGGAUAUUUCCUUUAUGACAUAGGAAACUCCCUUACAUGAAUAUAUCCUACAAAGAAAACAUCAAUGACUUACCAAUUGACACAAAUUAGAAUUUGAAACAUUUUUCAACAAUGUUCACAUUGGCUUAUAUUCAUAAGCUUUGAAUAAACUCGGAAGUCUUUUAUGUUACUUCGCUUUCAUGGUACCUCUAAGGGACCUUGAAAUACUACCAACACCAAUUGAGUUUAAGUAAUGCCUGAACUUAAUUAAAUGUAAAAACGAGCAUAUUCAUAUCAUAUUUGAUGGAUUAUCUAUUCACUACAAUAACACCCUUUGCAAUCACAUCUUUGAUAAAAUGCAUUCAAACAUCAAUAUAUUUUGUCUUCUUAUGAAACAUCUAAUUUUUAUUUAAAUGUAUGGCACUUUGGGUAUCACAAUACCCAAUAAAAAACUCUUGUUGUAAGCUUAAAUUGUCAACCAAACCCUUAAGCCAAACAUGAAAAUCAUCACUUCCAAGAAAGAAAAUAUCCUCAUUAUAGAAGGAGAGUCAUUAAAGACUUUCAAAAUAUAAGUUGUGUUAAACAAAAACCUGACUUAUAUAAAUAGAUUUAAAUUGAAUCUUGUCAUACUAAAGGCCCUAAAUUGAUUUGAUGAAAUAAUAAGGUUGAUGAAUUAAGGAUGUCGGGUAGCUAGAGUGUGUUUGUUUUUAACUAUGGAAUGAUCUAUCAAUUGUUAUACAUGUCAUAUUCCUUGCUAACUUAACUGAAUUAAUUUGAUUCACUAUAUAAUAUUGUGAAAACUUUUGACUUUUAUAUGGAACUGGUAUUUUCCUCUCUUAUUUUUUAUAGUAAGCUAGUCGGUAGCCUUAUCAGGCCUACCUUUUUAUAUCGAUUUACAACAUCUCACCGUUAUCCCUUUGGCAACUACAACUUGAUGCAUACACGGAUGUUUCACAUGACGAUGAUUAAAUUUUAAUCAUUACAAAUUACUUAACUCAUGUUAGAUUCUCAUUAAGGAUGAUCACCUUGCACCUGCGUUAAGUUUGGCAAAAAUUUUAAGAAAUGAUAGAAGAAGUAAUAAUAAAUAUUUUAAAAUUAUUUUGUUGUAGAAAUUGAUAUAUGUACAAUAUAAUUUAUCCCAUUUAAUAAUGAUUUAUCUAUAGCAAGGCUUGUGAGUUAUGAUAACAUCAAAGUAAGAAACACGUCUAGCAAUGGGCAAUGACUGAUGCCAAGGACACAAAAGACUUCGCUCCCACAUCACCAAAGUGGUUCCGUCACAAGCCAAAGUGGGAUCUACGCAUAGAGAUCUCUUUAGUAGCAGUCUAUAAAUCCACCACUUCUCCUCAUCCCCUCCACAAACCAUUCCCAUUUUUCCGUUUCUCUCUAUCUCUCUUAGCUGAAAACCAUGCGUGAUGGAGGAGACUUCACUAUAAUUGUGACCAGGAAAGAGGGUUAAUGGAGGUGAUGACUUACCUUUGGGUCCAUGGUUGGGGUUCUGAAGAAAGCCAUGGUCCAAGCACUGGUCCCCUACAAUGCUUUUGCAGGGAAAGUUGUGGGUCUAUGCAAUAACCGAGGGGUAGAUUUCAUGGAGACUUUAGGUUGUAUAACCUUGACAACAAAAUUGAAGGCAAGCUUGUCCCUAAGAAGUAGCAUGGUGUCCUCUAUGUGCAGGUAACACUUCUCUCUCUCUGACACAUCAUGAUAUUGUCGUGCCAUUAUUACUCUAUGUAAUAAAACAAAUGAAGGAAAAUGAUAGGUGUGUUGAUUUUACAAUGAUUCCUAAUAAAGAAAUUAGAGAAAAACAAAACAAAACACACAGAUUUAACAUAAUUCGACAUAUUGCCUGGGAACAUGGAGAAAGACUUUCACUAUAUCCCAAAAUUAAGGUUAUAUAAAAGGGUAUUUAUGUUAACCCUAGGUAUUGAAAUUUCAAAAAUACCUCUGAAUCGUACCACGUACGGGAGCGUUGCCCCCCGCAUGCCCCCAACCUAUCGUUCGCCCUUUUUCUCUAUAUGUCUUUAAUUCAAUAGGAGCCACAUACUAUAACAUGGUGGGUUGUACAUUCAAUCAUGGGAUGGUUAACACAUAUUCUACUAAUAUGUUCCUAGGUCAUGGGCUGAGAUGGCCCAAUGCAAGUCAUUAUCUGUGGUUCCAUCUUUCCAGCGCUCUCUCCUCAACAUCAGAUGUCUAGGCUCCUAUGAUCCCUCCCUGGAUGACAUGUACGUCCCUUUAUCAACCUUACCUCCUCCUAGAGCUCCGCAGCCGGGCGGUGCCCAUACUUCCAUAAGUCGCAUAUACUAUGUCAUGACAAACAGCUCAGUCUACUCCAAACACUAGCUAGCCAGUACCAGAAAUGGCAGCUCCUACAAGAGGACUAAACUAGAGUCUUUCAGUGCAUUUUUGUGGAAGAUGGUGGCGGAAAGUGUUGUCAUGGAAAAUGAUAACAAAAAGAUAUGCAAGAUGGGCAUCGUGGUGGACGAAAAAAGGCAGUUAAGUAGUGGAGAUGAGGAUAAAUAAACAAUGAUGGCCUCUUACAUUGGAAAUGUGCUGUCAAUCCCCUUUGGUGAGAAAAUGAUAACUAAACUGAAAGAGAAACCCUUAAGUUGGGUGGCAGAUGCAGUUCAUGACAACCUGGAAGGGGCAGCGACAAAUGAGCCUUUCUUGGGGCUCAUAGAUUGGGUAGAGGCUCACCGUCCAGAGCUUGCUUUGGAAAAGAUAUACUGCAGUGGCAGCAGCAAAGGAUCACCGUUUGUUGUAUCAUCAAGGCAGAGAUUCCCAAUGUCAAAGGUAGAUUUCGGGUGGGGUAAGCCUUCUAUGGGAUCAUACCAUUGUCCAUGAGGUGGGGGAGUUGAGUAUGUGAUGCCAAUGCCAAGUCCGACCAGAGAUGGUGACUGGGUGGUGUACAUGCACCUCUUGAAAGGGCAGAUGGAGUUGAUUGAGAUUGAGGCCGCCUAUGUCUUUAGACCUUUAACGUCUGAGUAUCUCAACCUGAUCAUCUGAAGUUUGCUUACAUCCAGAUGACUUCUUAUGUAUUCAUCAAUGUCUCUUAGUUUCUUCAUCCCUCUGCCUUAUAGUUUAUUAGGUCCUUUUAAUUUUUCUCUUUAAUAUGGUGAAUCUCUUGGCUAUGAAGAAUGAGUUUUUGGACUUACAUGAUGUACGAAUCCUAAUUAAACUAAGAUUAUGUUUCCUAAGUAUGUUAUACUUAUUAACUUGAGUUUGAUUCUUUUCAGGAUUUGGAAUCCUAACUUUAUUAAGAGUUUUUUUUUUUUAAUUAGAAUUAGGUUUCUAUAAUUGCUCCUAUAUAUAUUCCAUAGUAAUAGAAAGUUAUGUGUGGUAAAUUUUACAUAAAUAUUUAUCACCUCCUUCAUUGUUUUUUUAUCCUUUUUUUGUGUGAAGAAAUUGUUCUUGUGCUGGAAAGAUUAUUUUUUAUUGCUCACAUUUGGUAUCAGAGCAUGGAGUUUAAAGAUGCAAGCAACCAAUAAUAAUACAAUCCAACCCCAGUUUCCAAAGUUUGAUGGGAGAAAUAAUUUUGAAUUUUGGAGAUCAAGAUGUAACUAUUAUUUAAGUAUCAAGAUAUUUGAGGAGUAGUAGAUUAAGGAUUUGUGGUACCGAAAGAUCAAAUUCAACUCACACAAGUGCAAAAGGAUAAUUUGGUGAAUUUGAAGAAGAAAGGUUUGAAGGCUUGCCUUUACAUCUAUCAGUAAGCAAAACUGCCUAUUUUUUAGAAGAUUGUGAAUACAAGUACGACAACAGAUGUAUGGGACAUCCUUAUGAACACCUACAAAAGGGUAAAGAAGGUGAAGAAGGUACGAUUAUAGGCUUUGAGGAGAUAAUUCGAACUUCUUCAAAUGGAGAAAACAAAAAGAGUCUUCGACUACUUUUCAUGAACAUUAGCUCUUGUCAAUUAGAUGAAAUCUAAUGAUGAAAACAUUUUAGAUCUCCAAGUUAUGGAGAAAAUUCUUCAAACCUUAACCAUGCGAUUCGAAUACAAGGUAACAACAAUUGAAGAAUCAAAAGAUCUUAGUACCAUGACGUUGGAUGAAUUGAUGGGUUCCUUGCAAGCCCAUGAACAAUCCUUAGAUGAAAGGUCCCAAAUUGAGGCAAAAGAAGCAUUAGAAAACCAAGUAAGAAAGGUUAGAAUCACUAUAAGAAAGAUGAUUAUUAGCAACACAAUUUUUUGUCACAAAAAGGUUAAUAUCGUUGCAAAAAAGUUUUCACAAUGAAAAUUAUUUUGUUUCAUGAACGUCACCUUAUCCUCAUCACAAAAAGUUUUUGCAACAAAUAAAAUGUUUCAUCUCUAAUAGUUUAUAGAGACAUAAUUUGUUUGUUGUUUCCAAUAAUAUUUUGAUAAAAAUAUUUAUUGUUAAAUGUUUAAAAUUUUGAUGCUAAAAAUGCUCAAUAAUGAAUUAAAUUGUCACCAAAUUAGACACAUACAACAACAACAAAAAUUAUUAUGUCGUUGCCAAAUAGAUUUUGAAACAAAACUUUAUUUUGUUGCUAAAAGUUAAGGUCAAAUUUUAACAAAAAAAAAAUAAUAAAAAAUAGAUGUCUCUAAAUGUAUGAACUUUUGUUACUAUAUAUCUAUAUGUGUAUAGUAAUUUUAUCAUCAUAUCUUAAAAUAUUCAAUUAAUAUAUUUUAGUUUUUAUAUUUAAUUUUAAAUUAUAAAACCUUGUUAAAAAAUUAAAUUUUGUGAUAACUUAACUUUAUUAUGUAAUUAAUAAUUAUAACAUCUAAAUGAAUAAAUAAAUUAUAUGAUAACAUAGUUUUAAUACAUGAUUGAUAAUAUUCCAUCAAAUAUAAAAGAACUUUGUUAUGUCCACAUAUACGAAAAAGAAAAAAAAAAGAAAGUAAACAUUGAUAUCCACAUUUGUAAAAUGUGAUACGUUUUAGAAAUAAAAGAAAAGUAGCAAACUAACAAAUACACAAAAUAUGAUAACAUCUAAAAAAUUGCAAUGAACUAAAUAAAGUACCAUAUAUACAUGCCAAAAGGAGAGUGUCCCCAAAAAAGCCAAAACCAAAUGCUUAGAAAAUAUCGAUCAUCAUCCAUGAGUGACUAGGAAUCUAUGAAUGGUGUAUCAUGUGAGGAAGAUGAACUUUCUGAGCCUGAACCUAGAAUGCACAUGUAUUAACAUUUCACUAACAAAACUAGCUAAUUGAUCCAUCUGGGAUUGUUGGUGCUAGAUUCGAGCCUCUUGACUUUGGAUGAGCUCUUGUGUUGAUCUAAGCUCAGUCUCUAAUUCCAUCUCUCGAUGUGACUUAGCACAUAUAGAUCUCGAUGAGGAUGGGGGUGGUCGAGGGCCAUGACUUAACCCCUUGAUAGAUCUCGAGCCUAGCUAGCACGUGAACACAUAUAUCAACCUUUGCCAAGAUUUUACCAUCUUCCAACACUAGUUACCUUUGCAAUUCCAACAUUCUUUCCUACAAAUAUAAAGAAAAGAUAAAUAAUAUUAAACACAAACCAACCGAAUAAAUAAAAGUUUGAAAAAUAAAGUACAUUAGAAUAAAAUCUUUUUAGCAUAUUGAUUCAUGCCCAAUCGGGUGUUUAUCAAAACAUUUAUAAAACCUACAACACCUUAUACUAGGGUAGCAAAGACAAAGCUACUAUAGCAUAGUGGCUCUAGGAUCGUCCACAUGGAUGGGUUUUCUUUGUACACAUGACAUUAAUGAAAUGAGAAAUGGUGAUUUCCUUUUUUGAAAGUUAGUUUUUUUAAUUGAAAAUAAGAUGGAUUGGAAGGGUUGAUUUUAAGUUAAGCAAACAUAAACAACUAAAAUUACUAUAAAGAGAAAGUCUCUUGGAGCUAUAGGUUACUAGGAUCAGGUUCCUGUUGCAAAGUGGGAAAUUUUGGAUCUUCUCCUCACAUUGAGGAUAAUAACAUAAAGGAUGGUUAUCUCCCGAACCGGAUUUGUAUUUAGAAAAUAAGUUUUGAUCGAAAGGAUUCUUGAAAAAUGGUAGUUGCUUCCCAUUAAUGGCUUCAAACACUAAAGACCCUCACCUUGAACCACCUUCUAAUGGCUCGUACUUGAUAACUAAUGGACAUCCAUGAAUCUAGCAAUAAGCAUCCAUAAAAUCUUAAAAGCUUACCAAGUAUUGGUCAUUCAAGGUGAUUCUAAGGGAUUAAAGCUGAAACUUGAAAUACAAACCAUUAACGAUACACAACUACCUUCAUUUUUAGCAAGGAAAACUCUCACAUUUGCAUCUAGGUCCUUUACCUAGCUUCCAUCACUCCAAGAAAUGUGAAACUUAGCCACUCAUCCUGAGAAAUCAUCCUCAGAGGGUGUUUGGCUAGAGAGAAAGUGAAGAGAAAAUGAGAAGGAAAGGCAGAGAAAAACUCGUCUUUACAAAAUAUCUAAAACAUAAUAUCAAACAUAACAUAAUAUCUGAGAGGUUUUCCAACCCCUAUUUAUAGUUCCUAAACAAACCCUAAUGUCAUUUAUCUAUUACAAAAAGAGUAAAAAGGAAAAAAAUUACAAUUUUGGGGAUUUUUCCCGAAGGUCGGUGCGCACAUAGUGAUUUUCGUACACCCUGCGAAAAUUUGGCACACCCUGCCAAAGUUUGGCAUACCCUGCGAAAUUUGGCACACCUUGCCAAAGUUUGGCACACCCUACGAAAUUUUGGCACACCUUGCCAAAAUUUGGCACACCUUGCGCAUUUUGACACACCUUGCGAAUUUGAUGAUUUUGCCUUUCAAAAUGCUCUGUUUUCCUCCAUCUUACUACUGAUAGUUUUGUCAACCCCUUGCCAAGUUUGGCAAAGGGUUUUGAAGUGCUCCAAAGCUCGGGUUCUUCAUGUGCUCCAAACUCUCCCUCAAUCUUGGCCUGUUUCAGUGAUCAAAAAGCUACCAAAAACACUAAAAUUUACCAAAAAUUGGUUAGUAACAUUUGCUAGGUUCUUAACAUGCCAAAUGGGAUAUAAAGGUCUAACUACUACUCAAAAGUGCUAAGUACAAUUAAGUUUAAGCUUAUAAAAAUGCACUUUUUGAGUAAUAAUCACUCCCCCCAACCGACACAUUGCUAAUCCCUUAGCAAUGAAAGAGAGAAAAAGAAAAACAUCUCUCAUGGAAAAUCAAAGAUAUAAAACCCAACCUUCAACAAGAGUCAUUAAAUCACUUACCUAAUCACAAAAAUACAAAGAGUAGGCAUUACACAAAUUUAAGCAUCAAAAAAAUUUCUACUCCCAGAGAUCCAACUCUUAAUCUUCCACAAGAAUCUAAGUGUUAAGGUGAUUAGUUUCCAAUUAUAGUAUGCUAAACUAUGCUCUCCCCCCAACCUAGUUCUUUCUCAAACCUAGCACUCUGACCAACACCCAAUAGGCUAAGAACGCACCUCUUUUAUUUCACAAUUUUUUUAUUUGCUUAACUUCACCCAUUCACCCUUAUAACGAGCAUUAAGGCCUGUGACUCCUAACCAAUUAAGGUUUAAGGUAGCAGGCUUCAAAGACUUUCUCCAUAUACCCCUAAGACUUUGCUCGGGUUUCAAGGCAAGUGUAACACUUUUUUUUUUUUCUUUUUUUUUUCUGAAGGCUCAUUGGCCUUCUAUAAGGUGUCCCAACACUAUUAAAAUGAGGUCAAAGGUACCAAGUCAAAAUUUUCCUAAGUUCAAGGGGUGAGAUAGUUUUUCAUCUUAUAAUUGGAACCUAAUGUGCACAGUGUGUGGUAAGAUUAAAGUGGAAGAGACAAGAUUGAAUUCAAUAGGAACUUCAAUAAUUCAUCUACCUCAAUAAACAUAAUACAAACUCUAAGACUUAAGCAAAAAAACAAGAACUCAACUUCUCUCAUUUCAUUUUGAGAAUUUUUUCUUGACAACCAUGGAGAGUAGAGUAAAUUUUUAUAAAAAAUUAAACAAAAGGUAACUACGUUAACAAAAUAUCCUAGCAAUAUUUACAAUACUUACUUCCUCAACUCUCCCCCCAACCAAGAUGAACAUUGUCCUCAAUGAUUCAAUCGCAAGUGAAAAUAAAGGAAGGAAGUGAUACCUCCUUAGGGAAAUGCACUCGGAAGUGUAGAGGAGAAACCACAUGGUUCAACAAACAAUUUUUUCACAGUCAUGCAAAAGUUUCGCAAAAGGGAGCGAAAUAGAGUAGAGAAGUGAGAAAUGAAGUUGGGAUGUAUGUUGUAAAAAAAAAAAAAAUUACUUUUUUUUUUUUUUUUUUUUUUUUGAGAAGGAAAGAUGGAGGGGUGGAGAUGGUUCGCAAAGUGGGAAUUUCACAAAAGCACUUUCACUAAGGCACUUUCGCAAAGUGGGAUUUCGCAAAGUGGGUAUGUGAAAAAAUGGUAUGCGAACUUGAUUCGCAGGGUGAACUUUGAGUUCACAAACCCUGUGGAAAUUCAUAAAGGAUGCGAAGUUAAAGACUGAGAGCUAUCGUUUUCAAAAAUGAUCACAAGGGGGUUUCGCAGAGGAUUCGCAUACCCUGUGUUUUUUCGCAUAGGGUGAGAAGUUAAAGACCGAGAGCUUUAAUUUUUCAAAAAUCAUCAGGAAAAUUUCGCAGAGGGUGCGAAAUUUUCGCAUGCUCUGUGAAAUGGUAGUAGCUCACCUAAUGCAAAGAGCACUUUUCGUACACCACGCGAAAAAUUCAUAGGGAGGUAUGCGAAAUGCUCUGCUUCAAUUUUUCCUCAGUUUUUCCUCUGCCAACGAAUCCUUAAGUGCUCUCCCCUGCAAGUGAACAUCAAAAACCUAAAUUACAUCAAACCAAAAGGUAAUUGAAGCAAGAAAUCAAAAUCAAAACAAAUACAAAUGUAAGAAAAACAUGAAAUAAAAAACAAAACCAAAAAAAUGAUGGACUUAAUAGUUUUCAGAAAGACUAAGUCCAUCCAGGAUCUGAUUUUUCAAGCCUAAGGAGGAUCAAUGAGGAUGAAUUCCUCCUUGUCUCGAGAAAAAUGCUCCACAAAUGGCUUGAGAUGAUGGUCAUUUACUUUGAAAUUUCGGUUGUUGUUGGCGUUGAGUAGCUCCACUACUUCAUUCGAAUACACUUGGUGGAUUGUGAAAGGACCUAACCACCUUGAUUUCAACUUGCCCGGAAAGAUAUGGAGCUUAGAGUCAUAGAGCAAGACUCUUUGUCCCUUUGAAAAGUCAUUUCGGGUCACCAACUGAUCAUGCCAUUUCUUCAACCUCUCUUUUACAAAUUUUGAAUUGAGGUAAGCAUCAUUUCGUAGUUCCUCUAACUCAUUGAGGUCUAAGAAUCUCUUCAACCCGACUUUGCUCAAAUCCAUGUUGAGUUUCUUGAUUGCCCACCAAGCCUUGUAUUCCAAUUCCACAUGGAGAUGACACGCUUUGCCAUAGACUAAGCGAUAAGGGGACAUCCCAAGAAUGGUCUUGUAAGCUGUUCUAUAAGCCCAUAGUGAAUCAAGGAGUUUGAUAGACCAAUCUUUUCUGUUCACAUUCACCACCUUCAUCAAUAUGUUCUUGAUCUCCCGGUUUGCCAACUCAACUUGCCCGCUAGUUUGAGGAUGGUAAGGCGUAGCUACCUUAUGCUUCACCCCAUACUUGGCUAAAAGAGUUUCAAAAGGCUUGUUACAAAAAUGAGUACCCCCAUCACUGAUUAUGGCUUUAGGCACUCCAAAUAUUGAGAAAAUGUUCUUCUUCAAGAACUUGAUAACCACCCUAUGGUCAUUAUGUUUACAUGGAACUGCUUCAACCCACUUAGAAACAUAAUCGACUCCCACCAAGAUGUAGGAGUAGCCAAAUGACAUAGGAAAAGGUCCCAUGAAGUCAAUGCCCCAAAUAUAAAAAAGAUCAACUAUCAGAAUGGGGUUCAAAGGCAUCAUAUUCCUUCGGGUCAACUUCCCAAGCCUUUGACAUCGAUCACAACCCUUGCACAUGGCAUGUGCAUCUUUGAAAAGUGAGGGCCAACAGAAAACCGAUUGCAAGACCCUCAUAGUUGUCUUCUGAGAAGCAAAGUGGCUUCCACAAGCAUUCUCAUGGCAAUGAGAGAGAAUCCCCUGUUGCUUUUGUUCAGGAACACACUUUCUUAUUAUUUGAUCUGCACAAUACUUGAAUAGAAACGGUUUUUCCCAAUAGUAGGCAUGGAUCUCUGCAAAGAAAUGCUUCCUAUCUUGUGCUUUCCACUCACUUGGAACUUCUCCUGUAACUAGGUAGUUCGCAAUAUGAGCAUACCACGGAGUUACUUCCACCAACAUGAGAGAUUCCUCUGGGAAGUCAUCAUUAAUGGGCAAACUAUGGGAAUUAUGUGCAAUUGCAAGCCUUGAAAGGUGGUCAGCUACCACAUUUUCUACUCCCUUCUUGUCUUUGAUUUGAAGAUUGAACUCUUGAAGCAAGAGGAUCUACCUAAUCAGUCUUGCCUUGACAUCUUACUUAGUCAACAAGUACUUCAAAGCAGAGUGAUCGGUGAAUACCACUAUGAAAGACCCCACCAAGUAAGCACAAAAUUUGUCUAAGGCAAAAACUACCGCUAACAAUUCCUUCUCGGUGGUUGUGUAGUUUCUUUGUGCCUCAUUGAGUGUCUUACUGGCAUAACAGAUCACAUAGGGUUUUCCAUCUUCUCUUUGGCCCAACACAGCUCCAAUAGAAAAAUCACUAGCAUCGCACAUUACCUCAAAGGGUAAUUGCCAGUUAGGAGCUCACACAAUGGGUGUUGUUGUCAGAAAUGACUUUAAUUGCUCAAAACUUCUUUGGCAUCUUUCAUCCCAAACGAAUUUGGCAUCCUUGACCAAUAGUUCACAAAGAGGCCUUGCAAGCUUUGAAAACUCCUUGAUAAACCUCCUAUAGAACCCAGCAUGUCCAAGGAAUUGUCUUACUCCCUUGACAUUGGUAGGGGAUGGCAACUUGACAAUGAGUUCAACUUUUGCUUUAUCAACUUCAAUUCUCUCCUUAGAGAUGAUAUGCCUGAGAAUAAUCCAUUAUUGUACCAUGAAAUGACACUUCUCCCUAUUAAGCACCAAGUCUUUUUCAAUGCACCGGUUUAGAACAGAUUCUAAGUUUAUCAAGCAAUCCUCAAUUGCACUUCCAUAAACGGUGAUAUCGUCCAUAAAGACUUCCAAAAUUCACUCCACCAUAUCAUUAAAGAUGCUUAGCAUGCAUCUUUGGAAAGUUGCGAGUGCAUUGCAUAAACCGAAGGGCAUUCUCCUAUAUGCAAAUAUACCAAAGGGGUAUGUGAAAGUGGUAUUCUCUUGAUCUUCCAAAUCAAUCUCUAUUUGAAAGUAGCCAGAGUAGUCAUCCAAAAAAUAGUAGAAAUGAUGCCUAGAAACCCUUCCUUGUCACCGCAUUCAAUUUCCUGUAAUCGAUACACACCCUCCAACCGGUAGUAAGGCAUAUGGAGACAUCUUCUCCCUUAUCAUUCUGCACCACCAUGAUCCCAGACUUCUUUGGGACAACCUGGGUUGGACUCACCCAUAAGCUAUCUGAUAUGGGAUAAAUAAUACCGGCUUGAAGUAGCUUCAAAACUUCAGCUCGCACCACCUCUUGCAUGUGAGGGUUCAACCUUCUCUACGGUUGGCAAACUAGCUUUGCUUCCUCCUCCAUAUAGAUAUGAUGGGUGCACACCAAAGGGCUGAUCCUUUUCAUGUCCGAAAUUUUCCACCCAAUGGCCUUCUUACAUUUUCUAAGGACUCCGAUUAGAUAAUCCUCUUGAUGAAUGGAGAGAGCUGAAGAGAUCACCACAGGGCACUGCUUGUCUUCCUCCAAGUAUGCGUAUUUCAACCCAGUAGGAAGAAGCUUAAGAGUAAGCUUUGGGGACUCCUCCUUAGUAGCUCUGUGCGACUUCUCCUCAUUGAACAAAGGUAGAAUAUCUUCCUUCCUUUUCCAAUGAGACAUGGUAGUUAGCAAAUCUGAGGGUUCAGGUAACCCUUCAUCAAGAUCCCCAAGACUCUCAAUCAAAUCUUCCUCCAUGCUCUGUUCAUAGUGCUCCUCCACCAAAGUGUCAAUCAUGCACACUUCCUCUAGCCCUUCCUCUUCUUUCGGAUGGAGAUACUUCUUGCACAAAUGGAAGAUAUUUAGCUCCAAGGUCAUGUUGCCAAACGUGAGUUGCAUAACUUCAUUCCUACAAUUGAUGAUUGCAUUAGAAGUAGCGAGGAAUGGUCUUCCAAGUAUGAUUGGCACAUAGUUUGUCCCCGUGACAACUGGAUCACUAUCAAGAACAACAAAAUCUACUGGAUAGUAGAAUUUGUCAACCUGUACCAAGACAUCUUCAAUUAUCCCCCUUGGGAUCUUCACUAAUCUAUUAACUAGGGAGAGAGUAAUGGAUGUGGCCUUCAACCCCCCAAGUCCUAACUGCUUGUAAACCGAAUAGGGUAGCAAAUUCACACUUGUUCCCAAGUCUAGAAGAGCUUUCUCCACACAUGUCCCUCCAAUAUUUACUGAAAUGGUGGGGCAUCCUGGAUCUUUAUACUUCACUGGAGAUUGGCACUGGAUGAUAGCACUUACUUGUUCAGUCAAGAAGGCUUUCUUGGUCACAUUUAACCCUCUCUUUAUAGUGCACAAGUCCUUCAAGAAUUUAGCAUAAGUUGGAACUUGCUUGAUCAUGUCAAGUAAAGGAAUGUUGACCUUUACUUGCCUCAACACUUCAAAAUUUUUUGAUGUAUUCUUGGUUCCCUUCUUACCAUGUAAAGCUUGAGGGAAAGGUGGAGGCAUGUGCUUCUUCAUCAUAUCUUCCUUGAUGACUAUCCUUGGUUCUUCAUCCACACUUGAAUCAUGGUCACCUUCAUCUGACUUCUUCUCACCCAUGUCUUUCUUUGAUUCACUUCGUUCACCAUGCUUCAGCUUAGGUGCGGGUUGAACAACCUCCUUACCACUCCUAAGAGUGAUAACUAAUUUGACUUCCCUAACCUUUGAAGAUUCUCCCUCUUGAGCUUCUACUUCAUGAAUACCCUUGGGAUUUUGAUGAGGUUGAGAAGGAAACUUUCCUUUUUCUUGCACAGUAUUGAGGUUAGUGAGCCUUGAGAUGAAGUAUUGAACAUUAUCUAUCUUCUGAGAUAGAUCAUUUUGCAUCCCAUCCAUUCUCUUAUUCAAUGUACUCUCCACUUUAUCAAUUUUCUUAUUCAAUUGAGAGUUGAUUGACUUUUGCUCUCCCACAAAGUCUUCCAUAACCUUGCUAAGAUUCACAAUGGCUUAUUCAAGGUUUGAAGCUUGUUAAGGUGCUUGAGCUGGUGGUGUGUACUGAGGUGGCCUUGGCUUCCAUGAGAAAUUUGGAUGGUUCCUCCAAUUAGAAUUGUAGGUGCUUCCAUAAGGAGCAUAGUUGUUGGGCUUGAAUUGGUCAACCACAUUUGCUUGAUCACCAAACAUUUCUCGCACUGUUGGAAUGGUUGGACACUCCUCCACCAAAUGCUCAUAAGACUGACAUAUGGAACAAGACGUAGCUUGCACUCGUGUCUCGAAAAUGGCCUGUACUUCUUGUACUUUCUUCAGUUAUAGCUCUUCCAAUCUCCUUGCCAUAGUUGCAAAUUUUGCUUUCAUGUCCAUGUCUUCACUCAACACAUACAUUCCACCCUUAGCAUUGGGCUGAGACUUCAUCCUCCCCACAUCUCUGGUAUUCAGUUCAUCCCAUCCUCUUGAAACUUCAAAAACAUAGCUCAAGAAGUCCAUAGCUUCCUCUAGAUUCUUACUCAUGAAGUCUCCUCCACACAUGGUCUCUAGGAGUUGCUUCAUAGAGGAAGACAUACCAUCAUAGAAAUAACUCACUAAGAGCCAUGUAUCAAAGCCAUGGUGAGGACAAGCGUUGAAAGCUUCCAUGUACCUCUCCCAACACUCAUAGAAUUUCUCAUUCUCCUUAGCUGAGAAGUUCGAAAUUUGCCUUUUCAAGCCAUUGGUCCUAUGAGUAUGGAAGAACUUCUUGAGAAACUCAGCUUGUAAAUCAGUCCACGUUCUGAUACUCCUCGGCCUUAGAGAAUUAAGCCAAACCUUGGCCUUAUCCUUUAAGGUGAAAGGGAAUAGCUUGAGUCUCAUCAAGUCAAUUGUAGCUCCUCCUUCUUGGAAUGUAUUGCACACGUCUUCAAACUCCUUGAUGUGAGAAUAGGGGUUCUCACUUUCCAUCCCAUGGAAAGUAGGUAGAAGUGGCACUAUAUGAGGUCGGAUUACUAGCUGCUCAGUGGGAGGCACUAUGCAUGAAGGUGCACUCAUUCUAGGUGGAUGCAUGCGAUCCUUCAUGGAUCGGUAUGCAUUGAGAUUCUCCUCUUGCCUAUGUUGGCUAUGUUGAUCUUUGGGUGGACAAUCCAUGAUGUUCAAGCAGACUUCCAACUCAAUUUCUUAAGGAGUUUCAGUUUUCACAAGUCUUCCCUCAAUAUCUCUUAUCCAAUAAGGCAUUGAUUACUACUCAAAAAGUGCAUUUUUAUAAGCUUAAACUUAAUUGUAUUAAGCACUUUUGAGUAGUAGUUAGACCUUUUAUCCCAAUUGGCAUGUUAAGGACCUAGCAAAUGUUACUAACCAAUUUCUAGUAUGUUUUAGUGUUUUUGGUAGCUUUUUUAUCACUGAAACAGGCCAAGAUUGAGGGAGAGUUUGGAGCACAUGAAGAAUCCGAGCUUUGGAGCACUUCAAAACCCUUGCCAAACUUGGAAAGGGGUUGGAAAAGCUAUCAGUAGUAAGAUGGAGGAAAACAGAGCAUUUCGCAAGGCAAGAUCAUCAAUUUUGCAAGGUAUGCCAAAAUUUGGCAAGGUGUGCCAAAAUUUCACAAGGUGUGCCAAAGUUUCGCAGGGUGUGCGAAAAUCACUUUGUGCGCACCGACCUUUGAGAUUUUUCUCCAAAACUGUAAUUUUUCCUUUUUACUCCUUUUGUAAUAGACAAAUGACAUUAGGGUUUGUUUAAGAACUAUAAAUAGGGGUUGGAAAACCUCUCAAAUGAUGUUAUGGUAGAUAUUAUGUUUUAGAUAUUUUGGAAAGACGAGUUUUUCUCUGCCUUUCCUUCUCAUUUUCUUUUCACUUUCUCUCUAGCCAAACACCCUUUGAAGAUGAUUUCUUAGAGGAUGAGUGGCUAAGUUUCACGUUUCUUGGAGUGAUGGAAGCUAAGUAAAGGACCUAGAUGCAAAGGUGAAAGUUUUCCUUGCUUUAAAUGAAUGUAGUUGUGUAUCAUUAAUGGUUUAUAUUUCAAGUUUCAGCUUUAAUCCCUUAUAAUCACCUUGAAUGGCCAAUACUUGGUAAGCUUUUAGGAUUCUAUGGAUGCUUAUUGCUAGAUCCAUGGAUGUCCAUUAGUUAUCAAGUACGAGCCAUUGAAAGGUGGUUCAAGGUGAGGGUCUUUAGUGUUUAAAGCCAUUAAUGGGAAGCAACUACCAUUUUUCAAGAAUCCUUUGGAUCAAAACUUAUUUGCUAAAUACAAAUCCGGUUCGGGAGAUAACCAUCCUUUAUGUUAUUAUCCCCAAUGUAAGGAGAAGAUCCGGAAUUUCCCACUUUGCAACAGGAACCUGAUCCUAGUAACCUAUAGCUCCAAGAGACUUUCUCUUUAUAGUAAUUUCAGUUGUUUAUGUUUACUUAACUUAAAAUCAACCCUUCCACUCAAUCUUAUUUUCAUUAAAAACUAACUUUCAAAAAGGAAAUCACCAUUUCUCAUUUUAUUAAUGUCAUGUGUACAAAGAAAAUCCAUCCCUGUGGACGAUCCUAGAGCCACUAUACUAUAGUAGCUGUCUUUGCUACCCUAGUAUAAGGUGUUGUAGGUUUUAUAAAUGUUUUGAUAAACACCCAAAUGGGCAUGAAUCAGGCAUACACAACUCGAGAUUACUGAAACAAAAACAAAGAAAGCAAAAAAGACUACAAUUCUAGGAAAAGAUUUAAGGUUAGCUAAAAACUAAAUGAAAGAUAAGAUAAAAUAAAAACAAAGAAAAUGAGUUAGUGAAAGAAAAAUCACCAACUUGUGAUGAAGAUCAUGAGUACUCAUAAAAAGUAAUAUUUAUGUACUUAGGAACCAUCCCCGGCAGCGGCGCCAUUUGAUUCAUGCCCAGUCGGGUGUUUAUCAAAACAUUUAUAAAACCUACAACACCUUAUAUUAGGGUAGCAAAGACAAAGCUAUUAUAGCAUAAUGGCUCUAGGAUUGUCCACAAGGAUGAGUUUUCUUUGUACACAUGAUAUUAAUGAAAUGAGAAAUGGUGAUUUCCUUUUUUGAAAGUUAGUUUUUUUAAUUGAAAAUAAGAUUGAUUGGAAGGGUUGAUUUUAAGUUAAGCAAACAUAAACAACUAAAAUUACUAUAAAGAGAAAGUCUCUUGGAGCUAUAGGUUACUAGGAUCAGGUUCUUGUUGCAAAGUGGGAAAUUCUGGAUCUUCUCCUUGCAUUGGGGAUAAUAACAUAAAGGAUGGUUAUCUCCCAAACCGGAUUUGUAUUUAGCAAAUAAGUUUUGAUCGAAAGAAUUCUUGAAAAAUGGUAGUUGCUUCCCAUUAAUGGCUUCAGACGCUAAAGACCCUCACCUUGAACCACCUUCCAAUGGCUCGUACUUGAUAACUAAUGGACAUCCAUGAAUCUAGCAAUAAGCAUCCAUAGAAUCCUAAAAGCUUACCAAGUAUUGGCCAUUCAAGGUGAUUCUAAGAGAUUAAAGCUGAAACUUGAAAUACAAAUCAUUAACAAUACACAACUACCUUCAUUUUUAGCAAGGAAAACUCCCAUCUUUGCAUCUGGGUCCUUUACCUAGCUUCCAUCACUCCAAGAAACGUGAAACUUAGCCACUCAUCCUUUGAAAAAUCAUCCUCAAAGAGUGUUUGGCUAGAGAGAAAGUGAAGAGAAAAUGAGAAGGAAAUGCAGAGAAAAACUCGUCUUUACAAAAUAUCUAAAACAUAAUAUCUAACAUAACAUAAUAUCUGAGAGGUUUUCCAACCCCUAUUUAUAGUUCCUAAAUAAACCCUAAUGUCAUUUAUCUAUUACAAAAGGAGUAAAAAGAAAAAAAAAAUUACAAUUCUGGAGAUUUUUCCCAAAGGUCGGUGCGCACAUAGUGAUUUUCGCACACCCUACGAAAAUUUGGCACACCCUGCGAAAUUUUGGCACACCUUGCCAAAAUUUGGCACACCUUGCGAAUUUUGGCACACCUUGCGAAUUUGAUGAUUUUGCCUUGCGAAAUGCUCUGUUUCCCUCCAUCUUACUACUGAUAGUUUUGGCAACCCCUUGCCAAGUUUGGCAAAGGGUUUUGAUGUGCUCCAAAGCUCGGGUUCUUCAUGUGCUCCAAACUCUCCCUCAAUCUUGGCCUGUUUCAGUGAUCAAAAAGCUACCAAAAACAUUAAAACUUACCAGAAAUUGGUUAGUAACAUUUGCUAGGUUCUUAACAUGCCAAAUGGGAUAUAAAAGUCUAACUACUACUCAAAAGUGCUUAGUACAAUUAAGUUUAAGCUUAUAAAAAUGCACUUUUUGAGUAGUAAUCACAUAUUCAACUAUUAUUAUUUAUGUAUGGAUCUAACUUAGCUAAUUCAACUAUAAUUUAUUGAAAAGAGACAUUAUGUGUAGAUCUAACAAUUUGCUUAUGUUUCAUAGCAUGUUCUUCAUGACUAUGAGAAAAUUUUAAAAGGUUCAUAUUUAUUUUUAUAGAAUUUUCAUAAAUUUUACAAAGAAAAUUCAUUGAUCCAUCCUUCUUCUUCACAAAUAAAAAAGGAGCUCCCCAAGGUGAAACACUAGGUCAAUAAAACCCUUAUCUAACAACUCUUGAAGCUAAGCCUUCAACUCCUUAAGCUUCAUAGGUGCCAUCUUGUAUGGAGUCUUAGAUAUAGGAAUUGUUCUUGGUACCAAAUCAAUGGUAAAUUCCACUACCUUUUCUGGUGGCAAGCCAAGCAAAUUAUCUAGAAAAACAUCAGGAAAUCCCUUACAACGGGUAUGUCCUCCAACUUUAAAUCAUUUUCAUCACUCACCACAUAAGCCAAAAAGCCUUGACAACCCUUCCUAAGCAAAGAACUAGCUUGUAAGGCUAAGAUCAUACGGAGUGGUCUAUCUGCAUGCUUCUCCUCAAAAUUGAACUCAAAUUGACCAAGGAUGCUAAAUAUCACCCUUUUCCCAAAACAAUCAACAAAAACAUGAUAGGAAGCUAACCAAUCCAUUCCCAAAAUUACAUCAAAAUUCUUAAGGUCAAGAAGUACUAAGUCAACUGGCAUUUCCGUAUAACCAAUCAUCACAAGACAAUCUCUAAGCAUUUUACUGGUCACAACAGAAACUCCCAUAGGAGUAGCAAUCAAAUCAAAGUCCAUGUUAGCAAAAGGCAUACCCAACAAACCAACAAAACAUAUUGAAACAAAAGAGUGUGUUGAGCUUGGAUCAAUUAAGGCUCUAGCAAAUAAAGUGUUAAUUCGGAUAGUACCUGUCUCCAUAUCAGAAGUAGCCUGAGCAUCUCGAUGAGUCAUAGCAAACACCUGCCCUUGGGCCCUAGGCUUCUCUUUAUCCUCUUUAUUCUCCUCCUUAGGCUUCCCAAUGAUAAACUUUUUAUUCUCUGGACAAUCUCGAACCAUGUGUCCUUGCUUCCCACAACCAAAGUAAGCUCCAAUCUCCCUAUAGCAUAACUGAUUACUACUCAAAAAGUGCUAUUUGAUAGCCUAUAAUUAAUCCUUUUAAACACUGUUGAGUAGUAGUUUUGGCCUUUUAACUCAAUUGGCAUGUUAAGGACCCUUGAAAGCAAUUUUAAUCACUUUGUGUAAGUUUUGGUGUUUUUGUUAGUAUUUUGAUCACCAAAGCAAGUCAAGACUGAGGAGAGCUAUGAGGAAUCUUGGGCAAAGCUUAGAAGUCAUUUGCCAAGAGUAAAUCCGGAUUGCAAGGAGAAAAAGCAAAGAGAAUCUGCCAUAAAGCAUAUUCUUGAUGACAGUCAUAGCAGCCACUUUUGGAGCACUUUCUGAAGUCCAAAUGAUGCAUGCUAUAUACCAUUUCAAAGAUCAGGAAGUCAACAAUCCAAUGCUUCAAACGGUGUGUAAUUCGGAGUUGAAACGAAGAAGUUGCAGCCAUUACAAACCAAUCACUCCGAGCUGAAGGAAGCAUUUUGCAAAGUGUUGCGAAAUCACCCUUUUGUUGCGAAGUGAUUUCGCAGUCUUUUUGAACAGUGUGAUGUUUCUCCUUCUGAUGAUACCCGAUUUAUGCCGCGAGAAGGAAGCUGGGAACCUCAAGGUGGAAGCCAACUUCGCAGCCCUGUGAAGAUAGCUUGGUGUUGUGAAAUUAUUUCGCAGCCCUCUUGAGUGUCUGCGAAAUCUCGCAGACACCAUUUUUCUCCUGCGAAAUGGUUCCUGAAGCCUCCCGAUAUUUGCUACCGACAUUGGGAGAUAUUUUCCAUUAGAUUUUUGUUGUCUAAAUCCCAAAAUACUCCUUGUAAACCACCAAUUACAAGAUUCCUUAGCUUUUAAGUUAGUAAAAAGACUAAAUAUCUAUGUAAUAAUUAGUUUUAUAUUAUGUUCAUAUAUAUACCUCUCGGGAGCCUGUUCUCAGAGAGAGUUCCUUCUGUAAAAGUUUGGGUAAGCAAGUAAAGUUCAGUUCUUUCUACUGCCUUACCUUCUCACUUUGUAUUUUUAUUUUAUUUCUAAGUUAUGAACUCUCUGAGGAGUUUUCCCCAGAGAAUGAGUAACUAAACUUCUAAUUCCUUGGAGCUAAGGUUGCCGGGGAAGGUUCCAAGUGCAAGAAUGCAAAACUUUGUGGUUUUAGUUAGUAAUGAAGAGGAAGUGAAAUCCUUUAGUGAUUUCUAUGUUUUUAGUUAACUUAAAACACCUUAGAGUCACCUGGGCCAACACUUGGUAAGGCAAGUGAUUUCCAACCAUGGAAAUGCACUAGUUUACCCCUUGCGAGCCUCUGGGAGGUGACUUCAAGGUAGGAUUUUCUAGAAUAGCCAACACUUGGUAAGCUUUUGGACUCCUAGGAGACAUCCAUUAGUUAUCUCUUGUGAGCUUUUGACGGGUAAUCCAAGGUUAAAGAUCACCUUGAAUGGUUAAGGCUUAGUGAGAGGCUUAAACCAUUGCAAGUUGCAUCAGUGAGGGAAUUAAAGUGAAAUCUAAUUGAAGGAGUCUCUGUACAACACCGGUUAGAGAAUUGACUAUAUGUUGAAUCUCUAACACGAGGAAAUGAACCAUCUGACCAGAGCCGUGUCUUUUGCAUGAGGAACCACCCCAGUGAACCUAACUCUCCAAGGAAUGUUUUCUUCCUAAAUUAUUCCAAACUUCUGUUAUGUUAGUUAGUUUAAGUCUAAACCUUUACCAAUCAAAGUUUGUGUUUUACUUCUUAAGCUAACCAUGAAAUGAAACAAGACCAAUUCACUUGGAAUUGGUAUCAUUGAUUGCUUGUUAAUCAUUCCCAGUGAACGAUCCUAGAGCCACUAUACUAUAGUAGCUUUUUCUUUGCUACCCUAGUGUAUGGUGUUAUAGGUAAUAAAUUUUGUUGAUUACUCCCUCAAUCAAGGAGCACCAGCUGGACACAAAUCAGCUGAGACACCAAUUGGGCACGAAUCAAUAGCCUACCCAUGUGCUUCUUACCACAAGUAGGACAAAUCACAUCUGAAUUUUGUGUUAUCUUCCCUUUAUUCUGAUUUCUAGUAGAGGCAGACCUUUUCCAUGCUUAGUUACCAUGAGCACCAUCACUCCUAUUCUUCUUCCUCUGUUGUUCCCUAUACCAAUGAAGCUCUUUAUUAUCCUUUUCUGCAAUAAGGGCUCUGUUCAUAAUCUCUGAAUAGAUGCCAAGUUUUAGAAUAGAUAUCUUGUUCUUCAUGUAGGGCUUUAAUCCACCUUGAAAUUUUAAUGUUUUUUCUUCCUCUGUAGCAAUCAAUUGUGGGGCAAAUCGUGACAACUCUGUAAAUUUGGCCUCAUACUAGGCUACAGUCAUCUCCCCUUGUUCCAAAUGAACAAACUCACCCACCUUUUGUCGCCUAACACUGUCGGGGAAGUACUUCUUGUAGAAAGCCUCCAUAAAAUGUCUCCAAGUUAUAGGUCUCUGAUCGUCCAAAAGCCUUUUGAUCAUAUUCCACCAAUGAUCUGCUUAUUUGUCUAAUAUAAAUGUUGCAUAAGAGGCCUUUUACUCCUUAGAUCAAUCUAUGACAUCAAAGAAUUUCUCCAUCUUAAGAAUCCAAGCCUCUACUUCUAUUGGAUCUAAAGUGCCAGAAAAAUAAGGAGGACCUAGUUUCUUAAAGUCAUCAAAAGAGCUACCCCUAGAAAAUGAGGGUUGUCACUGACCAUUAGUCUCAACGGCUCUAGCUUGAUGCUCAACCAAAUCAGCUAAAGUUCCGGGAUACCUAUAAAGCCCUUCUUCAUUCAAGGGAGGCCAACCCUAAAGUGGAGGAGGUACAUCAUUAUUAGCCUGACUGUUUUGGGAAGAUGUUGUUAUUCUUGGUGCCAUGAUCUCCUAUAAAGCAUAAGGUAUAGCUAAAUUAGUUGCUAAGAAACCAAUUAGAUAAUUUGGAUUUAUAAGGGAAGAAAAAAGAGUUUAUACAAGAUGAAGUCAAAACUUAAACUAAUGUGUUACUCAUCUAUCCCCAAAGUAAACUAAAACAAGUUCUCAACAAGAUCAUAACCUAGUGCUCUGAUACCACUCUGUCACGCCCUAAAACCCAUUCCAAGGGCAUGAUGGUCAUUUCACACCUUAACCCUAAAGGCUCAAAGUGGUAAUGACAUAAACAUUCGUAUUGUAAUUAGAAAUUUACCAAUUACUGAAUUCCUAUUUAGAGUAGUAGAACAAAAGUUCUAAAAUCUCCAGAUAAUAACUUUUGAAACUAAUACAUCAAACCAAGUGUUAUUGUCCAAAUAACUUCAAACUCAAAUAAUUCUAAUGGAAAAUAAAUUUUAACAUCUAAACAAUGCUCAAAAUAAAGAGAGUUUUUGACAAAUGUCUUAACAAGCCAAUUUUCCUUCCUAAACAUCACUCCUUUCCCAAACUAAGGGUACUUGGAAAAUUAUCAACAAAGGGGGAUGAGCUCAAAGCCCAAUAAAGAAUAUUAACACGGUUUCAUAGAUCAAAUAUUUUCAAUUACACUUACAAAUAGGAGAUAUAACAUAUAAUCUAUUUAUAAAACUUUUGUAAUAAACAUGUAAAACAUUUAAACUGUUCAACAAACAUUUUCAUAUAUAUAAAAAUCAUUUCAUAUUCAUUUCAAAUCAAAUACAUUUCAAUUGUUUUCACUUUAAUUAUCAAAUAACAAAUAGUGCUCAUUUAAGUGGGACUUUACAAAUAGGUGGCCAACCUCAAAUGUUCCUUUCUAAGGUGGAUGAAACAAAACACUACUAGUACUAGUAACCUUAACCAAAGCCCUAGAGGCUAGAGUCCAAAUCAAUUACAUUCCCCAUCACAAAAAUGUAAAGGUAAAUUAUUAUAUCUCGUUGACAAGAGUCAAACAAAUCAGAGUCAAAUUCUUUAUUUUAUUUAUUCCAAUUUACUAAAGCAGAAAAUCUCUAAGUGUUUCAAUGUAAACAAAAUAAAUGUUAUAACACAUUUUUCCAUACAAAAAUAUAUUUGAUCCAUACUUAAAAGCAAAAAUAACAAUUACACAUUUCAAACAACAUAUAUAAUUUUUUUUUUUUUUUUUGCAAGAUCUGUAUUAAUUCCCCUUACCUCAAAAUAAGUCUUAAAAAACUUUGGAGAAAAAUAAUUUUGGAAAAUCUACUAUUUACCUAACAAAGCAUAACAAAAAUAACUAUUACUAUUUAUCUAAAAUUAUAAGUUUGACAAUCCUAAAAUUUUUGGUAUUCAAAUUAAUGUUUUUAAUUAUGAAAGAUAAUUUAAUCUAUUCCUAUUUUAGAAAAAUUAAUAAAUUUCUAAUUCAUAUAAAACUUAAAUUUUACUUUCAAUUUAUUUCUUGGGACACAACAUAAUUUAAUUAAAAUACAAAUUUAUUUCACUAAUUAAAUUUUAUGAUACUUAUUAACUUAACAUUUAUCGUUAAUCUAAUUAUAAUACUAUAAAUUUAACUAAUUUGUACUUGACCCCGUUUAUUUAUACAUAGUUUAUUCUACCACUUUCAUCAUUCUUCUAUCUUCCCAUACACAUGCAUUUUUUUUUUUUUUUGGCCACUGUUUAUUAUUAUUAUUAUACACUUUUAGAAAUCAACCAAUACAUUGAAAUCUCAAAUUUUUUCUUCAAAUAUUUUCCAAUUCCUUAAGUCACAUAUAAUCAUAUAUUUAUUUAACCAUUUAAUUUUUGAAAUUUCAUUGCUUAGAUCUAUUCAUCUAAGAAAAUUUGAAUUUCCUAUUUUCAUAAAUGGAACAACCUAUAUUCAUAAUUUAAAUAUUUUGAUCUAAAAUUUUUAAAUUGAUUAACCCUAGCCUAAAUCAAAAUCUUCCAAAUAAUCUGUUUUUUUUUUCAUCUAAAAACUUAAGGUUUCCCAUUUUUCAACAAUAAAUCAUCCCAUAAUUUUAAUAUUAAAACAAAUUAAAAAAUAUAUACUAACCCUAAUCUAAAUUAAAAAUUUUCAAACAAUAUCUAACAUGUUCAGAACUAACUAACAAAUAUAAUAUAUUGAUUUAGAGUUAGAAUCUUACCUGGAAAAAUCUAAACAUCAAACUCUAAACUUUAAACCUUUAACUCUACGAUCUCAAAUUCUCUAAUUUUGGUUAAUAGGGUUUUCUGAAUAAAGAAGACAAGAGGAAAAUCUAAUUUAUAUCUAACAUUAUCAAUUGUAAAAGGACUCUUUCACCUUUAAUGAGUUUAAUUAAUUACAUUUAAAUUUACUAUUUUGCCCCUAGAGUUAAUUUUGGGGUGUUACAAUUUUUUUUGUUUUCCCAAUUUUUUUUUCAAAAAUGUGUACUGAGCAUGUAAGUGACUUAAUUUGAUAUGGUGUUUACAUUUGCCACAAAAUAAAAGUGAAUAGAAGUAAUAAAAUGAUGAUAGAGUGAAUAAAGCCCUAUGGAGCGGGUAAGUGACUUAAACUCACAUAUGAGGUUUAAAUUUGGAACAAAACAAAAGUAAAUAGAUGUAACAAAAUAACGAUAGAGUGAGUAAUGCUCUAACACUAGAGAGUUACAAAUAUUAUAUAUAUUAUUUUUUCACAACUUGAAAGAGUAGACUUAAUUUUCCCAUCAAUUGAAUCUUCUUUAAGGUUACAUUAAUCAAUUAUUAAUUAUUCUAUACUACAUGGAGAUUCAAAGAUAAAUCCUUAUUUUUUGUGUUUUUUGUUAAAAGCAUAUAUUAUGUAAACUUUCCAUAUAAACUUUAUUUCAAUUUAUGAAAAAAGUUAUUUCAUAUCUAAUGUUAUUUCUAUAAUAUUAAUAUUAUUUAAAAUUUUAAUUUUGACUUUAAUUUAAGCUUCUAUUUUAAUAUAACUUUCAAAGAUUAAUCUUGAAUUAUCAUUAUUAUUGUUUUUAAUUUAGUUUGGAUUGAUGUAUUACACUAUUUAUAGAAUGUUAUUAUAUUGGGAUGAAGCCCAUAUCUAAGAAUAUAUAUUUUUGAGUAUUCUAUCUUUUUGUUUAUAUAAAGUAUUCUUAUUAAAAACAAAAAUGGGGCUUACUUUCUAUAAUAAUGAUCAAUUUUUAUUCUUAAACAUACAAAUCCUAAUAGAUGACCAAGAUAAUGAGUUUCUGAUUUUUAUUCUCUUUGUCAAUGUUCCCAACAUCCUCUUAUUGCAAAUAUUUUUCUUAGCAUAAUUCUUAUUCCCCCUAUCAAUGUUCCCAAUAUCCACUUGUUGAAAAUAUUUUUAUAGAAUAAUUAUAUAUUUGCUAAACCAACUUUUUCUUUAGACCAUAUCAUGGACAUAAGAAUAGGAUAGUGAUAAAAAUGAGAAUGAAUUAGCAUGUGAUGUUGACAUAAAUAGAUUUUGACCUUUUUUGAGGAUGAAUUUUUAUCCUUAUUUGAUUUUUUUAAUAAGUUAAUUAUAUAGAGAAAAAUAAAAUAGAUUUUUUUUUUCUUACUCAAAAUGUUAGAUCUUAAUGAAAUUUAGAUAGAAGUUCCUAAAUUAAUAAUUCCUUAGACACAAUUAAAAAAUAAUUAGUCUUUUUUUACGCAUUCACAAAACGUUUGAAUUGAUGUUAUUAGCUAUAACAUCUCAUUUUAUAAUGGAUUAAUAUUUUAUUAAAAAUUACCUAUUAAAAAAUAAUUGAUAUAUUUUAAAAUUUGGAAUAUAACAUUAAUGGGAUAUUCUUUUUUUAUGGAAUAUUAUAUUUUAAAAUCAUUGAUGGAGUAGAACGAUUAACCUACUAUCAUUAUUUUAUAUUUAUAUUAUCAUACAAAAAAUCCAUGGAAAAAACUGGUAUAAAUAUUAAAUAUAAAUAUCAAUAUUUAAUUAAGAGAAAGUUUAAGAAACAAGAAAGGGCCUUUCCACUGAAAGUCCUCGCACCCGGCCAACAACCCUCACAACACCCCCUCAUGCCUUGACAAAUCCAUGGGUUUGACACCCUGCAAACUAAUGCUCUGGACAAACUACUGCCCAUUGGUUUCAAUGUCAGUCAAAGCUCUGGCGCCCUACAAACUACCACCCUAGACAAAAAUUGAAAUCCUUGUUGAUAAGCCAAGAACAGAGGAGAACAAAGGAGUUGGUUACUGAUGUCACGAGAUGAAGCCCACUUGUUGUUAGCUUUAUUGUUAUUGAGUUGUUAUUUUUUUACCAGCUGUUAUUACAACCUGUCUCCAUCUAUUUUGAACACUAUAUAUAUAUAUUAAAUCUCUCUCUCUCUUGUUACUUUAACAAAGAGAGCAGAGUUUUCAGCUUCAGCUUUUCUAUCUUGGUAUCAGAGCUCUCAUUCAAGGUUUGAAUUUUUUCUUCUCUUUCUCACUUUCUCUCUGUUUCUCUCGAUCCAAACAUGGCCUCUACUCCGACACAGUCUUCUUCUUCCUCUGGUUCGAUUGGAUCUGGACAAAGCUCAACAAUGGCGUCCAUUCCUUCCUAUCAGAUGCUUAAUCACACUCUGCCUGUGAAACUUGAUCGGACGAAUUACAUCCUAUGGAGAUCUCAGAUUGAUAAUGUCGUUUUUGCUAAUGGCUUUGAGGAUUUCAUUGAUGGAACCUCUAUCUGUCCGGAGAAAGAUUUGAGUCCAGGAGUGAUGAAUCCAGCUUUUGUUGCUUGGAGGAGACAAGAUCGAACAAUCCUCAGUUGGAUCUACUUGUCGCUCACACCAGGUAUCAUGGCACAGAUCAUAGGCCAUAAUACUUCUCACUCUGCUUGGAAUGCCUUGGAAAGAAUUUUUUCAUCUUCUUCAAGAGCUAGGAUAAUGAAACUCAGACUCGAAUUACAAUCCACAAAGAAAGGAUCAAUGUCGAUGAUAGACUACAUAAUGAAGAUCAAAGGAGUUGCUGAUAAUCUAGGUGCUAUUGGAGAACCUGUCUCAGAACAAGAUCAGGUUAUGAAUCUUCUUGGAGGUCUUGGAUCCGAUUAUAAUGCUGUUGUUACUGCUAUCAACAUUAGAGAUGAUAAGAUCUCUCUUGAAGCUAUACAUAGUAUGCUAUUAGCCUUUGAGCAUCGUCUUGAGCAACAAAGCUCGAUUGAACAAAUGUCUGCCAAUUAUGUCUCUUCCUCUAAUAACAGAGGUGGUGGAAGGAAGUUUAAUGGAGGUCGUGGACAAGGCUACUCUCCAAAUAACAAUAAUUGCACCUAUAGAGGUCGUGGACGUGGAGGUAGAAAUGGACAAGGUGGAAGGCAAAAUUCCAGUCCAAGUGAGAAACCUCAGUGUCAGUUAUGUGGUAAGUUUGGCCACACUGCUCAGAUCUGUUAUCACAGGUUUGAUAUCUCUUUUCAAGGUGGUCAGACUACUAUUUCUCAUUCUUUGAAUAAUGGGAAUCAAAACAAUAUACCUGCUAUGGUUGCUUCUGCUUCUAAUAAUCCUGCAGAUGAGAGUUGGUAUUUGGAUUCUGGAGCAAGUCACCAUCUGACUCAGAAUUUGGGGAAUCUCACCAGUACUUCACCAUACACGGGAACAGAUAGAGUCACUAUUGGUAAUGGUAAGCAUCUCUCCAUCUCCAAUAUUGGCUCUAAACAACUUCAUUCUCAUACACAUUCUUUUCGACUCAAGAAGGUGUUUCAUGUUCCCUUUAUCUCAGCUAAUUUGAUUAGUGUGGCUAAGUUCUGCUCAGAUAAUAAUGCCUUGAUUGAGUUUCAUUCUAAUGCUUUCUUUGUGAAGGAUCUACACACGAAGAUGGUUCUUGCUCAAGGCAAGCUUGAAAAUGGGCUUUACAAGUUUCCUGUGUUCAGCAAUCUAAAACCUUAUAGUAGUAUUAAUAAUGCUUUUGCUUUUCAUAGUACUGUUGAAAAUAAAGCAGAGUUAUGGCAUAAUAGACUAGGCCAUGCUGGAUUUGACAUUGUUUCAAAAGUCAUGAAUACUUGUAAUGUUGCUUCUAGGAAAUAUAAAUCUACUGUUUGUUCUGAUUGUCAGUUAGCUAAAAGUCAUAGACUACCUACUCAGCUCUCAAAUUUUCGUGCAUCUAAACCUUUAGAACUUGUUUAUACUGAUAUUUGGGGACCUGCCUCAAUUAAAUCUACAUCUGGAGCGAAAUAUUUCAUUCUUUUUGUAGAUGAUUAUUCCAGGUAUACUUGGUUUUAUUCAUUACAAACAAAGGAUUAGGCCCUUCCCAUCUUUAAGCGAUUCAAGCUUCAAAUGGAGAAUCAGUUUGACACCAAAAUUAAGUGCUUACAGUCUGAUAAUGGUGGAGAAUUUUGAUCUUUUAUGUCUUUUCUUCAAGCAGUUGGUAUUGCCCAUCGAUUUUCCUGUCCAUAUAACUCAGCUCAAAAUGGUAGAGUUGAGCGGAAGCACAGACACGUAGUUGAAACUGGGUUGGCUUUGUUAUCUCAUGCUUCCUUGCCAAUGAAGUAUUGGCACUACGCUUUUCAGACAGCAACUUUUCUUAUCAAUCGAAUGCCAAGCAAAGUUCUCAAGUAUGACUCCUUACUUCACUCUUUUUAGAAGGCAUCCUGAUUAUAAAUCUCUUUGUGUAUUUGGCUGCCUUUGUUAUCCUUUCAUUCGGCCAUACAACACUCAUAAAUUGCAGUACAGAUCUAUCCAAUGUCUUUUUCUUGGCUAUAGUUUGAAUCACAAGGGGUUUUUAUGUCUUGAUUAUGCAACUGGAAGAGUCUAUAUUACUCCCCACGUGGUCUUUGAUGAAUCAACUUUCCCACUUGCUCAGUCCAAGUCUUCCAGUUCGUCUAAUGACACUUCAGCAGAAAGCUCUACCCCUGCCCUUAUAACUCCUCCUUCUUUUCCAUGUCUUCUCCCAGAUUCAAAAAUCAGUCAUGCUUCCAUAGAUUCUCAUUCUCUAUCCACAAGUGAAAGUCCUAUUCCUACAACCUCUUCUUCACCUCUGGACACAUCUAGUUCUUCUCCUGCUAUAGAUUUGUCACCUAAAUCUGUUCCAGAACCUCAAGUCACUGCUCUUGCUCCACGAAUGACAACAAGGUCCAUGUGUGGUAUAACCAAGAAAAAGACCAUUCUUGAUCUCUCUGCCAUAAAGGUUUCAGAACCAUCUACUCUCAAAUAAGCCUUCAAAGAUCCAAAUUGGACUAAAGCUAUGGAAAUGGAGAUUGCUGCUCUUCAUAGAAACCAUACUUGGGAUCUUGUUGAACAACCACCCAAUGUCAAUGUGAUUGGCUGUAAGUGGGUGUAUAAACUAAAACAUAAGCCAGAUGGGAGUAUAGAGAGGUAUAAAGCUAGGCUUGUGGCAAAAGGAUAUAAUCAGACUCAUGGUCUGGACUAUUUUGAGACUUUUAGUCCAGUAGUUAAGGCUGCCAUUAUUCGCAUCAUACUUACUGUUGCUCUCAGUUUUAAGUGGGAAAUUCGACAGCUUGAUGUUCACAAUGCCUUCCUCAAUGGUGAGCUAGAAGAACAAGUCUAUAUGUCUCAACCUCCUGGAUACUUUGACACUCAAUUCCCGAAUAGAGUGUGUAGAUUGAAGAAGGCUUUAUAUGGCUUAAAACAAGCCCCACGUGCUUGGUUUCAAAGACUCAGCUCUGCUCUUCUUCAGUGGGGAUUCAGCAUGUCUCGGACUAAUAGUUCUAUGUUUCUGCACUUUGGAAAGGCCACUACUUUGAUAGUUCUUGUCUAUGUUGAUGAUAUACUCGUAAUGGGCAGCUCCUCCACACAGAUUUCGUCUCUCAUAGCUAAACUUGAUUCAGUUUUUGCUUUACGAGAUUUGGGUCAACUCUCAUUCUUUCUCGGUAUAGAGGUUUCCUACAAUGAAGGCUCUAUGACUUUGAGCCAAACCAAAUACAUUUCAGAUCUGCUUCAUAGAACUGAAAUGUUUGAUACCAAACCGGCAAAAACACCUGGUGCUGUUGGGAAGAACUUGUCUAAAUUUGAUGGAGAUCCUAUGGCAGAUGUUACUCAUUAUCGAAGUGUAGUAGGGGCACUUCAGUAUGUUACCUUGACAAGACCUGAUAUAGCCUUUGCUGUCAAUAAGGCAUGCCAAUUUAUGCAACAACCAACCACAACUCACUGGCUCUCAGUCAAACGAAUACUUCGGUAUCUAAGAGGAACAAUGCAAGAUGGGCGAGAUGAAGCCCACUUGUUGUUAGCUUUAUUGUUAUUGAGUUGUUAUUUUUUUACCAGCUGUUAUUACAGCCUGUCUCCAUCUAUUUUGAACACUAUAUAUAUAUUAAAUCUCUCUCUCUUGUUACUUUAACAAAGAGAGCAGAGUUUUCGGCUUCAGCUUUUCUAUCUCUUGCAUCCCUAUACAUCACAUAAAUGAUAUCGAGAACAACACCAGAUAGCUGUAAUCACUGCAUUUACUGGUCACCAUCAGAGAGCUCUGAACUCUACCACCGAAAUUGUUUCCUGUUUCCUCACCCUGAAAUCUACCACUAAGAAGCCCUAACCCAACACUUACAGAUGAACUCCACAUGGGCAAACUCUAACAUGUAGGAUGUAAGUCAUUGUUGGAGGCUUCAAGGUCAUUCGGGUGACAUUUUCUCUAUAGACACUUCAUGUUAGCAAGGCUUCAAGGCUUCUGAUCACUAUGAAGUUUGAUUCUACCCUCAUUCUCUUACUAUGAAGUGACAAGAAGUAGAUUUUUUGUACCCUCGUUCAACAAUAUCUUCACACUAUGUUAAAGAAAAAAUAAAAAUCCAUCCUUACUUUUCAGUUCCCUUUGUACUAAAAACAAAGGUGGAUUUUAAGGUUGAUGCAUUAGCAUCUCAAAUGCAGAAAAUUUUAGUGCUUUUUUUCCGUGUUUGGUCACUGGCAAAAUAUAGGAAAUGAAAAUAAAAGGUGGAAAGGAAAUAAUAUUGAAUAAAGAGAAAUGGUUUAGGUUUAAGAUUCUUUUAUCAACCUCUAUUUGGUUUCUCAGAGAACGUGGGAAAGAGAAGUGAAUAUAACUUAAGUUUUCUUUUGUUUUUGUUUUCUUUCUUUCUUUAUUUUUUAUUUUGAUUAGUUAGAAAAAAUGGUGUUAACAGUUGACUUUAUUAAAGAAAAUGUAAGGUCUCAACAAGGCUAUAAAGCAAGCUUUUGGGAAAAAAGAACUUUGAAGUUUAUUGUUUUUUUCUUUAUUAUAUUUGUUUUUAGAAACUAACAUCAAAUGAAAAUGCAAGGUGUACUAUGUUGAUUCUAAGAUUAAAUUUUUUUUAUUAGCCUUUGUUUGGUUGCUAAGAAAAUGUAGGAAAAAAGGAAUGGACACUAGCUGAUUAGGUCUAAAAGUUCUUAAUCAAAUUGUAUCAUUAGCUCUAAAAAAGAAUUUUAAGUCAUAUAUACAUCUAACAAUCCAAGGUAAAAGAAAGGGUUAUAAGCACUACCAUCAUACUGAAAUUGGUUUGAACCAUGAGUUUAAAUUUUUUUUUUUUCUAUUUUUGGUGAAUUCAAGUUAGCUUAGGGAUAAAUAAUAUUACCUUCUGAAAUGAUUUUCAUGUGGUCCUAUAUAAGUUCCUACAAUUACGCAUAAUCUCAUUAAUUGAUAUAUGAAAUCUAGUUUUAGUUUGAUGGUUCUAUUAUAUAGUUUUGCCUACCAUGGUAAAAGAGCCUAGGGAUUUUACUUUGAUGUCAUGUUUUUAGGGAUUCUAGUCAUAGAAUUAGGCUUAGUUUUAAAAUAUAGACUGCAUUUGAAGUUACAUGAAUAAUUAUGAUUUGUAAGUCUAAUUAUUGUUGCCCAUGAUUGGUUUAUGAUUUUUGUUCAUCCUAGUUCACCUGAACUAACCUCCAUAUAAUAGUAAAUAUAGCAUAGGGAUGCCAAUUUAUUUGGAGAGAAGGUUUCAAAGUUGUUAUGACUAGUUGUCUAAAGCAACAUGCAAUUAGAGAGAAUUUGUGUUUUUGGUUAUUUUUCACAUAACAAUUGAAGAGCUUGUACCUUCCAUGAGUUCCUUCAAUUUCUUUUUACUCUUGUGGGAGCACAUUAAUUUGGUUUAAUUUCAUUUUAUGUAGGAGCUUAUUAUGAGAUACAUAUGUGUUGACUACUAUACAAUUCUUAAUUUUUAAACUAAUGCAGUUACAGUCUACUAUUGUUGCUAAAGCAAUAAGACUUUGCAUUCAAUGAAAUAAUAGAAACAGAGAAGAUUUAAUUUAUUGGUGAUUGAAAUGAUUUAUAUUGGAUGUAGUGAGGAAAACCCAUUUCCAUGAGGAUUCAAUUGGUUAUUUCAAUGGUAAAUGAUUUGAAAUUUUUGUCUAAAUGAAUCAUAUUGUAAUGUUGAUGAUUUUUCUAAAUCUAGUAUCCAAAAGCUCCAAGGCACGAGGAAUACCAUGAAUUUUAAUUUGGAGCAUUUUCAGUUAUCCUUUUGGCCUUUUUGAAAUAGUUUGUUACUUAUGCAUGUGCUUGGUGUGCAAUAGAGUUUUACUAUGGGUAGGUGGUCAUGGUUUAACUUUAUGAAAUUUUACUGUUAGUUAAUUUGAACACAGUUGCUUUAUAGAUUUUUUUUUUUUUUAAUGCGUUUCUUCACUUAACUAGUUUGGAACUUAUUUUUCAGUGGUAUGUAUCUUGUAUUUUGAAGUAUAGUUACAACAUAACUAAGGUGGUUUAUGAUAAUCUUGCAUUAACUUAUGAUGAUUUCAGUUACUGUUUCUAUUUCACGAAUCGAUGCAUUUCUUUUCUAUAUUUUGAUGUCAUCUAAGAGUCUUUUCUUACCUUCUUUUUUUUUUUUUUUUAUGCAGGCUUAAACUAAAAACAUGGAGUUAAAACUCAUUGAAGCCAUGAAUUCUAAAGAGACCUGGUUGAUGGUUGGUUCAAAAUUUGAGCCUAGGGUUCUUUUAACUCUCAAAUCAAUUGGGGAUGCCUUCAAUUCGUUAGCAAUUACCAAGGGGCUUGAACUCUUAAAAUAGGAUAUACUUAUUAAGGUAGUAUUCUUUAGAAUUUUAUGUGUUGAGAUAUUAUUUAUCAAAGGGUUUUGUAAUAAUUAUCAAGGGUUAUUGUUGCAUGUCUGAUACAAAUUUUUCUCCUAUUUAGUUUGAAAGUGUAGAAUCAAUUUUUUUUAAUUGUCUUUAUUUUUUAUUAAAUCUUGAACAUCUCAUGUUUCUAGUGUUGAGAUCUUCUAGGAAGGAAGAGCUUAUGAGAUGGUUUUUCUUGACCACACUGAAACUUUUGCAUACGUAAUAUCAUUUAAUUUUUUUUAAUCUUCCUUCUCAAUCCCUUACAAAAACCAAAAGGAUUUUUCUUUAUUAUUUUCAUUUUCAAACCAGACUAUAGUAAAAAACAAUGUGUUGUUCUUGUAGAGGGUACAUAAAGAAAAAGAGAAGGUGCCCUAGAAAUUAACAGAGAAAGUAGCUUUAUUUGGUUAUGGCAUUUUAGUUUCAUCAAAAUCUAAAUUCUCGAUUAGCCUAUCUCAAACCUAUGUGGUAUAUUUAACUCAUGAAUUGAUUUCUUAUCUUUCAUCUAUUACCAGUUGGCAAUGAUCUCUAUGGCAGGUGGUUAUGCACGAGUGCUCAUUGCUUAGCCUCUAUUGCCUUUUUAUCUAGGAUCUUUCCAUUAACACAUAAUUUUCUAUAAUAACUUUUUGUGUUGAGUCAUUUGGCUUGUACUUUAGAUUUUGGCAAUCCUUUGUGAUAUGCUAUCUCUGUUAUAGGGCCUCAUGGUAAAGUUGGUUAUGUUAUGCUCUCCAUUUUGAUUACUUCUAUUAGGUUUUGUAGUAGAAGUCAUUCAACAAGAAGUUAGGAGUGAUAGUCUCACUCUUAUACCUGAAAACCCUAUAGCGUUGUUGAUUUUUUGAUAAAGGGUAAGCAAUAUAAAUGAACAAGGAAGCUUUAUAAAAAAAAAAAAAAGGGAAACUUAUAUACUAAAUCUGCAAUGCCGAACAGUCUCACGAUAAUUUUCGUAAUGCAAAAUUUAAAGAAUGAAAUUAUGUGAUCAUCAAGACCCAAUGCUUUGAAUUCACAUAUUGGUAAUCAAAAGACAAAUAACAUCAGAUAUAGUCUACAAGCUAAUGGAGCAAAGACCACCAUACACACUACUCAUAGAUCCUAAUUGUGAUAUCAACUUUUGAUAUUAUUAUUUCAUUUAAAACAAACUAGGGUACCGUAGGAAGUAUUUUCAUUGGUAAUUUGCUUUCAAACUUCUUGAAACAUUGUUGAAUAUGACACAUUUCACUUUCAUGACUAUUGAGACAUAGUUUGAUUAAGGCAAGGCUAUAGAAACAAAGAGCAUAAACAAUUGAGGACUUUGAGUAAUGACGAUUCAUUGCAUUACUCUUCUUAUUUCAUUAAUGUGAAAUUUUUUUAGGGUUUAGGGCUUUAAGUUUUUCUUUAUAAUUUUACUUUAUACCUAAAAAGUCAACUUCUUUUUCUCUUUUCCAAUCCUUAUUCUAGAUUUCAAACAUAUGUAGAGACAAUUUUUCUUUUUAUUUAGCAUCCAUCAAAAAAAUUAUGGAAUUGAAAAACUUGGUGUAUAUCAUAUAUUUUUGCUAAACCACAUUAGACUACGACAUAGAUUGAUAGAUUUGGUGUAAAUUUUGGUAUCAUGUUACUAGUAUUCUUUCAUAAUGAUUGCUUGAGACUUAGGUGGUGUUUGUUUUUUUGGCUUUUUGCUAAAAACCAUUUAGUUUUAGAAUUUAGGUUGUUUGUUUUUUUACUUUUUCAUGACUUUUUAUAAACUUUUUACUAAAUAGAAAAAGCCAGAAUAUGUGGCUUUUUCUAAAUAAAAAAAAAAUAACACAAUGGUUUUUUUUACUUUUUAAUACUUAAUAGAAAUAAAAUACUACAAAAACAAACAACCUAAUAUUUAAUACUAUUAAGUAUUAAGGUUCUAUUUAGAAUUAAGUAAAAAAACAAACGCCACCUUAGUAAAUGAUAAGUUAUGAUAAUGGUUUUUUGAACUCCUUUAAUGGGUAUAGCAUUAUAUUCAUCUAACAUUAUAUUCAUCUAAUUGUUAGCACAAUGAAAUUGCAGGCAAGUAUGUAGUUGUGCUCUAGUGGAAGAUUUUUAUUUGAUUCUUGCCCCAGCUAUGACCACAAAUCAGAAGAUCCAAUUGAGAAGUGAUAAUGCAUUUUUCAUGAGUUUGUUUGAUUCAAAGUAGUUUAGCAUUCUGUAACAUGUGUUAACACAUGUGGAAUGUUAGCAUGUUAAAUGCUAGACAUUUUAGUAACCUAUGAAUUGAAUGUUAUAUAUGAUGAAAAAGCAAGUGUGAAACAAUUAAAGGAGUAUUUAGUAUGAAUAUGGUUAUUCUUUUGACAGUCAUCUCAAAACAACAAAUCAUUAUAUCAUUUUGGUUUACUUGUAUUUUUUAAUCGGUGAAGGUGAAAUCAAAUAACUCAAUAUAUAGAAAUUGUAAGGUGCAUUUCAUUCACUUCUAAGAUGAGAUUAAUAGGUAAUGUUAUUUUCAUAACAAAAGAAGGGUUUAUAAUUUACAACUCAAUUUAUAUAGCAAAUACUAAAAUAGAAAAUGAAAUAAAAGAAAAAGUAUAUAAGAUAAGAGUGAUUUGAAAAAAUAGUUGAAGAAAAUAGAUAACGAUCUUAUACAAAAAUACUAUAUUGAUUGAUGCAUUAUUAGGUAAUAAGUUACUACAUAUGUAUAAUUUAAAUUUUAUAAUCCAUAUAUUUCUCCAAAUAUGAAUUAUUAUUAUUAUUGUUAUUAUUAUUAUCAUUAUUUUUAAUUAUCAUUAUUUUAUAAUUAUGUUUUCAUUUGAGUCAAAAAUGUGAUCCUUAAAUACUUGGAUUCAAUGACUAUUUAUAUACAUAUCACAUUUUUUAUAUACUUUUGUAUUCAACACAUAUGUUGAUUUAAUAACUUAUUUUGGUAUAAUAUCUUCAUAAAAUUUAACAUCAUAAUAUUUUUUUUAGAUAAUAUAACAUUAAUUUAAAAAAUAUUUAAUGUAAUUAAAUGUUAAGAUUAUAGAGCAAUGCCUAACUAGUCAUACACAAAAUCAAUGGUGCAAAUUUUUUUACACUCAACCAUGCUCACAUUUGUAAGACUAUAAUCCAUGCAAAAGGAUCCUGUAAAUCAAAAUCUAGUAUAAUCAUUCAACCUCUCAUAAAAUCCAACCACUAAAGGUUACAUAUAUGAUUCAAAUCAAUAUAUUAUUAUAAGAAAUACAAAUUUAUAUUUGAAUAAUGUAUGGAUUGAAGAAUCUAAAAAUAAAUAUAUUUGAAUAUUAUAUAACAUCAUCUAAUCUAAAUUAACUAUAUAAUAAAAAAAAAAUUAAUCAUAAUAUUAAGAGACAAAAAUAUUAUGUUGUUGGAAACUAAACAUGAGUGACAAACAAAUUGUCUCUAAAUUUCUAUAAUAUUUUUUAAUAACAAAAAAUUCAAUAACAUAUUUCAUCACUAAAAUGUAUAUUUUGAAACAAAAAUUUUGUCACUAAAUGUCAAAUGUUGUCGCAAAUUAUUUUAUGAAUAAUUUAGUUGCACAAAUUUCUUCCCGAAAAUAUGUUUGGUGACAAAAGUUACAUUUUUGUCUCUAAAACUACUACAUGCAACAAAUAUUGUGAUGAUUUCUAAAUAUAGAAAUAUUUAGUGACAAUUUUUUUUUCUAUAGUAAAAAUUUGUCACUAAUUAUCCUUUUUCUUGUAGUGAAUUGGUAGAAUGAAGGACAAGGGAAUUCUAAAUCAGGCCUAAAAGGAGGAAGAGGUAAUAGUUUAACUCAAAAAAAUAAUAAAUCUCAUAUUCAAUGUUAUAACCAUAAAAAAUAUGAUCAUUAGAAGUCAAGAAUGUAGGGUUAGGAGACAUAAUAAGAGGAGCUUUCAAGCCAAUUGUCACAAGAUGCUUCAAAUGACCCUCCCCAUGGCUUAUAUAGGAGGUGAGAAGCUUCUAGAGACCCUUGGAGACAUCCACACUUAGCCACUAGUGGGAAGAGUGUGGAAGGUUCUAGAAAUGCCUAGAGAAGUCCACACAACUCUACACUAUGGUAGAAGGCAUGAGAAGGGUCCAAAGCUUUCUAGAGAAAUCUAGAAGUCUCUUGAAUAUUCUAGAAUAGUGUAGGACAUUCUAGAAUAUUCAUGAAUUAUAAGGAACCCUCCAAGGUUCUAGAGAGUUCCAUUGGUGCCUAUAAAUAGGUGAGGGCCUCAUUUGGCCAAGGCACCAAGCAAGUGAGCAUCCAAGCACUUGUAAAGGUUUCCUUGAGUUAGUGAAAGCUUCCAUUCUUUCAAAAGUUGCCUACCAAGCUUCUUAAGCUUUUGAGUCGCAAGUGUCUUAGCCAAGCAAGCUAAGCAUUGGGGAGCAAGGCUGACUUAGCAAGAUCAAGCGUCUUGGCUUGUCUAAGUACCGCACGAGCUUAGUGAACGACUAAGUCCGUGACAAGUGGUAUCAGAGCGCGGUUACAAGGUGGGCAUAGCAAAGGAAGCAUGUCGGGCUCUAACGUGGAGGAGAUUAGCAAGCAAACCCGUGGGAGGGAGACCGAGCCUACUGCACGGGGCAGGGGCAAGAAGGAUAAAUCUUGUGAUGUCGUCGCCAACAUGGAGGCAAGGUUAGCCAAGGUGGAGCUAGCCAUGACGGACACUCGGGAGGGGUUGGACUUGAUCGAGCAAGGCAUGGAGAAGGGCUUAGAGGAUCUAAGGGAGCAGAUCCAAGACCUUCGUGAGAGGGUGCUAGUCUCACAGGUUCAACCAGUGUCGCACGAGGAGUUUGUGUCCUUCCAAGGAAAGGUCUUGAGCAUGCUUGCUAGCAUGGAGUCAAGGAUAGAGGCCUUGGCCACUCGAAUGGAGUCCCGAGACCAGGAGGUUAGGCAAGAGUUGGCCAUCUAUAAGGCUGCUGUGUCGGCACGGGUCAUGGCCACACAGGAGGCAUCUAGGGUGGAGGUGCCGAAGCCACAAGGGUUUAGUGGCAAUCGGGAUGCCAAGGAGUUGGAUAACUUCUUAUGGCAUAUGGAGCGAUACUUUGAGGCUAUCGCAUUGACGGAUGAGGCGGCUAAGGUAAGAACUGCAACCCUCUACCUUACUGACACAGCUACUCUAUGGUGGCGUCGAAGGUUUGCCGAUAUGGAGAAAGACAUUUGCACCAUAGAGACGUGGGAAGACUUCAAGAGGGAGAUCAAGAGGCAGUUCUACCCCGAGGACGUGGCUUACCUGGCUAGGAAAAACAUGAGGCGUCUCAAGCACAUAGGUUCGAUACGCGACUAUGUCAAGGAAUUCUCUUUGCUCAUGCUUGAGAUUCCUAACAUAACUGAAGAGGAAUUGCUAUUCAACUUCAUGGAUAACCUGCAAGGGUGGGCCGAGUAGGAAUUAAGACGCCGAGGUGUUCAAGACUUAGCCACUGCCAUGGCAGUAGCAGAGUCUUUAACGGAUUAUAAGAGGGGAGACUCCUCCAAGGAUGAGUCUUUGGAGGAUAGCCACGCCAUGGGUGGGGGAGACGAGGUGCCAAGGGACCACAAUGCUCCUAAAAAUGGAUCAGGCAAGACGCCUAACGUCCGAGAAGGAAGGGGUAAGGCGGAAAGGAAGGAGUUCAUGCCUAAAAUCAAAUGCUUCCUAUGUGACGGUCCACAUUGGGCACGGGAUUGUCCAAAGAGGAAGGCGCUCAGUGCCAUGAUCGAGGAGAGGGAGCAGGAGGACGAAGCACAUAUGGGCUCAAUGCAGCUACUAGGUGCCCUCCAAUUCAACCCGAAGCCUAGUACGCCUAAGACCUCCUUACUAGCAGGGGUGCAAGUAAAGGAGGAAAAAGGGGAGCGAGCUGAGAGAGCCCGCACACACAUGGAAGAGGUCACCGAGGGAAAGGUGAACUCAAUGGGUAAGAGGAAGCAGCACUCUAAGCAUCGAAAGCGCACGGGUCUGCAUCCAUCUGAGGCCUCACGGGAGAAGGAGGUGAAGAAUAUCCUAGCUGAACGGGUCACUAGGAGACAAGGGGUCCCUCCUGUGAUAGAGUAUCUAGUCCGAUGGAAAGGACUACCUAAGAGGCAGGUAAGCUGGGAACAUGCGGAUGCCUUGAGAAGAUUCUGGAAACACAUCGAGAGGUUUCAGAAUGAGGCAACGACGAGGACGUCGACGGCUUAGGUGGGGGAGAGUGUCACAAGAUGCUUCAAAUGACCCUCCCCAUGGCUUAUAUAGGAGGUGAGAAGCUUCUAGAGACCCUUGGAGACAUCCACACUUAGCCACUAGUGGGAAGAGUGUGGAAGGUUCUAGAAAUGCCUAGAGAAGUCCACACAACUCUACACUAUGGUAGAAGGCAUGAGAAGGGUCCAAAGCUUUCUAGAGAAAUCUAGAAGUCUCUUGAAUAUUCUAGAAUAGUGUAGGACAUUCUAGAAGUCUCUUGAAUAUUCUAGAAUAGUGUAGGACAUUCUAGAAGNNNNNNNNNNNNNNNNNNNNNNNNNNNNNNNNNNNNNNNNNNNNNNNNNNNNNNNNNNNNNNNNNNNNNNNNNNNNNNNNNNNNNNNNNNNNNNNNNNNNNNNNNNNNNNNNNNNNNNNNNNNNNNNNNNNNNNNNNNNNNNNNNNNNNNNNNNNNNNNNNNNNNNNNNNNNNNNNNNNNNNNNNNNNNNNNNNNNNNNNNNNNNNNNNNNNNNNNNNNNNNNNNNNNNNNNNNNNNNNNNNNNNNNNNNNNNNNNNNNNNNNNNNNNNNNNNNNNNNNNNNNNNNNNNNNNNNNNNNNNNNNNNNNNNNNNNNNNNNNNNNNNNNNNNNNNNNNNNNNNNNNNNNNNNNNNNNNNNNNNNNNNNNNNNNNNNNNNNNNNNNNNNNNNNNNNNNNNNNNNNNNNNNNNNNNNNNNNNNNNNNNNNNNNNNNNNNNNNNNNNNNNNNNNNNNNNNNNNNNNNNNNNNNNNNNNNNNNNNNNNNNNNNNNNNNNNNNNNNNNNNNNNNNNNNNNNNNNNNNNNNNNNNNNNNNNNNNNNNNNNNNNNNNNNNNNNNNNNNNNNNNNNNNNNNNNNNNNNNNNNNNNNNNNNNNNNNNNNNNNNNNNNNNNNNNNNNNNNNNNNNNNNNNNNNNNNNNNNNNNNNNNNNNNNNNNNNNNNNNNNNNNNNNNNNNNNNNNNNNNNNNNNNNNNNNNNNNNNNNNNNNNNNNNNNNNNNNNNNNNNNNNNNNNNNNNNNNNNNNNNNNNNNNNNNNNNNNNNNNNNNNNNNNNNNNNNNNNNNNNNNNNNNNNNNNNNNNNNNNNNNNNNNNNNNNNNNNNNNNNNNNNNNNNNNNNNNNNNNNNNNNNNNNNNNNNNNNNNNNNNNNNNNNNNNNNNNNNNNNNNNNNNNNNNNNNNNNNNNNNNNNNNNNNNNNNNNNNNNNNNNNNNNNNNNNNNNNNNNNNNNNNNNNNNNNNNNNNNNNNNNNNNNNNNNNNNNNNNNNNNNNNNNNNNNNNNNNNNNNNNNNNNNNNNNNNNNNNNNNNNNNNNNNNNNNNNNNNNNNNNNNNNNNNNNNNNNNNNNNNNNNNNNNNNNNNNNNNNNNNNNNNNNNNNNNNNNNNNNNNNNNNNNNNNNNNNNNNNNNNNNNNNNNNNNNNNNNNNNNNNNNNNNNNNNNNNNNNNNNNNNNNNNNNNNNNNNNNNNNNNNNNNNNNNNNNNNNNNNNNNNNNNNNNNNNNNNNNNNNNNNNNNNNNNNNNNNNNNNNNNNNNNNNNNNNNNNNNNNNNNNNNNNNNNNNNNNNNNNNNNNNNNNNNNNNNNNNNNNNNNNNNNNNNNNNNNNNNNNNNNNNNNNNNNNNNNNNNNNNNNNNNNNNNNNNNNNNNNNNNNNNNNNNNNNNNNNNNNNNNNNNNNNNNNNNNNNNNNNNNNNNUCCAAAAAAUGACAUGAGUGGCAUGAUGGACAUCCAUGGAUCAAUAAAGAUGUGAAGCUCAACCUAUAAUAAGAGUUGUCAAAGCAUUCACUUGAUCAUAGAGUACAAAGAAUGGAUAUUAUGCAAGUUUAAGCAUCAAAAGAAUUUCCACUCUCAAAAGAUCCAAAUCAAAUUCUUCCACUAAAAUCUAAGUGUUAUUUAUUAGUUUCCGGAUAUAGUAUGUCAAACUAAUCUUUCCCCUCAACCUAGUUCUUUUCAAAGCUUAGCAAACUAAUCAACCUCCAAUAGGCUAAGAACGCACCUCUUUUCUUUCACAAUUUUUUCUUGUAGGAGUGCAAAGCUUAAAGGCAUUCUUUUCUAGAUUGUCCAUGUAACGGGGGUCCAUCGAUGACUCCCAACCAAUCAAGGUUUAGGGCAUCAAGCUUUAAGGAUUUUUCAACCACUAACUCCUCGGAUUUCACCCCGGACUUUUGAGAAUGAAUUUUUAAUACCCAAGCACCUACAACAUGUUAAACUCCACCUAUUCACCCUUGUAACGAGCAUUGAGGUCGGUGACUCCCAACCAAUUAAGGCUUAGGGCACCAGGUUUUAAAGAUUUUCACCAUAUACCCCUUAGACCUUGCUCGGGUUUCAAGGCAAGCAAACAUUUUUCUUUCUUUCUUUAUUUUCUUCAAAGACUCAUUUGCCUUUUACAAGGUGUCCCAACACUAUUAAAUGAGGUCAAAGGUACCAAGUCUAAAAUUUUCCUAAGUCAAGAGGGAAAUAGUUUUUCAUCUUAUAAACGGAACCUAGUGUGCACGGUGUGUGAUAAUAGCUUAAGGUGGAAGAGAUAAGUUUGCAUGCAAUGGGAGUUUCAACAAUUCAUCAACUUUUAGAAGAGCAUAAUACAAACUCUAAGACUCAUGUAAUCAAGUUGAAACUCGACUUCUCUCAUUUAAUUUUGAGAGUUAAUCCUUAAUAUCCAUGGAGUUUAAAGCAAAAAUUUUAAAAAUUUUAAAAAGUAGCUAAUUUAACUAAGUAUGAUAAAAAUUUAAACUAAUACUUACUUCCUCAUCUCUCCCCCCAACCGAGAUGAACAUUGUCCUCAAUGUUUGAAUCGAAAAUAAGGAUGAAGGAAGUGGUACCUCAUGUGAUGUGGACUUGGAGUUGGGAAGGUUGAACCACUUGUUUCAAAAUUCAAAAAUUGAAUGAGAGAGGAAUUUAUACUAAAUAUUUACAAAAAUGAUGAGUGGGCCCCACUUUGAGCAGCUGAGGACAAGGCUCAAAGGGUCCAUGCCAUGAUGGUAUACUCAUAUAAGUUGCAAUGACAUUUGAAUGUAGCUUGCAGGGUGUUAAAAUUGGAGAUUUUUGGCUAAAACAGGGGAAAACAAAGGAGGAGUGAACAGUGAGUGCCAAAAUUGGCACAGUCACUGUUCACCUCCUUUGAAGCCCGACUGUGCGUUUUCCAAGUUUUGGGAAAAAAUUCAAAAAUGGUUUUUGAAAAGGUAUGGUUAGGCUCUAAACAAGAUUCCUAAGGUGUUUGGGUAGUUUUUAAAUGAUGAAAAAAAAAAUUAAAUGAUGGAAAAUGAAAAUCAAAGUGGACGACCAUGCAUGGAAUGGUUUUGAAAUUCGAUUUUUAAAAAGUUUUGGAUGGAUGGGAUUUGAAAACAAAAGGUUUGGAAAUGCAUUCAUGAAUUUUUAAACUUGGAAAAACAUGGAAUUCAAGAAAAAGGCCUUCCCGAGAGCUUUGUUUUUAGAAAUUAGCUUGAAAAUCAUUUCGCACCAAGAUAAACAAGGUGCGAAAGUUUUCGCACUGGUAAUUGAGGUGCGAAGAUAGCAUCCUGGGAGGCUUGGCUUUCCAAAAUGUAUAGAAAUUCCUUUUCGCACCAUGCACUAUCACUGUGCGAAAAAUUCGCACUGAGUGUGUUCAUGGUGCGAAAUUCCACUGAGAGCUUUGCUUAUGCAUUUUGGCUCCCCUGUUUCCUCUGUUUCACCUCCAUUUCGAUUUUUGCAAGCAUCGUACCUGCAUGAACACUUCAAAACUCAUCUUAAAACCAUAUUAAAACUAAAUUAAAGCUAAGAAUUCAAACUAAAACAUGCAUAAAUUUAAAGAAAGCAUAGAAUUUAAAUGAAGCUGAUAGCAUGUACCCCAAAAAGAAGAUGAACUAUUUAGCUCAUCCUCACUCACACACCCACUUCAUGCUGAAUUCCCCCUGGAUCCCAAACAAAAUUGGCAUCAUUCCCAUUUGGUCCAAGGGAAUUCAUUUCUCUUCUCUUCCCUGGAGAAGUGGAUGCUUUAAAGGGUUCAGGUAACCCUUUAUCAUCUUGAACCUUAUGAUUUUCAAUGGAAGGUUGGUUCAUAGAGUUGUCAUAGCAAUCCCCCACCAAAGUGUCGAUCUUCAACACUUUCCUUGAUCUUUUUGCAUUGGUUCCUUGAAGGUUAUGGUGGGGUUGAGGAGGAAGCUUCCUUUUCCCCUUUGCUAUGUCGAGAUUGGUGAGCUUCUUAAUGGAGUCUUGAACUUUUUCUAUCCUUAGUGAUAGAUCAUUAUAAACCCCCUCCAUUCUUACAUUUAUUGAACUCUCCAAAUUAUCAAUCUUUUCAUUAAGAUGAGAGUUGAUCUUUUGUUGCUCACCUACAAAGUCCUCCAUGACUUUGCUUAUCUUCAAAAUGGCUUGCUCCAAUGAAGAUGUACUCAUUGAUGGUUGAGGUUGAGGUUGGGUUGCAAGGUUGGGAUGGUUUAUAUACUCAAAUGAAGUUGGCAUGGCUUGUGGUUGUGCUUCAGUAUGCAUAUUCCUCAAUUCAAACUCCUCUAUCCUUCUAGCCAUAGAUGCUAGCUUUGCCUUCAUGCUUAUGUCUUCAUUCAAGACAUACUUACUACCCCAUUGGCUUUGUUGAACUUGCCUUUUCCCUAAUUCAAUCCGAUCCCUCAUGGAUAAGUAUGCAAAUUUGUCCUUCUCAUGAUCAUAAUGAGAGCUUUGAUCUUCAUGUGGAAUUUCCAUUUCUAAAAAAAAAUGAUAUUCAACUAAGGUUCUUUUCUUCAACUUGUACCAGGGUUCCCUCUUGGUCUCGAAUCCAACAAGGAAUGCACAAAUUGAAAUUGAAACAAAAAUAAAAGAAAAGAGAAUGAAAAAUUUAACUAAAUAAAAACUAAACUAAAAAUGAAAGUUAAAAACUAAAAGAAAUUUAUCUAAACUAAGUUAAAAAUGUUCUAAAACUAAAAUAAAAAGUUAGUAAAUGAAAAAUGAGAUAGAAUUCACCUCACUCAUGAGAAGUCUCACAAGUUACCUCCGGCUGAUAUAUUCACAGUGAAGUAGCACCUUCCCCGGCAACGGCGCCAUUUGAUAACCCGACUCUUGGUAGCUUGGCAUGUAAGGGUAUCAACAAAAUUUAUCCCUAAGGUCCUUACACUAAAGUAGCAAAGCUACUAUAGCAUAGUGGCUCUAGGAUCGAACACUGGGAAGGGUUUUUACUUUAACUGGUGAAGUUCGGAGGAUGGAGUGAACUUUUCUUAAUAAAAAUUAGGUUAAGAUGAAAACAUAAAAAGAUGAAGGUGUUGUAAACUUAAACUAACAUGAAAAUAGGUUAAAAGAUGGAAAAAGAAGUUUCUCAAAGCUUUGGAUAGCCAUGCUUAACUCACUGUGUAAAAAUGGAGAUUUUGGGACUUUUCACCUCGAGUUGGGGAAGCAACUAAGGUGAUGCUUACUUCCCGAACCGGUAUGAGUUUAACAACUGAGUUUUAGUCCUUGAAAACUUACAAAAAGGGUAGCUGAACCUCAUAAAUGCCCUUUUAAUGAUAUAGGUCAUCUCCUCGACUUGCAAUACAAUGGCUCGUAGGAGAUAACUAAUGAACGUCAGUGGAUCUAACAAUAAGAAUCCACUGAGACCAAAAGAUUAUCAAGUAUUGGCCAUUCAAAGCAAGUCAGAGGGAUUAAAAGCUUUACUUUGAAUGAAAACAUUUAUGACGCUCAGCUACUUACAUUUAUGGCUUGGAAAUCUCCAUCCUGACACGGGAGCUUCACAUGGCAUCCAUUACUUCAAGAAACUAAAAGGUUUUAGCCUCUCAUCCUUGGGGAUUUCAUCCCCCAAGGAUGUUUGGCUACUAAGAAAAUGAGAAAGAAAAGAGAAAAGAAACGUAUGAACAAAAGUGCUCUUAUAACUUAUAAAGUUACAGGUUACAAGAUUAGAUGAUCUGAGGCUCUUCACCUCUAUUUAAAGACAAUAACAAGCUAAAUUACAAGAGCUAUUACAAAAGCAACCUAUUCAUUGGUUGAUUACAAGGGUAAAAUAGGUAUUUACAAAGCUAAAAAUCAAGCAAAAUAUCUUGGAGAACCGGUAGUGGAAUAACAUCAACAACGUCUCAAAACAGGGGAUUCAAAGGAAUUUCGCAAUGUGCCUAAAUCCUCCUUGCGAAAUUUUCGCAAGGUGUUUCUUCAUGGUGCGAAGUGGCAAAAUUUCGCACCAUGAAGAAAAUCUCCUUGCGAAAUUGGUCAUUUGACAUGAUGCAGUUGCCUUCCAAAGGCUAUAUCUUCCUCAUUUCAGAUCCAAAUCAUACACGGUUUGAAGCGUUGGAUUCUUGACUUCCUAAGCUUUCAAAUGGUAUAUAGCAUGUAAAAAAUGGACUUCGGGAAGUACUCCAAAAGUUCAAAGGAAGACUGCAGCUGUUUUCUUCACUCUGUUUUCCUCUUCUCCAUUGCUUGUGCUCGUGUUUCCACUUGAAAUUCAAGCCUAUAAACGUACAAAAUCCUUGCUUAACUCGCCCAAAUAGCUCCUCCAUCAAUUGGCAUGCUUGAAUUGGUUCUUAAGCUGAUAAAAACAUGUAAACUUGCCACAAAAUGGUUAAAACCAAUUACUAAGGACCUUAAUGAAUUAAUUGGGUUAAAUGAAUAUGAUUACUACUUAAAGGUGCUUAAAACCAUUAUAAUUAGAUCUACAAAAUAGCACUUUUUGGUAGUAAUCACUAAGUGCCGCACGAGCUUAGUGAACGACUAAGUCCGUGACACAAUGCUAUAAAAGGUAGUGGUGAAAAUUCAAAAUCCUUGCUAUUAGCCAAUGAUACUUGAAAGGAUGAAAACAAAAGUUCAUGGUUUCAGAUAUAAGAUGUAGUAAUCAUAUGUGUAGUAGGAAAGAGAUGUUUCAAUAGUACCAAUUAAGGGUAGAGUUAAGAUUUCUAUUAAAUUGAAGAAUGGAUUUCAAAAUUUUAUCUCUAAUGUGUUAUAUGUUCCAAGUCUUCAUCAAAAUCUAUUAAGUAUGCUACAACUUUCAGAAAAGGGGUAUGAUAUGUAGAUCUAUAGGGCAUCUGUACCAUCAAUGAUUAUUAGAAAGGACUAGUCACAAAGGUGAAUAUGACACAAAAUCGUUUAUUUCCAUUAAAUAUUAAUUGUGAAAAUUUACUUGCUUUAGUUUUAUAAUCGAUGAUAAAAAUUGGUUAUGACACUUACGUUUUAAACAUUUAAAUUGUGAAAGUCUAAAAUUACUUGUUGCUAAGAAGAUAGAUUUUUGGUUACCUUUUAUUGAUUCACCAAAUGAAAUUUGUGAAACAUGUGUUUUGGGAAAGAAAUAUGGAGAUCCUUUUCUUAUAGGAAAAUCACGGAGAGCUAGGAAGCCUCUCGAGUUGAUUCAUCUAAAUCUAUUGUCCAGCUGAGGUUCCCUUAAAUGGAAAUCAUAGAUAUUUUAUAACAUUUAUUGAUGAUUUUAGUUAGAAGGCUUAGGUUUAUUUUUUAAAGCAAAAGGGAGGUGCAUGUGAAAUUUUUUUUUUAAAAAUAAAGCUUAUGUGGAAAAACAAAGUGGGCAUAUCAUUAAAAUUUUGAGAACAAAUAGAGGUAUUAAAUAUAUUGUUUGUGAUAUUUUUUAAAAAAAAAUAUGGUAUUGAGCAUUAAUUGAUUGCAAGGCACAUUCCACAGCAAAACGAAAUUGCAGAGAGAAAAAAUAAAACAAUUAUAAGUAUGAUGAGGUGUAUGUUGCACUUAAAACAAUUGCUUAAAAUAUUUUGAGCCGAAACAGUCUCGUAUAUAAUCUAUUUAUUGAAUAGGUGUUCCACUAAAAGUGUUUAUGAAAAAAACCCAUAAGAAGUUUGGAGUCAUAAAAAACCUAACAUUGGUCGUCUAAGGGUGUUUGGUUGUAUAGCAUAUGUUCAUGUUCCUAAUGCAUUACGAAAAAAACUUGAUAAUAAAGGUGAAAAGUGCAUUUUUAUUGGUUAUAGCCAAGUGAUAAUAGACUAUAAAUUAUACAAUCCACAAACCAAAAUUUCAUUGUCAAUUAUGAUGUGGUUUUUUAUGAGCAAGUAGUAUAGGAUUGGUCCUCUAAUGGAAAAAGAAUAUCAAGUGUUCAAAUUCAUCUUGAAGAGUAAAGUGAAGAUUAAAGUAUGCAACCUACUAGUGCACCAAUUAUGACACCAUGUCUUGUAAAGUCAUUAAGGCAUCCACAAUGUCAACACAUUUUACCUACUUGCUUACAUGCUUAUGUGGUUGGUGAUGACAGCGACCCAACAUGUGAGGAAUUAACAAAUUUUCCUUUAUUUACAUAUUGUUAUUCAUUAAGUUGUGAGGAAGCUACUCAAGAUGAUUGUUGGCUUAAAGUUAUGGAUGCAGAAAGUCAUGCAAUUAAGAAAAAUAAUACAUGUGAGCUUACUAAUUUCCCUAAUUCUAAGAAGCCAAUUGGUAUCAAAUAGGUGUAUAAAACCAAGUAUUAGACAAAUGGAGAAGUCAAUCUCUUCAAGGCAAGAUUGGUGGAAAAAGGUUACAAGCAAAAACCAUGUAUUGAUUAUUUUGACGUAUAUGCUCUUGUUGCUAGACUUGACAUUGUUCGCAUGAUUAUCUCUCUUACUACACAAAAUAAUUAGAAACAUUUUCAAAUGGAUGUAAAAUUAAAUUUCUUAAAUGGCGAACUAGAAAAAGAGGUUUAUGUUGAACAACCUCAAGGAUAUAUGAUGAAAGGAAAAGAAGAAAAUGUCUAUAAGUUAAAAAAGAAAAAGCCUUAUAUGGAUUGAAACAGACACUAAGAGCAUGGUACACAGAUAUUGAUACUUAUUUCAAGAAGAAUGGAUUUCAAAGAUGUCCUUAUAAACACACUUUAUAUGUCAAAUCUAAUUUGCAGGGUGACAUUCUUAUUGUGUUUAUGUGUAGAUGAUUUAAUUAUCACUAGUAUUAAUUUCAAGAUGAUUGUGGAAUUCAAAGAGGUGAUGAUUAGUCGGUUUGAGAUGAUAGAUUUGGGAUUGAUGUCUUAGUUUCUUGGGAUUGAAGUAAUUCAAAAUAGAUACAAGUAUUUUUAUUUUUUAAAAGAAGUAUGCAAAUGAUAUUCUUAAAAAAUUCAAUAUGGAAUCUUAUAAUCCUAUUCUAACUCCAAUUAAAGAAAGAUUGAAACUAGGAAAAAGUAAGUAUGGUGAGUUAGUUGAUCCUACUAAUUUUAAAAGAAUAAUUGAAAGUUUUUGGUAUUUGACUUCUAUAAGACCAUAAAUUAUAGUUGGAGUUGGACUUGUAAGCAAAUUUGUAGUCUCCAUGUCAGUUUCACUUGCAAGUAGCAAACCAUUUCCUACAAUACAUUAAAGGUAUGCAAAGUGAUGGUAUUUUUUAUACAUAUUACAACUAAGGGUCUCCAACGGGCCGGGGCGGGCCACUGAGCCCGUUGACUGGUCAACGGGCCGGUCCGGGCCGGGCCCUUGAUAUAUCUAAGGCCCGUGGGCCCUCAAGCUGGGCGGGCUUGGCGGGCUUAGAGGGUCGGGCCUGGCGGGCCGGGGUAAAAAUUAAAAUAAUUUUUAAUUUUGAAGGGAAGGGGAUGGAACCAUAAGGGAGCUAGCCACCAACUGAGCUGACCCUCUUUUGUGUAACUAUUUUGCAUUAAUUAUAUAUAUAUUAGAAAUGUUGUAUGAUUUUUGAAAAAAAAUAAAAGUGAGUUGGUUGUUCAACGGUCACAUGACCGUUGAACAUGCCACUCAUAAUUCAAUUUCAAAUAUAUGACCGUUGAAUGGUGUUGAAAUUAAAAAAAAAAAAAAAAUUAAAUCCUAAUAUUUAAAUCCCUAUAAAUAUUAAAUACCCUCAAUUUUUUUCUAUUCUCUCAACUCUUAAGCUCUCUCUCAUUCCACAAUAUUUCCGAUUAUUGCAUUUUGUUCUCAAAUUAUUCAAUAUUAUUGGUGGUGAAAAACAAGCAUUGGUGGUUCAAAGAGUUCAAAUUUGAAGGAAUUUCUGCUUCGGUUCUCCAAUUUAGUAACAUACUUCACCUUUUCUUUUAUUUAUUUGUUACAUUUUAAUUUUACAUUUAUUAUUUUUAGUAUAAUAUUUUAUCAAUAAUUAUAAUUAUGGCAAGUGGUUCUUGUUCUUCAUCUAAUGCAUGUGAUAGCAAAAAAUUUACUUCAAAUAUAUGGAAUUUUUUUGAUAGAAUAGAAAUAAAUUUAGAAAAUAAUAAAAAAGAAAUAAAAGAAAAAUGUAAAAUUUGUAACAAACUUCUUAGUGGUGGCUCAAAUGCAAGUACAAGUCAUUUAAAAAGGCAUCAUGAAAAUUGUAAAACUAAAAAUAAUGUAGAUAUUAGAAAUUAUAUGCAAUUAGGUAAAGAUGAAAGUGGAAAUUUAAAAACAUUUUCUUAUGAUGAAUCUUAUUGUCGUGAAGAAAUGAUUGGUUAUAUAAUAAGAGCAUAACAACCUUUCAAUUUCACUAGUUCGCCAUCACCGCCAAGAGAUAAUGAUUAAAAUAUUUUACUAAAUGUAUGUCAUAUUUUUAUUUUUAUUUUUAUGGUUGAAAAGUACAAAUGAUUGACAAAUAAGUAGGUGCCAACCUAGUUGGGAUGUAUUUAUUUUGUAGUAAUGUAAAAUUUUCCCACAUUUUCAAAUGUUAUAUAUACAUUCAAUGAAUAAAAUAGUUAACAAUGAAUAUUUUUAUUAAUGUAACAUUUUCUAUUUCUUGAAUAUUUUUUUUAUAUAUAUAUAUUUUUUAAAGUGGCGGGCCUAUGGGCCGGCCCGAGCCUAAUUUGGGGCCCAUGGCCCGGCCCAUCCAGAAAUGGGCUCGGGCCUGCCGGGCUCGGGCCGGGCUUUACAUGUCUAAUAAUGGAACAAAAUGUGACUUACUGACUCCAUGCAAAUCCAUCUCUUAAACUUAACAACAAUCGUACCGUUAGCUCAGCAAGGAACUUGAGUGUUGCAUUUAUGCAGAAACUGUACACUUAAUUUGCGCUUUGUAUGCUUGUAUUUGAUGUUACAUGUGAGAUCUAGUGACUUAUUAGUUGUAAUAUGGAUGCAUAUGCAGGGCUUUAGGACGAUAUCGACCCAUUCUACAAUCUUCCCCUAGGGCCCCGAUUCAUAAUUUUGAGUCGUUACACUUCAUUUCAUAAGUUAUUGGACUUCGAUCAUGAUGCCGCAGACACAAGAAAGCGCUUGGCACAAAUAAUUAAUUUGGUUGAUUAAUACUCACUCUCAAGUGUCAUGAAGAAGUGGCAUAAUCAGGCCUCAGAUUAGGUGAGGGCGAAGGGCAAGGUCAUGUGCCCUUAAGAAAGUGUAUGGCAUAUGCUCUCCGUUAAAGCGAUGUGACGGACCAUGUAUAUGCAUCAACGCUCGGUUCACAUUGAGCGUGUGACCGCUUUUCUCAGGCCACCAUAAGCUUUUCUUUGGCCCGCAUUUACUUCAUGUAGCACCACAAACUUAAUAGGGUCUACUAAGCUUUCACAUUAAAGCAAGAGCAAAAUUCUUUUACCAUAGAACACUUUUUUUAAUCACAAAUUAAUUUACGGCAAAAUCCCAUAUUUGAGUUUCAAUGAUCUAGUUUAGGAAUUCCAUGGAUGUGACUUUCUAACUAAGGAAGUUGAAGCUAUGUAUGGGAAUGAUAAUUGACAAAGAGUACUGCGUACAAUAAAAGUCCACACAAGUGCAAGCUUUAAUCCAUUGUAUCAUUCACCACAUUUUUUUCCUUUCCUUUUGUUUGUCUUUUUGGGUUAUCGAGAAUGCCAUAAUUAGUGGGAAUAAAGGAGAGAAUAUAUGUUUGAAUUUUGUAUUGUCACGAAUGAAUGACUCAAUUCAUUGAAUGAGCUAGCAUCUUUUGGUCAUUCAACCUUUAUAUGUAAUGGUAGUUGUGUGGUAGAGUUGAUAAUUCUAAUUCAUAGGUUUAUGAAUCUAGACGCUUUGUUUGACGUACAAAUUUGGAAUUUGAUUUGACCAAUUUCAUUUAAUUUUUGUAAAAAAAAUAAUCUUCCCUAGGAUGUUAAGUAAUGUACCAAUGAUGCUUUCACAAACAUUUUUCUCAAUGUGCAUUACAUCCAAAUUAUGACGAACAUGCAAAUAUCUCCAAUACUCAAGUUCGAAGAAUAUGGACUUUUUCUUCCAACAAUUGGCAUAAGUCACAUUGGAUUUAUCAUGUCUUCCCCCUUUUUUCCCCCAUGGAUUACAAAUGACAUUCAUUUUCAAUAGUAUUUCCUCUCCACUUAACGGUUAUGGAGGUGAUCGAAACUCCUGCUCACCAUUGAAUGCCUUUUUAUGUUUUCUAAAAGGAUGAUUGCAUGGAAGAAAACGUUUGGCCUGUAAAUGAGUUCUUUCUCCCAUGCUUCAACCUAUGUCAAUAGGUUUCCGGUGUACAUAUUGGACAAGCAAAAUAUCCUUUGACUGUGCAACCAAAUAAGUUUCCAUAUGUAGGAAAGUCAUUUAUUGUCCAUAAUAGAACAACCCUUAAUGUAAAGACCUUUCUUUGAUAUGCAUCAUAAGCUUCUACCCUUAUCUCCCACAAGGUUUUAAGGUCCUCAAUCAAUGAUGCUAAAUAGAUAUCUAUGUCAUUGCCAGGUUUUUGUGGACUUGAUAUUAACAAAGAUAACAUCAUAAAUUUUCUCUUCAUGCACAACCACGGUGGAAGAUUAUAAGUGAUCAUGACAAUUGACCAACAAUUAUACCUGCUGCUCAAGGAACUAUGGGGAUUUAUGCCAUCUACUGAAAUGGCAAGUCUAAGGUUUCUAGGUUAUGCGGCAAAAUCAGGCCAUCUAUGGUUAAUUACCUUCCAUGAUGGCGAGUCAGAUGGAUGAUGCAUUUUUCCAUCAAAUUCUCCACCUUGUGCAUGCCAUAUGAGGUCUUUUGCGAUUUUUGAGGACCGAAACAUUCUUUUAAAUCGUGGGAUAGGUGGAAAAUACCACAUCACUUUAGCAGGAACUCCUUUACUCUUUUUAGUUCCUCUUCUAUUCACCUUCCACCUUGAAACUCCACAUGUAGAACAUGAAGAUGCAUCUUUUAACUUAUUCCUAAAAAGUAUGCAAUCAUUGGGACAUGCAUGUAUUUUUUCAUAUUCCAUUCCCAAUGCAUUCAAUGUUUUUUUUUGCUUCAUACAUAGACAAUGGCAACUCAUUGUUAACAUGCAACAUAUCACCAAGUAAGCUUAAUAGCUCAGAGAAGCUUUUAUCAGACCACCCAUAUCUUCAUUUUAGAUUAUAUAAUUUAACUAAAGCAGAUAAUUUGGUGAAGUUUUUGCAAUCGGGAUACAAAGGUUUUUCAGCAUCUUCAAGCAACCUUUCAAAUAAUUUUGGAUUAGCCUUACAAUCAUCUUGUGCAGCUUCAACCAUUUCUACUGUAUGAUCCUCAUUACCAAUAUGAAUUCUAUCAAAACAUUCAACCCUUAUAGUUGGGGGUCCACUACUUAGAGCUACCUCCCCAUGCCAAAACCAAGUAUGGUAACUUUGGCCAAUUCCAUAAAAGAAUAGGUGUUCUCUAAUCUUUUGAGGAGUAUUGAAUAUCAAAUUUCCACACUGUAGACAUGGGCAUUUGAUGGAGUUUUGAUGUGCAGAAUUUUGAACUGCAAAUGAAAUAAAAUUUUCAACCCUAUCCUCAUAGUCUUUUGAUCUUCUAUCUUUUGAUAUCCAGGAACGAUUCAUUUGCCUAUAAUAGGUGAACUCAAUUCCUAUAUAGCAAACAUGAACAAACAAUGGAAAUGGAAAAGACUUAGAAACGUUACCUUUAGAAAACACUCAAAACUUUUAGUUUGUCAUUUGUGACAUCCAAAAUUUCUUUUUAAUUUUCUAAGGACAAACAAUUAGGAUUCAGAUGCAAUAAAAAAUUUGAAUCCCAUCCUCAAUAAAAAAGGAUUAACAAUAUGACAAUAGAACCUUUUGAUGCAUGUUUUUAUGCCUUUUAACAUGUCCAACAUGUCCAACAUCCAAAAUCGGGUAGUAGUUCCUAUCCCAUGUAGGAAUACAUAAUCCCUAUGUGUUAACUGCCAAUAUACUCAAUUUCAUUUUGAAGAAAUUUCGGUAGCAUUUCCCCAUAGUUCUCCAAGUACACAAAAUGAACAAGGUAUAAUAUGUGACCUUGUUCAAAUAUGCACCCAGAGAACAAGAGGAAAUUAAAGACUACCAAAAUGUCUAAAAAGUGAAUUAAGCACAAACAAUUAACUUCAUAGAUAUUAUGUUUUCCUACACUGUCCAAUCGGACAAUUCAAGCAUCAUUGAAAAAAAAAUAUCUUUAUCACAUUCUAGACAAUUUAAAAGUUGUCAACUUGAAAGUGGCUUGGAUAAAACCUUUUUCACCUUUGACAACUUAAAUGUCUUUAGUAUGUAAUAAGAGAAACUUUUUAUCUUACAAUGAUAGUUGAAUGGGAACUCUAAGGUUUCAUGCAUGCAUGUUUGAUUAAAAUUAAAAUACAAUUACUUAUUGAAUAAUCUAAUAAUUAUAAAACACCUAAAGAUGUUCCAUAAUUAUUGGUAUAUUUCAUGUUAUCCAUUAACCAUUAAACAAGAUUAUUAUAAGAAAGAAUACGUAUGGCCCAUGAUUUGUGAAUCAAGUCACACCAGUCUAUGUCAUAGCCUUGGGUCAAAAUUUGGGCCUUGGUAUCAAAUUAAGCUGGGGAAUAACUUGUAGAAUUCAGGUACUCGAUAAGAUUUAAACAAAAUUUAAAAUAACGUCUCCAUUAUAUUCUUCUAACCACCUAAAGUAAAACUGGCAUUAUAAUUAAAAUAUGUUGGUCUGUAUAAAGAAAAAUAACGUACCUUUCUCAAUCUGUCUUUGUCUCAAGUCUUGCAUCACACACCUCUCGCAGUCCAAUGUAGGUCACUGUCCCUUAAAAUAUGUAUAUGUAAAACAAAUAAUAAAUAAAUAAAUAACAUAAAUCCAUUAGUAGAUAUUAACAAAUAAAUAAAAAAUAAAUUAAAAUAAGAAAAUAAACUAAGAAGAAAAGACAUAUAAGUAAGAAAAAAAUAUUUUCACACGUGCAACAAUGGUUAGAUAUUUUUGAAAAUUUAUAAAAUUAUUAAAAUCAAACUAUUUUAGUUAUUAUUAUUUUUAAAUGGUAAUUAAUACUCCUAUAAAAUAAAAUACAUGCAUGGUGAGAAAGCUAAGAAGAUUAUUCCUUGUGUCUCUUUUCAUUUGAGAUUCUGACUUUUGGUGAUGACUUAAUGGUGGGUGAAGUGUGAACCACACUGUCUGACCCGAGUCAAGUCCUUAGCUUUUGAAAGAUGGCUACAAGAUGGGUAGAACUUAAAUGAAUGAGAUAGAAAAGCCUGGUCUAAAUUAAGGUGGCUUAACAAUACCGUAAUCAUCUUGGCUAGGUUGUAUCAUAUAGUAAAAUAGACGUUACAGGCUAGGUCUUCAGCAUCCAGCAAUUCCACCCUUUGAUUUUUCCAACAAGUUACACCAUCUAAUAAUAAUACCUAUGAUCCUAUACCUUAGUUUUGAUUCCUUAUGUAUACAAAGUAUAUAUAGUUACACUACGUUAAACUUAUUUUUUUUUUCUCUAAAAAGUAAUGAGUGUAAAUUUUUAAAUUAGGCUAAUAUUCAUUUUUUUUCACUUCUUAUUUUUUAUUUUGAAAAUAGAAAAUAGUUACAACUCUUAUACAAAAUAUUUUAGUAUUUUUUGUUUUUAAAAUAGAAAGUUAGAAAUUGUAUUUUAAAAGCAAUAUUCUAUUUCAAUCCACAUAAAUCAUACAAGUUUGGAAAUAUUCCAUUACCAUAUUUUGAGUAAUAUUUUUAAAGGGUUAAUUUUAUUCAUUUCCCCUCAAGAUUUGACUAAAUAUAAUGGCCCUUAUUGGUUUAAAUUUCAUUAAAUACCUAUCUUACUUUGAGUGAGAGUAGAGUUGACCGAAAAAAAGAAAAAAAAAGAAUAGUAAAUAUGUUUGAUAAAAUUUCAAACUAAUGAAGAUUAGAUGUAUUUAGCUAAAAACUUAAAGGUGAAUGAAAUUAAUCUUAUUUUUAAAAGAUACUAUAUUUUUUGAAGUCUAAAAAUAUUCAACUACCAUAUAUUUUUAAAAAAGAUUGUAAUUUGGAGUAUUCUUGAAGCAUUGUAAACUACUUAUUUUCAAUCUAUGGAAAAACCUUAUGUAACUUUUGGUUAUCUCCUCAUCCUUAGUAAGAAAUUGGAAUUUUCAUAAUUUUGUAUUUGAUUUCUCAUAAUUUAGAUAUUUUUCCAUAAUUAUAUAUCAUUUCCUAAUUUUAUAUCAAUUAUUCUAAUUGAAGAUUAGUUUAAUAAGGAAAUUUCUAGAAAUUGAAAAAAAAAAAAUCUAAGAAGCUUUUAUCCAAUAAGGAAGACUUUUAUCAUUCAAGGGUUCUUAUAGAAUAAAUUUAAGGAAAUUAAAAUAAUUUUUCAGACUUAGGAUCCUAUCACAAAUUUUGGUAACCAAAUACUUGCAAUCCAAAAUUCUAAAAUUUACCAAAAUACACCUAUAAUAAAAAUUCUAAGCUAGGCAUUCCUUUUACUUAUUUAAUAAUUAUAAAUGCCCAAGCCAACAAAAACAAGAAUUACGAGACAAAUGCGUUCCUGACAAAUCAGACAUGGAGAACCCGUGAAAUCGUAGGAAUAGGGACAGUAGAAGGUGUACCCUUUCUUCUCAGGUGCCAUUGUCGGAUACCUGUUAAUAUAGUCUCAAGGUUGUCCACGAUUGUACGGUGAACCCAGUGAUACCAUUUCUAGACUAGGUUAUGCAAGUUGGCAAGUGAGAGCAAGGCAUAGAAGGCAUAUAGAAGGGCCCGUAAUGCAUCGGGCAACAAUACUGAUGCCAAUGAAGCCAAGGAGAGGGAACCAAAAAACAUCAUGGCAGUGCGGAGGAGAGCAACACAAGUAGGAGAGAGAUGAGAAGAAUGAAAGGUUAACUCAGUUCCGAAUGUCAAAACAAACGCCAGUAAGCUAGCAAAGAACAUCAUGGUGCUUAUAACAGGUUGACCAAUGAUAAUAGGAGGAACCAAACUCUUGAAAUGGAAAGCAAAGAACUGAUGAUGGUGACAGAGAACUUAAGAAAGCGUAGUCAUCCUGGACAUCUCAAGAAAUUAGAGUCUUAGACUUUGCAUUUUAUACGUACGUGUAGGUGUUUCUUACAAAAUUGAGUUCGAUUCUCUAAGGAUUAGAUGUUCUGUAGGCAAUAUUAUAUCGAUACGUCCAGAUUGUACAAGUCUUGUCUCUCUAGUCAUCAGUCAUCAUUCAUGACCCUGUAGGAGGGAUGAGGUGGACCAAACCAGGCCAGCUCGCAGGCUUGCAUUGAGCCAUAGUUACCUUCAGCCGGAUGGGCCCAAAUCUAGCCAUAUCCAAAAGAACAGACCAAACCCAGUUACUCACAUGUAAGGGCCAAAACAACUUUAAGGUCGGUGCUGGAACAUCACCUUAGCUACUCACAUGCUCCAAAUUACUCGUCCUCUUUUCUGUUAAUCGUGAAUGAGAAGCUACAAUUGACACUAGGAUGGUAAAAAAAAAUGUUAGAAAAACGAAAAUUUGGUUGAGAGGAAAAAGAUUGAUGUCUAUCAUGCUUUCGUUUCUAUGUGUCCGCAGACAAGUUUUGGAUUGGACUCUGACGUGCAGUCACCAAGCCCACACAUCUUUUGGAUCACGCAUGCCAAUUUCCACCCCAUGGGCUAUGAAAAUAAUUUAAAUAUGAUAAAUCUCUCUCUCUCUCUCUCUCUAUAUAUAUAUAUAUAUUGGACCUUCUCAAAGUGAACUAUUUCCAUAUGGACCCAUGGGACACGGGUCAAGAUACGGGGCGAGAUUGUGUGAGCACAGGAUUAGUCUCAGUGAGUGAACUUCUGAAGUAAGCCUCGGAAAUUCUUCAACUCCCCAAUUCACAUCGUAUGGUCCGAGGCCUAGGGUGGAAAAUGCAGAAGCUAAAAUGCCACAUGUUGUUUUUAUAAGUAGAGGAACCGAAGAACCCCUUUUAGAUUCUUUGUUUCCUUUACGCACAAAUGAUGAUUGAUGACAACACUAGUUGGGCCCCUUUCUUCGUUUCCGAUGAAAAAGAUAAGAAUAAAUAAGUAAAAAUUCUUUAAUUUUUUCAUCUCCCAUGUAAAACAACAUAUUUUUUUUCUCCGUUCCUUGGUUGCUUCCGGCUACAAAAACAGCGCCGUGUGGGCAUCGCCAGUGUUUCCUUUUCCCACGGCACCUUUAGGAGUUAAGGCAAUGAAAAAAGUUGAGAUUGGGCUUCAUCCUCUUUUAGUCCCUGUAGUGGCAGUUCGGGCUUUUCCUACCUCCUAAAGUAAAAUUUAAAUUGUGGAAAGUCUGCAGCCUGAUUCCAACCGAGCCAAGCCCAUAUAUUUUGGCCUAGUGCCUCAAACCUUGACUGCCCAACAACUAAGAUUCAAACCUAAGCCCACCAGAGAAAUUUUUAAAACCUGUCUUUUCCAAACAUGUCACUUCUUUGCCAGUUGUUCCCCUUUCAAUACCAUUUAAAAAAUCCCCCAUUUUGCAGCUUUCUCAACUGCUGCUUCUCCUUGGUGUACGAACACGGCACAUCCAUACCUACAGACGGCAGAGGCUGCACCUCCUUUCCCACCCUUGUGCUGCUACGUGAGCACCCACCACAUUAGCCCUAACCUCCAUCCCGAUCACCAUGCUUACUGCUACAUCUCCUUAGCACUACACAAGGCAAAAACAGGGUGACACUUCCCACCACAACUGAAAGGAGAAGUUGGAACAACCUACCACAACUUGCAAUGCACAAGGCAUAUUACUUCUAUAGAUGUUAUUUACACCAACCAUUUGGUUAUUUACACUAUUAUAUAACAACAAGAACAAAAAUGCUCUGUAUUUAUUCGGGAUACCAUUUCCCUGAUUUUGUCCUCCCAAAAUAAUUUCCCUAUCUAUGAAACAAUAAUAUCAGAUAUUUGGAACAAUAAAAACCCUUCCAUUUGUCUUCAUUUGUACUAAUCUAUUCAAGUAUGAGGAAAACAACAUUAGUUGAGAAAGAGAUUUACCUGUAACUAUGAUGCUCUAUAGUAGAUUUUCACAAUGGUAACCUCCCAUGCAUGGAAGUUAGACAUGACCAUUCCAAUGGAUUAGGCCAUUUUAGUGGUGGACUUUGCAAAGGGAAUAGAUUUUGGCAACUGAUGUGGAGUCAAAUGACUUUACAAGGGGAAUGGAUUAGGGCAUUUUAGUGGUGGACUUAGUGAGAGCUAUAGGGUUUCGGGGUUUCUUCAGUUCUAAAAUGGUGGAUGGAAUGUUUGGUGGGCACUUGUAGAAAGGGAAAAGCUUUUAAUGAAUAUAUAUUCAAAACAUAUAUAUAUAUAUACACUAUUAUUUAAUGUCACCUGAUAUAAGCACCAUGAAAUAUCACAACUAUGACAUUGCUAUAAAGUGUCAUGGCAUAACUAGUUAUUCUUAUAAUUAAAGGCCACAUCAAACAAUGAUACUUUAAAUAAGCGCCAUGAAAUAAAAAAAACUACUAUAAAAAAUGACCCUUUUGGAAAAACACCAUUGUAUAUCCCAAUAUAAUGAUACUUUAUGAAAGCACCAAGGAUUAAAGCGUCAUAAUUUUCCAUUUUUGUAGUAGUGAUCAAUCCCAAAAAUAACUUGAUCCAAACCAAAGGAAAUGCAAAAUAAAAUGAUUGUAAUAUGGAUAUUCACAAAUAUACGAAAUAAUUAAAGAAGUGGAACUUGAAAGAUGAGAUGCACCAAGUCAAACAACUAGAAAAUAUAUUUGCUCCCUGAUUUCUAUCGAAAACAUUUUUUGAUGAUCUUUUUUAACAGUCUUUCUCUUCAUCUUCUCAAACUCUCUAACUCUCUCUCAGCAAAGACUAAAAAUCACAACUAGAGAGAAAAAAAAAAAAAAAAAAAAAAACUCUUCUCCUUAUCUCUUUAACUUUCUCUUAACUUAGAUCCAAAAUUCUCUCGUUGAAAAAUCUCUUUCUAACAUUUUGUCAAUAGAGAUCCCUCGAAUGGCCAAAGAACGCUAACCUCCCAAUAGAAUACAUUUCCCAGAUUUUAUACAAUCUCUCAAAGACUCUAGAACCCUCUCUCUUCUCACGUGACCUAACCCUUUCACCCAAACGCAAACAUCUUGUACUUAAAAACCCGUUCCCUCUUUUCUUGGCCAAACAAGCCUUAGUUGAAAACUAAUUUUCCCGUCCCUUUUAUAUCUAAAAAUUUAAAAUACAAGCUUAAUUAUUAAGAGGAUAAAACCAAAAUCAUAAUAAUAAUAAUAAUACAAUCAAAACCAAUAAAAUAAUAAAAUGAAUGAAAUAAAUACAGUGAGCAUAGUGUGCAUGGCCAUGCAUGGCUUGCAAUGUUAAAGAACAACUGAAUGGUAUAGGGAAAAUCAUUAAAAAAUAAAAAAUAAAAUUGCCAUGUCCAAAUUUCUCAGCACACAUCAUUGACAUCUGAAGAGUCCAGCUUUGCCCACCGAAACUUGCUUUUGGACCACCAAUGGAGAGGAGCAUGGAGAAUCCAUCUCUGGCCACCUAAAAAAGCGAGAAUAGGUGAGUGAGAUUUGAGUUGCGUUUUAGGAAGAAGGGUAGGUUCCUAUGAUUUUUUGGGUGUGGUGUUCGGUUUAGAGAGAGAAGCAGCUUUGGUAGAGCAAUUGAUGGUACAUAGAUUGGAGAAGAAAAAAGCUUUGGUGGAGCAGUUGUGUUGCACAAGUUGAAGAACGAUGAAAAUGGGGUUUCGGUGGAGUUGAGGGUUGUGUUUUGUUUGGAAAAGAAACAUAAGCUUGAGUGGAGAUGUUGGUGGUGCGGGUUCUAUUAUAAAAGGAAGAUUGGGUUUUGAUGACCAUCGACAAUGAGGAUGGCUAGUGCACGGUUCUUGACAAAGGCUGGUUGUAAGAGUAAUGUAUCAAGCUAUAAGGCAUGGGUUAUGGCAACUAUGGGAUGAGCUAUCUUAUGACUAGGUUAUGAGUUGGUAGAGGACUCUUUAGGAAUGGCUAGGGACAACUACUAAAGACUAAGGAUAUGACAUGAUGUGAGGGGCUGCCAAGGACACCUUGUAUAGCUGUGGUGAAGUGGUCUUUGGGCAACUAAAAGAUGGGUUGCAGCAAGGGGAUUGGGGGUUGGUGAAGGCAAUAGCAAAGAUGUUAGGUUAUGGUUAAUAAUAAAAAUAAAAAAGAAAAGUUACGGAUGGUUGGUGCAUGAGUUAGUCAAGGUAGAAACGUAUCAUUAUAUUUUUUAAAUAAUCCAAAAGAUAGGCUUUUGAUAUAUCAAAGUGGCCUAAAUGUUAAGUAUAGAAUAAUUUAUGGAAAGAUAUAAGUAUUGUGUUUGUUAAAAAAAAAAUUAUUUUCAUUUUUGAAGUGUGAAUUUUGCUAGCUAUUAUGGACUUAAAUGUCUAUUUUUAUGUAAGGUUCAUGAUAUAUUUGUUUAUUAUAAAAAAUGUUUAUUUUUAUUUUAUAUUUGAAAAUAUGAAUUAGAUAGUCGUAACAAAAUCGAAUUUUAACAUAGCUAUAUUUUAUUUUUAUUUUUAUUUAUUAUUAUUAUUAUUAUUAUUAUUACUUUUUAUUUGGUUAUGAAUUAUUAAAGAAAAUAAAUAAAUAAAUAAAUGAGUAUUUCUGGUAUGUUUAUUAUUUAAGGAGACAACUUAUUUGAAUUUAUUUUAAAACAAUGAUUUAAUAUUAUUUUUUUAGUUUAUGGUUAAUGAUAAGUUCGAAUAAUCAAAAGAUCUUAAGCUACAAAUUCAAAGGUUUAUGUGAUUACAUUAAAGUUUCAUAGUUUAUCCUCUAAGAAGCUCUCGAAGAAGAAUCAGAGACUUUUCUUCGAUAGAGAUCACAAGUAUAAUGAAUGAAUCAUGGAUACAUGAGAAAUAAAUGAAGCAAAGUGAGCUAUGUCGAAGAAUAGAAAAAAUACUGAAAUUUUGCCCUAACACAUGACAUGGUAAAUUGAUAAGCAAAAACAAAGAGUAAGAAUGCGGAGACUAGGUAUGAGACAAUGUUGAAUCUAAAACAUUGGAAAAAAUAUACUAAAUGAAUUUAAAAGACACAAACAAGAGACAAAAGUCAUAGGCAACGAGAUCAUGUAAGUAGUCUAAGACGAUGAAUACUAAGAGGAUGAAUGACUUUGAAGACUGAAACAAAAAUACAAAAAUUCUAGACGUCAAACUAAAAACAUAGCUCUAUCCAUUAAAAGAUAACUCUGGUAGUUGAGCGACUCUGAAUGCUAAACUGAUAAAUGUGGCUCUAAAACCUAAUCUAGAAAACAUCUCUGAAUAAUGACACUGAAUGUCUUUGCUUUGAAAGUUGAUGAAUCGGCUGUAAAGGAGAGUGUAAUAAACAAACCCCUGAUCAAUCACAAGCUGUGAAAGUCCAUACUCUAAAUGAUGACACUGAAUGCCUUUACUCUGAAAGAUGAUAAAUCUGUCGUGAAAUUUGUGAUGCAUAAACCCCUGAUCAAUCACAUGAUUUGUGCUCUGAAUGAUGACAUUGAAUGCCUUUACUCUGAAAGUUGAUAAAUCGAUCAUGAAAGAGAAUGUGAUACACAAACCCUUGAUCAAUCACGUGAUUUGUACUUUGAAUGAUGACACUGAAUGCCUUUACUUUGAAAGCAUAGUUGUGAAAGGCACGCCUAGGCUCAGGGCAGCAUGACACCACCCUCCAAUGCCUCGCCUGAAGGGAGGGGACACCCUUUCACGAAGGCGCCGCUUAGGCGUGCAAGGCGGUCGCCUAAAUCACCUCCGACCAGGUACGCACUGCUUCUCCUUCUCCUUCUCUUUCUCUUUCUCCUUCUUCUUCUUCUACUUAUUCUUCUUCUUCUUCCGUCGGGUUGCAGAGCCCUAAUUUUUUAUUUAUUUUGUGAGUCCAAAACGACGCCGUUUUGGACCUUGUUCUUUUAAAUGAACAGUGUCCAAAAUGUCGUCGUUUUGUUCCUUUAUAAUUUUAAAGGAAUAGGCCAAAACGACGUUGUUGGAGCUUAUUCCUUUUUAAAAAAAAGGCCAAAACGGCGCUGUUUUGGCAUGUUUCUCCCUUCCAGCCUGAUUACUACUCAAAAAGUGCUAUUUGAUAGCCUAUAAUUAAUCCUUUUAAACACUUUUGAGUAGUAGUUUAGGCCUUUUAACUCAAUUGGCAUGUUAAAAAUCCUUUAAAGCAAUUUUAAUCACUUUGUGCAAGUUUUGGUGUUUUUGUUAGUAUUUUGAUCACCAAAGCAAGUCAAAUCUGAGGAGAGAUAUGAGGAAUCUUGGGCAAAGCUUAGAAGUCAUUUGCCAAGAGUGAAUCCGGAUUGCAAGGAGAAAAAAGCAAAGAGAAUCUGCCAUAAAGCAUGUUCUUGAUGACAGUCGUAGCAGCCACUUUUGGAGCACUUUCUGAUGUCCAAAUGAUGCAUGCUAUAUACCAUUUCAAAGCUCAGGAAGUCAACAAUCCAAUGCUUCAAAGGGUGUGCAAUUCGGAGUUGAAACGAAGAAGUUGCAGUCAUUACAAGCCAAUUGCUCCGAGCUGAAGGAAGCAUUUUGCAAAGUGUUGCGAAAUCACCCUUUUGUUGCGAAGUGAUUUCGCAGCAUUUUUGUACAGUAAGGUGUUUCUCCUUUUGACGAUGCACGAUUUAUGCCGCGAGAAGGAAGCUUGGAACCUCAAGGUGGAAGCCAACUUCGCAGCCUUGUGAAGAUAGCUUGGUGUUGCGAAAUUAUUUCGCAGCCCUCUUAGGUGUCUACGAAAUUUCGCAGACACCACUUUUCUCCUGCGAAAUGGUUCCUGAAGGCUCCCGAUUUUUGCUACCGACAUUGGGAGAUAUUUUCCAUUAUAUUUUUGUUGUCUAAAUCCCAAAAUACUCCUUGUAAACCACCAAUUACAUGAUUCCUUAGUUUUUAAGUUAGUAAAAAGACUAAAUAUCUAUGUAAUAAUUAGUUUUAUAUUAUGUUGAUAUAUAUACCUCUCGGGAGCCUGUUCUCGGGGAGGAGUUCCUUCUGUAAACGUUUGGGUAAGCAAGUAAAGGUCUUUUCUUUCUACUGCCUUACCUUCUCACUUUGUAUUUUCAUUUUCUUACUAAGUUAUGAAUUCUCUGAGGAGUUUUCCCCAGAGAAUGAGUAACUAAACCUCUAAUUCCUUGGAGCUAAGGUUGCCGGGGAAGGUUCCAAGUGCAAGAAUGCAAAGCUUUGUGGUUUUAGCUAGUAAUGAAGAGGAAGUGAAAUCCUUUAGUGAUUUCUAUGUUUUUAGUUAACUUAAAACACCUUAGAGUCACCUGGGCCAACACUUGGUAAGGCAAGUGAUUUCCAACCAUGGAAAUGCACUACUUUACCCCUUGCGAGCCUCUGGUAGGUGACUUCAAGGUAGGAUUUUCUAGAAUAGCCAACACUUGGUAAGCUUUUGGACUCCUAGGAGACAUCCAUUAGUUAUCUCUUGCGAGCUUUUGACGGGUAAUCCAAGGUUAAAGAUCACCUUGAAUGGUUAAGGCUUAGUGAGAGGCUUAAACCAUUGCAAAGUGCAUCAGUGAGAGAAUUAAAGUGAAAUCUAAUUGAAGGAGUCUCUAUACAUCACCGGUUAGAGAAUUGACUAUAUGUUGAAUCUCUAAAGCGAGGAAAUGAACCAUCUGACCAGAACCGUGUCUUUUGCAUGAGGAACCACCCCAGUGAACCUAAUUCUCCAAGGAAUGCUUUUCUUCCUAAAUUAUUCCAAACUUCUGUUAUGUUAGUUAGUUUAAGUCUAAACCUUUACCAAUCAAAGUUUGUGUUUUACUUCUUAAGCUAACCUUGAAAUGAAACAAGACCAAUUCACUUGGAAUUGGUAUCAUUGAUUGCUUGUUAGUCAUUCCCAGUGAACGACCCUAGAGCCACUCUACUAUAGUAGCUUUUUCUUUGCUACCCUAGUGUAUGGUGUUAUAGGUAAUAAAUUUUGUUGAUUACUCCCUCAAUCAAGGAGCACCAGCUGAACACAAAUCAGCUGAGACACCAAUUGGGCACGAAUCACAGCCCCCUUUUCUGGUCUUUCUUAACCUGAGACCACUCCCAAUCGUGCCCUAGCCUCAAUCGUGAUGGAGAAGUGAAGAAGAAGAAGAAGAAGAAGAAGAAGAAGAAGAAGAAAAAGAAGAAAAAUAGGGAAAAAUAGGAUUUGGAUAUGUAUUAGGCUAUUAGCAAUAUGGAUUUGGAUUUGUAUAUGUUUUUUGUUUAUUAAAUUGAAGUUUUGGUUGAUAUUUGAUGAUUUAUGUGUUUAGGAUAAAUAAAUGAUUGUUAAAUUUGAUUAUAUUAUAUAAAAAUAUAUAUGUAAAUUAGGGUGCGCCUCACUUCACUAAGGCCCGCGCCUUGUGCCUUAGGCUCCAGGACUACUUUGCGCCUUGGUGUGCCUUGAGCCUUUUAAAACUAUGUCUAAAAGCUGAUAAAUCCGCCAUGAAGAAGAAUGUGAUACACAAACCCUAGAUCAAUCACAUUAUCUAUACUCCGAAGGAUGACAUUAAAUACCUUUGCUUUGAAAGCUAAUAAAUCGGCCCUAAAGGAGAAUAUGAUACACGAACGCAUGAUCAAUCACAUGAUUUGUACUUUAAAUGAUGUCAUUGAAUGUCUCUUCUUUCAAAGCUGAUAAAUCGGCAUGUGAUACACAAACCCCUAAUCAAUCACAUGAUUUGUACCUUGAAUGAUGACACUGAAUGCCUCUGCUCUGAAAGUUGAUAAAUCGAUCAUGAAGCAGAAUGUGAUACACAAACCUGUAAUCAAUCAUAUGAUCUGUACUUCGAAUGAUGACAUUGAAUGCCUCUACUCUGAAAGCUGAACAAGUAAUGAACCCAACAACCUUAAGGUAUAGGAAAUAUACCCUAGUAUGCAAAGUCUAUGUAUUGUUAGUACAGUAAUACCAUAAUAUCUGGAUUGCUCUAAGGAUAGGCCAUCCAAAAAUACUCCAAGAGACCAAAGUGCCACUAGCUCAUCAAUACCUCAUCAAGAAAUCAGUAUGACCAAUCAGUCACUUAGGGAGACAACUCUACUAAGGAUCAUGAAGAAAUCAAAUAGUCAAAAUCAACAACCAUCAUCAUGAAACAAGGUGAAAACUAAUUUGAAACUAGCAAUCUCAAUGGAAAAAGGAUAUGCCUCAGUAUGGCAUUUGAUAUACAUAGCAGAAUGGGAAGUUAGACAACAUCUCUCAUCCAUCAUAAAAUCAAGCAAUCCUCUACAUCCAUCGCGAAUCAACUUUAGGCAUUAGAAAGCAUUCCCCAAAACAAGGAACAUGAUGAUGUCCAUACAUCAACCAAGUCCCAAGCGCUUGCCCAAGUAGAGACUGUCAAAGUUGACAUUUGAUCCUAUGGCCUCAAGGUGGUCUUAAGACAUGGGACGAAAUGUAGGCUAGGGUGAUAGGUAAAAAAAUGAAAGGAAACUAGGCUUAAAUACCCAAUGAUCAAGCCCAUACCCUCAUGUACAAAAUACAAUAUGUAUAGGAGAUCUCGUAAGCCGUGACCUUGAAGAUAUCUGGUGUGAGCAUCCAUGGGACAUAAAAGGUCUCAACAAAAUCAACGAUGAUAGAGAAAAAGUGAUAUAAGAGAGUAUCAAGCUAUAAAGGGAGAUGAUGUGAGAAGAAUAUCGAUCAUGGGAUGAUGAUGGAUAUGAAUGAAGGAUAAUGAAUAUAAGGUGCAUGAUGAUGAAUGUAAAGAAUAGAUAAGAUCCAAAGGAAUCAGAAGAGCUAUGAUCUACUCAAAAUAAGACAUGGAAAGUGAUCAAACCAUCGGUGAUUGAAGAAGGCAAUGAUUUAGAGUCUUUAGGAAAGAGUCACUCAUCUCUCAUACUUGGAACAUAUACAAGAUAAAUUUAAGGAUCACAAACUCUCGUGCACUUUCAUCAACUAAUGAACUCCACAUAAUAAACUCUCAAAUAUCUCAUACAUGAUCAAUUUCGUAAUACAUCUCAUGCACAUAUAUAUAUUUUUUUUCAUUUUUUAUCAUUUUUUUUAUGAUGGUAUGAACAUACUCUCGAACAAUGAUCUAAAAAAAGAUCGAGCUCUUUUUACUGAAUGACCCUCUUAACUAAGAUUCUCUAUAUCAAUGUCUAUGAGAUGAAAUGUAAGUGGUGAUAUGUUCAAUAUCCAUAUAAUGAAAUGUGAAAGAUCAUCACUCAAUAUAUGAGAAGAAACAAGAUGAAUCAAAUAAUAUGAAAAAGGUGAAACAAAGAACAUAAAAAAAGGAAAUGGGAAUGAAAUGGGAUAUCAUGAUAACAACAAAACAAAUGGGAGGAGUACAUCAAUAAUUCUAAGACUCAUGAAAUUCCUAAAUUAAGUAUAUGUACAUCAUAGGGUCCCAAGUAUAGAAACUAAAUAAGUUUAUUAGAAAGAAUAGGCUAUAAUGAUCAUGUAAGGCUCAAAGGGCUAGCAACGGUUUAGAUGUUUGAAAGGUGAUAGAGUAUAAACUAAUCGUAAUGAAGGCCACCCAUCAUAUGACCAUGGUCUCAAACAUAAUACUUCUUCAGUUGAUCUACAUAGGUUGGCUUUAAGAAUUGGUUUCUAUCUAGAUCUAUCAACCAUGCUGCACCCUCUAGAGUCAACUCUCUAAUGACAUAUGACCCACUCCAAGUCGGUCUAAACUUCCCUCUCAAGUCUCCAACCAAGCUUCUAAGACUUCUCAAGACCAAAUCUCCUUUCUAUAGUGGCCUAGGCUUGACCCACUUUCUGAAAGCACGAGCCAUCUUCCUCUAAUAAGCCUAAGUGUGGUUAGCUGCUCUCAAUCUGUUCUCAUCAAGAAGACUAAGCUGAUCAAAACAUGCUUGGGCCUAAUCUACCUAAGAUAUUUGUUGCUUAAGUGCUACUUGCAAAGAUCCCAUCUCUAUCUCAAUUGGUAACACUACCUCCAUUCCAUACACUAGAGAAUAGGGUGUGGCUCUUGUAAAGGUGUGAAAAGAAGUGCGAUAAGCCCAUAAUGCAAAAGAGAGCUUCUCUGACCAGUUUUGAGAAGUCUCAACCAUCCUCUGCAAAAUCAUUUUAAUAUUCUUAUUCGCGACCUCUAUUGCUCCGUUAGUCCGCGGUUUAUAUGCAAACGAACUAUAAUGUCGAAUGCCAUAUCUUUGUAACAAAGCAUCAACCUCUGCCCUAAAGUGUAUUCCUUUAUCAAGGAUAUCAACAAUAGUGUGGAAGGCAAACAACCUCAAUAAUUCCUAGGUGUAGACCCUCAAUUUUGUUCAUUACCACUUGCAUGUAUCUUGGUGGUGUCGUUUGCACUCAAUUCCUAUGUGUCACAACCAUGGAGCCUUUGCUGGGCUUAAUCGGUUCUCGGACCUCAUGUGAGUUCACCUAUGGUUCGAUUUAGUAUGAGCAUUUGGUCCAUUAUGAAGUGUCGUCAUGGUCGAUUCCUUGGUUCGUAUCAUUCUAUGGGAUAGAGGUUGAAGUCUCCGCAACCUUAGUUCAAUUGGAGACCAUGACAGAACACACUGGUUUGUUUUAAUCAUUUCUCCCUCAUCCAAGCUCGGAAUUGCUCACCAUUUUUUUGUUGGAUUCUUUGUUCCUGAAGGAACAUUCUAUUAAAAUUUGAGAAUUUUUCUCAACCAAUCGAUCGGAUGGGCAAUCGGCUUAACUGGUUCGACAAGUUUUUUUUUUUUUUUUUUUUUUUCAGGUGGUUGAUGAUACUGCUUGCAAACGGCUUUGUUUUUGGCAUUUUUGGUGCACUUUUUCUAGUUGGUUCAAGCCUUGGUGCUCUAGACAGGUUUGGAGAGUGGUUUUAGGUCCGAUUUGGGUCAUUUUGCAGGUGGAUUGUAACCCACCUUGAAUCCAUGUGGAUUCUUAGAGGGUAAGGAAUUAUGGAGUUAUGAAGGGCAACUGCCCACCUUGGGAAAGGGGGGAGCUAAAUGAGUUGGGGUUCCGAGGCUGAAGGUGAGGAUAAUCCAGAGCUGAAUGGGAAUGAAAAGUUGAGUUGAGGGAAAUGUGGCAUUUAAUUAAUUGAUUAAUGGAUACUCUGUCAUGGUGCCUUUAUAAUAUAUUUGCACGUUUGAGGGCACAUAAGCAUUGACAUGUUGAUUAUUUUAUAUAUAUGUUGCAUGUGCCUUACUAUAUAUUGACUCUUAUUAUCAUGUGUGUUUGUAUAUAUUGCUUAUGUUUAUAUAUAUAUAUAUAUAUUUUGUAUGAUUAUGUGUUGCAUGAUUACCCAUUUUCUUUAUAAUGCACGUUUUGUUGUUAUAUUCAGUUGCAAUAUUGACAUGUUGAUUACGUUGAUUGAUUCUUUUGUCUGCUUUAACAUAGCAACUCUUCUUGUUAUAUGAUUAUUUUGCUCUCCUUAUUAGGUAUAUUCUUAUUUUUGUAUAUCUAAUUCAUCUUAGCAUGAUUUAUUCUCUUUAUCAUAUAUUAUCUUAUUUGUCUUAACAUAUUGUUUAUUCUUCUUAUGUACUUAUCUUGCUUAUCCUAUUCCUACCUAGCAUGUGUGUAUAUAUGAGUGAUAUGCCUAUUCGUUGUAUGAUUGCUUCUUGCAUGAUUGCUCUUCUUUUGUGUGAUGCAUGUAUUACUUAUUUGUGUGGGACACAUUUAUCCCCUUAUCUCCAAUUCCCUAGUCUUGGUCGACUUUGUUUUCCUUGAUAUUGUAUUUAUGAGGCUUGUUACUUUGUUUGUUCUCCGACUAAGCUAGUGAUUUGAAAUAAGGUUUAGUGAUGUGUUAUAUUUAUGUUUAGGAGCAUUCUGGAGGAGGCCAAUGCAUUGAUGAUGAUUAGAGUCCAAUCUUUGAAGACUUGUAUGGCCUAGAGCUAGAUUUUAGGAUAUUUAUGUGACCUGUGUGUUUUCUUUCCUCUUAGUUUGAUAGGAUUUUCAGAUGCACCCACACCAUUCACUAUACACCUUAGAUUAAUACUAAGUGUUAAGAGAUGUGAGAGCCUUCACAAUCAAGAAACCCCCUAGGAUGCGAGGUAAUGCAUGUGUGGAGGUGACGAUCACCUUGCAUGGAAGCACCCCAUCUCUUGAAGGUGUGUAAGAGUUUGUAUACCUUCGGAGGGUAUGAUCGUUUUUUCUCUGCUAGGGAUCCUUUAAAGAUCACAAUUUUUUGUUUUUAAAGUCGCCUUGGCCUCGUAGGUUGAGCCUUAGAUCUUUUUAUUAGGAUUCUUUUCCUAUACGUGGGUGCAUCUGAGAGCCUUUGGGGAUGCUUUAGUCACAAUUUGGACUUGGUACUCUUUUUUUGGUCUUCUGUUGAGAGCGCUUAGAGAUUAGUGUGAGUUUGAGUAUCAGUUGGACCACCAUUUUUCAUUUAGUGUUGACUUCUUCUUGUUGCUUGUUGAGUCUAGCACACUUUCUCCUUAGGGCUUUAGACAUGUUUCAUUUCUUGAGUUAGAAUUAUUUCGAUUGAUUGUCACUAUGCUUGACAUUUUGGGAUAUGCUCCUUGAUCAUGCUCACCCUUUUACAUUUUUCAUCUAUCAUGGGCUUAAUACUUCAUUCUUUGGUCGAUUCGUCUGAUUCUAUUUUCAACUUGAUAUUUUCAUUACAGAAAGGUGAAAAGCAUGAUUUCACAUUCACACCAUUUUUUCGAGGUUCACCUUUAUCUCCUUAUCAUUUUUCUUUUUAAAGCUCAAGUUGAAAGUAGAGUUGGGAGAUAUUUAUCUAGAGAUGGAGUAGUAAUCUCGUGAUAGUGACGUUCUUCACACCUCCUUCAUUUUUUGGAUUAUUGAUAGAAAUUCUUUAGUUACAUUUGUAGCCAUCUCAUAGUGGACACCUUUAUGACCUUAGUGUUGUUGUCAUAUAUCUAGUUUUAGAUUGCCAUCAUAGGACCAUAUAUCAUAUGAUGUGUUUUUUUUUUUCAUUUGAGGCAUUUAUUCACAUGCACAUUGUGAUCUUGGGACUUGACCCAUCAAGGAGGAUAUUGAGCCUAUUAGCCUAAGAUCAGAGACUUGACUUAGGGAGUUUGAGACUAUGACCCAUCUUCUUUCAAUCAAAGCAAUACCUUACUCGCUCCCACACUUGGUCUUUGUUUCAACCUACAUCUACCUAUUUUGAGCUUUACACAGUAUCAUCCUUGACACCAUUACAUGUCCUUUCCAUCACUUGCUAUUCUACCUUUGCACAUUCCUUCUCCGAUCUGACUAGGUAGAGUGUGAGGAGUUUGAGCUCAGGGUUGAUUUUACAUGGCGAUGGAUGACUUAUGAUCUUUGGCUGGUUUAUGAUGUGAGGAUUGGUUAAUCACCUGAUGGGAUUGUUAUUUAUUUUUCCAUGAGUAUAGAGAUUGAUCUUGCAUGAUGAAAGUUGACUUGUGAUAAGCAGUUGUGCUUGAUGAGAUCAUCAUUUAUUUUGCUUUGAGAUGAUCAUCUUUGAGAAUAUUACAGAGCAUUUGGAGUAGUGUUUGGCGCACGAUUUCAAAGCGUUGACGUGGUUAUAUCAUGUGGACAUUGAUCUUUAGUAUUGAUAAUUUGAGGGUUUGAGAGCAUGAUGUUUGAGAUUGUGGCCAUAGAAUGGGUGGCUAUCAUUUUAGUUAGUUCACAACCUAUUACCUUUAUUGACAUUUGUACAUUUGCUAGCCCUUUGAGCCUCGCAUGAGCAUCAUAACUUUAUUUAUUUAUACAUUUUUUCUUAUAGCCUUGCUCACCUUUUACCCCAAGAUAGGGGCCCUUUUGUGUAUAUAUGCUUUAUUCAAGAGUUUCAUGAUUCAUAGACUUAUUGACUCACCUUCUUCAUUAUUAUUAUUAUUUUUCAUCUUACCAUUAUUCUUCAUUAUACCUCAUUGUUUAUAUCCAUUGUUCCACCAUUUGUCAUUUUCAUCGUUUUAUUUAUUUAUUUUAUUUAUUUUUUAUUUUUUAUUUUUUAUGCCAUGAGUAAUGAUCUUUCACAUUUUAGUGCAUGGAGGAUGGUCAUAUCCCCUUCCACUCCUAUCUUAUGGACAUUGGUUCAGAGAUCCUUAGUUAAGAGGGACAUCUUGUUAGAGAUAGUUCGUCUACAUCAUUGUUUGAGAGUAUAUCCAUUUGAUUAUGUAUUCUUAGUGGAGCUCAUUUGUUGAUAUUCAGAGUAUGCGCAAGUAAAAAGAAAGAAAAAAAAAAAGAAUAAGCACAUGUAUUUAUGCAUGUAUACAAUAUCUUUCUCCAUUGAGUGUGUAGAUUAGCCAUUGAGAGCCAUUUUUUUAGCCAGUUGGCUAUAAGAGUUUGUAUGUGAACUUUCAGAUACCCUCAUCUCCUUGUGCUUAUCUUGUUUAUGUAUUUUAUGUGUGAGAGACAGAUGACCGUUUCCUAGGGACUCUAAAUUAUUGUCUUCUCCAUCAUUAAAAAUAUCGAUGAUUUGACUAUUCUCUAUGAAUUGAUUUGAGAUGAUCAGUGCUCAUUUGUCUUCUUUUGAUCUAUUUGUUUUUCUCAUGGUAUCUCAUUCGUCUUACUUAUAUUGUUAUUUGUUCAUAUAUCAUUACAUUCUAUGUUCGAUAUUUUCCACACAUCACUAUUAUACAUCUUAUCAUCAAUUCGAUAUAUUUUUUUUUUCACUACCGAUAUAUUCAUUUUGGAUUCUUUCUUCCUCAUCGAUACAUUCAUAUCAAACAUCCUCAGUCCAUGAAUUCUAAGAUUUUUUUAACAUAUUACAUUUUAUACAUGAGGAUAUGAGAUUUUAUCAUUGGGAUUAUUGAGCCUAGUUUCCUUUCAUUCUUUACUCUAUUACCUUAUCCUAUGUUACAUCCUAGGUCUUAAGACCACCAUGAGGCCAUGAUAUCACACAUUAUGUUUUGAUUGCUCUCACAUGGGCGAUACUUGAGAUCAAUCAGUGAGCAUUUUGAUUAUGAUUGUUCAGGAGUUGUGGUAUGACACUAUGGACCCCACAUUUUUAAUGAUGCGUUCCCACUCGAUUCGCGAGACUCGCUUUUCGUUUAUUUGGUGAAAAAUAUGAUUUUUAGAAAAGACUUGGAGUCGCCACUUACUUUUAUUUAUUUUUAAAGGGGAAAAAAAGUAAGAAAAAAACCCCUAAAUAGACUCCUGAUUUUUUUGGAAAAGCUAUCUACGAAAAACCUGAGUCUGGGUCUAGGGAUCAGGUUACUUAUUGGGAAGGUAUGAUAAAGACCGUAUCACCCCUCUAAGCCCCUAAAAAAUGGGCCUCUACUAAAUAAGGUGAAGCAGACAUGACAAUUAAUUAGGAGAUUAAUGGAUACCAAAAUGAUCAUAGUUAAAAAAUAAGUCAUGAUAACAAAAUAAUAAACAAAAUGAGAGUGAGAGUGUACCUUAGUAGCAGGUAAUAAAGAGUUGUAAUGAAAACAAGGUUAGUGUAUAAUGAUAAGUGUAAAAAAUCUCAUACAAAACCAAAUCAAAAUCAAACAAAAUCGAGCGCACAACUUGAAUUAUUUUCGAAAGAAAUGUUAUGAAUGUUGGGCCCCCACCAAAAGUCAAUUUAUUUUUGCUAUAGAUUAAUUCUCAUAAAUUCCAUCAUUUUGGAAUUAUGAAAACUUAUUCAUUUUUAUAUUUAAAAAAAAUGAAAAUGGGAGUUUUGAAAAUUAAAUUUGAAAUUUUGGAAAUGGAUUUUUUUAAAAAAAUUAAAUUUGGAAUUUUGGAAAUUUUAGAAGUGGAAUUUUAAAAAUAAGUUUGGAAAAUUUGGAAAUCUAUCUGAGAAUGGUAUUUCAAAAAAAAAAAAAAAAGAGUAAAUAAAUACAUAAACAAAAAUAAAAUAAAAUAAUAAAUAAAUAAAUAAAUUUUGAAUUUUGGAAAAUGGGAAUUUUGAGUAGAAUUUUGGAAAAUUAAAUUAAAAAAAUUGGAAUUUUGGAAAAAUUAUUUUGAAAAUAGAAUUUCGGAAAAUUAACUUUUAAAAAAUGAAAUUGUGGAAAAUUGGAAUUUCGAGAAGGAAGUGUUGGAAAAUUAAAUUUAAGAAAAAAAAAUUGAAAUUUUGGAAAAUUAAGUUUUGAUAUCAAAGAUGAAGACUAAAAAAUAGGAUGAAAUGUGGUCUUUGAGUGGUUCAUUGGAGGGUGACCAUGCAUGGCCAUGCAAAAGUGGGGCACAGGGUGUUGGUGGUGAGUUGACCUGGCACUAUUCAUAUUAAAAAAAAUUCCAAGAUUCCACUUAACUUAUAAUUUUCACAAUGCAUCUUUCCACCACUAUGAAACAUACUGACAUUCAAGAAAGGUUAUUAUCAGGAAGCUAAAUAUUUGACAUUCUAGAAAACUUAUUUAACAUAAAAUCAACCUAAAACCAAACUACUAACAAUAAAUCUUAAGAAUCAUGGAAUAGCAAGAUUAAUGGCAUCGAAGCCUAGAGAUGUUAGGAACAUGCACUUACAAUCAAAUAUUGAAAACUAGUAACUAGGAAAUAUUGAAACAUGAGAUAUUAAAUCAGUGAAAACUAGUCCUUAAAAUAUUAAGAACAAGUACUAACAUGAAAUGUUGAAAAUCUGACAUCUAGAAUAUCAAAACGUGAGAAAAUAAAUUAAUGGAAACUAAACCUAAAAUCAUUAAGAACAUAUAUUAACAUGAAACAUUUAAAAAAAAAUCGACAACUAGGGAUAUUAAAAACCUAAAUUAAUGAGGAACAACCAAACUAAUGUUAGAGAUGAUAAAAACAUGAACUAAUUUAGGUUCAAUAAGAAGGAAUAAUUGGAAAAUAAUAAAAACUAACAUCUAAGGAUAUUUAAAUCCCAAACUAAUAAGAGGUAAAUAAAAACUAAAACCUUAAGAUUUAAAGAAAACUAUUGAACAACAUGGAUCAAACAAAAUACUAAUUAAUUAGUCAAAGAGCAAUAUAAAUCAACAUGUAUCAACCAAAAUAAAAAACGAAAAAUUCAAGAAGCAAUAUAUACUAACAUAGGUUAUUAAAAUCAACAAUUAAAAACUCCCAGGUAUUUACAAAUUAUCAUAGGUCAUCAAAUUAAAAACUAAAAAUUCAAAGGACCACAAAGAAUUAACAUGGAUCAUCCAAAAUAACAAUUAAUAAUUUUAAUGACAAAGCAAAUUAACGUGGAUCGACCAAAAAUAAAAAUAAAAAUUUAAGGAGCAAUAUAAAUUAACAUAGAUAUUUAAAAUUAACAACAAAUGAUUUUAUGAAAAUGAAGAAAAAAAUAAACAAACAAAAUUUCAUGAAUAUUAUAAAGCUACAUGGAUAUUAGUUUUCAUUUCUUUCAUUUUAAAUUUAUAACAAUGUAAACCAGUAACACCAUGAUCCACCACAUUCACUUUAAUUUUUAAUUCAAUGAAACAAACCACUAACAUACUUGAGACAUCUCAUGGCCGGCCAUAUGUAUAUACAUCAAUCUCACUUUGAAUUUUAUUUUAACAAUGUAAACCAAUGACACCAUGACCCACCACAUUCAUUUUAAUUUUUGAUUCAAUGAAACAAACCACUAACAUACUUGAAACAUCUCAUGGUUGGCCAUUAGCAUCCAUACAUUCAUGACUCUAUAUUAUAUUAAAAAAAACAAAACUCACCUAUGUGUGUUCCCAUGAAGCGGUGCAUGCCGAAGCUCCUUUGUGAUGGAGAGAUGCCAACAAUGGUUUCAAAGUGGCAGCCCCUCAAUGUGGCAGCCUUAUUUUAUGUGAAGAUGACAACUGAUUCUGUUGGUUUUCCGGUAGAGAGUGCGUCCCAAUGACCAAGUGAUCAACCCAUGCAUGAAGAUGGAGAGAGGUUGUCGAUGGUGUGUUGGUUCUACAAUUCUGGUGGUGCGCGCUAGGAUGAUGGCUCUUUUGCUGUAUCUUCAUUUCCAAAAAAUUCUGAUUGUUGUCUCGUAAAAAAAAAUUAUGAACAUCCACCACUCUAGAAAUUCUGAUUGUCAUUCUAAAAAAUGGAGAGAGGACCACCCUCUGUGUGUGCGAUCUAUUUUCUAAAAAAUCCUCCCAGCACUUUGAAUUUCUAAUCCAUGUGUACCCCUCUUUAGAUUAGGGAAGUGUUGUAACCAAAUAGUAAAAGACACAAGCUGUUGUAUGCGUGCAAUAGAGUUCAACAACAAUAAGUUUCACAAUCUUGGUAAGCAUAUAUAUAAUUGAUUCGUGUGUUCUUUUCCAUCUUUUAGAAAAAAUCUGUGACUUUCCGCACCCUAAUCAACCUAAUCCAUAAGAGGUACCUCACUUUUUCCUUUCUCCCACAAGCCUUGUAAAUAAUAUCCCAAGACAAACAAUAAAUUAAAUCAAUGACAAAACUAGAUUUCAAAUACCUAAGUGCAAUAGAUGUGCACUUGCAGACCAUGUGGUAAGCGUGGGUAUCUCUAUAAGUGAGGAAAAAUUGGAUCACAAUGUCGAUAAGAAAAACAAUCUGGCUAGCAAUGUCCAGGAAAACCAGGUCCUUUGGCAAUCCUCUAAAGAAUCAAAAUUCCAUGGGUGUGAAAAAUAAAGAGUACACUGCCCAUAACAAUAUGAACUUCGUCCAUGUUCUAUACCACCUCCAUCAUAUUUCUUAGCAAUUUUGAGAGCUCGAGAUGAAGCAAUUUCGGGUGCCUGGGCAGUAGGUACAAUAACCGGAAAAAUGGCAUCAUUGUGCUGAGCAUAGUCACUCACCAAUGUCUCAUCCAUUGAUCCAAUCCAAGCAAAUCAACCAGUUUCAGAGGAGGUGUUGUACUAGUCUGUAGCUUCAAAUAUAUUUCAUCUCGGCUCUUGCCUGAGACACUACCCAACCUGUCAUAGAGAGAAUGUCGAAGAGCACUUGCAGAAACUUGUUGAGAUUUGUCGUCAAUUUGUAAGAUGAUCGACUUGCUGCUUAGGGAACCAUCUUUUUGUAAAUCAAUACAUAUUGGAGCCUAAGUAGCACCAUUUUCUUCAAUAGGCAAAAUAGGAUGUCCAAUCAAAUUGUUCAAAACUGCAGAUUUACCAGCACUGACAUUUCCAAGAGCAACAACGUUAAGAAAAGUCAAACCCUUGCGAGAAGAACUGGAACUCGAAUUCUCGUCCACAUCUUCAUCUGCCGGCAGCUUCGUGACCUGACACAUAGACCCUGAUAGCUGAACGAGCUUUCCUAGGAAUCGGAACACCGAUCAUUUCCCCAGUAAUUUUCCAAGCUGGAGUUUGCCUAUCGACUUUUGCCUCUGGGGGGAAACUCCUCCAGUUGUUAUGACUUGACGUCAACGAUGAUGAUGUAGUGAGCGAAGGAAUCACCCCAAGCCGCUAUAUCAUCUUCUUCUCUUCCUUUCCUCUAUGAAACGCUCUCUCUGAGAAUCCCUUCUCUCAAAACCUCUGUCUUUCUUAUUUUUUCCAACGACCCUCUCUUUGUUUUUUCUUCUUCUCCCUUCUUCUUCUCUCUCUCUCUACUCUGACCUCCACUUCUCACGAGUUUAAGCUUUAGUUUCACCACCACCCAACAGUAGCAACAAGAUCAGACAACCUCACUAGAAUCUUCAUUCAUUAGUACCUCAAGGGCCUCAAGCUCUUCUACCCAAAAGUUGGUUUUUCUUCAUCGAAACCUCACCACUCUUCACAUCCCCUCCAAUCCCACUUUGAAUAUGCGUUCCCGUCUCCAUCUCUUCUUCAUGCCGAGAAAACCCCUCGGGAACCUUUCUUUUUCAAUCGAUCUUUUUCUUCUUCCUUUAAGACUCCCCCACAUGGCUCCAUUUUCCCACAACCCCUUUUUCCUUUGGAAAACCCCCCAGCCUUUAUUCUCUUCAAAGCUCCCUUUUUCCAUGCAGUCCUGGUUCCCAUGAUGCCACUCAAAUUCCCACAAAAACCCUUUAAUUCUAAAAAAAAUAAAAUCUAGACUCUCUCCUGGUGUAAUCACAACAUCCCUACAAAGAACAGGGGAAUCUAAUGGUCCAGAAAAAAAUCCCACUUCCUCUGCCUAAAGCCUGCCCAUACCUCUACCUUUUAUCAUUUUUAAGAAAGGCGUCUGAGCCCACUAAAGUUCCUUGAGCCCACUUGUUGAAAAAAUCUCAUAUAAAAAAAUCUAAGAAAUACGAGGUAGAAACUUGUAACAUAAUAAAAUAAAAUAAAAUAAAUGGAAAUCAUGAAAAUUUUUAAAAAAGAAAAUAUUUCAUUGUAAAUUAAAAAUAAAGUCACCAAUCUCAUAUAAUUUUCUAAAAAUAAAAAAGUAGAUGAAUAAAUAAAUAAAACAAGAAAAUAAAUGAAUAUUAAAUGCAUAUAAUCAAGAAUAUAAAUAUUAAACUAAAACACAAUAAAGAAAAUGAAAAAAAAAAACAAAACAUCAAACUGACACAAUUAAAUAUAAAAAAUUCAUCUCAAGUAAUCAAAAAAUCAAAAUCAAGCCAAAUACUCACCUAAUCCCAAAAAAUCAAGCAAUCAAGAAAUCAAUCUAAGGGAAUUAAGCCUAAACAAAACAUCUAAGUGACCUAGGUGAAAAAGUGCCUAAGUGGAAAGUGUCAAGGUGAACUAGGAGUGUACCUAAUGGGCCGAGUGCAUCUAAAUGAGCCUAAGGUGCCAAAGUGGGCCUAAGGUGGUGCUUAAUGGGUCACCAAGGAAUUAUUGUAAAGUAUCAAACAAACAAGUAAUAGGACAUGUGCUAGUAGGACAAAAAGAAGGGUUUACAAACCCCACACUAGGGCAUAGCCAUCUCAAAGAGUUUGUUGGAUAUGCAAACUUGGGCAUACCCUUUUCAACUAGUUAUGGAUUCUUGAGAUGACAGUUUACACCGAGACAUGCUCAUUCUUUAGAGGAGAUUAGACACCCCCUUCAUAUUAGUGUGUGGGAUGACUAGGUAAUUUCAUUUGAUAUCACUAUGUCGGGACAUACCUCCUCAUUGAUGUUGAUUGGUUCUUGAUGAUUAUACAGGGGCAUACCUCUCUCAAUCAAUGAUGGUUUUUGAGGCAUAGUUGUUCAUUGGAGGUGAUUAGAUUCUUUUUACAUUGGAGUGUGAGGCAUGGAUAAGAUAUUUCAUUUGAUGUUCAUACAUAGGGGCAUACCUAUCUCAAAUGAUGAUAGAUUUUUUUUUUUUUUUUUUGGGAGCAUGGCCCUCUCAUUGGUAUUGAUGAAGUUUUUAAAUGAUUGGAUUAGGACACAAAUAUUCUUGAGAGCUUAUUGUGGAUUUUAGUCAUUUCAUAGAUUGCUUUACAUUGGGUCAUAACCAUUUCAUUGGCUAAUGACCUUGGAGAUACCGACUUACAUUGGGACAUGACCAUGUCAUAGUGCAUUUAUUUGAUGCAUACCACUUUGCUUGAUAUUUUCACAUUGGGACAUGCUUUUCUUUAGAGGAAGUUAAAUAUUCUCUUCACAUUACCAUGAUGACUUUGAGGAGUGGAGAUUCAUUUUGAUCAUAUGAUGUAUGAUUGGUUGUAUUCCUCUUAUCCAUGUUUGAUUUUGAGAUGCUUACACUGGGGCAUAACCCACUCAUUGGUGAUAGAUUUUGUGAGAUGACAGUUUAUGCUAGACACAUACUUUUUAGAGAUUAUUUUGCAUUAAGGGCUUACCCAUUCCGAGAGGAUGCAUUCAUAUUAGGGUAUAACCAUUGACAUUGAGACUGAACCUUCUAUUCAUGAUUGUUAUUUUCAAUGGAUCAUAGAGUUAUUGACACCCUAGGUUUAGUCUUCUCAACAUACUUGGCUCAACUUGGAUACCCACUUUCCUUUGUUGAACAUCUAGACAUCCUACAUUUGACACCAUUAUACUUGCAUCCGUCUUGUCAGAGCCUGAUCGAUAUUAAACCUACCUAUUUUUUCAUCCUACAUGACCUUAUCCCAUUCUUUUGAUUAGAGAAGGAUAAAGAUUAGUCUUGAGCUUUCUGGUGAAGUUUUCACAUGCCUUUGGACAUUAGGUUCAACAUCAUCCAUGAUGGAAGGGCCUAGUAGAUUGUUGAUGUAUUUGUGAUGAUAUUUUGACAUUAAUAGUUGACAUAUUGUGUCUUGACUUACUUACAUUUUAGACUUAGAGUCUUAGUCAACAUUUGUUUGGUGCAUUAAUUUAGUUUUGCUUGUCAACAUAGUUUUGAUUAUGCAUGAUAUUGUUUAAGUAUUUGGUUGUUAAGGUUAUAUAUAUGUCUUUAUUGCAUUGUCAUUGAGCAUAUCCUAGAGUGCCUUGUAUGGUGACAUUCUAUGUCUUAUGUUGGUCAUUAUCUUACACUAAGGCAUAUCCCUCUUCAAGUUCAUCAAAUCUUCUGUUGACUUCAUAGCUGCUCGACCCAUUUGCUAAUACUUGUGAGUCAUUACACUGAGGCAUACCCUUCUCUAGGUUCUUGAUCCUUAUAAGUUAUCCUUUGGGACAUCCCCCCUUCUAGAGCUCUUUUACUAGGGCUUAUCCCCUUUUCAUUGAGUUCAUUAUCUUAGUUGCUCAUUCUCUUGAGUCCUUUAGGCAUUUAGAGCUACCUCUUUUAGUGUAGGCAUUCAAAGUUGUAGUUUAGACAUUCAAAGCCACAAUUUUAGGUGUUCAAAGCCACCUUUUUCAAUUUAGACAUUCAAAUCCACAAGUUUAGGAAUUCAGAGAAACCCUAUUUUAGUUUUAGGCAUUCAAAGCCAAUUUUUUUCAGUUUAGGCAUUCAGAGCCACAACUUUAGGCAUUCAGAGACACCUCUUUUAGUUUAGGUGUUCAGAGCCACCUUACUCAUUUUAGGCGUUCAAAGCUACCUUGCUCAAUUUAAACAUUCAUAGCCACAUUCCUUAAUUAGGCUUUCAUAGUCACCUUUAUUAGUUUAGGUGUUCAGAGUCCUAGUUUUAGGCAUGUAGAGCUUUCUUUUAUAGCCAUUAGCGUUUAGAGCCACUUAUUUCAGUUCAGGUAUUUAGAGCCACCCUUUUUUAGUUUUAGGCGUUCAGAGCCAUCUUUUUCAGUUCAAGAGUUUAGAGCCACCAUUUUUCAGUUUUAGGCAUUCAGAGCCAUCUUUUUCAGUUAAGCCAUUUAGAGCUGUAGUUUUAUGCCUUCAAUACCACUUUCUUUUAGUUUAGGCAUUCAAAACCACUUAUUUUUAUUUUUAUUUAUUUUUAAUUUUUAGUUUUAGGAGUUCACAGUUAUCUUUUUUUAGUUUAGCCAUUUAAAGUCGUAGUUUUAAGCAUUCAGAGCCACUAUUUUAGGUGUUCAAAGCCACUAUCUUUCAUUUUUAGGCAUUUGAAGUCGUAGGUUUAGGUGUUUAGAGCCACCUCUUUCAAUUCAAGCAUUCAAAGCCAUCCAAUUUCAGUUUUAGGCAUUCAGAGCCAUCUUUUUCAAUUUAGGCGUUUAGAGCCACAAUUUUAGGCAUUCAGAUCCACCUUUCUUAGUUUAGGCAUUUAGAGCCACCUUGUUUAGUUUAGGUGUUUAGAGCCACCUUCAUCAGUUAGGCAUUCAGAGCUAGCUUAUGUAGUUCAGGCGUUCAAAGCCACCUUCUUUAGUUUAGAUGUUCAGAGCCAUCUUGUUCAGUUUAGGCAUUCAAAGCCAUCUUUUUCAAUUAGGCAUUCAAAGCCACCUUUCUUAGUUUAGGCAUUUAGAGCCACCUUACUUAGUUUAGGCAUUCAGAGCCACCUUGCUCAGUUUAGGUGUUUAGAGCCACCUCUUGCUCAGUUUAGGUGUUCAGAGCCACCUUCCUUUAGCUUAGGCUUUCAGAGUCACCUUCCUUUAGCUUAGGCUUUCAAAGCCACUUUCCUUAGCUUAGGUGUUUAGAGUCAUUGAUGACAAACAAUGUUAAUACUAUAUCAAGUGAUAAAAACCUAAUUAAAGUCUCCAAAAGAGCUUAUACUAUGUCACUAGUAGUAUUUAAUUCUAUGUGAAUGUCACUUUAUACUAUGCUAGAUCUAGGAGAAUCUUGUAAGACCAACUUAGUCCCCCGGAAUAAAAGAUAAUGUAUUAAUUUUUGUAAAGUCGUAUGGACGUACAUUAUAAAACUAGAAGUUUUUAUCUAGUGACUAGUCUACCUAUACACUUGAAAGGUAUAAUGGCAUGUUGUGCAAAUUAUCAUUUUAAUGAGAUAAUUUUCCCACCGUUAGGGGGAGAAGAGCCAAUUCCAGAAGAAUGAUGUGAAAUUAUUUGGAAUGCAUUGACUUUGACUCAUCUUGAUCCUUGUACUAAUCAAUGUGGACUGAAAGUUCAAAAGAUUAUUCUUUUGCAAGGACUUGUAAAUCAACUACCAAAUGCUUUCAUUGAUUCAAAGAAAGUGAUGAAUCGUUGAUGCGACUCAUGGUAGCUUAGCUUUAAAGGCGUAUCAACAAAAUUUAUACCUUAAAUACUAUUACUAAAGUAGCCAAGCUACUAUAGCAUAGUGGUUCUAGGAUCGUUCACUGGGAAGGGUUUUCGCAAACACUAGUGAUAUUCAAAUUAGGAAAAUAGGUGAUUUUCUUAUGGAUGCUAGCUUUAAAAGAAGAUGUAAAUGUUUUAGAAAGAUUUAAAUUAGCUAACAUUAAAGACUAAAAUGAAAGGGUGUAAAAACAAGUUUCUCAAAGAUAGGAUAGCUAUGCUCUGGCUCUUAUGCAAAUUGGAAAUCUCAGGAUAGGCUCCUCGCGUUGGGGUUGCAACUAUGGUGAUGCUUGCUUCCCGAACCGGUAUGGAUUUAACAAAUCAAGUUUUAAUCCUUUAAAAUGGCAAAACAGAUGGUAGAGAAUUUCAUCAAUGGUUAUUCACCUUAGACUUCCUUUCAAUGGCUCGUAAGAGAUAACUAAUGGUCUAAAGCCAAAAGCUUACCGAAACUCAAAGUCAUUCCAGGUGAUAAACUCACCUUUCAAUGGCCAUUGAAAUUGGUUCUAACGGAUUAAUGCAAAACUUGGAAUUGAAAACCUCACCUUCUAAUAGCUCGUAGGAGAUAACUAAUGGAUAGAAAUCCAAAAGCUUAUCAAGUAUUGGCCGUUGGAAGUUGUCCAAAGGAAAUAAAAACCAAACUUUGCAUUAAUGAACCGUUAAUGAAAAACGACUACCUUACCUUCCAGUUGCGAGAAAUUUCCAUGGGAUUGCAUCCAAGCCAUCACAUAACAUCCAUACUUUGAGAAACUAAAAGUUUUAGCCAAUCAUCCUCUGAGGAAAAGCCCUCAGAGGCUGUUUGGCUACUAAGAAAAUAGAAAUGGGAAAGAACAGGAGAAGAGAGAAAAACAGAGCUUUAUAUAUAUUCCUAAGUUAAUGUAUAGAGGAUCGAUCCCCCAAUCAUCCCAUAUCUUUUGGAGGUGUUGUGCACCUCUAUAUAUAGCAAAAUUACAAGAUAAAGCUUUAUGUCGGUUGAAUACAAGGUUACAAAAGGAAUUUACACGAGAAAAUAUCAAGCUAAAAAUAUUUGGGAAGUCGGUGGUGCGUGCGUGGAGAAACAGAGGAUUCAAAGGAAUUUCACAAUGUGCCUAAAUCCACCUUGCGAAAUUUUCGCAAGGGGGUUCUUCAUGGUGCGAAGUGGCCAAAUUUCGCACCAUGAAGAAAAUCUCCUUGCGAAAUUUUCGCAAGGAGAAAUUCACCUUGCGAAAUUGGUCAUUUGACAUGAUGCAGGUGUCUUCCGAAGGCCAUAUCUUCCUCAUUUCAGCUCCAAAUCAUACACGGUUUGAAGCGUUGGAUUCUUGACUUCCUAAGCUUUCAAAUGGUAUAUAGUAUGAAAUGGACUUCAGGAAGUGCUUCAAAAGUGCGAAAGAAGACUGCAGUUGUUUUCUUCACUCUGUUUUCCUCUUCUCCAUUGCUUGUGCUCGUGUUUCCACUUGAAAUUCAAGCCUGUAAUCAUCCAAAAUCCUUGCUUAACUCGCCCAAAUAGCUCCUCCAUCAAUUAGCAUGCUUGAAUUGGUUCAUAAGUUGAUAAAAACAUGUAAACUUGCCACAAAAUGGUUAAAACCAAUUACUAAGGACCUUAAUGAAUUAAUUGGGUUAAAUGAAUAUGAUUACUACUCAAAGGUGCUUAAAACCAUUAUUAUUAGGUCUAAAAAAUAGCACUUUUUGGUAGUAAUCACAAUGGCGUCGUUGCCGGGGAAGGUGCCAGAGAUGAGGAAGUAAGUAUUAGUUUAAAUUUUUAUCAUACUUAGUUAAAUUAGCUACUUUUUGUUUAAAUUUUAAAAUUUUUGCUUUAAACUCCAUGGAUAUUAAGGAUUAACUCUCAAAAUUAAAUGAGAGAAGUCGAGUUUCAACUUGAUUACAUGAGUCUUAGAGUUUGUAUUAUGCUCUUCUAAAAGUUGAUGAAUAGUUGAAACUCCCAUUGCAUGCAAACUUAUCUCUUCCACCUUAAGCUAUUCGCACACACAUACAUUAGAUUCCGGUUAUAAGAUGUGAAACUAUCUCACCCUCUAAGCUUGAGAAAUCAUAAUUUGACACCUUUAACCUCUCUUUAAUAGUGUUGGGACACCUCAUAAAGACCAAUGAGUCUUUGAAAAAAUAGAAAAAAGAAAACGAAAAAGAAAAAGAAAAAGAAAAUAUAAAAUAAACUUCUUUACUUGCCUUGAAACCUGAGCAUGGUCCGAAGGGGUGGCGAAAGCCUUUAAAGCCUGGUGCCCUAAGCCUUUAUUGGUUGGGAGUCACCGAUCCUCUGCUUGUUACAUGGGUGAAUUGGUUAAGUUUAGUAAGUGAAAAGAAUUGUGAAUAAGAGGUGCGUUCCUAGCCUAUCAAGAGAUGGUUAAUUUUGCUAAAGCUUAAAGAAAGACUUAGGUUGGGGGGAGAUGAUAGUUAUCCAUACUAUACUCGAAAGCUAAUCACAUUAACACUUAGCUUUUAGUGGAAGAAUUUGAUUUGGAUCUUUUGAGAGUGGAAAUUCUUUUUAUGCUUAAAACUUGCAUAAUAUCCAUUCUUUGUACUCUAUGAUCAAGUGAAUGCUUUGACAACUCUUAUUAUAGGUUGAGUUUCACAUCUUUAUUGAUCCAUGGAUGUCCAUCAUGCCACUCAUAUCAUUUUUUGGAGUGAUUUGCAUGAUCCCUUUUAUGUAUAUUAUUAUAGUUUACUUAGUUUUUAUCUCCUCCAUUGCUAAGGGACUAGCAAUGAGUCGGUUGGGGGGUGUGAUUACUACUCAAAGGUGCUUAAAACCAUUAUUAUUAGGUCUACAAAAAGGGUGUAAAAACAAGUUUCUCAAAGAUAGGAUAGCUAUGCUCUGGCUCUUAUGCAAAUUGGAAAUCUCAGGAUAGGCUCCUCGCGUUGGGGUUGCAACUAUGGUGAUGCUUGCUUCCCGAACCGGUAUGGAUUUAGCAAAUCAAGUUUUAAUCCUUUAAAAUGGCAAAACAGAUGGUAGUGAAUUUCAUCAAUGGUUAUUCACCUUAGACUUCCUUUGAAUGGCUCGUAAGAGAUAACUAAUGGUCUAAAGCCAAAAGCUUACCAAAUAUUGGCAACUCAAAGUCAUUCUAGGUGAUAAACUCACCUUUCAAUGGCCAUUGAAAUUGGUUCUAACGGAUUAAUGCAAAACUUGGAAUUGAAAACCUCACCUUCCAAUAGCUCGUAGGAGAUAACUAAUGGAUAGAAAUCCAAAAGCUUAUCAAGUAUUGGCCGUUGGAAGUUGUCCAAAGGAAAUAAAAACCAAACUUUGCAUUAAUGAACCAUUAAUGAAAAACGACUACCUUACCUUCCAGCUGCGAGAAAUUUCCAUGGGAUUGCAUCCAAGCCAUCACAUAACAUCCAUACUUUGAGAAACUAAAAGUUUUAGCCAAUCAUCCUCUGAGGAAAAGCCCUCAGAGGCUGUUUGGCUACUAAGAAAAUAGAAAUGGGGAAGAACAGGAGAAGAGAGAAAAACAAAGCUUUAUAUAUAUUCCUAAGUUAAUGUAUAGAGGAUCGAUCCCCCAAUCAUCCCAUAUCUUUUGGAGGUGUUGUGCACCUCUAUAUAUAGCAAAAUUACAAGAUAAAGCUUUAUGUCGGCUGAAUACAAGGUUACAAAAGGAAUUUACACGAGAAAAUAUCAAGCUAAAAAUAUUUGGGAAGUCUGGUGCGUGCGUGGAGAAACAGAGGAUUCAAAGGAAUUUUGCAAUGUGCCUAAAUCCACCUUGCAAAAUUUUCGCAAGGGGGUUCUUCAUGGUGCGAAGUGGCCAAAUUUCGCACCAUGAAGAAAAUCUCCUUGCGAAAUUGGUCAUUUGACAUGAUGCAGUUGUCUUCCAAAGGUCAUAUCUUCCUCAUUUCAGCUCCAAAUCAUACACGGUUUGAAGCGUUGGAUUCUUGACUUCCUAAGCUUUCAAAUGGUAUAUAGUAUGCAAAAAAUGGACUUCAGAAAGUGCUUCAAAAUUGCGAAAGAAGACUGCAGCUGUUUUCUUCACUCUGUUUUCCUCUUCUCCAUUGCUUGUGCUCGUGUUUCCACUUGAAAUUCAAGCCUGUAAUCAUCCAAAAUCCUUGCUUAACUCGCCCAAAUAGCUCUUCCAUCAAUUGGCAUGCUUGAAUUGGUUCAUAAGUUGAUAAAAACAUGUAAACUUGCCACAAAAUGGUUAAAACCAAUUACUAAGGACCUUAAUGAAUUAAUUGGGUUAAAUGAAUAUGAUUACUACUCAAAGGUGCUUAAAACCAUUAUUAUUAGGUCUACAAAAUAGCACUUUUUGGUAGUAAUCAAUCGUUUUCAUUAAUCAAGAAUAUUCUAGUAUGAAUUGAUCUUCUUGAAGGACAAUUAAAUAAUGAGUCUAAGGCAUGCUUGAAGUGUGGUAGACCCUAAAGAGGCAAACACAUUCCCUAGAAGAGGAAAACACAAUGAAAGAUAUAUGAAAUGUGACACUCUUGAAGAAGUUGCAUAUAAAAUGAGUUAUUGAAAUGACUGAUCAAUCUCAAGUAGCGCCAGAAGAGGCAUAUUUUAUACAGUUAGCUCUUAAAGAGGUACAAGUACCUGAUAAUGAUGAGAUCUCAAUUAUUUACUUACAUAUGGAAAAAAAUGGGAUUGAAAUACUCUUGUUAUUGACAUAAUAAGAAAUGAUAAUGACCAUGAAUCAUAGAGUGUGGAAGAAUGCCAACAUAGAAAACAUUAGCCAAAAUGGAAAGAAUAUAUCUCAAAAAAAUUAGACUCAUUAGAAAAAUGAGAAGUAUUUGGGCAUGUAGUCCAGAUGCCUAAAUUUGUUAAGAUUGUUGGAUAUAAAUGAGUAUUUAUAAGAAAAUGCAAUGAGAGAAAUGAAAUCACGAGAUAUAAAGCGUAUGUGACUCAUAACUCAAGGUUUCUUAUAGAGACCGGUAUUGAUUGCAAGGAAACAUAUUCUCCUAUGAUGUUCACAACCACUUUUAGAUAUCUAAUUUGUUUAACAACCUCAGAAGGACUAGAUAUGCAUCUCAUGGAUGUCCUUAGUGCAUGUUUAUACGGAUUUUUAGAUAAUGACAUAUAUAUGACGUUAAUGCAUGUCCCUGAAGGAUUUCAAAUGCUUGAAGCAACUAAUUCAAAACAUUGUAACAUAUACUCAAUUAAGCUACAAAGAUCCUUGUAUCAAUUAAGCAAUCCAAAGGCAUAUGUCCUUAGAGAAUAUUUGAAAUGAUAAGUAUAUGUGCAUUACCUUAUUUGCUUAUGCUUAUUCAUUAUGCGGAAUAUUUGCAAUUGUUAUAGUAUAUGUGAAAUAUUUGAAUUUUGUUGAAACUCUUGAAGAGCUUACAAGAAUAGUUGACUAUUUGAAAAGUAAAUUUGAAAUGAAAAAUCAUGGAAAAUAAAAUUUUUUCCUUGACCUGCAGAUCAAGAACUUUUCAAACGAAAUAUUAGUUUAUUAGUCAACAUAUACAAUGAAAGUCUUGAAUCACUUUCAUAUAGGUAAAUUACAUCCAUUAAGUUUUCUAAUGAUAAUUUGUUCACUUAAAGUGAAAAAAAAAUCAUUUCCCUCUUAAAGAAGAUAAUAAAAAACUACUUGGUCCGGAGUACCAUAUUAUAGUGUUAUUGGUGCACUGAUGUAUCUUGCAAAUUAUACACGACUAGAUAUUGCAUUCCUUGUUAACUUGCUUGCAAGAUAUCGCUCUACACUAACUUAGAGACAUUGGAAUAGAGUUAAACAUGUAUUAUAAUGGCAUAAAUCUAUUUUAUUUGGAAGGAUCAAAAUCUCAAUUGUUUAAAUAUGUAGAUGCUAACUAUCUUUGAAACUCCCACAAAGCUCGAUCUCAAAUGAGGUAUAUAUUUACUUAUGAUGGUAUGACAAUAUCAUGAAGAUCAAUCAAACAAAUAAUGGAAACAUGUGGACUGCCCUCCAUUAGAGGUAAUGCUACCAAUUUAUAAGAAGAUAAUGUUGCAUGCAUUGCACAAAUUAAAGAAGGACGCAUUAAGUGUGAUAAAAUUAAGCAUAUAUCACCCAAGUUCUUUUACAUUUAUCAACUCUAGAAAAGUGAUGAAAUUGUUGUUCAAUGAGUAAGAUCAAGUGACAAUUUAGCAUAUCUAUUCACAAAGGUAUUGUCAAUUGCAAUACUCAAGAAGCUCAUUAGAAUAUGUUGACUAAAAAAUCUCCAUGAUAAACUACUAAAAAAAUUAUAAUCAUAUGAACAUGAAAGAGAGCUAACUAAUAAAAUUAUCACUACACAGUACUCUUUUUCCAUUUGUCCAAGUUUUGUUCCAUUGAGUUUUAUUGGCAAGAUUUUUAAUGAGACAAUUGUAGUAGUCCAAAAGAAUAUUUUACUCUUUUUUCUUCAAUAGGGUUUUUCCUACUAAGGUUUUAAUGAACCCUUUUUUUAUAAUCAUUCAAGGGGGAGUGCUAUAAAAUAUGAGAUUUUAUAGCAUUAUGGUACCUUGUGGAUGAUCAUUCGUAAUAAUAUAUAUUUCUUUGUGACUCUAUAUAAAAGGGGAGACCUCUAAUGAAAAUUCAUUCAUUUUUUUUCUACUAUACUUUUCUUUGAGGAUUUCUGUUUAUUAUCUCUCUUCUUUUUUUCUCAUUGUUUUAUUUUACAAUAUAUAUAUAUAAUUAAAAAAUUUUAUGGUAAAAAAUAAUUCACAAAAAUUUCAUGUAUUUAAAACAAGAAUAUCAAAUUUUCACAAGCCCCAAUUACCUUCUAAAAGUGAAUAAUCUUUACUUAAUUCCUUGGCUUGGUUUUCCAAUGCAGUAGUAAUUAUUAAUAAAAAAAUGAUAUUUUAAAAUUUAUAUUUAAAAAGCAAAAAAGACACUGAUACAAAGCAAUAUGAUACAAAUUAAUAUUAAAUAUGAAAAAUUAAUAAUUAAAAUUAAUUUUGAAAGAUUAAAUUAUUGAUAUUCUAUAAAUGAUUAUUAUUAAAGAAUGAGGAUUGAGUGGAUCAUUAAAUAGAGGAUGAUUUAUAAUUGAUUCAAUCAAUGAAUUGAGGCAUUGAGACGCUAUGAAGAUGCCAUGGAAGAUUACAAAUGGGAAGGAUGCUGGACCAUGGGUGUGUGGUUAGAAAUUUUUAAUUAAGAAGUUCAAAAUUUUUUAACUUGCCUUUGUUUUUUUGAGAAGGAACACUAAAUUGGGGCUAUUAACUUAACUACAUAAUAAUACGUCCGUUGUAUCAUUGUAUGAUUGGAGAAGGAGUUUCACACCAUUCUAACCACCACUUACUUUCUAAAAAGUCGUUAUUUCCUUACUGUUAGCAAUUUUUAUUUUAAAAAGGUGGCCCAAAAUGAGUCGUAGUAUUUUCUAAACCCUGCCAGCUUAAAGGAGUAUGAACACCCUACGCUUAUGCCAAAGGCCAAAGUCCUCUGUUAUUUUGACCACCAGUUCUCCUCCAAUUCACAUAUGGCCUGCCUGUUCUCCAGUUCAGGGGGUUUAUCACCAGUCUCUGUCAAGUGGGUUCAUGUAUAAACAUGGUAGCUUUGAGAGAGAAAACUCAUGAAAGGAUAGCCGAAAAGUAUGCUGAGGUUGUAUAACCAAAAAGUAAUGUUACAUAUGUUUCUAAAGAAGCCACAACUUAGCAAAUACAGCGCCUUCUUUUUUCCAAAUGAUAAUAGUAUAUUUUCAGUCCAAAGAAAAUGUGCACUUUGUGCCCUUUGUUUUCUUAAUCCAGCUUUAACUUUCUUAAAUAAUCAUAAUGAAUUAAGCUAAUUUAAGAUACUCCGGUGUUAAGGGCCUGAAGACGUGAGCAGCCUCCGUCUCAAUCAACUCUAUUUGGCCUUUCAAGAGAUGUACGUACACCACCCAGUCACCAUCUCUCACCGGGCUUGGCAUCGGCAUCACAUACCCAGCUUCCCCACCCCAUGGAAAAUGGUAUGACCCCAGAGCCGGCCUUCCCCACCCGAAAUUCACCUUUGAUACUGGGAAUCUCUGUCCUGAUGACACCACGAAUGCCGGUCCAUCAUUGCUUCCACUGCAAUAUAUCUUUGCUACAGCUGGCUCUGGACGGUGAGCCUCCACCCAGUCUAUGAGCCCCAAGAAAUGCUCCCUCGUCACUGCCCCUUCCAGAUACUCAUGAACGGCAUCUCCCACCCAACUCAAUGGUUUCUCUUUCAGCUCAUCUAUUAUCUUCUCGCCAAAGGGAACGGACAGCACAUUACCAAAGUAAUUGGCCAUCGCAGCAGCUUUAUCCUCAUCCCCACUGCUUAAUCGCCUUCUUCCAUCUACCACGAUCCCCAUCUUGCAUAUCUUUUUGUUAUCAUCGUCCAAGUCUGCACUUUUGGCAACCAUCUUCCACAAGAAAGCACUGAGAGACUCUAGUUUAGUCCUCUUGCAGGAGCUACUCUUGCUGGUGGCUAGCAUUUGGAGUAGACUGAGCUGUUCGGCCGUGACAUAGUAAAGCCUGCUCAUAAGAGGAUCAGCACUGGGCUGUGGAGCUUUGGAAGGAGGUAAGGCUGAGAUGGGGACGUACAUGUUGUCAAAGGAUGGAUCGUAGGAGCCUGGACGUCGAGUGUUGAGGAGAGAGCGCCGGAAGGCUGGUGUUACAGAUAGUGGCUUGGACUGAGCCAUCUCAGCCCACGAAACUAGGAACAUAUUGGCAGAAUAUGCAUCUGCUAUCCGAUGAUCAAAUGUACAGGCCACCACAACCCCACUACAUUUGAGCUCCGUCACCUGUCAUUGUCUCAAUGUUAGUUAAUUUGUCACAAUUAGCCUAUUAGAAUUACAAUUAAUUAGGAUUAACACAUGCAGAGAGAGAGAGAGUGAGAGAUAACUACCUGUACUGAGAGGACGCCAUUCUCCUUCUUAGGGACAAGCUUGCCUUCAAUGCUGACAUCAGGGUUAUACAAGUUGAGGUUUUCCAGUCGUACAUCCGCAUGAGCCUCCAUGAAAUCUACCCCACGGUUGUUGCAUAGAAGCUCAGGCUCACCCGCUGAGUUACUCACAACUUCCCCAGAAAAUGCGUAAUAGGACACCAGUGCUUGGGACAUGGCUAUUUUCAGAGCCCCAACCAUGGACCCAAAACUGAAGCCAUGACGUCCAUUAACACUCUGAUCAUGUGGAUUCUUAUAACAGAAAAACACACUCACAUCUACUGGAGGCAAAAGCAAGUCGAGGUUGGACAGUGGCAGCCAAUGCUCCUGCAUCGGUAGCAUUGCUUCCACUACUUCUUUCUUGGUCAGAGUCACAGUGAAGUCUCCUCCACCACCCGUGAUUUCUAGAUAUGAAUUGUAUUUGUGUAUAUGUGUGAGUAGGAAACAGAGAUGGAGGGAGAAAAGGAAGAAUAGUGAAUGACUGUUUGUAGAGGAGAUGAGUAGUGGAUUUAUAGGCAAUGUUUCGUUAAUCUGUGAAACAGAGAUGGAGGGAGAAAAGGAAGAAUAGGGCAUUCUUUCUAGGAAACAACAAGAAAAGAAGUAAACGAGUGGUCCACUAGAGUCAACAUUAUCACAACGUGAAACAUGUGGCUUCCCACUCUUGGAAAGAAUAAGCAGGCAAUGCUCCUGCAUCGGUAGCAUUGCUUCCACUACUUCUUUCUUGGUCAGAGUCACAGUGAAGUCUCCUCCACCACCCAUGAUUUCUAGAUAUGAAUUGUAUUUGUGUAUAUGUGAGUAGGAAACAGAGAUGGAGGGAGAAAAGGAAGAAUAGGGAAUGGCUGUUUGUAGAGGAGAUGAGUAGUGGAUUUAUAGGCAAUGUUUCGUUAAUCUAUGUAACAGAGAUGGAGGGAGAAAAGGAAGAAUAGGGCAUUCUUUCUAGGAAACAACAAGAAAAGAAGUAAACGAGUGGUCCACUAGAGUCAACAUUAUCACAACGUGAAACAUGUGGCUUCCCACAAUAGUUAAGAAUCCUCAGGCCAUAACUUCAAACAUAGUGUUCUCAGCUAAACCACAAUAGUUUUCUUUGAAAACAAGUCUCACCUAAAUCCGUUAAUUGUAUUAAGACUCUCAAACCACCCUCUUAAUUAUAUGAAAAUCCAUCCAAAACCCUGGGCAAGGAACAAAGAUUUGACACUCAUUGCACUCAAACAUCUCAAAAAAUCUCCAUGGAAUCUAAGUCACCACUCAUGUNNNNNNNNNNNNNNNNNNNNNNNNNNNNNNNNNNNNNNNNNNNNNNNNNNNNNNNNNNNNNNNNNNNNNNNNNNNNNNNNNNNNNNNNNNNNNNNNNNNNUAGGAAACAGAGAUGGAGGGAGAAAAGGAAGAAUAGGGAAUGGCUGUUUGUAGAGGAGAUGAGUAGUGGAUUUAUAGGCAAUGUUUCGUUAAUCUAUGUAACAGAGAUGGAGGGAGAAAAGGAAGAAUAGGGCAUUCUUUCUAGGAAACAACAAGAAAAGAAGUAAACGAGUGGUCCACUAGAGUCAACAUUAUCACAACGUGAAACAUGUGGCUUCCCACUCUUGGAAAGAAUAAGCAGGCAAUGCUCCUGCAUCGGUAGCAUUGCUUCCACUACUUCUUUCUUGGUCAGAGUCACAGUGACGUCUCCUCCACCACCCAUGAUUUCUAGAUAUGAAUUGUAUUUGUGUAUAUGUCUGAGUAGGGAACAGAGAUGAAGUGAGAAAAUGAAGAAUAGGGAAUGACUGUUUGUAGAGGAGAUGAGUAGUGGAUUUAUAGGCAAUGUUUCGUUAAUCUAUGUAACAGAGAUGGAGGGAGAAAAGGAAGAAUAGGGCAUUCUUUCUAGGAAACAACAAGAAAAGAAGUAAACAAGUGGUCCACUAGAGUCAACAUUAUCACAACGUGAAACAUGUGGCUUCCCACUCUUGGAAAGAAUAAGCAGGCAAUGCUCCUGCAUCGGUAGCAUUGCUUCGACUACUUCUUUCUUGGUCAGAGUCACAGUGAAGUCUACUCCACCACCCAUGAUUUCUAGAUAUGAAUUGUAUUUGUGUAUAUGUGUGAGUAGGAAACAGAGAUGGAGGGAGAAUAGGGAAUGGCUGUUUGUAGAGGAGAUGAGUAGUGGAUUUAUAGGCAAUGUUUCGUUAAUCUAUGUAACAGAGAUGGAGGGAGAAAAGGAAGAAUAGGGCAUUCUUUCUAGGAAACAACAAGAAAAGAAGUAAACGAGUGGUCCACUAGAGUCAACUGAAAAGGUGAAUCUCAAUAAUGGACUAAACCACAAUAGUUUAGUCCUCUGACCAUAACUUCAAACAUAGUGUUCUCAGCUAAACCACAAUAGUUUUCUUUGAAAACAAGUCUCACCUAAAUCCGUUAAUUGUAUUAAGACUCUCAAACCACCCUCUUAAUUAUAUGAAAAUCCAUCCAAAACCCUUUGCAAGGAACAAAGAUUUGACACUCAUUGCACUCAAACAUCUCAAAAAAUCUCCAUGGAAUCUAAGUCACCACUCAUGUUAUAGGCAUUACGUUGGGUUCAAUCUUCUCAAUCCAACUUGACCAGACUAACAAGUUAGGGAGUACUAUACAUAGCUCAAAUAAAUAGAUUUUAGGGCUAUAAAUGGACAAUUACUAUAAGGCUCAAAUGGAUAAUAUGUAGGACUGUGUAACAACAACAAGGUAGGUGGUAUUGUACUAAAUAGGCCAAAAUACUGAAACAACAAUUUAGAAUCAUAAUAGGUAGAUAGGUUAUAGGGCUACAAAGUCAAGGAAGAAUCAUGAUAGAUGGGUAAAACUUUACUUUUUUAUCAUGAGACAAUGAAGUCAUAGUCGUGAGCUAUAUAAGUUGUUCCUUUGAUCCUAGGUCGAUGAGUUCAAUUGUUUCCCUGAUGAUAAGUCUAAUUGGAUGGUAGAUGAUAACAUUAACAACUUGAUGCUUUGAAAUUACUAACCGUUUUCUAUAAAAAAAAAAAAAAAAAAAACCCUAAAACUGUUGUGAAUUUAUAUUGUUACUUCAUUUAGCUUCCAAGGUUGAUUUAUGACAUUAAACAUACUAGAGAUAUAGCAUGUGAUAAUUCACAACUACUAGUUUAGUAAAAAAAAGUUCAAAAAAAAAAAAAAUCUAAAUUAGGUCUUAUUAUAAUGAAUCAUAAUGUGAAAAUAAUAUUUGUAUUGUAAGUGUAGUGAAUCUAUGUCAUACUUAAAUUUUUUUAGGAAAAAAAUAGUCUUAGAAAUGUCUAUUUAUACAUCUAGUCCUUUGUAUUAACACAUUAAUCCUGUGCAUUAACACAUGAAUUCUAUUAUUAUAAGAAAUGCAUGAUAGUCAUCUAUUGCUAUAAAAAGUAUUUGUUGUACAUAAGGCAUGCUAGAGAGUAUAACAAGAUAACCCACGACUAUUAAUUCAUAAAAAAGUUAGAAAUUUUCUAAAUUAAGUUAUAUCUUAAUAUAUCAUAAUGUUAGUAUAUUUAUUUUAAGUAUAGUGCAUUUGUAUUGUACCAAUAUUUUUAGAGAUGUUUAUUAACAUCAUAUUGGCAUUUGGUAUUAACACAAUAUAUCAGUAAGUUAGCGUUGUCCUCUCAAUGCUUUUGAAAUUGUUUAAUGAUUUAUAUUGUAAGUGUAGUAAAUUUGCAUUUGAGAAAAUAAAGGCUAUGCUUAGUUAAGAAAAACACCCAAAAGAAGGGGGGGGGGGGGUGAAUUGGGUUUUUAAAAUCUUUUCAAUCACAAAAAAUUCAAACACAAUAUAAGCAAAGUAAAGAGAGAGUUUAGAGAAUUCAAACUCGGGUUUAUAGUGGUUCGGCACUUCCUUGCCUACGUCCACUCUCCUCAACCUCCUAACCGAGUGAGGGUUCCACUAACUUGAAGCUUCAACCAAGCUUCCAAUCUUCUUACACUUAGAUUCUGGCUCCAAUGUGCUCUUAUACAACCUCUUCAAGAUUCAACCCUCUUGAAGGUUUUAACACUCAGAUUGUUACAAGAUAUAAUCACUCAACCUAGCUUAAGGAUGGCUCAAAUACAAGACAAAGCUAGGAUGACACACAAGAGUGCACUAAAGGAUAUGCAAGUAGUGAUUUAAUGCACUAUGAAGGAAAUGAGAGCUUUUUGAUCAAGAACAGGUAGGUAGGCUAUUGAAUACAAGUGUUCUCUUGUCAAUAAAUGAAGUGGAGCUCUCAAUUUAUAGGGUUCUAAGCUCGGGAGUCAAAAACAGCAAAAGGUAACCUCGUCCGGUCGAGCUAGGGGUCGACUAGUUCACUAGCCGUUGGAGCAUUUAAUGCAUGACAGGUUACCGUUGCCUCAACCAGACCUCGACCGGUAAGAGAAACACCUCAACUAGGAAAAGAAGGCUACUGGGAGAGAGAAAAGGUUUUUGACCUUCCUCGAUGGGACGACCACAACCAGUCGACCGGUUCCUCAAUCGGUUGAGCCGGUUGGGCCUAGCCUCAACCGGUUAAACCUUUUUGGACCCAAAAACCUAUUUUUUGAUUCCUUUCUUUUCUAACACUUAGGCAAGGACUUUAGGUAAAUUAUUAAGCCAAUUUUGAAACAUUUUGCCUAAGGUACAUUAGUUAAAAACUCGGGUUUUAAUGAAAUCGACGUUUUAAAGAAUAAACCGAGUUUUCAAAGAUGCAUGAAACGUGUGAAAAUCCUAAGUGCACUCAUGCAUUCAUCUUACAUUAGUUUCCUAUUAUCACAAGUCUUCUAAGCAUCUCAAUCUUUUAUCCAUUUGGUCCUUUGAUGAAGUUUCAAGUUUAUACCUGAGAUUCUUAAACAUUUAAACCAGUUAGUCACUUAACCAGGGUUUGUUAUCAUCAAAACCCGAUUAGGAGAACCCUUGGGAUAACAACAUUGUACCUAUAUUUUAUGCUAAAAGUAAUAGCUUUAGCGAUGCCUAUUAAGCUUUUGAAAUUGUUUAAUGAUUUUUAUAAAAAAAUCCUUCAAACUUUGUGAAUUGAAAUUAAUAUUUUAUUUGGUUUUUAAGGUUGGUUUAUGACAAAAGGCAUGCUAUGAUAUAUAUGACAAUCACAUAAACCAUUAGUCUUGUCAAACAAUUCCAAAUUUUUGGUAUUAGGUGUUAUUGUAAUAUAUUGUAAUGUUAGUAUAUUUAUGUUGUAAAUUUAUGUAGUACAAUUGUGUCAUUCUUAUAAUUUAAACAAAACUAAUUGUCAAAGAUGCCUUUUGCCAACACAUUAUAUCAAUGUAUUAGCAUUGUCCACUUGAUGUAUCAAAAUAUGAAAAAUAGGGGAAAAAAAAAUCAAUGUCAAGCAAAAUACAUGUCAUACAAAUGAAAAAAAAAUCAAAUAUGAAAAUAAAAAAUUAUACAAAUUUUGAAUUAUUUCAUUAUAAAAAAAUAAUUAUUUGAAAAUACAUUUUCCUUAAAUUGUUGUUUUUUUUUCUUUUUUUUCUUUUUGUUUUCCUUUAUUUUUCAAAAACUAAGAUUGUUGUAAAAAAAAAAAAAAAAAACCUGAUUUCCAAUCUCUAAAAUAAAAACCAAACCCAAGAUCAUUGGAUGUGUUUAUUUAAAAUACACCAACACCACAUUCCUUACAAUAGAAAAACAUUUUUAUUUAAAUUUCAAACAACACAUCCAAAAAAAAAAAAAAAAAGGAAAAAUAUGAACAAAAUAACCCUAUUCUAACUUUGUUGGGUUUAUUCAAGCAUAAGCAAAGGGCUUUAGUCAUGUUCAAUAAAUCCAACAAGAAAUCAAUUUAUCUAAUGCUUCAAUCACCAUGGAUGUGUGAGGAAGACUCCUCACUUACCUCUAAGUUUCAAAUGAGAUGAUAAUAAUUUAUCUAAUGCUUCAAGAAAAGUAUCAUAAGAUCGGAACAAUAUGAAAUUGUUUUAAUGCAAACUUAGAUGAAGGGUUUCAAUAAUGUUUUAUUAGCUUCCAUAUCACCAAUAUAUAUUUUUAUGAAGCUUUUUAACACUUUGGACCAUUAUUUUCUUCAUGGCCUAUAGAGUAAUUUUUGCAAUUUUUUCUUAUCCUCCACAACUUAUCAAAAUGAGUGACCCUUCCCUUAGUAUCACCUCCUAUUGGCCCUAUUUGAUAUUUUUUUUCAAUGAUUAAUAUUCCACUAUGAAUAGGCUGUAGGAACUGAUAGUGACCUACCUCUAUGUAUGAUUAAAGUUUAAAUGUUCAAAGGAGAGCCCCGACACAUGCACAACAUGGAUCUCAAUCCACCACCAUAAAAGUGGGUAAGCCAACAUAAUGUACUAAAGGGGUUGCUGCCACCUUAAUGCCAUAUGCUUGGUUUAUUGGUUCCAAAUCAUCAUAGGUGGCCUUCAAGAGGACAAGUACCCACACAAGGGAAAAAACAACCGUAAGUAUGCUCAACUUCUUGUAUUGACCUGCUUCCAACUAUGUAGAUAUUAUUUGCUUUGAACCUAAGGGGUCCUCACCUCUUUAAAAUGUGUUUACAUGGUUAAAAAGAGUCCAUACUUAUAUAACACUAGGAACUUCCUCCCAUAUUUGAUGUGAGAUAUCAGUCACCCCCUACGUCCUUAUAGUGCCCUAUGAGAUUGUAGAGCCAAAUAGACAAACACUCCUCGCCAAACAAACUCCCAGACUGGGGUUAGGAAUCAACUCUGAUGCUAUUUUAACUAAUCACUCCAAAUUGUGUAGAUAUUAUCUGCUCUGAGCCCAAAGGACCCUCAUGGCUUUAAAACACAUAUACUUAGUUAAGAAGAGUUCAUACUUACAUAGUUCGAAGAACUUUUUUCCUUGUCUGAUGUGGGGCAUCACAAUAACUAACCCCCCAUACAAACAUAACGUUCUUAUUAUGUCCCAUGGGAUUAUAGGGCCAAAUAGACAAACAAAACUCAAGGGGUUAAACAAAGCUCUCACAUCUGGGUCAAGGAUCAACUUUGAUACCAUUUGUAACAAUCUGUUCACAACCGUAUAGAUAUUAUCCACUUUGGACCCAAAGGGUCUCAUGACUUUAAAACGUAUCUAUGUUUUGAUUUGGGAAUAUCAUAUGAUUUGUUUGAUUGUUACGAAAGGCAAUUUUACUUUUCUUAAUUAAUUAAAUGAUUUUGGAAACUCUAGAUAUCAAUGGCCCUAAUUAAUAGAGGCUAAGUUGUUGACCUUCAUUGCCCUUGGUAGGGAGAGUGAUACAGUGCAAUCCUGGCCAAUAAUGGUGUUAUUAGCCUUUGGUAUACCAUUGAUUGGAAAUUGAUAUGUCCACUAGUAAAAGGAACAUUUUAAGGUUAACCACCUAGUGCAAGUCCCAAUAUUUAGUCAUAGUAUUAGUGGACCAAAGUAAAAUGUUUGUUUGUGAAAUUCUUUUGAAUAUGAAUUGAUUAUGUGUAGACCCCUCUUUUAGAUCGGAGAGUAAAGAUAUUCUCUAUGGAGAGGAAUGAUAGACCAACAAUUGGACGGAUAUUCUACAAAAGGUGGUUUUUCUCUUUUUGGGUUGGUUAGGGAGAGAGAAAAGGUAAGCCAUAAAGAGGGUGACAUGUGGAAAGGGGAUUUUCCAGGCCAUUAGGGCUUAGGAAGAGAGAAAUGUUUUUGGGAAGUUUCAUAGAGAGAGAAGGAAGGACUGUAGGUGAGGAGAGUAGCUUGAGGAGAAAGAAAAAGGAUUUUAGGGAGAACUAUGAAUGAGGGUUGGAGAUGAGAGAGAGAGAAAAAAAAAGAGGAGUUGAGUAUGGUAGAUGUGUUUUAUGAGAUUCAGGGGUUUGAGUGAGAGAUGGGAAUAGGGAAGAGAGAAGGUGAGCCUACUAUUUUUGUUGGGUUUUAGAGAGUGAGUUAGAGUGGUGGAUUUGGAGCUGAGCAGUAGAGAGAGAAAAGAGAGCUGAUGGAUUGGAGCAAAAGGUAGAGAGAGAUGGCUUGAACAGGGAACUGCAGAGGAUGGUGAGCUGGGCAAUGUCCUUAGCAAGAAGAGGUCGAAGGAGAGAGUAAAGAAGGGGGGGGGGAUUCAUUAGCUUGCAUGCUCUGGGAGGUAAGUUCUUCAUUGUAAAAUAUCUGCUCCUUUAUGCAUUUCUUUCAUUUGCAAUUGUUAAGGCUUGUUGGAUACUUUGACAUGGCCAUCAAAGGCCUAUAUGCUUGCUAUUAAUUUUAGGUAUGGGUGUCAUGUUAUGCAUUUGAUCAUUUUAUUGAUCUUUAGACUGUUUGGGUCGAGCUAUAGGGUGUUCAUGUUUCAUUUUCAUUUGGAUUUGUUGAGAUUGAUUAAAGCUUUGUUCUAGUUUUACAAUAAGAUGCUUGCAACCAUGUUUUCAUUUAUCUAUUCAUUCAUCCAACUAUUUAUAUUUAAAGUCCAUUUUGGUCUUUCCCACCAGUUAUCUAGCUCAUUGAUGACCCAUGAAAAGGGGCUUCAUUUGGUGUUUUCUUUAUUUGUUUUUUUGCUUUGUUUCCAUGGUUUCCUUCCUACUUUUGUCUUCCCCUAUUAUUGGUAAUUUUUAUGGCAUGCAUGAAUAUGUGCCUCAACGAUUGAUGAUGUCGGAGUGACUUCUGGGUGGAUUUGGGAUUCUGAUUUGUUAUAUGAGACUAGUGAUUAAAAUAUCGGGAUAUUUCGCCGAAAUAUCAGUGUGUUGGUACAUAUGGAUAUGAUAUUUUCAACCGAAAUAUCGUUGGUCAACGUAGAGUGUUGACUAAGUCAAAGCAGCUAAAAAAUGAGAGAAUUUUGCUGUUCCCAGGACUCGAUCCCUCAACCAAAAGGUUGGGGCCAACAUCCAUCAACCAUUAGGGCAAAUUUGCCCUUUGUUAAUUACCAUGCACCACACACACACACACACACACACAUAUAUAUAUUAAAAGUGUUCAUAUACACAAAAUAUUAAAACAAUCCUUUAAACAAUGAAUUAAUUAUAAUUAUUUUAUAAGUAAAUAUUUUUUUUUUCAUUUAAUUAAGUAGCAAAAAGUUUUUUAUAUCAUUAAUAUAUUAAUUAAAUAUUAAAAAUUAUACAUUUAUUAUCAUUUAAUACAAUUAAAUUAAAUAUAUCAUAAUUUUAAUAUUAAAUAUAUUUUAAAAUUAAACAUAUUAUAAUCAAAUAUCAUAAUAUUAUUAUUGAAUAAUAUUUGAUGUAAUUUAAUAAUCAAUGUAGACUUAUAUAUAUAUAUAUAUAUAUUCAACAAAACAACUUUAAAAUGACUAUUAUACUUCUAAUUUCAUUUAUAAGAGCUUUGUUUUAUAUUUUCAUAAGUUUUGAUCAAUUUUAGGCUAAUCGAUAUUUUGUGUCAAAUAUCCGUCGAUAUAUCCAUAAAAUCGAACUACCGAUAUAUUUGUGAUUACCGAUAUUUUUAUUCUUGUCUGAGACUUCACCUUUUGAAACAAGGAGAUUGUUGAAUGCUCUCCCUUAGUUUAAUGGUUCUUGUGAAAUUCGUGAUUCUGUAUCAAAUAAAUGGGUGGAAAUAUAGUCAAUGCUAUAGAUGGAGGGCAUGAAAUGAGUGGUCAUAUUUUUUUUAUUUUUUUUUUGUCGGCCAAAGCUGAGAUUGAUUCAUUUCAUUGUGGGAUUGAGCUCCAUAAAACGGGGUCCAAAAGGAGAUUGUAUAGAUAUCUCUCAGAUGGGAUUCACGAAGGUCAAGGCUCAUGGAAUAUAAAAUACCUGUGUUUAUGUCAUCAAGAAGCACAAUGCAAGCUUCUGAUUGAAGUUCACAAAUUAGAGAAGCUAUGUCACGACCCAAAUUCCAAGCAACCCAGAAUUUGGCCCAUGACCCCAGGUUAAAGGUUUGACCCUAAGGGUUCCUCCUAAUCUAUGUUGGCAGUCAACCAAAAUACUCUGAUUUUUUUUUUCUACACAUAAAUAACACUAGAGCUCCCUCCAACUAACAAUCCAAUUUAUCAAUAUACCAACCACUACUUAAGAGCAACAAGAUAUAAUAAUUAUCAUUAAAGUUUAGAAAUAGGAGUUCACAGUUGAGCCAAUUAAUUAGAAUAAAGUCUCUAUAUAUAUAGUUUCAAAGUUUGCUAAUAUAAAUUCCAAAAUAAACCAACAUAACAAAUACACUACAAUCUACUAUGUUGCUCCAAAAUCUCCUAAGGCAUCUUGAAGCCCUCCCUGCCCCAUCUGUGGAUCCUUAGGUGUCACAUUUGCAUCUAAAAAAAUAUAAGAAGAAAGGGGUGAGCAUUCCAUAUUGCUCAGUAGGGUGCCUUACACCCAAAGGGUUGAUUGGGAUUAUUAAGUUUCAAGUGAACACAAAAGAAACAUUCCAUUAGCAUUAAUCAACAAACAUAUUUUAAUUUUAUGAUUAUAACAAUUUAAUAAUUUUCCACAAUUAAAUAAAAUACAUGUGGAUAUGUGACACACAAUCAUACAAUGCACCGUCAUUCUCGGGGUCCGUACCUAAAUACACUCCCCAUUCGGAGUCUUCCUGAGGUAGAUUUUUGGGUCUUUUACCCUAGGGAUCUUACUCCCUUCUUAAUUUGUCUCACACGGGCCUUUACUUUUCAUUACAAUUUUUUUUUUCUUUUUCCAUUUCAUGAACUUUUCACAGUUUUUAUUUUUCUUUCACUCAACCAUGAUGUAAAUGAAAUGCAAUAAGGUUAAUUAUACUUUUUCACAAAUAUCACAAAUAUCAAAUAAAAUUCCAACUAGUUCAAAUAUCAUUGAAAUUACAAUUAUACUAAAAUUCCAUAAUUUUCCCACAACCCCUAUAAUUCCAAUAACCAAAUGUAAUUAUUUUCUUCACAAUAAAAUUACCCAAAAUAAUCAAAUAAAUUUCCAAUAAUUCAAAUCUCAAUUAAACAUAAUCUCUACCAAAAUUUCAUAAUUUUUCCACAAACCCAAUAAUUCCAAUAGUUAAAUAUAAUUAUUUUCUCUACAAUAAAAUUACAAAAAACAACCAAAUAAAUUUUCAAUAAUUCAUAUCUCAAUUAAGCAUAAUUUCCACCAACAUUCCAUUAUUUCUCAACAAUCCCAAUAAUUCCAAAAGUCAAACACAAUUAUUUUCCAUAAUUAAACACUUCCAUUAUCACACCAAAAAUCCCAAGGAAAAUUCCUAAAUCACCCAAUAAAAUUUCUUACAUCAUAAAUAUUACUUAUUUACCUUCCAAUAACAAGAUUUAUAAUUUUUUUUAAAAAGAAAAGUGCAUUAAAUAAAAGUUUUAAGGUUAAGUUUUCCUACCACAUAUCUAACAAUCUAACAGUUGAAAAUGAAAUCAGCCAUCGUAGAAAUGUUCCUUGCGUCGAGUAGAACUUUUCCUCAAAAUUUCACUCAAAAAGGACGACAUUCGGUAGUCCAAACAGACGGCCAAAGGUAGCAAUACUGUGACUCUGCCCUUGCACCUCGAUAGCCACUACAAAGCCCUUUCUUUUUAUUCUUCUUUUUUCUUUUCUAUUUCUUAUUUUUUUUGCUUUUAAACCUCGCAACCACCAAGUGGCCCACGACCCAACACCAUUCAAAAGCCUUAAUAUUAUUUGAUUUCUUUUGUUUUUUUUUUUUCAAUUCAUUUCACUUUCUUUUCUUAAUUCAUUUUUCAUUUCAUUUCAUUUUCAUUUUUUAAAACAACACAAAAAAUAAAUUAUUAAACACCAACCCAAAAAUUUAUUUUUCUCAAAUUUAUUAUUAAGCAAUUUAAUUUAAUUUUUACUUAAUUAGUUCUAGUUAAUUUUAAUUAUUUAAUUUUUCGUUUUUGCUUUUUGUUUUCAGAAAUUUUCAAUUUCUACAAUCCUAAGAAAUUUUCUACCCUAAAGCUGACAUGAAACAAAAAAUUCAACUCAAUUAAUUGACUAAAAAAAUAUUUCGAAUUCCAGCAAUUCAAAUUUGACACGUGUUCUCCAAUCAUUUUUUUUUUUUUUACUUUUCAACCAUUGUUCAAUAGAAGACUUUUCAAACUAGAAAUUCUAACGUGGCCUAAAAUAUAUGGUCAUUACAUCCUAUCUCCCUUAAAGAAUUUUUAUCCCAAAAUUAAAACGAGCUUACCUAAAAAAUUAUAGAAGAGUUGUGGAUAGUGUCAUCUCAUUUCUUCCUUAGGUUCCUCAGUGUUUUCUUCCAUCCCAUGGUUUUGCCACCACAUUUUGAUUGUGGGAAUCACCUUGUUUCUGAAUCUAUGCUCUCCAACUUCCAGAAUUUGCAAAGGUUCCUCCACAUAAGAAGUAUCUUCGCAAAUUCGAACAUUUUGCAUGUCAACUACCCAAGUUGGAUCUGGAGUACACUUUCUUAGCAUCGACACAUGGAAGACAUCAUGUAGGUGGGAUAACUAUUGAGGCAAGAUUAACUUGUAUGCCACUGGGCCAACUCUCUUAUCGAUUUAAAACGGUCCCACAAAUCUAGAGGCUAACUUCCCAUUUUUUCCUAAAUCGAAAUAUGCCUCUUCAAGGAUACACUUUUACAAACACCCAAUCCCUUUCCUCAAACUCCAAGGGCCUUCUCCUUUGGUCUACAUAGCUUUUCUAUCUAUCUUGAGUAGUCUUAAGCUUUUCCUUGAUGAGUUGUAUCUUUUCUGUAAUAUCUUGGACAAUCUCAGGUCUUAACAAACGACUCUCACCCAAAUCUAUCCAACACAAGGGCGAUCUACAAGGUCUCCCAUAGAGUGCUUCAUAUGGUGCCAUUCCAAUACUAGAUUGGUAACUAUUGUUAUAAGCAAACUCUGCCAAAGGUUAGUAGUCUGCCCAAUUCCCUCCAAAGUCCAAAACACAAACCCUUAACAUGUCUUCUAAGAUUUGGAUCACUCUUUCUGAUUGACCAUCUAUUUGAGGGUGAAAAACAGUGCUAAAAUUCAAUUAGGUGCCCAAAGCCCUUUGUAAACUUUGCCAAAACUGAGAAAUAAACUUAGGGUCUCUGUCAGACACUAUAGACAAAGGUAUCCCAUGCAAUCUCACAACCUCCUGUAUAUACAACUUAGCCAGAGAGUUCAUGGAGUCAGUAGUCUUCAUGGCUAGAAAAUGAGUUGACUUAGUAAGAUGGUCCACAAUCACCCUAACUCCAUUUUUCUUGCUUCUAGUUCUUGGCAACCCUAUCACAAAGUCCAUAGUGAUAUGAUCCCACUUCCACUCAGGUAUAGGUAAAGGUUGCAACAACCUUGCAGGCCUCUGGUGUUUAGCCUUCACUUGUUGACAAGUUUGAUAGUUGGCUACAUACUGAGCAAUGUCUCUCUUCAUCCCACUCCACCAGAAUUGUCUCUUUAAGUCUUGAUACAUUUUGGUACUCCCAGGGUGGAUGGUAUACUUUGCCCUAUGAGCAUUUUCUAGAAGUUCAUUCCUCAACUCCACAUCCCUUAGCACACAUAAUCUUCCUUUAAAUCUCACUCUCCCAUUUACAUACAUAGACCAAUUUUCAUCUACUUCACCUUCUACCAACUAGGCUUUAACUUUUUCUAAAAACUCAUCAUGAACUUGGGUCUCCACUAUUCUUUGGAUAAUUAUUGGUCUAGCCGAUAUACUGUACAAGCAUGGACUAUAUCAUUCCUAACCAAGACAUAGCUUAAAAUCCUCAAUAACUGUAUGCAUCUCAAACUCUCUCAACCAUAAGCUAGGUAACUGACCAUAACUUUUCCUAUUCAAGGCAUCUGCUACAACAUUCGCCUUUCUAAUAUGGUAUGAGGAGCAAAAUCAUAAUCUUCCAAUGUCUCCACCCAUUUUCUUUGCCUAGAGUUUUGAUCAUUUUGAGUGAAAAUGUAUUUCAAACUCUUGUAAUCAAAGUACAUCUCAAACUUCUCUCCAUACAAAUAGUGUCUACAAGUCUUAAGGGCAAACACCAUUGCUACAAGCUCCAAAUCAUAUGUUGGAUAGUUCCGCUCAUGCGAUUUUAAUUGCCUUGAGGCAUAAGCUAUCACCUUGUCUUGCUGCAUUAGCACACACCCUAGCCCCACUGUAGAAGCAUCACAAUAAACCGUAAACAACUUUCCACUAAUAGGAGUAGUUAACACUGGAGUAGUGGUUAAUUUCGCUUCAACUCCUAAAAAGCAUUCUCAUACUCCUUAUAUUAUUCAAACUUCACUCAUUUUCUAGUCAAUUGAGUCAUCGGUGCUGCAAUUCUAGAGAAGUCUUCCACAAACCUCCUAUAAUAUCUAGCCAGCCCCAAGAAACUUCUAACCUCAAAUACAUUAGAAGACAUUUGCCACUCCUGCACAGCUUCCACUUUGGAAUGGUCCUCUACUAUUCCUACCUCAGAAACCACAUGGCCUAAGAAAUUCACUUCAGUAAGCCAAAACUCACUUUUAUCCAACUUUACAUACAAUUGAUGUCCUCUUAAAGUUCUAAGGGUGGUCACCAUAUAUUGCUUAUGCUUCUCUAAACUCCUUGAGUAAAUCAAGAUGUCAUCCACAAAGACAAUCACAAACUGAUCCAAGUAAGCACAAAAUAUUCUAUUCUUUAAAUCCAUAAAAGCAACAGGGGCAUUAGUUAACCUAAAAGGCAUGACUAAGAAUUCAUAAUGCCCUUAUCACGUUCUAAAAGAGGUUUUAGGGGCAUCUUCUCUAACCCUCAAUUGAUGAUACCUAGUUCUCAAGUCAAUCUUACUAAAUACUUCGCACCCUUCAACUGAUCAAACAAGUCAUCUAUCCUUAGAAGAGGAUACUUAUUCUUCACAUUAACUCUAUGUAACUUCCUAUAGUUAAUACACAAUAUUAAUGUGCCAUCUUUCUUCUUCACAAACAACACUUGGGCUCCCCAUGGCAAUGUACUUGGACGAAUAAAACCGUUACUCAACAAUUCCUCAAACUGAGUUUUCAAUUCCUUCAACUCAAGAGGGGCCAUCCUAUAGGGGGAUACUGAAAUAAGAUCCGUUCCUGGAUAUACUUCAAUAGAGAAAUCAAACUCUCCAUGUGGUGGUAAACUUGGUAGCUCAUCUAGAAAUACAUCCUGAAACUUUUUUACCACUCGAAUUUCUAUAAUGUCCUUUUGGGCUUUCUCCUUACCACGAAGGCAAGCUAAGAAAUUUAUUAAUCCAUUCCUCAACACAUAUUGAUAGCACAUAUCAAAUUGCGAAAAAGGCAAACUAACAUACUUCCCCUCAACGAAUCAAACCUCAAAUCCAUCUAGCAGACAAAAUAUUAUCCUACGGCAAUGACAAUCAAUAAGCGCUCUAUACACUAUCAGCCAAUCCAUUCCCAAGAUAACAUCAUAUCCAAUCAUAUCCAAAAUCCUCAAAUCCACCUUAAGUGCUCUAUCUACCAAGGUAAUAACGCACCCCUUACAUAUUCUAUCAACUCUAGAAUUUGUACCCAUAGGGGACUCGAUAAGUAAUAGAUUUUCUACACUUUCCGUUUUCAACCCCAAUGCAUUAGCACAAGAUGCAGAAAUGAAAGAAUAAGUUGUACCAGUAUCAAACAAAACACACACCCAAGUACUAUAGACCAAAAUCAUACCUUCCACCAAAAGGGCGUCAUCAUCUAGCUCUGUUGGGGUUAAAGCAAAAACUCUACCUAUCGCCUGCCUUCUCCUACCUCUAGCACUCGACCUCUAAGAAGAUUGAGUCUGACUACUCAUAGUGGUUGUCCGGGCUCCUUGCACUGUUGGGGGUAACUACGACAUCUAGUAGUAAGGUAUGUGAACCUGAGGGGGCUAGAAAGGCACUGCUAAUUGCUAUUGAAGGCCUCAUUGAGGCUGAAAUUGAGUCGGUUGUGUGCCCAUUAAUGGGCAAGCCCUCCAUAAGUGAUCUUUCACCCCACAACCAUAACAUACUCUAGUAGUAGCUGCCCUCUAAGCACUCUGCUCACCUUCUACAUAGAAUGAAGAAUGUCCCUCAAAUUGUUGACAUUUCUGCCUCUAAUGCUGGCUCUAGGAUCUCCUCUAGGAACUUUCUGCCAUUUUUUGUUUUCCUUUUCUGUCUCCCAUUUGUUCCCAAAUUUGAUUGGUUUCCUCUAUGUCUUGUUCCACCAAUAAAGCUCUCUUGACCAAUUCAGAAUAGUCCCUUAUAGCCAAUGAGACCAAUCUCUUUCUAAUAGUAGGCCUCAACCCCUACUAGAAUCUCUUGGCCUUCUCUCCUUCCUCACUAAUCAUCCCCAAGGCAAAUUUAGACAACUCUGAAAAGCGAGAUUCAUAUUCCAACACUGACAUAGUUCAUUGGAUAAAGUGCUCAAAUUCCAUCCUCUUGGCAUGCUUAGCCACCUCUCCUAAAUAUUUGCCCAUAAAGAUUCUUUCAAAUUCCUCCCAAGUCAUCACCUCAAUGUCGUAUACUCUCUUCAUUGAUUCCCACCAAAAAAUCUACUUUGUCUACUAGCAUAUAUGCCGCUUAACUUACCCUCAUUUCCUCAGGUAUGUCCAAUCCCACUAGCAUUCUCUUCAUUCUCCUCAACCAAUGUUCCGCUGCUUCAGCAUUGGGCUCUCCAUUAAAAGAUGGAGGUUGCAUCACCAUAAACCUCUUCAUUGCCUCCAUUUGGCUCAUUACUGGCCUUAUAAAGUGACUCAUGCUUUGGGAGUGGUCUGAAUCCUCCUGGCCUUGUGUACCUCAUGACUUUUUGGAUCCUUGGCCUCUCAUUAACUGAGCGGUCUUCCAUAAUUCCCUUCUUACUUUCCAAAGUUCUUCCCUUACCAACUCUAACUCCUCAUCUCUUUUAGUUCUUCCUUUUCUUGGCCUUCCUGCCAUUUCAAUCCCAAUGAGCCCUAAUCUAACCACACUUCCAAGGUGAGCAAAAUAAAUUCACAUAUAACCAAUUAACAACUUUAACAACUACUAAAAACUUCACUUUCAUACAAUUAUAAUAAAUUUUUCAACAUAAUUAAAACCAUAACACUUCUUACUAUCAUCAACAAACACCACAACAAGUUUUUUCAAACAUCAGGAAUAAGCAAUUAAAUAAUUUAAUUAAUAAUCAACUCAUUAACUAAAUACAUAUAGAAAAUAAAAAACAUAGCAAUACACAUGAACAUACACAAACACUGACCCCAAUGUAUUAUUGCAACCUUGGCUUUGAUACCACGUUGUCACAACCCAAAUUCUGGGUGACCAAAAAUUUAGCCAAUGACCCUAAGUCAAAAGUUUAACCCUAAGGGUUCCUCCUAAUCCACGUUGGCAGUCAACCAAAAUGCUUUGAAUUUUUUUUUUCUACACAUAAAUCACACUAGAGCUCCCUCCAACUAACAAUCCAAUUUAUCAAUAUACCAACCAGUACUCAAGAGCAACAAAAUAUAAUAUUAUCAUUAAAGUCUAGAAAUAGGAGUUCAUAGUUGAGCAAAUUAAUCAGAAUAAAGUCUUAUUACAAAUAUAUAUAGUUUCAAAGUUUGCUAAUAUAAAUUUCAAAAUAAACUAGCAUAACAAAUACACUACAAUCUACUAUGUUGCUCCAAAAUCUCCUAGGGCAUCCUGAAGCCCUCCCUGCCCCAUUUAUGGACCCUCAGUUGUCACAUCUACAUUUAAACAAAUAUAAGAAAGAAGGGGUGAGCAUUCCACAUUGCUUAGUAGGGUGCUUUACACCUAAGGGGUUAAUUGGGAUUAAGUUUCAAGUGAACACAAAGUUAGACUUGGGUACUACCUGUGUGAAGCCUCGAAACUUUAGUUGUGGAAAUUACUUACUUGAUUUGUGAACAUUAGAGCAUGACAUUAUGUGCACCUUUGAUAUAGCUGUGGUUGUACCUUAUGUACUACCUUAAUCUACCUUAGGUACUACCAUGGAUUGAAAUAUCGGUAAACACGAAUAUAUCGGUACUUGGAUUUUAUGGAUAUAUUAGAAAUAUUAGAGAAAUAUCGGUGGAUAUUUUUACACAAAUAUUGGUGAGACAAAAAUUAUCCAAAAUUGAUGGGAGUGCUUAGAAAAAUCCAAAGAAUGAUAAAAUAAGCAAGAAUAUACAUGUUAAAGUUAUUUAUAAGUGUAAUUGACAUAAAUAUGGUCAAAAGAAAAAAAUACUGGUAAAUAGUUUAUGAUACUUGAAUUUUAAGAAUAUAAAAUAUGAAUUUUGGAAUUGUACACUAAGAAAGUUAGAAUUGAGUUAAGAAAUAUUUGAUUUUAUUAAAUGAAAACAAUUUACACAUAAACAUAAUACAUAUAACAUUUAAAUAGUCCUUAAUACUAAAAUGAAGAUCGAUGUGGUUCCAUCAUAUUGUUAGAUGAAGAGAGCCCAUCUUGUUGAAGACAAUAUUCAUACUAGGAUAUGGAGUUUUGAUAAUAUUGAUUGUAAGUACGAACAUGCCAUGUAUAAAUGAGAUAAAUAUAAAAAGUGUUAAAAAAUAAAAUGAUAAUAUAGAUUUAAAAUAAAAAAUAAAAUAAAAAUGAAUAAUGAAAAAAUAACAAAAGAUAAAUAUUUUUUUUUUUAAAAGAAAGCUUUCAAAAAAAUCUUCGAUAUUUCCCCGAUAUAUCCGAUAUUUUCAUUGAUAUAUCCGAUAUAUUUGCCGAUAUAUCCAAUAUAUCAUCGAUAUAUCUCCGAUAUUUUGACAGGCUUCCUCCGCUACUUCGUGUGUCACUUCAUGCUUGAUUUUUUUCGUCGAUUUAUCGGUUCCAAAUCGAUAUAUCGUCAAUAUUUUGCCGAUUUUGUCGAUUUUGCUGAUUUUUUGUUGAUAUUCCUCCCAUUCGAUAAUCAGUGUUGAAUUUCAUUUCGAGGCUGCCUGAUAUCCGAUAUAUUGGCGAAAUAUUGCCGAUAAAAUCCAUUUUUUCAAUCCAUGGGUACUACUUUAACCGACCUUAGGUACUACCUUAGCUAGACUUGGAUACUACCUGUGUGAAGCCUUGAAACUUCAUUUGUGGACAUUACUUGAUUUGUGAACAUUAGAGCAUGACAUUAUGUGCACCUUUGAUAUAGUCGUAACUGUACCUUAGGUACUACCUUAGUAGCCCUUAGGAACUAUCUUAAUCUACCUUAGGUACUACCUUACCCAACCUUAGGUACUACCUUAGUUAGACUUGGGUACUACUUGUGUGAAGCCUUGAAACUUCAUUUGUGGACAUUACUUACUUGAUUUUUAAACAUUAGAGCAUGAUAUUAUGUGCACCUUUGAUAUAAUUGUGACUGUACCUUAGGUACUACCUUAACUGAAUUUAGCACUACCUUAGUUAGACUUGGGUACUACCUGUGUAAAGCCUCAAAACUUCAUUUGUGGACCUACUUUGUUUGUGAACAUUAGGAAGUUUCUUUAUCAACAUUAGGUACUAUCUUUGUCAACCAUAGGAUUGACAAGUUGUAUUCAAUCAAGAUGGAACUUACAACGUCUUUAAUUGCACAUAGAAUUUAGUAUGACAUUAUGUUUUAUUAGGGUGGUUAGUUGGUUCACCUUAGGUAUAGUGGUUACUGAACCUUGCGUACUACCUUAAUCAACCUUAGGUACUACCUUAGUGAACCUUAUGUACUACCUUAGUGAAUCUUCAAAACUUCAUUUGUGAACCUUAGUUACUUCAUUUGUGAACAUUAGGAAGUUCCUUUGUCAACCUUAUUGAACCUUGUUUUUUUGUUGUAAACUGGCUACUAUGCUUGAUUUCUACUCGCUUAUAAUUUAUCAUUUGCUUAGUUUUUAAUUAUCUUAAAGAUAUUGUUCUUCACUGCCCUCUAGCAUUAUGUUUAUGGUCUUGUUUACCACAUGAUGUCAUUCAAAUGUUUAUAGUCUUGUUUGCAUUCAUGUUGAAGUAGAUGAUGUUUUUUCUUGGAGUCAAUAGAAAAUUUUAUAAAAAUUUCAUUUUCAUACCCUGUAGUUGCAUGUUAGUCAUUGAAAUGGUCAUAUUAUUGGGAAAAAACUUCUAGAAUGUUUGGUCAUGGUGGUAUGCAAACUUAUGUCUUCCCCUUAAAGUAGGAACUAAUGAAAUGUUCAAAAAUGUUUAUUUCCCUAUAUCACUUACAUCUAUGGUGCAUUCCUCUAUGACACAAUAUUGUUAGCCAUAAGGAGUAUGUCAUUUACUCUAUAGUCAUCCUGAUCCACACUUCCUGAAUUAGACUAUUUUAUUUUGUGAUGAUUGAUAGAUAACAUUUUUUUUUUUUGUUCAUUUUUUACCUUUUAGCUGCUUUUUGACGUAAAGGUCCAUGAGCACUUACAUGAAGAGAUGUGCUGGCAAAAAUUCAAAGACAGAAGAUUUGUGGAGUGUUCUUUUAGAAGAACUUAGUGUUCAAGUGAACUUAAUGAUUAACACCUAGACAAAGCAAAAAUGAUAUCAUAUUAUUUUUGCAAAAUUCAAACAUGCUUCUGUUAUAGGUUUUUCCAUUAUAUAUACUUAUAAAUUGCUAAAUUUGAUGUAUUGCUUAGGUUGUGUUGUCCUAGGUUUUUUCAUCUAGUUCGUUUGUUGAGGGACAAUGGAUUGUUCCGAUAAGCUUAUGUAUUGGUUCACACAACAGAAACAAAAAUUUCAUAACAAGUUAGAAUAGUGGAUAUAUCUUAAUUGCUUUAUUCUUAUUAUCGUAAUUCGAGUUCAUCAAAGGGAAAUGAUUAGUGCAAAUGCAAGAAACACUCAUGGGUUAAAAUUAAUGUGUAGCAGAUUGGUUUCUAUAACACACACUCUAAAAGAAUUAUUUUUUUUUAUAACCCCACUUGGCAUAUGUCAAGAAUUCCUAACCCACUCUUGGAUUAGACACAUUGAUAGCUGAAUAACCCGUCCAAAUUGCAAGUAUAGUAAGAUUCAAUCGGUUUGCAAGGGAAUCCAUGCAAUAGCACCAAUAGUUUACUUCAAACUUUUUUAUUAGUUUCUAGAAUUAUAUGCUUUUUAGUUUUCAUCCUAUGUAUGUGUCAAAGACGGCAGUAGGUAGCAUAUUAUGUCCAAAAAGUUACAGAACAUGAUUGAAUAAGAAAAAAUAGAUUGUCUUGAUAGUUGGUGAACCUUACCAUGGAUGAUGGACAAAGAACAAGUCUAAACCAAAAGAAAAAAAUCUUCAAGAAAUCUUGUUUGUUUUGCAAGAAAUGAAAUCUCAUUCCUCAUAAAAUGGGGUUAUUUGUUCCCAAAAAGAUGGAACAAAAUCUUUAAAUUUUCUUUCCUUCAACCAAACAAAACAUAACAGAAAAAAUAGCUAUCUUCUCAAAACUAUGAACAAAUACUAAGACUUUUUUUAAAAAAUUAUUCCAACACACACCUAAUGAAUAAACCAAAAACACAAGCAAAACAAACAAGCUCCUGUGUAUCAAUACAUUUAUUCGAUCGCAGACAUCUAAGACGAUGACUUCAUCUCUGAUUUGAUAACAACAACCAACUAAUCAUAAGCUUCUGCCCAUGCAUUCUUCAUUUUUGGUGAUCACAUUUCAGGAACUGCUUCCUUUAUUAUUUCUAACAAUGCAAACUUUGUAGCCUAUAUGAUCAGAAUAAUUAAUUUUUCAGGUUCAAAAAUUGUGUGUACAUCAUUAGAUUGAAAGAGUUGCAGCAUCUUGAAAAUUUCAUACACUUUAUGUUACCUGAUAGUGUUCAUCAAGGACACCAGAUUUGUAGUGAACAACACCUAAUUUCUUCAAGGUUGAGUCUCUCGCUGUCACUUUGUUGGCUUUUCAAAGUUGACAUAUUCUAUCUUGGUGGGGUUUGGUUGAAAAGUCCACCUAUAUUAUGAGCUAUAAAGAGGUAGAAUUCACAUCUAUAGAUGAUUGGAAUAAGGGUUUUUUUUUUUUCUUUCUAAUUAUUGUAAUGUUCAUAAUCCUCAAAUUUUGUAUAUGGUCAUCUUUAAUAACCCAUUUGAGGGUGGGGGGGAAGAGUAACCUACCAUAACAAAAAUAGCCAUGGCAUGGGACUUGAGCUUUGGGUUCUUCUCUAGAGGAACCUUUGAGUUUUUCAGGAAUGAGAACCAUUUCUGAUAUGAUGGAGCAAUCUCAAAUAUUCUAUAAAAAUUGAAUCCAACACUUCCCAAUCAGAAACCAAAGCUUUAUUCAAUUUUUAUAUAUCAUCAAGAAAUUAGGUAAUUAUCAACAUGUAGAGAAGAAUAAAGAAAAUUUGAUUUACUUCAUGAUUCAUGCCCGAUUGGUGUUCCAAUUGAUUCAACUCAAUUGAUGUGCUUUGAUCUCAAUCCUCAGACGGGAGUAAUCAACAAAAUUUAUAAACCUAUUUCACCAUAUACCAGGGUAGCAUUUAGCUAGCAUAGUAUAGUGGCUCUAGGAUCGUCCACAAAGAUGGGUUUUCACUUCGCAAUUGAUAUUAGUUCAAAAACUGAAUUGGUGCUUUUUCUUUUCUUUGUUAGCUUUAAAAGAAGACAUAAGUUUGAAUGAAAACGGAUGGUAUUAAGCUAACCUAACAUAAAGUAACUAAAAUUAACUAGAAAGAAAUUAGAAAGAAAGGUGUUUCUUGGGAUUUCAGAUUACUAGGAUCAGGUGCCAACUACAAAGAGGGAGAUUCCGGUCACUUGAAUCUUUUCCUCGCAUUCAGAAUUUAACCUAUAGUUAUUUCCCGAACCGGUGUGAUACAGAUGCUUGCCAUUAAUGGUUUCAAUGCUAAAUCCCUCUCACUGAUACACCUUGCAAUGGCUUGUACCUCUCACCUAGUAUUUGCCAUUCAAGGUGAUCCUUACCAUCGGAUCAUCCUUCACAAGCGAACAAGAGAUAACAAUUAGACCUCCAUGGAGCAAGAUUGCAAGCAAUAAGAAUCCAUGGAAUCCGAAAGCUUACCAAGUAUUGGCUAUUCAUGGUAAUCCUAGUUAACUAAAAAUAUAAAAACCAAAAACGGAUCACACUUUCUCUUCAUUAAAAAAGGAAACAACAAAAUCUCACACUUAUGUAGUCGGAACCUUACUUAGCUUCUUUCACCCAAGAAACAAAAAGCCUAGCCACUCAUCCUCUGAGAAAACAUCUCAGAGAAUGUUUGGUUAGCAAGAAAAUGAAAAUGAAAGAGAAGGAAAAAUAGAGCAAGGCUCUGUAUAUUCUAUAUAUUGAUCGAUUCUACAUACUUAUAUAUCUAUAUUUUUUACAAUGGAUGCAAGAGAAUAUAUAUAGAGAAGUUUUUCCAACCUUCCUAACUAAGAAAUCUUAUGGUUGGUGGAUUACAAGGAGAAGAAUGGAAAUUUAUACACAAAUAUCUAAAGAAAAGAUCUAAAAGAGUUGGUGCACAAAUAUCCCAGUUCGCAUGUAGAUUUCGCACGUUGCAUGGUGACUUGCGAAAAUCUCGCAAGUUGAUUUCGCAACUUGGAAUCUAUUUUCGCACGUUGAGCUCCAAGUUCGCAAGUUGCAAAAUCACUUUUGCAAGUUGGGCUUCUCUGUGACUGUGCGGCUGUAUUCCAUUUCCAUUUCGCAAGGUAGGCUUUAAUUUCGUACGUUGGAGUUCCAAAUUCGCAAGAUGCGAAUUUGUCCUUCAGCUGGAUGCAGUUGUCUUGCGAAGGCCAUAUCUUCCUCAUUUCAAAUCCAAUUCAUACACCGUUUGAAGCGUUAGAUUCUUGACUUCCUGAGCUUUGAAAUGGUAUAUAGCAUGUAGAAAAUGGACUUUGGGAAGUGCUCCAAAAGUGUGAAAGAAGACUGCAGCUGUUGUCCUCUAUUUUCUUCACUCUGUUUUUCCUCUCUCCGUUGUUCUUUCCUUGCAUACUUUGAACGACUUUGGCAAAGUGCUAUGGAGCUCCAAAGCUUGGUUCUUCAUGAAUUUGAGCUUCCAAAAGCUUUGUCAUGAACUAUAUACAGCUCUCCCUCAUUCUUGGAUUGCUUUGGUGUAGCUAAAAGCUAUUAAAAACACCAAAACUUAACACANNNNNNNNNNNNNNNNNNNNNNNNNNNNNNNNNNNNNNNNNNNNNNNNNNNNNNNNNNNNNNNNNNNNNNNNNNNNNNNNNNNNNNNNNNNNNNNNNNNNAUUUGAGCUUCCAAAAGCUUUGUCAUGAACUAUAUACAGCUCUCCCUCAUUCUUGGAUUGCUUUGGUGUAGCUAAAAGCUAUUAAAAACACCAAAACUUAACACAAUUUGAUUAGAAACGAUUGCAAGGGUCUUUAACAUGUCAAUUGAGUUAAAAGGUAAUAAUUACUACUCAAGAGUGUUUAAAAGAGUUAAUUACAAGCUAUAAAAUAGCACUUUUUGAGUAGUAAUCACUUCAAGAAGAAUUUAAGACCCAACUCUCCAACAUUCUUCUUCAUUGAAUUCCAAGACUUCAUCACAAGAGCUUCUUACUCCUCUAUGAAACCUAUUAUAUUGCAGAGGAGUUUGUCUGUGGAAGAAAGAUAGGAAUUUUGAAAACGAAAAAGAAAAAAAUAAAACAAUCUAAAAAAAAAUUCUUAUUUUUCUAAGAAUUAUCAAUUUUUGAAGGUUGGCAUCUUUGAAAAUGUAAAAAGUAAUAUUUGAAUUUUUUUUUCUUAAAAAUAAGUUCUAUUUUCAUAGGAAAAAAAAGGUUAAGCCAUAGUUUGCAAGAUUACUCCAUUUAAAUAUAUCUAUUUUGUGAUUUCUAUUUUUAAAGCAAAAAUCAGUUCCUUUUUUGAGACCCAAAACCACAUAAUGAAAUAAAUAGAUAUACAAUCAAACUAUAAGCCUCUAAACAAAAGUAAAAAAGAGAAAUAGUAAUAAUAAUACAUAACACUUACAAAUGAGUUAAGAAUUCACCUCAUAAACAAAAACAACAAAAUUUUAGGCCAUGAGAGCAUUCAAAAAGGUUAGUGAAUUCUAUAUUAUAGUAUUUACAGUGUGUGCAGAAUGGUCAUCUUUAAUAAUCCAUUUAGGGGUGAGGGGAAGAGUAAUCAACCAUAACAAAAACAGCCAUGGCACGGGACUUGAGUUUUGAGUUCUUUUCCAGAGGAACCUUUUAGUGUUUUAAGAAUGACAACAGUUUCUGAGCUAAUGGGCCCUAUAUACUAGGGCCUUCCCACCAGUCUCACCAAACUCAUAGCAAAGCUAGAGGGACUAAAUGGUAAACAUUAUAAAUAGAUUUCACAAACUAAACUUAGUAAGAGCAUUCAACUUUAAACAUGUGUAGUAACGGAUACCAUAACUAUAUGCCCCAACAAAAUAAAUAAAGAGUAACAUACUAAGCCAAAAACUAAGAUGAUAUGUAAUUAUUUACACUAUUAACAAAAAGCAAUUAAAUUAUAUUAAAACUAUAUACCUUGGUAUAAGCAUUGAGGUUUAUAAAGAUCUGUAUCUUGUCUUCAUUGAUCAGUUUGGCAAUCAUAUCAGAUGACAUGGCAAAAACAUCUAAAAGUGCUCAACUUCUGACUGAAUACGAUGUCUCUAUUCAGUUGAAUCAUUUGGACUGAAGGCAUAAUAGAACACCUAGCACACAAAAAUGACAGGAAAAAAAGAAGUUUUUACAUUCUAAUGCAUAUGGCAAGUGAGAUAAGGUUCUUAGAUUGGGAAUGUCGAAUUGUUCACUAGCAACAAACCUUAACAUUUUCUUUGUUGUGCACGCCAAAUACAAAGGCCAUGAGGUAUGAUAGGGGGUGAUUACUAAAGUCACCGCUUAAGUAUCUGCAAAGGUAGAAAAAUAAUUAUAAGAUAUAGAAACAAUGAAAUGAAAUAAUUCAUUUAUAACAUCAAUAGGUACCAAAUCCUUAGUCUCUCAUUUCUACCUUCACUCUUUACAGGAGCAGGAUUUGGAUGGUUGAAGGGAGGAAGAGCAUAUCAAGAUGCAAUUAAGAAGCAGUAUGUUGCAUAUUUUCGCCUUAAAACCAAAAGAAGACCUUGAGUUAGAAACUAUAGCAAUAUGUUGUUAUAAACAUUGUAUUAAGAUAAAGAAUUGACCUUAUUUAUAUAAAUAUUAGCAAAGGGAUUCAUGCAACUAGGCUCCAAACUAAUAAUUUUUUACUUUUUUCUUGUUGCCCUCUUUCAACAUUAGCAUUAGUACUAUCAACAUGAACAAGAAUUAGUGAAUUAGUUCAACAUUAGUGCUAUUAUUUGUGAUAAAGAAAUAAAUAAAAGUUACAAACCAAUAUAACUGACCAGCAUCAUAGUAACCUCUUCCAAUAUGUGCUAUCAUUUAUAAGAAGUUAUGACUACAAUAUGAACCCGUAAAGUCAUUCACAUAAAAAGGAAAAAAAAAAUGAAUGGAAAAUUCAUAAGGAAUAGAAACACUACAAGAUUGUGAGAUCAAGAACAUAAGAGUUUUUCACUAACCUGAUACCCAUGUCAAAAAGUAUAGAUAUGAGGACAAAUUGAGCCUCUGUUUCUGAGUUGACCUUCCAGAACAUUACAAAUGUGUCUUCCAUCUUCAAUAACCCCAUCAGUAAUGACGAAAAUGAGAGGCAUUAGAUAGUAACAAAGGAAAAAAAAAAUCUAAAUUUAUUCUUAAAAUGAAAAUAUUAUUAGUUUCAGUUUCACUAUCAAAGAUUUCACCAAAGAGGUUUAGGCUCUAAACGUUGAGAGAGGUAAUAGAGAAAGGUGGAAGCGUUGGAUCUAAAGAUGGCAAUGGAAAUGUGGUGAAGUAGGGCAAAAUGAGAGGAAGACAAAAAUCUUGUUUCAGAAGUAGGGAAAUUUCAAAUGACAUUCUGUUCGAGUGAUGAAGAAGUCAAAGAAAGAGAGAAAUGUUGUUUGGGAAAUUUCAAACUGCAAUAAUGCAACAUGGAUGCUGAUAUGGAGAUUGGGUAAGGGCAAAGUGGGUAGAAAAAGACCACUCAGCACAGGGUGCAUAAAAAUCAUAUAUUUUUCCAUAUUAAUAGGGGAAUCAUUCCCAAUUUUUGGGUUUUGAAAACCCUAUUAUCUCCGAAUGGGCGGCCCAAAAUACAAGUUUCCCAACCUUUUAUCACACAUCAACUAGAAUGCAGCAAUUGCAAAAACCUACACUCAUUUUGCAAUCUAAAAAAUGAAAAAUUUUCCCAAUUGAAUACUCCCAUUCUCAUUUUUUUUUUAUUUUAAAUUUUCACAUUGUUUAAAAAUUUUUGUUUAAUUUUUUUUUAAAUAGUACUUUAUUAGGUUCAUAUUUGUCUCAUUUUCUAAGCAUAUAAAAAAGACUUGUUACAUGGAAAUAGUUAUAUUCUUUAAAGAUUUAGUAAAUUUUUUAUUAAUAACAAUUUUUUUUAAAAAAAAAAUUAAGAUAUUAUUAAAAUGUUUUUUGUAAAGUAUUUUAAGAAAUAAUUAAAAAUAUGAAUAAUAUUGGUAUUAGAAAUUUGAUGAUAAGUUGUUCAUUAUGAAUCUUAGAAGUUUAAAAAGUGUCAUUGUCUUUAAAAAUUCCGCUUAAUUGGGUUACACCUUUUUCAUUAGUCAGACCCAACUCCAUAAAUUUCAACUACUUCCUAUUUGUCAAAACUAAUCCCACAAUUAAUGUAUGAUUUAAGUUCAUAGAGAAUUUUGUACAAAGGAGGAAAACUGGAAUAGACAAGGCACAAAAAAUCGGGGCUUCUAAAUCAGGCGGGCUUCUUCUUAAACGGAUAUUUAACAUUAAGCCGAUGACAAUCAGCAAAUAGAGAUGGAAAUAGAGAUUGAGACAAUAACAAAUAUUGUGGGAGACAGUGAACAAAUAGGAAGUGAUGAAUGUAAGCUAAUCUGAGUUGCUCAAGUUGAGAUAUUCAGAAUUUAAAGGUCUAAAGAUGUGAGCAGCCUGAGUCUCAAUCCACUCUAUCUGCCCCACGGAGAGGUGCAUGUACACCACCCAGUCUCCAUCUCUGACAGGACUCGGCAUUGGCAUCACGUACCCAGCUUCCCCACCCCAUGGAAAAUGGUAUGACCCCAGAGCCGGCAUACCCCACCCGAAAUCCACCCUUGACACUGGGAAUCUCUGCCCUGAUGACACCACGAAUGCUGGUCCAUCGCGACUGCCACUGUUGUAUAUCUUCGCUAAAGCUGGCUCCGGACGGUGAGCCUCCACCCAAUCUAUCAGCCCCAGGAAAUGCUCCUUUGUUACUGCUCCUUCCAGGUACUCACGAAUUGCAUCUGCCACCCAGCUCAAUGGUUUCUCUUUCAGUUCAUUUAUUGUCUUCUUACCAAAGGGUAUGGACAGUACAUUUCCGAAGUAAGAGGCCAACAUUGCUGCUUUAACCUCGUCUCCACUGCUCAGUCUCUUUCUUCCAUCCACCACGGUGCCCAUCCUGCAUACUUUUUGGUUUGCGUUUUCCGUGACUGCACUUUUGGCCACCAUCUUCCACAGAAAAGCACUGAGAGACUCUAGUUUGGUCCUCUUGCAGGAGUUACUCUUGCUGGUGGCUAGUGAUUGGAGUAGACUGAGCUGCUCGCCUGUGACAUAGUAAAGGCGGUUUAUGAGAAGAUCAUCACCAGGCUGUGGAGCUUUGGGAGGAGGUAAGGCUGACAUGGGGACGUACAUGUUGUCAAGGGAAGGAUCAUAGGAGCCCGGACGUCGAGGGUUGAGGAGAGAGCGCCGGAAAGAUGGUAGUACGGAUAAUGGCUUGGACUGAGCCAUUUCAGCCCAUGAAACUAGAAACAUAUUGGCAGAAUAUGCGUCUGCUAUCCUAUGAUCGAAUGUACAGGCCACCACAACUCCGCCACAUUUGAGCUCAGUCACCUGUCAUUAGUUCAUUUACAUAACAAUAAGCAUGUCACGAUUACAACUAAUUAGGAUUAGCAUAUCACAGAGAGAGAGAGUUACCUGGACUGACAGAACGCCAUGUUUCUUCUUAGGGACAAGCUUGCUUUCAAUGCUUUCAUCAGGGUUAUACAAGUUGAGGUUUUGUAGUUGUACAUCCGCAUAAGCUUCCAUGAAAUCAACCCCACGGUUGUUGCAAAGGAGCUCGGGCUCACCCGCUGAGUUACUCAAAACUUCCCCUGCAAAUGGAUAAUAGGACACCAGUGCUUGGGCCAGGGCCUCCUUCAGAACGCCAAUCAUGGACCCAAAUGUUAAAUCAUGUGGCUUCUUGUAACAGAAAAACACGCCCACAUCUACUGGAGGCAAAAGCAAGUCCAGGUUAGACGUUGGCAGCCAGUACUCCUGCACAGGCAGUACAGCUGCCACUACUUCCUUUCUGCUCACUGUUACUGUGAAAUCUCCACCACCCAUGAAUCCUAAUUAAUUCUAAGUGUCUUUGUAUGCCAGAGUGAGGGAUGGAAGAGAAGCAGACUUGUAAGCGUGCGUCUGAGUGAAAAAUAGCAGCAAGAAACAUGGAUUUUAUAGCACAGGGCAGUACUUGUCCCAAGUCCCCACUGACAUUUUUUCAGAUAUUGAUAAGAAAGUUCGAAAGUUUGAAUGAUGGAUAUGAGAAUGACUACAAAGACCAAGAGUGGUACGAAGGAAUGAAAAUAUUUGUCUUAAUUCUGUUGUGGAUGAGAAAUAAUGAAUUGAUACAGGUUGUAUAUACUGUUACAUAAACCCCAAGGGGGACUCCUUGAAAUGGAAAAAUAAAUAAAUAGAAGGCUGCAGAAAAGAUCUGAUAUACAUUAAUUUCCAUACCUAGGGUAUCCUUGGAAAAGUAGCUAAUAAAUUUGUGGCUUCUCUUUGGUCAUGAGAGGUUAGAUGUCUUCUAAUUGUGGUACAUAUUUUGGUUGGAUAGCUCAUCAAUUCAGUGACGACAAACUGAAUGAAAGUGAAAUUUCAAAGCGAUGCCAUUUUUCAUUUGUCUUAAUUUCCUGAAAAUGAUCGAUGGGGUUAUUUUAGAAGUUGGGAAUUUUCUUGGAAAUAUCUGUAGAUAAUUCUUUGAUCAAUCAAAUGAUUGAUAACUUCAACACCAUUACAUACUCCAUGACGGGUUUCACUUCCUAUUUGUGGUUGAAAGAGAAGAGUUCAAAGACAGAAAAUCUCUGCAAAAUUACACAGCAUAAUAUAUAUACCUAUACUAGACAUGAGGGUAUAUAUAUUUAAUUGAUCUCUGGAAAUCUCUGGAAAGAGACGAGUUCGAAGACAGAAAAUCCCUGGAAAACACCCCUGCAUGACAUGAGAAAGAGACACUUCACCAUUUUACUUAUUUAAUUGAUCGAUUGAAUUUUGGGCCCCCUUGUACCUAAAUACAAGGGUACAGACCUAAAUACAACCUAAAACCGUGAUCACUUUUCCUCUCAAAUUAAGACUCGCAUCUGCUGGCCUUUUAAUUGCAGUGAUCCUACCAAAGAACGCAUGCAUGGGCCAUGUGAGACUGAUAAUUACAAAGGUGGUGUGGUGGUGUACAACUCUAGUCCAUGCAUGGGAUUAGGUCACUCUUUCUUCCUUCACGACAAUGGAAUUGAUUUUAUGGCACUUACCAAGGUUUGGUAAUUGAGAUUUUCGUAUUAUUGGAAGUAUGACAAUGACUUAUAGCGUAGAUAUUUCUAUGCAUCUCUCUUGUAUAAGAAAGGCAUCCAUGCCUUUCUUGAAAAUGUUGGAUUGUUUAUUUUUAAAAGUAAUUUGGAAAAUCGUUUGUUUUAGCUCUUGUCACAUCUUUGAAAUGAUGGGCAACCAAUAGUUAGGAGCUUCACAAAAGAAAAUCCUUGGCAUAUCUUAAGUUCUUAAAUGAAACAACAAACACUACAAUGUUCUCUAAACACAUCUUAAUUAAUUUGAAGGGUUUUGGCCUUUCAAAUAUUAUUUAAUUUCUCCCCCAACAAUUUAUCCACAUUAAAUUUACAUUCAAACAGGACUGGCUUGGUGGGAAACAUUUUUUUGACACAUGAACGCCCAAUAAAUUGCUGAGUUUGUUGAAAGAAUUAGCAUUUUUCAUGGUUUAACUGUUUGAAUGACUGGGCACUAUUCCACAUGUUGUUGUGAUUCGGUUAUUCCUAUGUUCGUACUAUCUUAUUUCUCUAUGGUGGGAAUGUGGUAAACCAGCUAGUUAUUCUCUUGUGAAAAACAAGAAUGAUAAUAGGGAUAUAAAAAUAAGAUGAUGAAAACAGAAAAUAUCAAUGAUUUACAUGAUUUAGCCUAAAACUUAUAUUUAUAGGUGAAAGGAAAGAAGAACUUCCAUUAUUAUUAAAAGAUAUGACAACUCUUGAGUUCCUCUAAUCCCAAAAAAGAGACUUUCUCUCGGCCAAAAUUUCUUUCUAUAUAUAUUCCUAAUUUCAUAGUAAUAUUUCAUAUAGAAAACUAAUUAUAUAACUAUCAAAAGUAUUUAUUUCUAAAAGAAUAUAUCACUAUAUGAUAUUUCCUUUAUGACAAUAGGAAACUCCCUUACAUGAAUGUAUCCUAUAAAGAAAAUAUCGAAAACUUAUCAAUUGACUCAAAUUAGAAUUUGAGACAUUUUUCUAUAUUGUUCACAUUGCCUCAAAUUCGUAAGCUUUGAAUAAACUCGGAAGUCUUACGUUACUUCACUUUCACAGUACCCCUAAGGGACCUUGAAAUCUAUCAACACCCAUUGAGUUUAAGCAAUGUCUGAACUUAAUUAAAUGUAGAAAGGAGUAUAGUCAUAUCAUAUUUGAUGGAUUAUCCAUUGUAAGAAUCUUUUUCACUAUAGUAACACCCUAUGCAAUCCCAUCCUUGAUAAAAUGCAAUCUAACAUCAAUAUAUUUGGUCUUCUUAUGAAACAUCUAAUUUUUAGUUCAAUAUACGACAUUUUGGGUAUCACAACACCCAAUAGAAAACUCUUGUUGUAAGUCUAAAUUGUCAACUAAACCCUUGAGCCAAACAUGAAAUCAUCACUUCCAAGAAGGAAAAUAUCCCCAUUAUAGAAGGAGAGUCAUUAAAAGACUUUCAAAACAUAAGUCAUGUUAAACAAAAUCCUGGCUUACAUAAAUGGAUUUAAAUUGAAUCUUGUCAUACUAAAGACUCUAAAUUGAUUUGAUGAAAUAAUAAGGUUGAUGAAUUAAGGAUGCCAGGUACCUAAGGUGUGUGGUUGUUUUUAACUAUGGAAUUGAUCUAUCAGUUAUUUUACGUGUCAUAUUCCUUGCUAACUUAACUAAAUUAAUUUGAUUCAUUAUAUAAUAUUAUGAAAACAAUUUACUAUUAUAUGGAAUUGAUAUUUUCCUCUCUUAUUUUCCAUAAUAAGCUAGCUAGUAGCCUUAUCAGGCCUACCCUUUUAUAUCGAUUUACAACACCUUACCGCUAUCCCAUUGGCAACUACAACUUGAUGCAUAUGUGUGCAGAUGUUACAUGAUGAUGAUUAAAUUUUAAUCAUUACAAAUUAAUUAACUCAUGUAGAUUCUCAUUAAGGAUGAUCAUCUCCAUUGCACUAGAGUUGAGUUUGGCAAAAAUUCUAAGAAAUGAUAAAAGUAAUAAUAGAUAUUUUGAAAUUAUUUUAUCGAAGAAAAUAAUAAUCUGUAGACAACACAAUCUUUCCACAAGGCUUGCAAGUUAUGACAACAUCAAAAUAGGAAACACGUCUAGCAAUGGGCAAUGACUGAUGCCAAGGACACAGAAGACUUCGCUCUCAGUCACCAAAGUCUUUCCAUCACAAGCCAAAGUGGGAUCUACGCAUAGAGAUCUCUUUGGUAGCUGCCUAGUCACCUAUAAAUCCACCACUCCUUCUCAUCCCCUCUACAAUCCAUCCCCAUUUUUCCGUUUCACUCUAUCUCUCUUAGCUGAAAACCAUGGGUGGUGGAGGAGACUUCACUGUAAUUAUGACCAGGAAAGAGGUUAUGGAAGCCCCUAUGUAACCUUGAUUUGAUUUUUCCUCCUGUAGAUGUGAGUGUGUUUUUCUGUUACAAAAAACCCCAUCAGAGUGUUAACGGAGGUGAUGACUUACCUUUGAGUCCAUGGUUGGGGUUAUGAAGAAAGCCAUGGUCUAAGCACUGGUCCCCUACCAUGGUUUUGCAGGGGAAGUUGUGCGUAACUCAGUGGGUGAGCCUGAACUUCUAUGCAAUAACCCAGGGGUAGAUUUCAUGGAGGCUUAUGCAAAUGCAAAACUACAAGACCUCAGCUUGUAUAACCCUAACAACAGCAUUGAAGGCAAGCUUGUCCCUAAGAAGCAGUGUGGUGCCCUCUGUGUGCAGGUUGUUCUCUCUCUCUCUCUCUCUCUCUCUCUGACACAUCAUAUAUUGUCGUGGCAUUAUUACUCUAUGUGAUAAAACAAAUGAAGGAAAAUGACAGGUGAUUGAGCUCAAAUGUGGUGGAGUCGUGGUGGGCUAUACAUUCCAUCAUCAGAUAGCGGACGCAUAUUCUGCUAGUAUGUUCCUAGUUAAUUUCAUGGGCUGAGAUGACCCAGUGCAAGCCAUUAUCUGUGGUUCCAUCUUUCCGGCGCUCUCUCCUCAACAUCAGACGUCCGGGCUCCUAUGAUCCCCCCUUGAUGACAUGUACGUCCCUAUAUCAGCCUUUUUUGUGUGGAGAAAUUGUUCUUGUGCUAGAAAGAUGAAUUUUUGUUGCUAACACAUAAUAAAGUUUAAAGGAUUGUGUAUGAUAAUGGUAAAGCCCUAAGCUAUAUUUGCUUCCUAGAAAAUUUGAUAGAAAAUGCAAAGUAAAUAAAAUAGAAAGAAAUUAAAAAAAAUAAAAAAUAAAAUAAACAACAUAUUUAAAGUUAAAAAUAAGUAAAUAAAACAAAAGUCGAUUAAUUUCAUGUUUCAAAUUCAAUAAAUUUAAAAUUUGCCUUAAUUGGGUGAAGCUCUAGAAGACAUGAUAACCUUAACGAAGAACUGACAAGAAGAGUUUGUGAGGCUAUGCCAGCUUUAAGGGUCAUCAUUGUCCUGACAAGGAAAUGACCAAAGACUGAAAAAAUCUGAAUCAGGAUUACACUAAUCAUUCAGACAGCAACAAGGGUCCAAGAAUAAUGCCAUCUUACCUCCGAAAAGGGAAAGGUGUUGAAAUUAUGGGUUGUUCAUAUAAUUCUAAAUAACCAUUUAAACAUCGAUCAGUAUUAAAUUGGUUGUUUCUGUUUCUGUUUUUCCUAUGAUAUGCUAAUAUCUGAGUUGGAAAUUUGUUAUAAGCUAGUUACAAGUUACAACCCAUCACCAUGCUCCUGAUAUAUAGCUUUCUUGUUUUUAAAAAUUUGAGAAAGUUCUUCUUGCAGUCCUUUUUAUUUAUAUAUAUAUAUAAGAGUUAUUCUCUACUCCGCUAUCUUUGUUUCUUCCCUUUUUUCUCUUUUCUCUUAUCUAAUGGCUUGAGGAGGCAACCAAAAUGUCAACAAUGACAGUUGUCAGUUUGUGCAUUCAUCAAAUAUGUCAUUAAUGGAAGAUUAUGGAAGUCCUUUUUAUCUACACAAUUGUGACUAUCUAGGUCUAGUUUUGGUUUCAUACCAUUUAAUUGGAUCUAAUUACAACACUUGGAGUCGUUCGAUGUUCAUGGCUCUUACUAUAAAGAACAAAGUCGGUUUCGUUGAUGGAAGUAUCACUCGACCAAUCUAUGAACAUCUUCUCUUCAACGUUUGGACUCGUUGCAAUAGCAUGGUAAUUUCAUGAAUUCUUAAUGUUAUGUCUAGAGAAAUAAGAGAUAGUCUAUUAUACAUAGACAAUGUGCUUUUGAAACCUGGAUGUUUAUCUUUGUGAUCAUUUUCACCAAAGCAAUGGUCCUCAAAUUUUCCAAAUCAAAAAGCAGCUUAUUGCCCUUAACCAAGGAUCUCUUGAUGUCAUAGCUACUUCACCAAAUUGAAAAUUCUUUGGGAUGAAUUCAAAGAAUGUCAACCUGUGCCUAUUUUCUAUUGUGGAAGAAUAAAAUUGUGGAUAGAUUUUCAAUAAUAGAAGUAUGCUUUGAAAUUCCUCAUGGGGUUCACUGAGUCCUAUGCUCAAACCUGUGCUCAAAUUUUGAUGAUGACUCCUUUGCCUUUUGUGUCAAAAGUCUUUUCUUUGGUUAUUCAAGAAGAAACAAGCAGCUAAUCAUGUGUUUCAUGAACAUACUAAAUACAUUAAGAUUGACAGUCAUGCAUCUAGUGAGAGAGAAAGUACAAGUUGUUCACCUGAAGAUCCUACAUGUCUCUUCACAAUAUCAGAUUGCAACCUUGCUAACUAAACCUCUCCAUCUAAAUCAUUUGGCUUAUCUUCUUAACAAGAUGAGAAUUCAUAACAUUCAUUCUCCAUCUUAAGGGAGAGUAUUAAACUAAUUGUUUAUGUUUAUGUUUUUAUCUAUCCCUCAUUUUUUUGUACCAAUUUUUUAUGUAGUAGAUUUUCUUCUCCUCUAUCGGUGGUUUUUCCAAUCUAAGGUUUUCCACUUAAAUUUGUGUGUUCUCAUUCUUUUUUUUUUUUCUUAUUGCCUAUCCCUGUUAUUUUGUAACACUCGAUGAAUAAGUAUGUGUGUAUUAUUUUAUGAUGCCAAUUCUUCUAUUGAAUUGACUGAUGCAUGUGCUCAUUUGUUAUUUACAAAAGAAUUAAUUCUGCCACAAGAAAAAUUUAAUAUAGAAAAUAAUUGGUAAAGGAGAAACUAGAUUAUUUCGAAGGCCAAGACCCUCCAAAAAUAUUUAGACAAAACUCCAAUCAUAUAAAAAUGAAUUCACAUGGACCAUCAAGACCCACCAAAUUGAUUCCCUGUGAGAUUAUAUAUUGGCAUUGGAACAUGGGUUUGAUAAGUUUUUACCUAACCUUUGCCUUUUGAACUUUUAAAAUCCUCACUCAACAAAUCUUUUUCUUGAUAAGUUUCAACUACUUUUCCUUUGUCAAAAGUAGUGGUCAACCAAUUUAAAAAAAUUCUCUCUGUUGGAGCAUGAGUUCUAUAAUAUUCAAACCAUGCACCUUUUAAUUAUUUUAAAAAGUUGUGCAUUGUUUUUUCUUUAAAUUAAUCCCACAAUUAAUCAUUAUUUAUGUUGUUGGAGUAUUCCAUAUAAGGACUUGAGAGAAAAUGACGAGCUAUGAGAUUAAAAUCGGCGACCCACCAAAAACUAGGGCUUUUAAAUUGGACUUCUUUCUAAAGAAAUAUUUGACAUUAAGAUGUUUUUAUCCAUAUAAAACAUUUUGAAUUAAUCAAAUAAUAAAAAAAGACAAACAAUUUGUUUUCAUAGAAAGGCUAAAACAAAGCAUGUUGUGGCUAAAAAUAACAAUAAGACGGUUUUUUUUUUUUUUUUUUUUUUUCAGAUACUUGUUCCUAAUAGGAUGGGUUUGAGAAAUAUGUCAAUGGUUUUAGCAUAUGUUUAUAAAAAAUAAAAAAAAAUUAGAACUCAGGACGUGUUUAGGAUGGAUUUGGAUUUGACUUUAUCCCAUCCAAUCACAUCCCGAUUAUAUAUAAUAUUAAAUAAAAAUUAAUUUUAAUUGAUUUUUUCUUCAUUUUUCAUUUUUUAACAUAUGUAAAAUAUUGCUUUUAUAAAAAUAAAUUAUAAUAUUUAUUAAUUUAUAAAUUAUAUUUAUUUUUAAUAUUAUUUAAAAUUUUAUAAGUAAAAAAAAAACACUAAAAAAAAUUGAACAAAAGUAAAAAAGUUAAAUAAGACGAAGUGAGAUGGAUAUGAGAAUUUCCUAUACUGGUCCCACCCUACUUCAUCACAUUUUAAUUUGUUUUUUAAGUGGGGAUAGGAAUGGAUAUAAAUAAACGUGUUGAUGAUGGAAUGGAGAUGACUCGUGUCAAACCCACCCAAUUAUGAUCCCUAAUUGUAACAAAAGGGCAAAAGAUGGGUAGUAGUUGUAAUUUAUAGAGUUUUACAUUUAAAUAAAAAGAAAAUUGUAUGUAUCCUCAAUUUAAAUUCUAUAUUCAACUCAAGUCUAUGUGUAUUAUGGGAAUACGGGAAUGGUUUCUAUAAUAUAUAUAUAUAUAUAAGCAUUAGUUUUGCCACUAGAAAAUUUGAAUAUCAAUAAUAAUUGGGGAAGGAGAAAUUAGAAUAUUUCAAAAGCCAAAACCCUCCAAAGCAUUUUGGCAAAACUCUAAACAUAUAAACAUGAAUGCACAUGGGGGAAAAGAGUGAAAAGACUCAUGCAAUUGACUUUUUGUACUGCUCAGUGCUCAUUAUAGCUGUAUUGACUAGUAAGUGAGAUUAUUGGCCUUGGCACAUGGGUUUGAUAAGUUUUUUUACCUACCCUUUGUAAAUAACUGUUUGGAUCUACAACAAAGGGUAUCAUCCCUUCCUAGGGUGGCUGAAUGGUUUGUGGACAAACCUUUUAGAAAAACUUGUGUUUUGGGCCGCCCAUUUGGUGAUAAUAAGGUUUUCAGAACCUAAAAAUUAGAAAUCCAAGAUUCCCCCAUUAAUAUGGAAAAAUAUAUGAUUUUUGUGAACUCGAUGCUAAGUGGUCUUUUUAUACCCACUUUGCCCUUACAUAAUCUCCAUAUCAGCAUCCACGUUGCAUUAUUGCAAUCUGAAAUUUCCCAAACAACAUUUCUCUCUUUUUUUUAUUCCCUCAUCACCCGAACAAAGUGUCAUUUGAAAUUUUCCUAUUUUUGAAACAAGAUUUCUCGUCUUCCUCUCAUUUUGCCCUAACCCCAACCUAAGAUAGUCAAUUCAAUGAAAGAAACUCGAGCAUUCCCCUCAAAUCGUCUAUUUCCUACUCACUAUCACACCUACCAUAGGCAACACCUCUUCCUCACUAUCGUUGCCACAUUUUCCCUUGCCGCCUCCAAAUCCAAUGUUUCCACCUCUCUAUGUUACCUCUCUUAAUGUUCAAAGCCUGAACCUCUUUGGUGAAAUCUUUCCUAGUGAAACUUAAACUAAUAAUAUUUUCAUUUUGAGGUUAAUUAAAUUUAGAGAUUUUUUUUUUUUUUUUACUUCGUUACUUUCUAAUGCCUCUCAUUUUUUUUUUUCAUUACUGAUGAGGUUGUUGAAGAUAGAAGACACAUUUGUAAUGUUCUGGAAGGUCAACUCAAAAACACAGGCACAAUUUGUCCUCGUAUCUAUACUUUUGGCAUGGGUAUCAGGUCAGUGAAAAAUGUUAGAUUUCAUAUUCUAUUCAAUGAUCAUACAGGAUCGUAUGUUGAAUCACGUGAAGAAAUUAUGUCAUAAUUACUAUUAAAAAUUGUACCAACCUGAAUCCAUGUGUGAAUUUGAAGACGGUACGGAUCUUCUAAGGCUGAUGGAGGGCACCACCUUUCUCUGGAUUCUCUCAGGCAAUGGGAGCGGAAGAGAGAGCGGUUCUGUUCUUUCAAAAGGAUGUGAUAGAUCCAAAAGACACAAGCCUAAGCCUUUUAUACCCUCCUAUCUUAGGGACCAUACCCAUUGGUUAUUGGGCCUCAUGGGCCUUAGGCCCAUCAUCUAAAGCCCGUGAUGGCAUUGGGCUUUACACUUUAGGUGGUCCAUACUCAAGAUUAAAUCAGAAAUUGCAUGUUAAAAGAUAGCUUAAUCCUGGACAAUGUUUAAUAUAUUGUCGGUCCACAUUUAUUCUAUCAAUCUCCCACUUGGACCACAUAUAUAUUACAAACAAUGUUCAUGAUAGUACUUUAUUGAGCUCAUCUUUGCUAUCUUAUUCAAAAUAUCCUUAAACAAUCCGGUCUACUAAUUAUGCUAACAUAGGAUUAAAGCGGCCUUCGUUAAUCAUAAUUAUAACUUGACCUAUCAUCAAUCACAACAUUAACAAAAUUAGCAACAUGGAUCAAGUAUGGAUGUGUAGUAUGGAAAUUAUAUAGAAUAUGAUCUUCAAUAUGUCUAUUUCCAAUUGGUCCUACUUUAUGACUAAAAGAUAGCCAAAUACCACUUUCAACACUUGAUGCUAAACUGCUUUUGAAAGUCAUCAUUUCAAUUUAGAGUGUUCAAAUACAAUAGUCUUUAAAAUCAAGAUCUGUACAGAUAACACAACAUAAUAUCACAUCAAGAGAAUAAACACAAAAUCUAGAUACAAACUCCCACUAUUCUGACACAUCAUCAAUGUGUACAACACCCAUAUGUGUGACGUGCUCAUGAUAUACUUUGGGUGGCAAACCCUUAGUGAGCAGAUCCGCAAUCAUGGAGUUUGUACUUAUGUAUUCAAUUGAUACUUGAAGACUCUGAACUCUCUCUUUCACAACCAAGAACUUGAUGUCAAUGUGUUUGGACUUUGACGAACUUCGGUUGUUCUUAGAAUAUAAUUCUGCGGCCUUAUUAUCACAGUUAAUUCUCAACGGUUUCUCAAUCUCAUCAACUAUUCGUAACUGAGUGACAAAAUUCCGCAGCCAUAUCCCAUGGUUUGAUGCUUUGUAGCAAGCUAUGAAUUCUGCCUCCAUGGUGGAAGAAGCAAUAAGUGUUUGUUUAACACUUUUCCAUGAAACUGCUCCUCCAGCCAACAUGAAGAUGUAGCCUGAAGUGGAUCUCCUACUGUCAAGACAUCCCGCGAAAUCGGAGUCCGAAUAUCCCACGAUUUCUAAACGACUUGAUCUACGGUAUGUGAGCAUGUAAUCUUUAGUUCUUUGUAAAUACCGCAUAACUCGUUUUACCUUUUUCCAAUGAUCCAUACCUGGGUUACUUAAAUAUCUGCCUAACAUUCCAACAAUGUACGCAAUAUCCGGACGCGUACAAACUUGUGCAUACAUGAGACUUCCUACUACCGAGGCAUAGGGAAAUCUCUUCAUAUCUUUCUUUUCAAGUUCAUUUUUCAGACAUUGGUGCAAACUAAACUUAUCGCCUUUUGCUAUAAGCGUGUCUCCUGGUGCACAAUUGCUCAUGCCAAAUCUACUCAACACCUUAUCGAUGUAGGCCUUUUGUGAUAACCCAAGUAUACCUCUUGAACGAUCCCUAUGGAUCUGUAUACCCAGCACAAAAGAUGCAUUACCAAGAUCCUUCAUGUCAAAUUUACUAGACAGAAAUUGCUUGGUUUCAUGCAAAAGUCCCACAUCACUACUUGCAAGUAGAAUAUCAUCAACAUAUAACACCAAGAUAAUAAAUUUGCUCCCACUGAACUUGAGGUAUAUGCAUUGAUCAACGGUGUUCUUCUUAAAACCAAAUGAAGUAAUCACUUUAUUAAACUUUCGGUACCAUUGUCGGGAUGCUUGCUUUAAGCCAUAUAUGGACCUUUUUAAUCUGCAUACAAGUUGCUUUGAAUCAUUAGACUCAAAGUUCUCCAGUUGCACCAUGUAUAUUGUCUCAUCAAUGUUGCCAUUAAGAAACGCAGUUUUAACGUCCAUUUGUACUUGAGGUUCUUGAGGUUGUUGAGUUACCUCUUGAUGAACUUCAAUCGGUUCCAUAACUUGAGCAGGAGGAAUCUCAGGUGUUUCUUGAAUCCCUAUUAUCGAUUGUACAUUUUGAAUAGUGUCAUCAAACAUAAUAUAACCAUGUCCAGUCGUAAUAAUAUGAAUAUUAAUAAUAGGAAUAUUAACAGAUUUUUCUUCAAAGACCACCUUUCUUAAUGGCUCUCUCCCACUUAACUCAACAUCCUUAAUGAACUUAGCAUUGCCCGUUUCAAAGAAAGAUCUAGUUGAGAGAUCAUAAAAUUUGAAACCUCUCGACCUUUUAGAAUACCCUACAAAGUAGCAGCUUACUGUUCUGGAGUCCAAUUUCUUUUCAUUUGGCUUGUAAGGCCUAGCUUCAACUGGACAACCCCAGACAUGCAAGUGCCUAUGUAGACCCUCAAUUUUGUCCCUUUAGCACAUGUCUUUAAAAUUCAUUUUCAAUGCUCUGACUCAUGCCCAAUUGGUGUCUCAGCUGAUUUGUGUUCAGCUGGUGCUCCUUGAUUGAGGAAGUGAUCAACAAAAUUUAUACCUAUAACACCAUACACUAGGGUAGCAAAUACAAAGCUACUAUAGUAUAGUGGCUCUAAGGAUCGUUCACUGGGAAUGAUUUGCAAGCAAUCAAGGAUACCAAUUCCAAGUGAAUUGGUCUUGUUUCAUUUCACGGUUAGCUUAAGAAGUAAAACACAAAGUUUGAUUGGUAAAGGUUGAGACUUAAACUAACUAACUUAAUAGAAGUUUGGAAUAAUUUAGGAAGAAAAGCAUUCCUUGGAGAUUUAGGUUCACUGGGGUGGUUCCUCAUGCAAAAGACAUAGCUCCGGUCAGAUGGUUCAUUUCCUCGCAUUAGAGAUUCAACUUAUAGUCAAUUCUCUAACCGGUGAUGUACAGAGACUCCUUCAAUUAGAUUUCACUUUAAUUCUCUCACUGAUACAACUUGCAAUGGUUCAUGCCUCUCACGAGCACUUACCAUUCAAGGUGAUCUUUAACCUUGGACUUCCCUUCACAAACUCGCAAGAGAUAACUAAUGGAUGUCUCCUAGGAGUCCAAAAGCUUACCAAGUGUUGGUAAUUCCAGAAAAUCCUACCUUGAAGUCACCUAACAGAGGCUCGCAAGGGGUAAACUAGUGCAUUUCCACGGUUGGAAAUCACUUGCCUUACCAAGUGUUGGCCUAGGUGACUCCAAGGAGUUUUAAGUUAACUAAAAACAUUGAAAUCACUAAAGGAUUUCACUUCCUCUUCAUUACUAGCUAAAACCACAGAGCUUUGCAUUCUUGCACUUGGAACCUUCCCUGGCAACCUUAGCUCCAAGGAAUUGGAGGUUUAGUUACUCAUUCUCUGGGGAAAACUCCUUAGAGAAUUCAUAACUUAGAAAUAAAAUGAAAAUACAAAGUGAGAAGGUAAGGCAGUAGAAAGAAAAGAGACUUUACUUGCUUACCAAAUGGUUACAGAAGGAACUCCUCUUUGAGAACAUGCUCCCGAGAGGUAUUUAUAUCAAAGCAAUAAAAAACUAAUUCUUACACUGAUAUUUGGUCUUUUUACUAACUUAAAAACUAAGGAAUCAUGUAAUUGGUGGUUUACAAGGAGUAUUUUGGGAUUUAGACAACAAAAAUCUAAUGGAAAAUAUCUCCCAAUGUCGGUAGCAAGCUUCGGGAGGCUUCCGGAGCCAUUUCGCAGGAGAAAAGUGGUGCCUGCGAAAUUUCGCAGACACCCAAGAGGGCUGCGAAAUUAUUUCGCAAGACUGAGCUAUCUUCACCAGGCUGCAAAGUUGGCUUCCAUCUUGAAGUUUCUAGCUUCCCUCUCGCGGCAUGGUUCGUGCAUCGUUAGAAAGAGAAACACCUUACUGUACAAAAGUGUUGCGAAAUUCUCGUAACAAAAGGCUGAUUCCGCAACACUUUAGAGUGACUGGCUUGUAAUGGCUGCAACUUCUUCGUUUCAACUCCAAAUUGCACACCGUUUGAAGCAUUGGAUUGUUGACUUCCUGAGCUUUGAAAUGGUAUAUAGCUUGCAUCAUUUGGACUUCAGAAAGUGCUCCAAAAGUGGCUGCUACGACUGUCAUCAAGAAUAGGCUUUAUGGCAGAUUCUCUUUGCUUUUUCUCCUUGCAAUCCGGAUUCACUUUUGGUAAUUGAAUUCUAAGCUUUGCCCAUGAUUCCUCAUAGCUCUCCUCAUUCUUGACUUGCUUUGGUGAUCAAAAUACUAACAAAAACACCAAAACUUACACAAAGUGAUCAAAAUUGCUUUAAAGGAUCCUUAACAUGCCAAUUGAGUUAAAAGGCCUAAACUACUACUCAAANNNNNNNNNNNNNNNNNNNNNNNNNNNNNNNNNNNNNNNNNNNNNNNNNNNNNNNNNNNNNNNNNNNNNNNNNNNNNNNNNNNNNNNNNNNNNNNNNNNNNNNNNNNNNNNNNNNNNNNNNNNNNNNNNNNNNNNNNNNNNNNNNNNNNNNNNNNNNNNNNNNNNNNNNNNNNNNNNNNNNNNNNNNNNNNNNNNNNNNNNNNNNNNNNNNNNNNNNNNNNNNNNNNNNNNNNNNNNNNNNNNNNNNNNNNNNNNNNNNNNNNNNNNNNNNNNNNNNNNNNNNNNNNNNNNNNNNNNNNNNNNNNNNNNNNNNNNNNNNNNNNNNNNNNNNNNNNNNNNNNNNNNNNNNNNNNNNNNNNNNNNNNNNNNNNNNNNNNNNNNNNNNNNNNNNNNNNNNNNNNNNNNNNNNNNNNNNNNNNNNNNNNNNNNNNNNNNNNNNNNNNNNNNNNNNNNNNNNNNNNNNNNNNNNNNNNNNNNNNNNNNNNNNNNNNNNNNNNNNNNNNNNNNNNNNNNNNNNNNNNNNNNNNNNNNNNNNNNNNNNNNNNNNNNNNNNNNNNNNNNNNNNNNNNNNNNNNNNNNNNNNNNNNNNNNNNNNNNNNNNNNNNNNNNNNNNNNNNNNNNNNNNNNNNNNNNNNNNNNNNNNNNNNNNNNNNNNNNNNNNNNNNNNNNNNNNNNNNNNNNNNNNNNNNNNNNNNNNNNNNNNNNNNNNNNNNNNNNNNNNNNNNNNNNNNNNNNNNNNNNNNNNNNNNNNNNNNNNNNNNNNNNNNNNNNNNNNNNNNNNNNNNNNNNNNNNNNNNNNNNNNNNNNNNNNNNNNNNNNNNNNNNNNNNNNNNNNNNNNNNNNNNNNNNNNNNNNNNNNNNNNNNNNNNNNNNNNNNNNNNNNNNNNNNNNNNNNNNNNNNNNNNNNNNNNNNNNNNNNNNNNNNNNNNNNNNNNNNNNNNNNNNNNNNNNNNNNNNNNNNNNNNNNNNNNNNNNNNNNNNNNNNNNNNNNNNNNNNNNNNNNNNNNNNNNNNNNNNNNNNNNNNNNNNNNNNNNNNNNNNNNNNNNNNNNNNNNNNNNNNNNNNNNNNNNNNNNNNNNNNNNNNNNNNNNNNNNNNNNNNNNNNNNNNNNNNNNNNNNNNNNNNNNNNNNNNNNNNNNNNNNNNNNNNNNNNNNNNNNNNNNNNNNNNNNNNNNNNNNUUUUUUUUUUUUUUUUUGGAAAUUUUAGUUUUUGAUUAAUUCUUUGUGUUAAAGUUUAUAUUUUUUCUUUUUAAAUCCCCAAUUAGUUUAAUUCUAAUCUAUCUUUUAGUUUAAGUUUGUUAAUGAUUUUAAUUCUUAAGUUUAAAUAAUCAUAUUGAAUAAAGUUUGUAUUUUUAAUCCCAAUUAGUUUGAUUUCAAUUCGUUUUUAAUUUAAAUGCAUUAGUUGAUCUUAAUUCUUUGUUUUAAAUAAUCACGUUAAAUAAAGUUUGUAUUUUUAAUCCCAAUUAAUUCGAUUUCAAUUCGUUUUUUAGUUUAAAUGUAUUUUGUUGAUCUUAAUUCUUUAGUUUAAAUAAUCAUAUCGAAUAAAGUUUGUAUUUUUAAUCCCAAUUAGUUUGAUUUUAAUUUGUUUUUUUUAGUUUAAAUGUAUUUUGUUGAUCUUAAUUAUUGACUUUAAAUAAUCACGUUAAAUAAAGUUUAUGUUUUUAAUCUCAAUUAGUUUGAUUCCAAUUCGUUUUUAGUUUAAAUGUAUUUUAUUGAUCUUAAUUCUUAAGUUUAAAUAAUCAUAUCGAAUAAAGUUUGUAUUUUUAAUCCCAAUUAGUUUGAUUUUAACUUGUUUUUUAGUUUAAAUGUAUUUUAUUGAUCUUAAUUCUUAAGUUUAAAUAAUCAUAUCGAAUAAAGUUUGUAUUUUUAAUCCCAAUUAGUUUGAUUUUAACUUGUUUUUUAGUUUAAAUGUAUUUUGUUGAUUUUAAUUCUUAAGUUUAAAUAAUUGUAUUGAAUAAAGUUUGUAUUUUUAAUCCCAAUUAGUUUGAUUUCAAUUCAUUUUUAAUCUAAAUGCAUUAGUUGAUUUUAAUUCNNNNNNNNNNNNNNNNNNNNNNNNNNNNNNNNNNNNNNNNNNNNNNNNNNNNNNNNNNNNNNNNNNNNNNNNNNNNNNNNNNNNNNNNNNNNNNNNNNNNNNNNNNNNNNNNNNNNNNNNNNNNNNNNNNNNNNNNNNNNNNNNNNNNNNNNNNNNNNNNNNNNNNNNNNNNNNNNNNNNNNNNNNNNNNNNNNNNNNNNNNNNNNNNNNNNNNNNNNNNNNNNNNNNNNNNNNNNNNNNNNNNNNNNNNNNNNNNNNNNNNNNNNNNNNNNNNNNNNNNNNNNNNNNNNNNNNNNNNNNNNNNNNNNNNNNNNNNNNNNNNNNNNNNNNNNNNNNNNNNNNNNNNNNNNNNNNNNNNNNNNNNNNNNNNNNNNNNNNNNNNNNNNNNNNNNNNNNNNNNNNNNNNNNNNNNNNNNNNNNNNNNNNNNNNNNNNNNNNNNNNNNNNNNNNNNNNNNNNNNNNNNNNNNNNNNNNNNNNNNNNNNNNNNNNNNNNNNNNNNNNNNNNNNNNNNNNNNNNNNNNNNNNNNNNNNNNNNNNNNNNNNNNNNNNNNNNNNNNNNNNNNNNNNNNNNNNNNGUAGAGACCUCUUUAGGGCUUAGAGGGGUGCUACCUCCUAGAGGUACCUUCCCAAUAAGUAACCUGAUCCCCGGACCAAGACUUGGGUUUUCAAAGACACGCUUUUCCAAAAAUUAUGGAGUCAUUUUUUUAGGGUUUUAUUUCUUGUUUUAUUUUCCCUUCAAAAAUAAAAAUAAAAUAAGUGGCGACUCCAACUUUUUUUCAAAAAAUCAAAUUUUCACAAAUAAAUAAAAAGCGAGUCUCGCCGAUCGAAUGGGGACGCACGUGAAAAAUGCGGGUCCACAGCCUAAUACUAGGUUUCUUGCUAGUCCAUAACUCAUAUGGGGUUUUGGCUACUGCUUUGCUUGGUACUCUAUUCAAAAUAUAAACUGCAGUUUUAAUGGCUUCGCCCCAAAGUGAUUCUGGUAAGGUGGAAUGAUUGAUCAUACUUCUUACCAUAUCCUUAAGAGUACGGUUUCGCCUCUCUGCUACACCAUUUUGGCUCGAUACCACACUUCAUCAAAUAUUUGGCGAAUGGCCCUGGACGUUGUUCUCCGGAUCCGUCAUAUCUACCAUAAUAUUCACCUCCACGGUCAUAUCUGACAGCUUUUAUUUUCUUGCUUAGUUGGUUCUCAACUUCAGCUUUGAAAUUCUUUAACACAUCCAAUGACUGAGACUUUUCAUGAAUCAAAUAAAGAUAGCUAUAAUGCGAGUAAUCGUCAAUGAAAGUGAUAAAAUAUUGUUGUCCAUUCCAUGAAGGGGUAGGAAAUGGACCACAAAUGUCUGUAUGUAUCAAUUCCAAGACGUCACUGCACCUAUUGGCAUUCUUUUUCUUCAUAUUUGUUUGUUUUCCUUUAAUGCACUCUAUACAGACUUGAAAGUCUGAGAAAUCAAGUGGAUCGAGAAUUCCAUCUGACACAAGUCUUUGUAUUCGUUGAUUUGAAAUAUGACCCAAACGCUUGUGCCAUAACAUUGAUGAAUUCUCAUUCAUUAAUUUUCGCUUAAUGCAUAAUUACUUGAAUGCAAGGUUUCAUUUCCAUUAGUGGCCUUUAUGUUCAAUUUAUAUAGUUUGUUUGUUAGACUACCUGUACCAAUAAUAUUUGAAUUUAGAUAAAGACUAACCAUUCCAUUUCCAAAUGAACAACAAUAUCCAAAUUUGUCCAAACAUGAAACAUAAAUUAAAUUCCGUCUAAACGACGGUACUACAAAAAUCUCUUCCAAAUCCAAUGUACAUCUAGAGUCUAACUGUAAUCUGAAAAGACCAAUAGCCUUGACUGCAGCCUUGUUGCCAUUUCCCACAUAGAUGUAUCUUUCACCAUCAGUUGGCAUUCGGCUCCUUAGGCAACCCUGCAUAGUGACACUAAUGUGAGUAGUUGUACCCGUAUCUAUCAACCAAGUGUCAGUAGGCACUACAGCUAAAUUAAUUUUUGAACAAACAAAAUUGAGAAGUGUACCUUUCUUUUCAUGCCACUCAGCGUAUUUGGUACAUGUCUUCUUCAUAUGAUCAGCCUUCUUACAAAAGAAACAAGUGAUCUCCUUAUCUUGUUUCUUUUGCUCCUUUUGCUUUGAUGUCCCAAAAACUACAGUUUGUUUUCCUUUAUUGUCCCUCUUUCUUUUCUUGUUGGUACCAAAUCCCUGAGAUGUGGAAGCCAAGUGAGCACUUUCUAUCUUUUCUUGCUUCAAUCUCUCUUCCUCUUGCACACAUUAAGCAAUAAGUUCAUUCAAAGUCCAUUUUUCCUUUUAUGUAUUGUAACUGAUUUUGAAUGGACUGAAUUAUGUAGGCAUAGAGAUCAAGACCAAGUGCACGAGUAUGUCUUUCGACAACUCUAACUUUAGUGCCUUGAGUCUCGUCACAAGAUUAGACAUUUCCAUAAUGUACUCUCUGAUAUUCUUUUUCCCUUUAUACCGCAUAGAGACAAGCUUACUAAGAAUAGUGCUUGUCUCAACCUUUUCGUUUGCAGCGAAUCAGUUUGCUAUCUGGUCCAAGAAUGCCUUAGCUUGGGUUUCCUCAGGUAUUGCACCCCUUAUUGCUUCUGGAAUUGAGUGCUUCAUAAUCAUUAGACUCAUGCGAUUGGAUCGCUCCCAUUUUUCCAUAGUAGACCUUUGCUCAACAGUGUUGGCACUAGUAAGAUCUGAAGGGCGAUCCUCCCUUAAUGCAAAGUCUAAAUCCAUGCACCCGAGCACAAUUAUAACGUGCUCUUUCCAUUUCUUGAAGUUUGUGCCAUUAAGCACAAGAAUGUUAUUAACAUUUGCAGAUAUAGAAGAUGCUGAAUUCAUAAUAAUAAAGCUCACAAUCAGUCACAUAAGCAUCAUACAUACAUGAAUAAAUAUACAUCAUGCAAGAUACCAGCACAAACAUUAAUAUUCAGUCUUUGGACAAAAAUAUUAACUUGUAAUUGGUAUCCUUAUACAAAAUUAAUUCAUAAAUAUUGACAAUAAAAUCAAACACAAUAUGUCUGUCUUUGGACUAACAUAUCAAUGCAAGAUAAACAUUAUAUGUCACAUAUUUAUGACUACUUUAUCUAUUAAAAUAAUCUUCCUUUGGGCCGAUUAUUUUAAAUAAUAAUAAUAACAUGUUUCAUACUUCAAAAUGAAUAAAAUUAUAUAAUAUAAGUCACUUUGGCAACAAAUAUAUAGAUAACCUAUUCAUUUUGAAACGUUAAACAUAAACGUAAUAAGAAAUAAUAAAUUCUAUAAAAAAAAAGAAUACAGAAAUUCAUCAAAACCAUAAAUUUAUUAUAGUACAAAAUUCAUAAAUAAACAUAAGAGUCUCAUAGCCUAGUUGGUCAAGCACAAGGUUGAAAACCUUGUGGUUGUGGGUUCGAGCCCCAUUGGUGGCCUUACUCAUUUUUCCAUUUUCUUUUUUUCUUUUUUUUUUAUAUAUCAAAAACGCCAUUCAUGGCGUUGGAGGCCGCCCCUGAAGCGCGCACCAGCCGCACCUGAAUUGGCGCUGCAAAAGUUGUCUGCAGCGGCCCAAGAUAAAUGGCGCUCGAAGUGCGCCAAAACGGCGUUGGAGAUGGCACUUUGACGGCGCCUGGACGUUGCCUGAGACGGCAUUUGGACAACGCUUCCCAGGGCGCCUGAACGGCGUCACCGUUGGUGCCUUAACGGCGUCAGAAACAACGCCUAAAGCAGCACCCUAAACCGCGCCUGAAGGCGCUGGAAUGACGCGCCUGAAACGCGCCAGUAGUGUUCUUGAAACGCACCUAAACCGCGGCCUUAAACCUCACCUGCAAUGGCCUGCCUAAUCUGCACCCAAAUGGCUCCUGAAGGCGCUGGAAUGGUGCGCCUGCAAUGGCGCCUGCAUCGUGCCUCCAAGGCACGUGAACAACGCCUCCAAAAGGCGCCUGAAUUGUGCCUUGACUGGCACCUUAACGCCAUCGGAGAGACGCCCUGAAGGGCGCUGCAUAACAACGCCUUUACGGCGCUGAAGAGGCACUUUAAUGGCAUCUGAGUGGCGCCUGCACUGACGCCUUCUCUGGUGCCUCCAAAUGCGCGUGAAACGCACUUCCAAUGGUGCUGAAUCCAAUCAAAAGGAAAAACAAAGGCAGUACAAUUUUUAUUGCCCUAAUAUACCAUUUCUAAGUGAUUCAACAUUGGGCUCUGAUACUAAUUUGUAAGAUUUCAUAUUCUAUUCAAUGAUCAUACAGGAUCGUAUGUUGAAUCACAUGAAGAAAUUAUGUCAUAAUUACUAUUAAAAAUUGUACCAACCUGAAUCCAUGUGUGAAUUUGAAGACGGUACGGAUCUUCUAAGACUAAUGGAGGGCACCACCUUUCUCUGGAUUCUCUCAGGCAAUGGGAGCGGAAGAGAGAGCGGUUCUGUUCUUUCAAAAGGAUGUAAUAGAUCCAAAAGACACAAGCCUAAGCCUUUUAUACCCUCCUGCCUUAGGGACCAUACCCAUUGGUUAUUGGGCCUCACGGGCCUUAGGCCCAUCAUCUAAAGCCCGUGAUGGCAUUGGGCUCUACACAUUAGGUGGUCCAUACUCAAGAUUAAAUCAGAAAUUGCAUGUUAAAAGAUAGCUUAAUCCUGGACAAUGUUUAAUAUAUUGUCGGUCCACAUUUAUUCUAUCAAAAAACUCUUAUGUUCUUGAUCUCACAAUCUUAUAGUGCUUCUAUUCCUUAUGAAUUUUCCAUUCAAUUUUUUGUCUUUUUUAUGUGAAUGACUUUACAGAUUCAUACCAUAGUCAUAACUUCUUACAAUGUUAGCAUAGAUUGGAAGACGUUACUAUGAUGUUGGUCAGUUUAUUGGGUUGUAACUUUAUUUAUUUCUUCAUCACAAAUAAUAACACUGAUGUUGAACUAAUUUACUAAUUGUUGUUCAUGUUGAUAUUACUAAUGCUAAUGUUAAAAGAGGGUAACAAGGAAAAAGUAAAAAAUUAUUAGUUUGGAGCCUAGUUGCAAUAAAUAAAAAUUAAUUACUUUUAAAUUUCAGGUAGGGGUUAGGGAAAAAUGCAACAGAAUGACAGGAAGACGAUAUAUUUUUUUUAAGGAAACCAAUAUUUUGGAUUUCAACUUUUCGUUCAGUUACACUUUGCUAUAGCAAAAUCAGAAUCACAGUUGUGCCUAUUGAAGUUGUCUUUUAAUUGGGUGUUCUUAGGAUGAAGUGCUACAUUUGGUUGCUAAGAAAGUAGACAAGAAAGAAAAAUGUAGGUUGGAGUUUUGGAACCUUUAGUAACCUUUAGGUACUACCUUAGUAACCUUUAAGUACUACCUUAGUGAGAAAAUAAAAGCUAAUCUUAAAUGAGAAAAACACCCAAGAGAGGGGUGAAUUAGGUUUUUCAAAAACUUUUUCAACACAACAAAUUCAAGCACAAUAGAAAUAAAUAUAAAGAGAUAGAGUGAAUUCAAACUCAUAUUUUAUAGUGGUUCGACACUUCCUUGUCUACGUCCACUCUCCUCAAUCUCUUAACCGAGUGAGGGUUUCACUAACUUGGAGCUUCAAACAAGCUUCUAAUCUCCUUUACACUUGGAUUCUGACGCCAAUGAGCUCUUAUACAAUCUCUUCAAGAUUCAACUCACUUGAAGGCUCUAACACUCAAUUUACAAGAAUGAUCUCCUCUCAACCUAGCUCAAUAAUGGCUCAAAUACAAAUCAAAGCUAAGAUAACUCACAAUGGUGCACUAAAAGAUAUGCAAGUGAAGAUUUAAUGCACUAAUAAAGAAAUGAGAGCUUUUAAGAUAAGAACAAGUGGGUAGACAAUUAAAUGCAAGUUUUCUCUAUUUCAUGAAUGAAGUGGAGCUCUCAAUUUAUAGGUUUCUAACAUCGGGAACCAAGAAAAACAAAAAGUAGUCUCAACCAAUCGAGCUGGGGUCGACUGGUUCACUAGUCGUUUGAGCAUUUAAUGCUUUGGCAGGUUACCGUUUCUCUAUGUCAUUAAUGCUUUGUCAUUUCCUAGAACACUCACUUGUUUCAUGGCAUAGUAAGAAGCAAAAUUCGGUAGCUUUGUCUACGGCAGAAGCCGAAUAUAUAGCAGCCGGUUUAUGUUGUGCACAAAUCCUUUGGAUGAAACAAACACUUAGUGAUUUCAAUUUGAUUUUUGAGCAUGUUCCUAUUAAAUGUGAUAACACUAGUGCCAUAAACAUUUCAAAAAAUCCAGUGCAACACUCUAGGACUAAGCAUAUAGAGAUUAGACACCAUUUUCUUAGAGACCAUGCACAAAAGGAUGACAUUACACUUGAAUUUGUAAGCACAAAAGAUCAACUUGCCGAUAUUUUUACAAAACCCCUAAGUGAAGAGCAAUUUAUUGAUAUUAGAAGACAACUAGGGGUGAUUUCUUUAUGAUCAAAUGAUUGCUUAAUGAAUUCUUGAUUGAAUAUACCUUAUGAUUGCGUGAAUUUCAUAUCAUAAGCAUCAUAUAGAAAUAAUCUUAGGAAAGAGGUCAAAUUUUGACCAAAAAUCAAAAUUCCCGUGACAUUGGACAUAAAAAAUUGGAGAUUUCAACUGAAAAGGGCAGUGGGAGGAUCAUGAGACAAGAAAAUGCAAAAAAUUGGACCGUUGACCGUUGACCGUUGACCGUUGACCGAUGAUCUUUGACCAAGCGAUAGACCGGUUGAGGAAUCGGUCGACCAGUUCGUCGGGGCUGGGAAUUUAAAAAGACCCCCGCGUGUUAUUUCUCUCACUAUUCUCCUUCACUCCUUGAAAACCCUUCACAUACCUGCUUCUAAAGACCAUUUUGGGUUGGAUUUUGGACUGAUUGAAGGCUUUGGAGUUGAUCUUGGAACGCUUUAGGCUAGGGUUUCAUUUUGAAAGGAUUUUCAGAUUUGGGUGCUUCUUCUCUCUGACCGCACACCUCAAGCUUGGAUUCAGCCUCAUUUCCGUGCAUUUAGGGCUUCAGGUUGGACUUCAUUCCCUCUCAUUUGGUUUCAGCCUCAUCUCCGUUCAUUUUCUCCCUUUUUCGUUCCUUUGAUGGCUCCUAGGCGAGAGACGGGCACCUCCAGGGCUCAGGGCAAGCACCCUACUGAGCCAUCUCAGCCUGAGCAGACGGAGGCUCGCCGAAAGGUGAGGUAUGACACGACCCUCUUCAGUUCUGUCAAAAAUUAUUAGCGAUACAAGCAAAAGUUCGCCUAAAGGAAAGUCAUCCUGGGGAGAAGUAUCAAUUUCUCCCAACUUUAGCACUUCGGGUUUGAGGGACUCUUCAAUAGGAUGGGAUGGCUACCAGUUGUGACGAUUUUUGAGCAGAUCUUCCCGACUCUAGUGCAGGCUUUUUAUUCACGGGUGACCUAUGGGCUUGGAGGACCGGUAUUGUCCACAGUUAAAGGAAUUGAGAUCAGAUUGAGCCCAUAGAGUAUUUGCCGCAUUCUCGAUAUUCCUUCAGUUGGACUUCGAGUUUAUGAGGCAAAAGCGUGGCCCACUAUGCCGGGAUUCGAGCCUAAAGAGGUUGUUCAGAGGUUGUGCGGACUCACAAAUGCCCAAGGGAUGGGCAAACCAUCGGCACACAGCCUGACCGUGCCCAAUCAGGUCCUUCAUCACAUGAUCUGCUCCAUCUUAUUGCCACGAGGAGGAGAUCGAGACGAGGUCUCCUACCUUGAGGCCUUCAUUGUGGACUCGAUUCUGAUUGGGAGACGGAUUCACGUAGGGUAUCUGAUGAUGAUGCAUAUGAUAUCCUGCAUUGAGAGCACGACUUGAGUACUCCCCUACGACUGUUUCCUUACCCGUGUAUUCAAGGAUACCGGGGUUGACUUGAGCAGAGAGACGGUCUUCGAGGCCCCUACUAGCUAUGACACUUAUGAUGAGCAAUCCUUGGAGCAAAUGAAGUUCGAGAAGGCACCUGAUGGCUCCUAGGUUAGGAGAGUUAAGUGAUAGGCCUGAGGACAGGGACAAAUGCAUCCCGGAGCAGAUGAAAAGGCCGAGAUCAGAGAGAUGGAGGAUGGGUUAGACCCUUAGAGGGAUUUUGAGCAGAGAGGGCUCGAGCUUGACAUUCCGCCUCCACCUCAGUCAGAAGGUAUUCAUGUUGAGGCCACUUUCUCAGAGCCUAUGAUGACUGAGUCGUCUUACACAACAGGACCAUCAUCUCAGCCAUCAUUUGUUGAGCUUCCUCACACAAAGCUACCAUCUCAGGCACCUCACACCGAUUACUACCAAAAAAUGCUAUUUUGUAGAUCUAAUUAUAAUGGUUUCAAGCACCUUUAAGUAGUAAUCAUAUUCAUUUAACCCAAUUAAUUCAUUAAGGUCCUUAGUAAUUGGUUUUAACCAUUUUGUGGCAAGUUUACAUAUUUUUAUUAGCUUAUGAACCAAUUCAAGCAUGCCAAUUGAUGGAAGAGAUAUUUGGGCGAGUUAAGCAAGGAUUUUGGACAAUUACAUGCUUGAAUUUCAAGUGGAAACACGAGCACAAGCAAUGGAGAAGAGGAAAACAGAGUGAAGAAAACAACUGCAGUCUUCUUUUGCACUUUUGAAGCACUUUCUGAAGUCCAUUUUUUUGUAUUCUAUAUACCAUUUGAAAUCUUAGGAAGUCAAGAAUCCAACGCUUCAAACCGUGUAUGAUUUGGAGCUGAAAUGAGGAAGAUAUGGCCUUCGGAAGGCAACUGGAUCAUGUCAAAUGACCAAUUUCGCAAGGAGAUUUUCUUCAUGGUGCGAAAUUUUGCCACUUCGCACCAUGAAGAAACACCUUGUGAAAUUUCGCAAGGUGGAUUUAGGCACAUUGCGAAAUUCCUUUGAAUCCCCUGUUUUGAGACGUUGUUGAUGUUAUUCCACUGCCGGUUCUCCAAGAUAUUUUGCUUGAUUUUUAGCUUUGUAAAUACCUAUUUUACCCUUGUAAUCAACCAAUGAAUAGGUUGCUUUUGUAAUAGCUCUUGUAAUUUAGCUUGUUAUUGUCUUUAAAUAGAGGUGAAGAGCCUCAGAUCAUCGAAUCUUGUAACCUGUAACUUUAUAAGUUAUAAGAGCACUUUUGUUCAUACGUUUCUUUUCUCUUUUCUUUCUCAUUUUCUUAGUAGCCAAACAUCCUUGGAGGAUGAAAUCCCCAAGGAUGAGAGGCUAAAACCUUUUAGUUUCUUGAAGUAAUGGAUGCCAUGUGAAGCUCCCGUGUCAGGAUGGAGAUUUCCAAGCCAUGAAUGUAAGUAGCUGAGCGUCAUAAAUGUUUUCAUUCAAAGUAAAGCUUUUAAUCCCUCUGACUUGCUUUGAAUGGCCAAUACUUGAUAACCUUUUGGUCUCAGUGGAUUCUUAUUGUUAGAUCCACUGAUGUUCAUUAGUUAUCUCCUACGAGCCAUUGUAUUGCAAGUCGAGGAGAUGACCUAUAUCAUUAAAAGGGCAUUUAUGAGGUUCAGCUACCCUUUUUGUAAGUUUUCAAGGACUAAAACUCAGUUGUUAAACUCAUACCGGUUCGGGAAGUAAGCAUCACCUUAGUUGCUUCCCCAACUCGAGGUGAAAAGUCCCAAAAUCUCCAUUUUUACACAGUGAGUUAAGCAUGGCUAUCCAAAGCUUUGAGAAACCUCCUUUUCCAUCUUUUAACCUAUUUUCAUGUUUGUUUAGUUUACAACACCUUCAUCUUUUUAUGUUUUCAUCUUAACCUAAUUUUUAUUAAGAAAAGUUCACUCCAUCCUCCGAACUUCAGCAGUUAAAGUAAAAACCCUUCCUAGUGUUCGAUCCUAGAGCCACUAUGCUAUAGUAGCUUUGCUACUUUAGUGUAAGGACCUUAGGUAUAAAUUUUGUUGAUACCCUUACAUGCCAAGCUACCAAGAGUCGGGUUGUCACACACUCUUGAUCAUGCGCCUUGGAUGGAUGUCUCAGCUCAGAUCAACUCCCUUGGGACACGUAUGGAAGAGCUUACUCUAGUCCAUGACACUCGCUUCUAUUCUAUGGAGGAGCACAUAGGUCAGUAUCAAACUGGCUUCACUUCUCGAUUUGAGCACUUCUAACAGAGAUUUGAGCGCAUAGAAGAGCGUAUGGAUCAACAGCAGGCUACAUUCGAGCAUCUCCAGUAGAGUAUUGAUCACAUUGAGAGUCGCCAGGCGAGUUAGCAUGAGGAGAUGAUGGCUUACCUUCGCUCUGUAUUUCCUCCUCCACCCCCUCAGCCUUGAGAUUAGCUAGAGUUCCCCCUCAAUUUCUUUUUUAUGUUGCCAAAAAGGGAGAAAUAUAUAGGAUCUAGGAGACCCUCAUGCAUAUCAUUGUCAUCAUUGUCAUAUUUAUCUUGUUUAACAUAUGUUUUCAUGUACAUGUGAAGUUACCAUAUAUAUAUGAUAUGAUAUUUUUAUGAUCCAUUGUUUCCUAUUCAAAUUUUCGUGUUUUACAUUGUUUCCUAUUAAAAAUUGUUUGAUUGAUCCAUGAUUGGUUUGAGGGGGAGAUUUUUUUCUCUCUUAGAUAACCAAGGUUUGUCAUCAUCAAAAAGGGAGAGAUUGUUAGCCCAAGGGUUCUCCUAAUCAGGUUUUGAUGAUAACAAACCAUGGUUAAGUGACUAAUUGGUUUAAUGAUUAAGAAUCUCAGGCAUAAACUCGAAAAUUCAUAAAAUGACCAAAUGGAUACAAGAUCGAGAUGCUUGGAAGACUUGUGAUCAUAGGAAACUAAUGUAAAAUGAAUGCAUGAAUGCACUUAGGAUUUUCACACAUUUCAUGCAACAUAGAAAACUCGGUUUAUUCUUUAAAACUUUGAUUUCAUUAAAACCCGAGUUUUUAACUAAUGUACCUUAGGCAAAAUAUUUUAUAAUUGGCUUAAUAAUUCACCUAAAGACCUUACCUAAGUGUUAGAAAAGAAAGGAAUUAAAAAAAAAAAAGGUUUUCGGGGUCAAAAAGGCUCAAUCGGUCGAGGCUAUGGCCAACCGGCUCAACCGAUUGAGGAACCGGUCAACCGGUUGUUCUUGUCCGGUAGAGGACCGGUCGAUGGAUGCCAAAAACUUUCUCUCUCUCCUAGUGGCCUUCUCUUCCUGAUCGAGGUGAUUCUUUUCCUGGUCGAGGACCGGUUGAGGCAACGAUAACCUGUCAUGCAUUAAAUGCUCCAACAGCUAGUGAACCGGUCAACCCCUAACUCGAUCGGACGAGGUUACCUUUUGCUGUUUUUUACUCCCGAGCUUAGAAACCUAUAAAUUGAGAGCUCCACUUCAUUUUUUUAUAAGAGAACGCUUGCAUUCAAUAGUCUACCUACCUAUUUUUGAUCAAAAAGCUCUCAUUUCUUUCAUAGUGCAUUAAAUCACCACUUGCAUAUCCUUUAGUGCACUCUUGUGUGUCAUCCUAGCUUUGUCUUGUAUUUGAGCUAUCCUUAAGCUAGGUUGAGGGAUUAUUUCUUGUAAAAAUCUUAGUGUUAAAGCCUUCAAGAGGUUUGAAUCUUGAAGAGAUUGUGUAAGAGCCCAUUGGAGCCGGAAUCCAAGUGUAAGAAGAUUAGAAGCUUAGUUGAAACUUCAAGUUAGUGGAACCCUCACUCGGUUAGGAGAUUGAGGAAAGUGGACGUAGGUAAGGAAGUGUCGAACCACUAUAAACUCGAGUUUGAAUUCUCUAACUCUAUUUUUUUAUUUUGCUUAUAUUGUGUUUGAAUUUGUUGUGAUUGAAAAGAUUUUAAAAACCCAAUUCACCCCCCCCCCCCUUUUGGGUGUUUUUCUUAAUUAAGCAUAGCCUUUGUUUUCUCAACAUUCUUAUUGUGUGUUUAUGUGUAGAUGAUUUAAUUAUCACUAGUAAUAAUUUGAAGAUGAUUGUGGAAUUCAAAGAGGUGAUGAUUAGUCGGUUUGAGAUGACAAAUUUGGGAUUGAUGCCUUAUUUUCUUGGGAUUGAAGUAAUUCAAAGUAGAUACAAGUAUCUUCCUUUUUUUAAAUAAGUAUGCAAAUGAUAUUCUUAAAAAAUUCAAGAUGGAAUCUUAUAAUCUUAUUCUAACUCAAAUUAAAGAAAGACUUAAAUCAGGAAAAAGUAAGUAUGGUGAGUUAGUUGAUCCUACUAAUUUUAGAAGAAUGAUUGAAAGUUUGUGGUAUUUGACUUCUAUAAGACCAGAUAUUAUAGUUAGAGUUGGACUUGUAAGCAUAUUUAUAGUCUCCAUGUCAGUUUCACUUGCAAGUAGUAAACCACAUAUCCUACAAUACAUUAAAAUUAUGCAAAGUGAUGGCAUUUUUUAUACAUAUUACAACAAGAUUGAGCCUAUUGGAUACACAGAUAGUGAUUGGGCAGUUUAUAUAGAAAAACAAAAAAGACCUCCGAGCUAUAUGUUUAAUCUUAGCUUAGGAGUUUUUUUCAUUUAUUUAUUUAUUUAUUUUUGUCAUCAAAUAAAUAACAAGUAGUUGUUUUUUCAGUAGUAGAAGCAUAGUAUAUUACAACCACUAGUGGUGCUACUCAAGCAAUAUCGUUCCAUCAAAUGCUUUUUGACAUAAAGCAUACUCAAGAAGUUCCCACAAAGAUUUUUGUGAUAAUAAAUCAACAAUCACAUUGACCAAAAUCUGAUUUUUUUAUGGAAGACGCAAACUUAUUAACAUCAAGGCCUAGUUUCCAUGGCCUACUUACAAAUGUAUACUAUUCCGAAUGCCUUGGUUUUCAUAUCAAAAAAAUAAUAAUUUCUUUUAAUAUUGUCCUAUCUGUGAUCUUAUCCUCCUGCUUCUAUUUUGCCAUGCUUUUUUUUUUAAUCUAUAAAAAUCUUAUAUAAUAUUUUAUAUGUAUUUGUUACAUGCAUGUCUUCCUAAUCAUUUUCAAAAGAUUACUUUUUUUAUAUAAUAUAGAAAUAUUUGGUUAAAAGGGAUGAAAUAAUUUGUAAAUUGUGAAUCUAACCCUUUUCAUGUUUUUUUCUUGAAAAGUAACCCAAUUUUAACAUAAAUGUCAUUUAUCAUUUGAAAUAUUUACAUGUAGGUUUUUAAAGAGAUGGUUAUUUUUACAAGAAAAAUAAUGAAGGCAUUUGUCCAAAUGAGGCCAAAAGAUGAUGGAAGGUCAAACUUAAAAAAUUGGGUAUUCAAAAAUCCUUUUAAUCAAAUAACCCUAUAAUAUAUUACCAAAGACUAAUAAAACACUUUUUUCUUGUUAAUUUCAAUCCAUUAAUUGACUUUUUUUUUUAAUGAAAGCGUUGCUAACAAAAGUGCUAUAAAUAAAGACAUUUUAUGGUAUUUGUUUGACAACAAAUUUUAUGAGAAUAAUUUUUUUGUAGUAAAAUAUAUUUGACCAAAAAUUUUAUUUUAUUGUAAAAGGGGGAGCUUCCACCAUAAAUUUUAUUUUGGCAAAAAGUUAUUUUUUGAUAUGUCGCCAUAAAUUGUAUUUUGUGGUGAAAAGUGACUUGUUGUCACAAAUUUUAUUUUGUAGAGAAAUUAUUUAUUUUAUUAUGAAAUUAAAUUUCAUGGUUAAAAAUAAUUGUUUAUGAACUUACAAUAAUAAAUUUGCACCAAAAUAAUUUUUUGUGGAAAAAAAUCUUUUACUAUAGAACACUUUUUUUUUUAAUUACAAAUUAAUUUACGGCAAAAUCCCAUAUUUGAGUUUCAAUGAUCUAGUUUAGGAAUUCCAUGGAUAUGACUUUCUAACUAAGGAAGUUGAAGCAUGUCCUAUUGAACAUGCAAGCUUUCUUCCAUUGCAUCAUUCGCCACAUUUUUUUUCCUUUUCCUUUUGUUUGUCUUUUUGGGUUACCGAGAAUGCCAUAAUUAGUGGGAAUAAAAGAGAGAAUAUAUGUUUGAAUUUUGUAUUGUCACAAAUGAAUGACUCAAUUCAUUGAAGGAGCUAGCAUCUUUUGGUCAUUCAACCUUUAUAUGUAACGGUGGAUGCGUGGUAAAGUUGAUAAUUCUAUUUGAUAGGUUUCUGAAUCUAGACGCUUUGUUUAACGUACAAAUUUGGAAUUUGAUUUGACCAAUUUCAUUUAAUUUUUGUAAAAAAAAUCAUAAUGAUUUAAUGCAGAGGAUGGAAGUCAGCAUGGGAAUAGUGUACUAUCUCAAAAAAGUUAUAUAUAUAUAUAUAUAUAUAUUUUGAAACUUUUACUUUUGACUCUUUAAUAUUUAAAUUUUUCUUUUGUUUUUUUCUUUUUAAAGUUCAUACAUUUUGAGGAUCGUAUUAUUCACUUUAAUAGUUAAAAAUCAUUAGCAUGCCAAAAGGCACCAACUUUUACUUUUUUUUUUUUUUUUUUUGAAGUUUAUACAUUUUUAGUAUGGAAUUAUUCACUUCAUUAGUCAAAAAGCUUAUCAUCCAUCAUGAUUAAUUUUAUUUUAUUUUUUAAAUAUGCACUUUUUUGUUUUUUGUUUUUUUUUUAUAUGUUGGCUUCAUAAAAUUUUUUAAUUUCAUUUUUUGCCACAAAUUUUCAUAUUUAUUGAUUUUAAUUAUUUAUGAACAUUUUAAACAUAAAAUAAUAAUAUAUAAUAAAUCAUUAAUGGGAACAAAUUUAAUAUAAAAAUAAAUACAUAACAACACAUUUAGAGAUUUAAGACAUAAGAUUUUUUAUAUUCCUAAAAAAAUUAUUUAUUUUAUAAAUCUUAUUACAUUGUCAUAUUAUUUUAUUGUUUGUAUUUUUUAAUAUUUUAAAAUUUUUUUAUGAAAAUCUGAAUCGAUGAUUAUGAUUUUAAUAUUUUACUUGUAAAUUUAACUUGACUACGGUUUUAACUUAUAUAUAUUAAAAUGUUUAAUAUUUUUAAUUAAAAAUGAUAAAAACCUGGUUGUGAUUUUAACUUUUAACAUUUUGCUUUGCCAAAAUUUAAAAUUAUUUAUUUAUAUAAAAUAAAAAUAAAAUAAAAUAUAUUUUUAAUUAAAAAGAUGUAUUUAAUCUUGGUGGACACCGAUUCAAUUGAAAUUACUCAUAACAGUGAUAAAAACAAUCCUCUGAGGAUUGCUUUUUCCAAAUGUCAAAUUCUCAUAGUCAUGACCAUUGCUAAUUGGAAUAAAAAACCCUUCACUUGCAAGGCUUUUAGUCAACCUUUUCAUCCCAUGAGCUACGAUUACAUAGAUUAUAUGGAUGCUUGGUAUAAUAUGUUUCAUUUACAAAGCUAUCAACAUUCUUGGUUCAUCCAAUUUUCAAGAAAUUGCAAUACCAAAUUUCCUACUUGGUUUCAAAAAUGGUGGACUUUCUUUGGUCUACUAGACUCCUUAUUUCCUCCCGAAAUUCAAGAAAAAUUCAACUUCUAUAAGAGUAAGACUUCAUCUCAGUCUAUCACUCAGCCUAGACUCCUGACUUUCUGUUCAAGAUUAAGAAUUCCAUGAAUUCUCUCAUGGAAUAUUAUCAAGAAGCAAGAGCAACCUCCUCCAUUUCCAUUAUCUCUUUCUAGAGAAUUCAGCAUCAAAUGGUGGGACAAAUUCAAUCAUGAUUUUGUAUGUCAACAGAAGAUUUUGCAAUUAAUUUCAAUAAGGCCAGGAUCAUCAAAUUCAAAAGAUUCAACUAGUUCCUCUCAAGGGUCGACUCAAGAAGAAUUCCUAACUUUGAAAAGCAAAUGUCAAGCUUCAGUAGCAGCCGCUAUUGAUUUAGAGCAAUAUCGUCAAUGACUCAUUCAAACCCUCAAACAGUUUGGAGAUCAAGAAAAUGAAGAAAUUGAAGGUACAGUUUUAUCAGAUUUUCAAUAAAUAAAAAAAUAGGUUAAAAGUCUUGAAUAGUAGAAUUUGUCUACUUUUGUCUACUACUUUACUUUGCAAGCAACGUGGAGAAUGGGAAAGCAAAGAGAAUUUUUUCUAUUGCUUUUCUUGAAGUUAAUGUUGCAAUUCUUUUAAGGGGUUUCCUAUAUUUGAAAAACCAAAGGAAAAAAGGAAUAGUUAUCCUAACUUGUUGCAUAUAUUUUUCAUAUUGUUUUCUUAAAGCAUUUCUAACUUGAGGAGGAAGUUGUUGAAAAUAAUUUCUUUUUGUAGUAUUUUCAGGAGAAAAAUAAUUUGCUUUGAUCAAUUCUACUUCAAGAGCAAAAGGAUUUCUUUUAAUAUUUCUUUUUCUAAUGAUAUUUAUGUUUAAAGGAGGUUCAUCAUGAGAGAGAACAAUUGACUCGGACUCUUCUUUAAAAAGAGGAAUUUCUGGAACAAAGUUUGACAUAUUUUUUAGUUGAUUUUCUAUUUGACUCAUUUCUUCAUCUAAUUUUGAAAAAUUAAAUUUUAUGUGGUGACUAUAAAAUGAUGCAGAUGAUGAUGCAGCUAAUGAUGCAGGUGAUGAUGCAAUAAAGCUGAUUAUCUUAUAUGAAGACCUUUCUAAAUCAUAUGUAGAAUUAUUUAAUGCAGAUGUAGAACUAUCAUGGGACUUAAGAGAUCUGGAAGAAUUAGUUCUACUUAAUUCCCUAAUAAAUUACUCAUUGUCACAGAAAAUAAUCAUAAUUUUAUUCUUAAUCAAUUCAAAUAAUUUCCUGAACAGGGACCACCACAAGCCGAUCAACAUGGGACUUACGCUCCUUCUGCCCUUAAACACCGCUACCACAGGCUAACCAAUCUGUUCACAGGAAAUUCAACCCGAACUAAGUCAGGACUAAAUCUGUGAUUAAUUACUAUUCCAACUCGUAACACCACUCGGUUCUCAAGUAGAACGUGUCUCUGAUACCAUUUGUACUCAGGACAUACAACAGUUCAUUCACGCAAUAAUUAAUUCUGUCUAAUGAACUCCAAGCAUAAAAAUAGAAAUAUUUAAUGUCUAGUUCUGUCUAAUUUAUUGCAGAAAUUUAAACAUAAAAAAAAAUUGUUAGAGUAACAAAACUCAAAUCCAGAUGAGUCAAGUAAAAAAUCAAAAAAAGAGUCAAGUAAAACAAAAUUUAAUCAAAUUUUGUUUUCUUCUGCCCCGGGAGAGGUGGAAGAAUCAAAUAUAGAAGAAAAAACAAUAAAAGAAAUUAAUGAAAUACAAAAAAUAGAAAAUAAAGAAAAAACAAAAACAAUAAAUGUAAUAUCUUCAAAAGUAGAUAAGCAAAUUUUUUUUAUGUUGUAGAUAUGAAGAAACACAAAGAAACUAUUUUAAAAAAAUUUUAAAUUUAAUUCUCAAUGAAGAUUCAAAUUAAACCUACCCAAUAUUCAAUGGAUGAAAUUUAUAAUAGAUUCAAAAAGACUCAAAGGCCUACAACCAUUAGAGACUUGGAAGAAGAAAUAAAAGAAAUAAAAAUUCAAAUAAAUCAAUUAAAAUUAGAAAAUGAACAAAUAAAACUAUAAAACAAAAUAAUAAAAAUAAGAAAAUGAACAAAUAAAACAAGAUUUUGCUGAAACAUCUAAUAAUCAAAAUAAUACCUAAUAAACAAACUCCUAUACCAUCAUUUAUAAAUAAAAUAACAAAAAUAGAUUUUCAAAUAUGGUAUACAAAUAUAAAACUCAUAGUAGAUGAUUUUGAAAUGGAAAUAGUAGCAUUAAUAGACUUAGGAGCUAAUAUGAAUUAUAUUCAAGAAGGAUUAAUUCCUAUUAAAUAUUAUGAACAAACUAGACAAUAACUUUUUGCUGCAAAUAAAGGAAAAUUAGAAAUAGAAUUUAAACUUCAAAAUGUUCAUUUAUGUCAAAAUAAUUAUUGUUUUAGAACUUAAUUUAUAUUAGUACAAAAUAUGACUGAACCUUUAAUCUUAGGAACCCCUUUUAUUACAUUACUUUACCCUUUUCAAGUAAAUGAUGAAGGUGUAAAAACUACAAUAUUAGGAAACACUAUAUUUUUCCCUUUUAUAUAUCCAUUAACUAAAAAGAAAUACAUCAAGUCCAAAGUGAUUCAAUAAAUAAAAUAAUAAAUUUAAUUCAAAGAAAACAAGCUCAUAUAAAUUAUCUAUUAAAAGAAAUUCAAUAUAAAAAGAUAGAAGAACAACUUAUAGAAGAAAAGAUUCAACAGAGAAUAAAAAAAAUCUGUUCUGAUCUUCCAAAUGUUUUUUGGUUCAGAAAGAAACAUGAGAUAAGUUUGUCUUACAUUCAAAGUUUUGAUGAAUCUAAAAUUCCUACUAAGGCUAGACCUAUUCAAAUGAAUGAAAAACUUUUAGAAUAUUGUAAACAAGAAAUUGAUUCAUUAUUAAAAAAGAAAUUAUUCAGACCCUCAAAAUCUCCUUGGAGUUGUACCGCUUUUUAUGUACAAAAUGUUGCUAAGAUAGAAAGAGGAGCACCAAGAUUAGUCAUUAAUUAUAAACCUUUAAAUAAAGUAUUACAAUGGAUAAGAUACCCUAUUCCUAAUAAGCAAGAUCUACUCAAAAGUCUACAUAGUUCUGUAAUUUAUUCAAAAUUUGAUAUGAAAUAUAGAUUCUGACAAAUUCAAAUUAAAAAAGAAGAUAGAUAUAAAACUGCUUUUACUAUCCCUUUUGGUCAUUAUGAAUGGAACAUCAUGCCUUUUGGUCUCAAAAAUGCCCCUUCUGAAUUUGAAAAUAUUAUGAAUGAUAUUUUCAAUCCUCAUUUUCAAUUUAUAAUUGCAUACAUUGAUGAUGUUUUAGUAUUUUCUAAUUCAUUAGAAAAACAUUUUAUUCAUCUAAAGAAAUUUUUUAAUGUCAUUAAAGCAAAUGGAAUGGCUUGUUAUGCUCCAAAUAUGAAAUUAUUUCAAACAAAAAUUAGAUUUUUAGGACAUGAAAUUUUUCAAGGAAAAACAAAACCGAUUCAAAGGUCAAUAGAAUUUUUUGACAAAUUUCCCAAUGAAAUAAAAGAUAAAAAACAAUUGUAAAGAUUUCUAUGUUGUUUAAAUUAUGUUUCUGAUUACUUCAAAAAUUUGAAAAUUAUUUAUGAACCCUUAUACAAAAGACUUAGAAAAAAUGCACCUGCAUGGACUGAACAUCAUACUAGUUUAGUCAAAGAAAUUAAACAAAUGGUAUGUAUCACUCUUUUAUAAAUAAAAAAUAACAUUAAAAUAUAUUAAUAGUACUACUUGAUAUAAAUGAUGUACUAUUUUUCUUUUUCUUUUUUAUAGAAAAAAAUGAUAUCACUCUUUUAUGAAAUAAGUAAUACUAAAAUGUAUUAAAAGUACCAUUAUUAGUGGGAAUGAUAUAUAAUUUUUCUUUAGUUUAUGGUAAGAUAUGCAAAAAAUUUAUUUUUUAAUAAAAUUAAGAGAAAAUUAAUAUAAAUGACUAAAUACAAAUUCUUUAUGAAAAAUAUAUUUUUAAUUUUUAUUUUAUAUAAUAAAAAAUUGAACCACAAUCAAGUUUUUAUCUUUUUUAAUUAAAAAUAUUAAACAUUUGAACAAAAAAAAGUUAAAACCAUAACAAAUUUGCUUAUCUUUAAAUAAAAAGUUAAAUAUGUUUAUUAUGUAUUUAUUUUUAUAUUCAUUUUUUUCAUUAAUUAUUUAUUAUAUGUUAUUAUUAUUAUUUUAUACAUUAAAGUGUUCAUAAAUAAUUAAAAUAAAAAAAUAAAAGACUAAAAAAAUGAAAUUAAAAAUAUUUUAUAAGAAUGUGUAACUAGAAUAUUAUAAAAAGUCAAAAGGUAAAAAUAAAGAAAGAUGACAAAAAAAAAAACAAAAAUAAUAUUACAUGUUGAUAGGUCAUAUAUGAAAUUAAAAAAAAAAAAAAAUUGAUAAACAUGAUUGAAAAAAAAAAAAAAGACAAAAAAAUUCUGUGGCGAUUGUCAUAUGUUAAUUUUUUUUAAAAAUUGAAAAUUUAAAAAAAAAUAUAUAUAUGAAAAAAGAAAGAGGAAUGGUAGUUCACGGCUAGUUUCGGAAGAGAGAAAAGGUCAAAAAGGAUGUUGAAAUUUUUUUCAUGUUACGCAUGUUUACCAAAUUAUUUAAUUGCAAGCUAAGUCACUAUCAGCAUUCUGUUGUCAUUUUCUUGUCACUGUAUAUCCUUCGUUGGUUCGAGGAGUGGCUUGCGAUACAUCUACAUAUACCUUUUAUUAAAUUUUUAUGUUAAAAAUAAUAUCUGAGGAGUGAGGACAAUGAUUUUAGAUUAAAAUCAAAAUUUGACAAAAUGUCAGUGGGGACUUGGGAAAAACAGUGCCCUGUGCUAUAAAAUCCAAGUUUCUUGCUGCUAUUUUUCACUCAGACGCACGCUUACAAGGCUGCUUCUCUUCCAUUCCUCACUCUGGCAUACAAAGAGACAUAGAAUUAGUUAGCAUUCAUGGGUGGUGGAGAUUUCACAGUAACAGUGAGCAGGAAGGAAGUAGUGGCAGCUGUACUGCCUGUGCAGGAGUAUUGGCUGCCACUAUCUAACCUGGACUUGCUUUUGCCUCCAGUAGAUGUGGGGGUGUUUUUCUGUUACAAGAAGCCACAUGAUUUAACAUUUGGGUCCAUGAUUGGCGUUCUGAAGGAGGCGUUGGCCCAAGCACUGGUGUCCUAUUAUCCAUUUGGAGGAGAAGUUUUGAGUAACUCAGCGGGUGAGCCCGAGCUCCUUUGCAACAAUCGUGGGGUUGAUUUCAUGGAAGCUUAUGCGGAUGUACAACUACAAAACCUCAACUUGUAUAACCCUGAUGAAAGCAUUGAGAGCAAGCUUGUCCCUAAGAAGAAACAUGGCGUUCUGUCAGUCCAGGUAACUCUCUCUCUUUCUCUAUGAUAUGCUAAUCCUAAUUAGUUGUAAUCAUGACAUGCUUAUUGUUUUGUAAAUCAACUAAUGACAGGUGACUGAGCUCAAAUGUGGCGGAGUUGUGGUGGCCUGUACAUUCGAUCAUAGGAUAGCAGACGCAUAUUCUGCCAAUAUGUUUCUAGUUUCAUGGGCUGAAAUGGCUCAGUCCAAACCAUUAUCAGUACUACCAUCUUUCCGGCGCUCUCUCCUCAACGCUCGACGUCCGGGCUCCUAUGAUCCUUCCCUUGACGACAUGUACGUCCCCAUGUCAGCCUUACCUCCUCCCAAAGCUCCACAGUCUGGUGAUGAUCUUCUCAUAAACCGCCUUUACUAUGUCACAGCCGAACAGCUCAGUCUACUCCAAUCACUAGCUACCAGCAAGAGUAGCUCCUGCA